UUGAUUAACUUUUCCAUGCUCUCUCAUUGUACUCUAUAUAAACGAAAGUUUUGUGGUCCUAUAAUUCUCUCUCGAUUUUAUUUAGUACGUACUUAAGUGUUGUCCACUAAUUAAUUACACUUUGUGAGAUUUGAUUUUAAUUAGAGUUCGAAUUAAUGUUGCAGCUAGCAGCGGUUGCACAGGCAAACAAUGCUGCUCAACCAGCACCUCAACUUUACUGGAACUCCGUCCUGCCAAACACACAGAUGCCAAGAUCUAUCAGUGAACUUCUGCAUCCUGGUUUGUGUUGAGCUCUUUAGAAUCUUAGAUAUCUCUUCUACCUGCCAUUUUACUUAAAUAUGUUCGACCACAUAUUUAUCAGUUAACUACUGUCAUUACAUGAGUGACACAUAUUCACAAAUCGGCUGAUCACUUAUUUUCCAUUAUGACGUUGAUAUAUAAUUUGCAGACUCCACAAAUGAAGAAAAGAGCACAAAUGACGUUGGCAAACCUGAAACUUUCCCAUUGGGCAAUCAAAAUUACUCCAGUCAAAAAAAUUAUGGAACAGGCAAUAAACGUUACUGCAGUCAAAAAAGGUAUGGAAGAGGCAAGAAACGUUACUGCGAUCAAAAAAAGUAUGGAAGAGGUGCUUCUCCAUCUGACAAUCAACUACUCCAUUAUAAAGACUUAGCUAUUUUCUUCUUGGAGAAGGACAUGCGCCCUGGCACAACAAUGAAGUUCCAAUUCUCUAGAAAUUCAAACACGGCUACUUUCUUGCCACGAGAAAGCGCUCAAUCGAUCCCCUUCUCCUCUAACAAACUACCAGAAAUUUUCAACCAUUUUUCAGUGAAGCCAACAUCUGAGGAAGCCAAAACAAUUAAGCAAACAAUCGAAGAGUGUGAAGCUCCCGGCCUUAAGGGAGAGGAAAUAUAUUGCGCCACAUCUUUAGAAUCAAUGGUUGAUUUUAGCACUUCGAAGCUUGGAACAAGAAACGUUGAAGCAAUCUCGACGGAGGUAUUGGAAAAAGGAGCCACCAUGUCCAUGCACAACUAUACAACAAUGCCGGGACUGAAGAAGUUGGCCAGUGACAAAGUCGUUGUGUGUCAUAAGCAGAACUAUCCCUAUGCUGUGUUUUUCUGCCAUGCAAUAAAACAUACAGCAGCUUAUGUUCUCUUCCUGAAAGGCGAUGAUGGGGAGAAGGUUAAAGCAGUAACCAUCUGUCAUCUAGACACAUCAGAAUGGAACCCAGAGCAUAUGUCCUUCCAAAUCGUCAACGUUAAGCCCGGAACCAUUCCCAUCUGCCAUUUCAUUUCCACUGAUGCUAUUGCCUGGGUUCCGAACCACAAAUCUGCAUGAUCAUCACUUAGCACUGUACGUAUAAUUAUCUCCUUACUUAUUUCUGCCUCUUCAUCAUGUGGUGUAAGAUAUAUGAUGAGAUGAAGUUUUUGGGAUUAGUGGUUGGGUUGCCUGAAAAACACAGAUUACAGAAACUGCUUGAAAUUAACCCGAUCAUGUUUUCUCUUGUAACUAUAUAGACUUCAACUUGUACUCAUAAUAAAGCAUGCUAUAUUUAUGAAGAGAUAUUAAUCUAUAUAUAUUUUUUAUAUAUGCUUUGGCUUUGUGGUUCUACCCAAUGUUUGAGUGUUGAAUUGUUACGUUGGAAUAGGCUGCUAAUGCAUGUAGUUAGAGAAGCCUUCAUUUAUAUCAAAGUCCUCAAACUAUCAAGAACUAAUGUAUCCAGAAACAUAUACCAAGACGCAAAACAACAUAUUUUCCAUGCUCUGUCUGUAACACCAAAGCAAACUUCCUUGAUCACAAAAGGAUCAAAUUCCAGUACUAAUCUAAUCCAUCAUGUAAAGCAUACAAGUGCCUCCCUAAAUACUAUACUCUUUUUGUUAUUUCCUACUAUACUAUUUAAGAUUUAAAAUUCAGGUCAACCCAUAGAUUUCUCGCCUUUUUCUUCUUCAUCUCGUCGGGCUUGUCUUCUUCUUGAGGAUUGUAUAGGCCAAGGAAAUGCUUUGAGUUAGUUUUUGCGCUUUUGCGUUUUGGGCCUUGGAAGUUGGGACCCAAACCAACUUCACAAAAAGAAAACGCUCAGACUAUAAUGAGUGGAAAGUUAUAAGGGGUAAGUUAUAAGGAGUUCACUUUAUAGCCAUCAGAUCAAUCUAAGGGCUGGGGAGAAUUGAGAUAAAGUUUUAAAAUCGGGUAGGUGAGGAACCCAAACCCGAAUUGAAUAUCCAGCACGUCCGAAAAAGAAGAAGAAGAGGCAAGCACGUCCGAAAAAGAAGAAGAAGAGGCAAGGUCGAAGUUUGAACAGAAAAAACUCAUCUCUUUAAAACCCAUAGCUCUGAGAAACGGUUGAAGGCAACGGUUAACGACGGUUGUUGAAGCCACUCCGUUCUCCAGACCCUGAAAAAGUAUUUAUUUUGAGUAGAAGGGGCAAAUGUGUGGAUUCCGAAACAGUGAAGGGGCGAAGCAGUGGAAGGGGAAGGAGAGAAGCCGUAUUCGUUGGAAGUGGUAGGUUCCAUUUGUGGAGCAAAGCAACACAAAGACCCCGCACAGACACCUUGCGAUUGUUCAAUAACCAGCAUUUGGUGAGUAAUUUAUGGAAUUUGAGUUUAGGGUUAGAGUAAUGGUUUUCCCCAAUUUGUACCAUCAAUUUUGUUGGAUUUGGCAUCUCUUCUUUGUGCUUCAGUUGCAUGUUAAUUUUUGCUUGGGUAUAUGUUAAAAAAAGAAUGAAAAUCAAGUCAAUAACAAGUGAAUAACAUGUCAAUAAUGAUAUGAAUAAGAUAAUGGUGUUGAAUUGGAGGAGGCCCUCAAAACAUUCCACAUUUGAAGCAGUGCAUAGUGCAGAUUAUCUCUCUGGCGCUAGAAUAUAUAUAUAUUUUGAAAUAAAUAUGAUUUCCUUUGUUACUAAAUUUGCCUGAGAAACAUGAGAACAGAUAAUAAUAAACUCAUGAAUAGAAGUGCAAAGCAUUUGAUGAGUAAUUUAUGGAAUUUGAGUUUAGGCCCAGGAAAUUCCUUGACCCCAAAAAAAAAAAAAAAGUUGAUUUAAAAUUCAGGUCAACCCAUAGAUUUCUCGCCUUUUUCUUCUUCAUCUCGUCGGGCUUGUCUUCUUCUUGAGGAUUGUAUAGGCCCAGGAAAUGCUUUGAGUUAAUUUUUGCAUUUUUGCGUUUUGGGCCUUGGAAGUUGGGACCCAACCCAACUUCACAAAAAGAAAACAGAUUUGCCAAAAAUCAAAUUUCAAGUCUCUCCUCCGAUCGAAAUUUGGAUUUGAUGAACUAAAGUGGUUUUACUUUCUCCAUCAGUGUUUGAUAACUUAAUUUGUUAUUUACUUUUUUUUUAAAAAACUUUGGCUUAUAUAUAUUAGUUUUCUUUUUUCCUUCAUAUUCACCACCUUUAUGUUGCAUAAGUAUUUCAGUCUUAAUGGGUUUCCAUCUACCACUCAUCUUUGCUCUUCUCAGUGUAAGCCUUUUUUUUUUUUUAAAGCACAAGAUUAGAGGGGAGGGGGAUUUCUCAAUGUAAGCUUUGCAGUUUCAUAAUUAAUAUUUCCAAUAUCUCACUGUUAGUAAAAUACAGAAAAAGUACUAAUAACAUAUGCACAUGUUACUAAUUUAUUGAGAUAAAACACCAUUUUGCCCCUAGAAUAUUUUAUUAGGUUUAAAGUUGACUUUUUGACCAGGAAGGAAUUUGGGUAUUUAGACUAUAUCGUUGCGUAGAGCAUGGCGAGAUGAGUCCGUAGACACAUGAUUGGCUCGAAUCAGAGUUAUAAUGAGAGAGAUACGAUCAAAAUACCCUCAGUGGUAUAACCGUAAUUUUGGCUUAAAGGGUUUGAUAAAAUAUAAUUUUUCUUUCUUUCUUUCUCUCUCUCUCUCUCUCUCUCUCUCUCUCCUCUCUCUCACGACGGCAGUGAUAGCCGGCCACUUUUUGGCCAGCCAUGCUCUCGUCCGGCCACUAAAGUUGACGGGGCCGGUACCAAAAUGACCGGGCCACCAUCCUUUUCCAACCCCAGCCAGGCCCCACUGCCAGCAGUCGUGAUUUUGCUGAAAAAUGGAGAAGAAGCGGCCGAUUUCGUUCGAACUUCUCCGACUUCGUUCUCUCUCCUCCGGCCACCGAUUUCGAUGAAUGAGGUAUGGUUUCUCACCUACUUUUUAUGCUCUAGCUGCCUGUUGGGUAGGAUUCGAUCAAUUCCUUGCGUAGGUAGCUUGAUUUUCGAAUUGGAUUUCGGCCGGUUUUGGGAUCUCGAUUCCGGCCACUUCCGGUCAGUUUUUGGGGUACAUCCCAAAACAAAAGUGGUUCUAAAUAGGGUGUUAUACCUAGGGUAGGAACCUUGAACCGUAAUUUUGAGAAUUUUCGGUGAUGCCUAAUCGCUUUGGACACCUACGCUAUGCCUGCGUGUGGGCACUAUAGAAAAAGGGCAUUGUGUCCCGAUGCAAUCCCCUUGUUGUCUUGAGCGCGUAGGUGUGCUCGGAUUUCAAUUUGGAUACCGUUUGAAUCUCGAACGAAUAUCGCAUAUUGUGCGUUAUUCGGGGUCGAUAGGUUUGAACUGUUGGAUAGUCUUAGAUUUAUAAUAUGUUAAUCUAGACAUUCUUAGGAUCGAAUGGGAUUAAACGGAUCGUAAAACGGAGUCCCGGAUACUCCAAAAAUGCCAACCCUAGGGCUAGGUUCCUAGUAACCGUCCGAUCGUGCGAUCGUGAGCGAUCCGACCGUUUGAUCCGAACCAAACUUGCAGGACGUGUAUCCUAAACCUUGUAGAACCCAUAGGAACUUUCGGAUUAGAAUUUGGAGGUCGUGGGCCCCUUGGGCCGUUUGACUAAGUUUGGGUAGUUUGACCCUUGGCUGAUCGUGAGUCUUCAGAGGUCUUGAGCGUUGUUGAGCUAUGUUGACUAGGUUUAGACUUUUAGAGUGUUUAUUAUUAUCAUAGGAAACUAUUAGAUAUUAUUUUAAUAAUUGAAAUUAUCAAAUUUAUGUUUAUGUGCAUGAUUGUUGGUCUAAAAAUAACAUUGUUUUCUUGAUAAAAUUACGUUGCAGUCUACUAUAGACUGGUAUCACUAAAUGGAGAUUACCUCUAUUAUUAGUUUAGAUAAUUAAGAGUAUGUCAGUUUGAAGUGCUAUAUGCACUACCCUAAGUACCACCCUGUGAUUGUUAGGUCCCAUGUGGUGUAGAUUAUACAGCGUCAGGACAGACCCCAUACGUGGCUUUGGAUGUUCUGGCGCAUGGGGGAGAUUAUGUAAUGGUUAGGUCAUACGUGGCGUAGGUUAUUCAGCGUGUUGACAGACCCUAUACGUGGCGUUGGAUGUUCCAGUAUGGAAAGAUUUUGUGAUUGUUAGGUCCCACGUGGCGUAGAUUAUCCGGCGUGAGGACAAACCCCAUUCGUGGCUUUGGAUGUUCCUGCGUAUGGGGGAGAUUAUGUGAUGGUUAGGUCACACGUGGCGUAGGUUAUUCGGCGUGUUGGCUAACCCCAUAAGUGCCGUUGGAUGUAACGACCGGUCCUAAAUAAAUUAGUGAAUAUUAAUUUAUUCAGAGAAAAUACCAUUUUGCCCAUAGAGUAUUUUAUUAGGUUCAAAGUUGACUUUUUGAUCAGAAAGGAAUUUGAGAAUUUCGAUUAUACCGUUGCAUAGAGCACGGCGAGAUGAGUCCGUAGACACGUGGUAUGCUCGAAUCGAAGUUGUAACGAGAGAGAUACGAUCAAAAUACCCUCAGUGGCAUAACCGUAAUUUUGGCAAAAAGGGUCGAUAAAAUCAUAUAUAUAUAUUUUCUCUCUCUCUCUCUCUCUCUCUCUCUCUCUCUCUGCGAUAUUGUCCCUCUCUCUCUUUGAUUCACUGCCAUCUGCCCACGGCAGGACUUGAGACUGGUCACGUUUGAACCGGCUCGAUGUCCCGAUCACGUCGCACCCAAAAUGCAAAUGGAAACCUUGAAUUCCAGCCACGGCUUCGACUGGUUUGAACUGGGUUUUUCCCGGCGUUGCGCCACCGCCUCCGCCGCCCAAUUCCGGUGAAACAGGUAUAAUUCCUCACCUAUUUUUCGAGAUCCAGCUGUUGUUGUGUAGGAAUUAGACGAUUUUCAUGUUUAGGAACUCGAUUUAGAAUUUAGGUUUUGGUCGAAUUUUCAAAGUGAAAUUUCGGCCACUUCCGCUGGUUUUUCGGGGUAUGUCUAAGAACAAAAGUGGUUCCAAAUAGGGUGUUAUACCUAGGGUAGGAACCUUGAGCUGUGAUUUUGAGAAUUUCCGGCGAUGCGUAUUCGCUUUGGACACCCACGCGCCGACAGCGCGUGGGCACUGUAGAAAAGGGGCAUUGUGUCUCAAUGCGAUCUGCUUGUUGUCUUGAGCUCGUAGGUAUGCUCGAAUUUCAAUUUGGAUACUGUUUGAGUCUCGAACGGAUAUCGCAUAGUGUACGUUAUCCGGGUUUGAUAGGUUUGAACCAUUGGAUAGUUUUGAAUUUGAUAUAUGUUAAUCUAGGCAUUUCUAGGAUCAUGUAGGAAUUCAGGGAUCAUGAAUCAGAGCCCCGGAUGUUCCGAUUUAAUAACUUAAAGUUUAUGUUUAUAAUAACUAUCAGAUCGUGCGAUCGUGAGCGAUCCGACUGUCUGAUCUGGACCAAACUUGCAGCACGUAUAUCCUAAACCUUGUGGAACAUAAAAAAAUUUCGGAUUAGAAUUUGGAGGUCGUGGGCCCCGUGGGCCCAUUUAACCAAUUAUGGGUAGUUUGAUCCUUGGUUGACCGUGAGUCUUCCGAGAUAGUUUUACCUUCCUAGGAGGAUUAUAAUGACCCUAGUGAUAGGUCUUGACCGUUGUUCAGCUAUGUUGACUAGGUUGAGACUUCUAGAGUGUUUAUUAUAUUAUUGUAGGAAACUCUUAGAUAUUAUUUUAAUAAUUGAAAUUAUGAAAUUUAUGUUUAUGUGCAUGAUCGUUGGUCUAAAAAUAAUAUUAUUUUCCUGAUAAAAUUACGUUGCAGUCUACUAUAGACUAGUAUCACUAAAGUGGGAAUACCUCUAUUAUUAGUUGAGAUAAUUGGGAGUAUGUCAGUUUGAAAUGUUAUACCCUAAGUACUACUCUAUGAUUGUCAGGUCACCCGUGGCGUAGGAUUUUCCGGUGAGAUGACAGACCCCAUACGUGGCGUUGGAAUUUCCAACGUAUGGAGAGAUUAUAUGAUUGUUAGGUUUCACGUGGCGUAGGAUUUUUCAGCGGGAUGACAAACCCCAUACGUGGCAUUGGAAGUUUCAGCGUAUGGGGAGAUGAUAUGAUUGUUAAGUCACACGUGGCGUAGGUUAUUUGGAGUGCUGACAGACCCCAUACGUGGCGUUGAAAUUUCUGGCGUAUGGAGAGAUGAUAUGAUUGUUAGGUCACUUUGGAUGUUCUAGCGUAUUGGGAGAUUAUGUGAUUACCAGUGAGAUGAAUAAAGGAUUGUUAUGUUAUAUUGGGAAAAACAUGUUUGUAGAAAGAAUUACGUGUGGCUUGAUCCCUCAGUAAGGGUACGUAGGCAGCCUAGGGUAGUGCCUUGGUGCAGUCGCUGACUAAACAUUAUAAUGUUGUUUUUAGGUUUGAUUAUAUGGUAUUAUGGGGCAAGGCCCCUAGGACUAUUGGUGAUAAUUCAUAGAUGGUAGUGGAUGCAUGCUAGAAAUUUGUAGGAAGUUAUUUCAUGUGGAUUGCAGUGGUACUCGUAAAAUUUAUUUGAGUUCCUUAAUUGCAUUGUUAAUAUAUUAAUUUACUUAAGAGUACUGCUAGUAGUUCUGCCUUGAUUUAUUUGAAGGCUGGAGGCCUUGUCUGGAAACUGUGUGCAAUUAGAUUGUGUGUGCUGGCAGUUGACUUUUUAAAUUGUGAAUUUUGUGCAGGUUGAAAUUUGGGAAAUGUUCAAUUUACAGGGGAGACUCUGCUGAAAUUUCGGUAGAAAGUCUUGUGCCCUUAUUCCUUUUUGGGGAAAAGGAUAUAGUUUUAGAAGUGGCGAUGUCGGGAAUUUCCACAGGAUUCGUCUCGGGUUUCGGGAAAUUCGGGGCGGGUCUGAAAAAGUUGUUUCAGUUUUGGCAAGUAUCGGAAAAGACCAAAAUUUUCCGACUUUAUUAUUACUAGAAACAAGGUCGAAGUAUUUACCAAUCAUGUGGCCUUCCAAGUGCUCUAGGUUAAGCCAGGAACCGUUCCUAUCUGCCGUUUCCUUCCCAACUAUGAUCAUGUUGUCUGGGUUCCAACCCACAAAUCUACAUUGGGCUACGUAUUUGAAUUUGUACUAAAGCGUGAUCUAUAGUAUGCAUAUAUUGGAUAAGUUUGAGAUCAGUGGCUUGGGUGUCCGCUGAGCUUGAACAAGUUUGGGUGUGCUGAGUGUUUCCAUGGGUGUGUUGAUGAUCAUGGUUAUUAGAUUUGUGAUAGUUUGGGCUCAAUUUCAACAGAACUCAUCUCAAGCCUAGAUAGUUGAUUCUUAAGUUUAUCAGGAAAAAAAAUUAAAAAUUAAAAAAUCUAAAGUUAAGCCCAAGGCGCCGAACUUGGACUUCUCACCAAACUGUGCAUAAAUUGAAAUAUUUAAUAGAAGCCCAAGAUUUUUGAAGCACAUAAUAUCUACAAAAAUCUACAAAGUGUAAUACUUUACAAACUUCUUAUGUGUACCAAUUUCUGCUCAAAUUAAUUUCUCUGUGGUGCUGAGAUUCAUCAUAAUUUUAGUAGAAAUUGGAAGUUUUCAUCAUUUUUGCUUUAAGUCUCUCCUCCACUCACUAAUAAAGAUUACUCAAGUGAGUUUACAAAACAUUUUUUUUCUACUCUCUCCUGAAGACUACACAUCUUCUCAAAAGAUUAGAUCACUUCACAUCUUGUAUAUGUGAAAACUAAUGCAAAAAGUUGAAACUUUAUCAUAAAACCUCGACAAAAAUUAGCUCUACUUAGAACAUUAAAUUUGGAUUCGUUGAUUUAAAUGGCAAUUUGACACUUCAUAGAAAUUUUUACAUACAUGUGUUAGUGUUUGAUCACUUCACUUAUUACUUACUAUAUUUAUUCCAUGAUUCUCCCUCAAGUUAUGUAAAUAUUAUUAUCAAACAUUUCAAUUCAUUUGUGAUAUUUCUUGUCCAUCUUUCAAUGUACCCUGAAAUCCAUUAGCCACAUAUGAUGACCAAAAUCCACACUCUGUUGUUUGCAAACGUUCAAUAUACGACUUGCAUCCACAGUCCUGACCCAAAUGAAAUGCGGAAACUGUCAAGCUAACUGUAGGGAGGACUAUAUUUGAUUUUACCUUAAAGACUGAUCCGAAACCACCUUCUCCAAGUUUAUUGUUGUUUGAAUAGUUUUUGGUUGCACAAACAACAGCGGCCAAGUCAAAUAAUGGCAAUUCCAGAUCUUCCUUUUGGCCGGGCUUCAGUUCUCCUGUGAAGUACGUAGUGAAGUAAAUAAUGUAGCAUGGAACCUUAGCUUAGAAACCAGAGAGGCAACAGCAAAAAUUUUCUAUAGAACUGAACCUACCUAUCUUAGAAAAUGAAGGGGCAGAAGAGUAGAAAAUCAAAUAGCUUACCAUAUUUUUGUUGCUGGUUCUUCCUCACAUAUAAUAGCAGGGUAAGGCCCAGGGUCAGCAGUCCAGUAGACAACACAGUACUGGUUACUAUGAUCUUUGUAUUGUGUCCUUGAUCUAGGAAUGAAGUAUUUGAAAGCAGAAGAUUGAGGAGUCAGAAAUUCAUAAAGAAAAAAUCUCUACUUUUUAUCAUCCAACGAACAAUUAAUGCUAGUUUCUGAGACAGUUCUAAAGAAAUAUUUUUCUAACAAUGUCAAAAGUUUUCUGGCUCUAUCUUGUUUCUAAUCAUGUCACUGUUGGAAGAUUUCUUUCUUCUUUUUUCCUUGGUGGCUUUUAUUUUUCUUUCAAACUUUGUUUUAAACAGCAAGAUGAUUCCAUACCUAGUUCUGACGAAGCCAUUCUUAUGUAAAUAUCUUGCCCAUUUAUAUUGGAAUAUCUUAUAUCAACCAGAUCGCUGAACCACAGCAAGGACCCCCUUCCUCCAUCUCGGAUAUCCAAAUUUGAAAAAGCGGCGCAGGAGCAGUUGUUCAUGCACAUCAUCUCACAUUCCUUGAGGUUCAUAAUUGUGUUAUACUAGGAUUGUUCUGUACUUUAUUUCACCCCAGUGUACUUCUUAAAGAUGUCUCCACUGCAAUUCAGUUGGCUCUUUCUCACAGAUCUAUAUGACCAAUCCACCAAGUCCCAGUCUUGUUGAAAGUCGGUAUAAAUCCUUUCAAGCAGCUACGUACUGGGGACUUGUCAAUACAACAUGCACCAUUCGGACCACAUAUUCCAUAUUUGUCGCAGAUAUCAGUCGUUGCUCUUAGAUAAACAACCCAACCUUGGUUUCCAUCACUCCCGAUGUAGCUCAGCCCAAAUCCAUCUUGAGUUAACGCCAGCCUGAAAAGAGUUGAGCUGUUGAGAAGCUUAUAACCAUAAUAUACUUCAUCAUCAUUAUCCAACACAAAAUCAUAUGUUGGAUUUAAAUUAUGCAUCCCACUAAAUUGGAUUCCAUUCCAUGGUGCAGUCCGAUAUUUUAUAACAGAACCCUCCCUCAGAAUUAAUUCAUGGUACCCAUAAGGACCAAGUUGAUAUGGGUAAUGUCCUUGAGAAGGAUCCUGGGGGCUUUUCCAGGGUGUAAGAUGCCAAUUAAAACCUGUGAUUUUGUUCCUAACAAGCUUCAUACCUGGUAUUAAUGUAUCUCCUGGGUAAUCAAAACUCUGCCAUAAAAUAUUAUCAGAGUCAUUACGACCAUUGCCAUCUAUCACAACAAGAUUUCCGGAAUCCAAAAUCUGUGCCACUGGAUUCUAUGAAGAACUUGAUGUGUUGGAAGACCUGUAGUGUUCUUUGUUGAAUAUUUGGAUUGCAAAGGGAGCAAGAAAUGUACUGAGAGAGAAAGAGAGAGAGAGAGAGAGAGAGAGAGAGAGAGAGAGAGCAGUGAGCCUUAGAUUGUUCUAACAGUUUUCUUACUCUGCAUGAACAUAGCAGCAGAGCUUAUAUUCCUUCAUGACUGUUACAUGUUCUCUCUUACAUCAGUAGAUUCAAAUCUAACGGUUUGUAAUAGUAAGCCAAUGUGAGUAUGACACAUGGCAAUACACAGCUGUCCUAACAGCUGGGAAUUCAAAACAGACUCUAGCAUUGCACCUGGCAUAUAAGCACAAGGCACUCAGCUAACACAAAGAUUAAAAACAGAUUGAAUAUAAACUGACAUAGAACUUACUAACUAAUCUGAAAUUAGCUAGACAGUUUACAUUUUAACACUCCCUUCUAAAGUGCUAGCUGAUUUCACUCCAAGCAUUCUCCUCAAAUAGUCAAACCUGUCUUUGGGAAGAGCUUUGGUGAAGAUAUCAGCAAUCUGCUCUUCUCCUUUGCAGUAGAGCAGUUCAAUCACUUCUUCUUGUAUUGCAUCUCUAAUAAAAUGAAACUUCCUUUUAAUAUGCUUGCUCCGUUGAUGAAAAACAGGAUUUUUAGCCAUUGCUAUGGCUGAAGUGUUGUCACAAAACACAGUUGUUGCAGUGGUCUGUUCUUCCCCAAAAUCUUCAAGAACAAACCUGAGCCAAAUGGCUUGUGAUGUAGCUUCUGCUGCACUCACAUACUCUGCCUCUGCAGUAGAGAGAGCCACACUGUGUUGUUUGACUGAUGCCCAUGAAAAAGCACCACUUCCAAAUGAAAAUGCAUAUCCAGAAGUGCUUUUCAUAUCUUCCUCAGAUCCACUCCAGUCACUGUCACAGUAACCAACUAAGAGUGCAGAUUUUCCUGUCACAUACUCAAUUCCAUAGUCAAUUGUGCCUUGUAUGUACCUUAGAACCCUUUUAGCUGCCCCAUAGUGCAUCUUAGAAGGGUUAUGCAUGAAUCUUGCAAGCAGGCAGGCAGAGAACAUGAUAUCUGGCCUGGUUGCAGUAAGGUACAGCAGGCUGCCUACAAUUUUUCUGAACAAACUUUCAUCUGCAGCAUCACUUCCAUCCUCUCUUUUCAAUUUAUCAGUAGCCACUAAUGGAGUGCUUACUGACUUGCAGUCUUUGAGUCCAAACUUAUCCAAGAGAGUGAGAGCAUACUUCUUUUGAUGAAUGAAGAUGCUCCCUUCAGUUUGUGUUACUCCCAUACCAAGAAAAUGGUGGAGUAAACCCAAAUCAGACAUCUCAUACUUGCACAUCAUUUCAGCUUUGAAUUCUUUCAUCAUUUCAUCUCUACUUCCUGUGUACACUACGUCAUCUACAUAGAUUGACACUAUUAGUGUUCCCACCUUCCUUUGUUCUCACAUAGAGAGUGGCUUCACUUGGACUUCUGUGAAAACCACACUGAUUCGAGUAGGUGUCAAUUUCACUAUACCAGGCCCUUGGAGCCUGCUUCAACCCAUAGAGGGCUUUUCUUAACCUAUACACCUUAUCCUCAUCAUCUUUAACCACAAAACCAUCCGGUUGAUCAAUAUAAACUUCUUCUUCAAGGACACCAUUUAGGAAGGCUGACUUGACAUCCAAUUGCCAUAGUUUCCAGCCUUUCUGAGCAGCAAGAGCUAUGAGAGUUCUAAUGGUGUCUAACCUUGCUACAGGAGCAAAGGUUUCAUUGAAAUCAAUCCCUGGUUUUUGUGUGUAUCCCUUGGCAACAAGUCUUGCUUUAUGUUUUUGAAUGGAGCCAUCAAGAUUAAGCUUAAUUUUGAAUAUCCACUUCACUCCCACAAUUGGUUUACUACUUGGCCUGUCAACCAAUUCCCAACUGGAGUUUUUCUCUAUCAUAAGUAUCUCCUCAGUCAUAGCCUUCCCCCAAGCUUCAUCUUUGACUGCUUCUUCAAAAUUUUCAGGUUCAAUGAUGCUCAUCUUGCAUUGAGCAUACACUUCACUCAAACUCUUCCAUUUCUUUGGGGUGUUAUCAUAAGUUUCUAAUGGAGCAGAGUCUUGAGUAGCAUGCACAUCAUUACUUGUUUGUGUUUCCAUAGGAGACUGUACAAUCUGUUGCUGUAACAGAUUUGGUUAUGAAUCCAAAUCUGAUACAAUUGAACUUACUCCAUCACCCCAAGACAUAGGGAUUUGCAAUGCCUCAUUGGUUUCCCAAUUCCACAUUGCUUCUUCAUCAAAAAUAACACUCCUAGACAGCUCAAUCUUUUGAGUUCUCAAGUUGAGCACUCUAUACCCCUUUUCACAUACACCAUAUCUUACAAAUACUCCCUUCUCACCUGUGUCUUCCAGCUUGUGCCUUUUCUGUGUGGGGAUGUGAAUAUAGCAUAGAGAACCAAAUAUUCUCAAAUGCUUGACACCUGGUUUUCUUCCACCGAACUUUUCAAAUGGAGUGGAAUUGUCCAGUGCACUUGUAGGACAUCUGUUCUGCAAAUAUACAGCUGUAUUGACAGCUUCUGCCCAAAACUUCAAAGGGAUUUUCUUCUCAUACAUCAUGGCUCUUGCCAUUUCCAUCACAGUACGAUUCUUUCUCUCUGUAACUCCAUUCUGUUGUGGAGAGUAGCCUACUGNNNNNNNNNNNNNNNNNNNNNNNNNNNNNNNNNNNNNNNNNNNNNNNNNNNNNNNNNNNNNNNNNNNNNNNNNNNNNNNNNNNNNNNNNNNNNNNNNNNNNNNNNNNNNNNNNNNNNNNNNNNNNNNNNNNNNNNNNNNNNNNNNNNNNNNNNNNNNNNNNNNNNNNNNNNNNNNNNNNNNNNNNNNGGUGUGGUCAUCAAUGAAGGUGAGGAAAUAUCUGUUCCCUCCAAGAGUGAUGGUCUGCAUUGGACCACAAAUGUCUGAGUGAAUCAGUUCUAGAGGUUGAGUGGCUCUCCAAGCUCCUUCCUUAUCAAAAGAGCUUCUGUGAUUCUUGCUUUCAGCACAACCUGAGCAGACCUUCUCAUGUUCUUGUAAAUUAGGCAUUCCCUGAACCAUAUCUCUCUCUUGUAACAACUUCAAACUAAUAUAGUUUAGGUGCCCAAAUCUUCUGUGCCACAGCCAGGAUGUUUCUCCAACUGUUGCUCUGUUUGCCAUAGGAGGAUUAACAUAGUCAAGAUUUAAAGGAAAACAUUUGUUUCCCUUCAUUGGCACUCUUGCAAUGCAAUCUUCCAACUGCCUAUCUCCAUAGAUAUCAACUGCAUUAUCACCAAAUACAAGCCAAUGCCCAUGUUCUAUCAUUUGACCUACACUUAGCAAAUUUUCAUCUAAACUUGGUACAAUCAUGAUUUCUUUGAUAUAUCUAGUCACACCCUUCAUUUCUAUAGCCAAAGUCCCUUUGCCUAUUAACUGCACUAGAUCACCAGUCCCCAUUUUGACUUUACUCUUCAUACUUUUAUCAACAUUUACAAGUAAUGACUCAUGGGAAGUCAUGUGAUUGCUGCAUGCACUAUCAACAUACCACAUAUUCACAUUCUUUCCAAUUGUUGCAGCAUGACAUGCAUAGAACAUAAUGGCAGGUUCAGUUACCUGAUUUGCAAUGUUAGCAAGUUUCCCUGCCUUGUUUGCUUGGUCACAGUCCUUAACAAAAUGACCAAAUCGAUUGCAGCCAUGACACUUUGGUUUUCCUUUAAACCAACACUCACCAUAGUGUAACUUCUCACAAUGUUUGCAUUUUCCAGAUUUGUCUCCUUGACUUGGUUUUCCCCCUUGAUUGGCACUGUUUUGGGGUUUAGAAUCCCAUUUCUUAUCCUUGGACUUCCAAUUCUUCUUUGAUUUAUUAGAGCCAGAACUAGAACUUGAUUGAGAUCCUUUUGAGUUUAUGCUCAUGCUGCUGAAAGCUUUCUCAGUGGUGCUUUCUGCAUGUCUGUCAAGGCGCUGAGCAAAACCUCUUAAUGCUGCAAUUACCUCCUGCACUUCAAUGGUUUCAAUGUCUCUAGUUUGCUCAAUCACAUAGCAGACUGGAUCAAAUUCCUUGGUUAAGCUUAUUAGCAGUUUUUGAACUAUCCUCCCUUUGGUCAGAUCUUCCCCAUAUCCCUUCAUCUGAUUUACAAGCUCAAGUAACCGAGUGAUGUAUCCAGACAAGAUCUCAUCAUCCUUCAUCCUGGUGUACUCAAAAUCUCGACGCAGACCCUGCAACAUGAUGGAUCUGACUUGCUUAUCACCAUGAAACUCCUGAUGCAAGAUAUCCCAAACACCUUUUGAGGUUUCUUCAUUUGAGAUUCUGGGAAAGAUGUCAUCUGAAACAGCACCUUGGAUAAUACCAAGAGCCUUAGCAUCUUUCAUCAACAAGGACACCAUCUCUGAAUCUGAUGACCCUUCUUUAUCAGCUUUUGAAUCUGGAACUUGAAGGCCUUUCUCAACCAAAUUCCAGAUUCCAUGAGAUUUGAAAAUUGUUCUCAUUCGAAUCUUCCAAAACUCAUAGUUCUCCCCAUUGAAUAUUGGAGCUCUAAGAUCACUCCCUCCUGACCCAGCCAUCUGAGACCAGACUCAAUGAGUUGAGAGUAGGAAAUUUCCCGUUGGAUUUCCAGACUCAGCUCCCACAGCUUCAACGCCCUCUAUCCAGAUCCAACCUGCGCACCUGAUACCAUGUUGAAUAUUUGGAUUGCAAAGGGAGCAAGAAAUGUACUGAGAGAGAGAGAGAGAGAGAGAGAGAGAGAGAGAGAGCAGUGAGCCUUAGAUUGUUCUAACAGUUUUCUUACUCUGCAUGAACAUAGCAGCAGAGCUUAUAUUCCUUCAUGACUGUUACAUGUUCUCUCUUACAUCAGUAGAUUCAAAUCUAACGGUUUGUAAUAGUAAGCCAAUGUGAGUAUGACACAUGGCAAUACACAGCUGUCCUAACAGCUGGGAAUUCAAAACAGACUCUAGCAUUGCACCUGGCAUAUAAGCACAAGGCACUCAGCUAACACAAAGAUUAAAAACAGAUUGAAUAUAAACUGACAUAGAACUUACUAACUAAUCUGAAAUUAGCUAGACAGUUCACAUUUUAACAUUCUUAUGGUCGGCAGGGACAAGAAUUCCAGGGCUGCUCAACUUGAAUACACCUGAUGAACCAGUGAGGGGUGUGUUUCUUUUAGUCUGCACUAUAUAUGCAGGGUCUGACUCUAAUUAGAAGAUAAUUGUAUUAAUUUGGUAAAGCUUUGUCUGUAACUGUCUCGCACCUUAAAAAAAUUUCACAAUUAGCAGCAUUGGCAAUACUUGAUUAGAAAGCAGAAACCCUACAGUAUAUAGUUAAGUUGAGUAGCUGGGAAGACAAUUAGUAAGCUUUCAAUACUAAAGUUGAAUAUUGGGGAGACAAAUUACUAGAGCUUCAAGUUCAGAUAAAUAGGAUGAAUUUCUCUUAAGGGAUCCCCUUUCACUGUAGCUUGGAGUAGAAUUCAUUUUGACACAAUAUCAAUUAUCAAUGUAAACACGUUACUGAUGCACUAUUGACAAUAUCGAUGCACGUCAUAUCAUAUUUGUGGGAGUAAAUUUCCUCACGAGAAUAUUUGGUUCAAAAGAUUCCCCUUUUUUUUUUUUUUGCCGCCUCUUUCUCCUUGCAAAAUAGAACAAAUAAGAGGACCACACCCGGGGGGUGUUGGCCAAAGGCCCUCCGAUGCUAAAUUAGUUCAAGUAUUUGUAAGAAAAAUACUAGCUAACUAGGGUACAGAGGUGUAUUUAAGGUGUAAACCGGGCAGCCGAAGUCUUAUGUAAAAGAGAGAGAGAAAGGAGGUGGCUAGCGUUUGAGAGGAAUUUUCUGCAGAGUUUUUAGUAGAGAUUUCAGACGUACCUCAACCAUUGUGUGUGGCCAUCUUUUUAUAGUGGUCUUGGAGGCUAGGGUUUCAGAGGAAUAAUUCCGUAGAUGGAAAGGAAUUAUUCCUCCCCUAUUUGGAAUUGAUUUGAUUAAUUAGGGAUUUGAUUUAUUAGGGUAAAUCAAAUCCCUAAUUGUGGUAGGUAUCAAAUCAAAUCCUUUUUUAAUUAGGUAACUCCUCAUUUAAUUGGGAAUUGUGGUAGGAAUCAAAUCAAUUCUCAACCUAAUUAGGUAACGUUCAAUUUAAUUGGGUAAUUCCCAAUUAAAUUGAGUAACUCCCAAUUAGGUUGAUUAAUUCCCAAUUAGAUCAAAUAAUCCCCUAAUUGAAGGAAUUAUUUGACCUAGGGUCUGAUUUAAUUCGAUUCCCACAAAUGCCCCCCAGCUUCUGCAUGGUGCAUGGUGGCACGUAGGAGAUGUAAAUUAUCUGUUGGGCUGUCCAGCUGUAACUGGGCUUCCUUCGUGGACCUGGGCUCCCGAGUAGAGGAGGUGUUUGACUUGCCAAUUUUAUGAACACCCAAUUGGAAAGGGUUUGAGAUUCCUUGUAGGUCAAGGAAUUUUGCUCCUUAUAAAUGUAGGGCUCCUCCAAAUUAUUCUCGACAUCAGAAAUCUACUCCUCCAAAUUUGUUAGUGAGAGAGAGAAGACUUUGGAGAAUUUUUCAGCGUGCUUGAGACUUCAUCUUUGCAGCCCAUCCAAGGUAAUUUGAUAGGAAGAAUUUUAUUUUGAGUUGCUAUGACUUUUGGCAGCAAGCUGUGAGACUAAGGGCAUGUCUUGAGGUGCGCGCUAGGGCUUUAGGCAUGGCAAGAGACUCGGAAAGGCUAGCAGGUUCGUUUCCACCUACGCUGGGCUCAAGGAGAAGGCAACAGGGCUUCAGGCCUUGUGGAUGAAGUGGGCUUUCGCUGGGAGCAAGAGGCCUGGAGCUGAGGCAAGGAGACAAUGGGCCUGGUACGAGGUGUGGGCUGAGCAUGCCAGCUUUGGAGCAAGGGGGCCAGGACGACUGCUGGGCAGGAGGUGCGCUGGGCUGCAUGCGCGAGCUGCGCCGAGUGCUGGCUGGAGGAGCGAGCUGGGCUGCGCGCUAGGCCAUUCAUGCUGGGCUACUUCCGUUUUUUUUUUGUUUUUUUUUAAAUUUUAUUUGCUGUUGCUGCUUUUUUUUUUGUUUUUUUGUUUUUUUUUUGUUUGGUAUUCUAACUCGUAAUUUUUUUUUUCUUCUUACAGCUACUUGUUGAUCAACCAUGUCUUCCGGAGAUGGUAGCAAGGCUCCAAGCUCUUAGGUCCUUUUGUAUUUAUGGGGAGGCUCCAUAGUGCAUGGCAAGAAGUUUGUGGUCAACUUGCAUCGCGUCACGACUUAUGCUCAGUUCCAGAAGUGGCGGGCCACUUAUGCGUCUGCCAUUCCAGAUGACGUGCUGGUCAAGCUAUUGAAAUCUCAAACUGAUAACGAGCCUUUGGUGGACGUGAGUGAUCAUGAUGCUAGGAUCAUUACCUUCCGUCCUUUUUACUUCUCUUUAGGCUUCAAAUUCCCGUUGUCAAAGCUCUUCAAGAAGGUGUUCUGUGCCAUGGGGUGUGCUCCGAGCCACUGUACUCAUGUGCUUCAAGAAUUUGAGUCGUUUCUUCAUGUUGGAGCUGACGAUGCGAGAGUUCUUUUAUUUUUUUCGAAGUGAGGCACUUUGAGCGGUACGCCCAAGUUCGUAUCUACAAGGCCAAGCUGUUCCACGGUCUCAGUCAAGGAGAUCACGCUUGACAUGAAGAUGUGUUGGAGGUCAGCAGACGGUGGGAGGGUGACGUCGGUGACGGCCCACCUGUUCCCAUCACCUAUUGUGAUGGUAUGUCUCUUUACGAUUUUUGAUAUGCUCCUUUUAUUUGAAUUUCUUGAAGUGUGGCAGACUAACUUCUAUCUUCUGCUCGUAGUGAGUGACAUUAGCAAGCAAUUGGAGCUCCGACCAGACAUGGCUAAGGUCCGUCGUGCUUUGAACAUCCCUCUAAGGUUUCACGAGUGGCGCUGGCUGUUGAGUGAGUACCGGGAGGAAGACGGUGGUUUUCUCCUUGCCGAGGAUGUCGAAAGGUGGAAGCAGAACGAUCCUGACCCUGAUGAUCUGCUUGGCAGACAGGAAGAAUGUUCUGCUUAAUCGCUCUUAAAGAGAAAGGCUGCUGCCAAAUCUUUGAGAUGUGAAGCUACUUCUUCGCAUGCAAAGGAUGGGUCUCCAUCGAGGAAGAAACCAAGGCUCCCUUCUGCUGAGAAGACUCAAGUGGGGUCUGCUCCCUCAUCAUCUGCCAGGGUUAAGCAUCUCGUGGGUGCAGAUAGCAAGAAGGUUGGUGGUAUGCAUGGUACUCGGGGUGUUCUGCCCAAGCUUCCUGCUGACACGCUCGAAAACCAUGAUAUACUUCGUGAAGUGGCUCGUGCCCAACCUAGUUCUGCCAAGCGUCAAAGAGAUGUAGACAUUCCUCCUAGAAGUUCGAGUUGUCUGCAUCGGUCAAAAGAUGGAGACCGAAGCGGGAGGUCUGCUUAUGAUCCAGCAUUAUUGACUCAUUUGGAGAUGAGGUUGGCGAAGGCUAAGAAGGUGAAAGAGUCAUCUGCCCGGGUUAAGGGUUCUUCCUCGGCGUUGGUAGUUGGUCCCAAGAUGAACAAGUCUAGCUCUGUAGGGGAUGCAUGCGUAUCUGAUCUGCUCAAGAUGAACUUCCUAUCAAACCCGUCCUCUUGUGUUGAGUUGGUUGAUCACAUCCCUCAAGCGGGCGAUCUAGGCACUUUCUCGUGCCUUUCCUUAGAAAAAUGAAGGAAAAUGACAUUCCAUCUGAUUCAAAAAGGACUGGUUUUUGCUACUGAGACUAUUUGGAACUCAUCUGCUAUUGCCCCUCUUCUGUCCAACUCAGCGAGUUGGAGAAGAAGAAUGCUGAUUGGCUAGACAGCUUUCCGCCGAGCAGGCCCGUUACGAGAAGAAGAUGUCUGAUUUGAGGGCGAUGAUAUCUGAGCUGAAAAGCUCCCUUACCGAGAAGGAUUUCGAGCUCAACUCUUCUGCUGCUGAUUUGGCUAGUCGAAAAGAUACCUUCUUUCGUCUUGAGCAUAAGAAUGCUGACAUCUUCCUUAGCUAUAACAAACUCCUGGCUAGAUUUCAUGCCUACCAUAAGUCUGCUAAAGAAUCCAAGACAGAUGGAGCUGCUGAAGGCGUAGCCGGUCAGGUGGAUGCCGAAGAGGCUGCAGCUUAAAAGUCUUCUGCUGGCGUCUCAGAGUAGAUGAAGACUCUUUUUUGUUUCUUUUCAGCUUUUGUAGUUUGCUUUAUUGUUUAGAAUAACUGGUCUUAUUUGACCAUCUUCUUUUUGUUGAACUUGGCUGGUUGGUCUGUUUGUUAGGGAAAUUUCAGUUACAUUUUCCAACUUCAAUUUGCAUAUUUGACUUGUGAACUGCUUAAGUAACCAGCCUGUGUUUUGAUUGCACAUCCCCCUUUAGAGAUUUGUGAGUACCAGGGUCCCCCUUGGAGGACUCCGGCCAUGCACAGUAUAUCUCGUAGGAUGGUUCCCCUUAGGAAGUUGGCGAGUACCAGGGUCCUCUUUGAGAGACUCCGGGUGUGUUCUGCACAUCCCGUAUGAUGCCUUAAUCGUCGCCUUGCUUCUCCCGUAGGACGCUGCUUAUAGGCAACUAUAUGACUAUCCUGCCUUUCUUAGGAAACGGAUAGGAACCUGGAUAUUUCCCGCAUGAAGCAUGGAGACCUCCUUUUAAGAAAUUUUUGGUGCACCAUGCUUCUCCCUUAGGACGCUUUUUUCGCAGGCUGGGUCUCCAAAUGGACGCUUUUAGUCGUUGCCCUGCGUCUCCCUUAGGACGCUCCUUAUGGGCAACUGUGUGACUAUCCUGCCUCCCUUAGGAAAUGGAUAAGACUUGAAUAUUUCCCGCAGUAAGCAUGGCGACCCCCUUUUAAGAAACUCCUGGCGUACCCUGCAUCUCCCUUAGGAUGCUUUUUAAGAGGGCUGCUUCUCCAAACGGACGCUUUUAGUCGUUGCCUAUGUCUCCCCUAGGAUGCUCCUUAUGGGCAACUGUGUGACUAUCCUGCCUCCCUUAGGAAACAGAUAGGAAACUAGAUAUCUCCCUUAGGAAAUUCCUAGCGCACCUUGCGUCUCCCGAAGGACGCUUUUUUAGCUGGCUACGUCCCGAAACGGACACUUUUAGUCGUCGCCCUGCGUCUCCCUUAGAAUGCGCCUUAUAGGCAACUGUGUGACUAUCCUGCCUCCCUUAGGAAACGGAUAGGAACCUGGAUAUCUCUCUUAGGAAAUUCCUGGGGCACCUUGCGUCUCCCGAAGGACGCUGCUUAUGGGAAAAUAUUGUGUUUCGUGGGCAGAUGAGACAUUUUGGAAUGAGAAACUGAACUUAUAUUGAUAUUCAUAAGAUUACAGUCCUUUAUUUGAAAAUGGAAAUAACUUGGUUCAAAAACUUAGAACUUCUAGCAGCUACGAGGAAGCACUAUGGAUAAUACUUUCGGAGAUGGUGAGCAUUCCAUUGUCGUGGUAUUUCCUUCCUAUCCAUGGUGUCCAGUGUGUUGCUUCCUCUGCCCCGGACCUGCUGAUCACAUAAACGCCCUCCCAGUUAGGAUUCACUUUUUUUGACCCGUGUCUUGGUGCAGUAAUGAAAGCCUUAGCACGAGGUCGCCUGGUUGAAACUGUUUGACCUUAGCUCUUUUGUCGUAGUAAGACUUCAACUGCUAGUGAUAGGAGGCGACCCGAAUAAUGGUCUUCUCACGCCUGCCCUCAAGUAAGUUGAGGUUGAGCCUCAUCUGCUCGGAGUUCUGAUCAACACUGCCUACCUUAAGACUUAUAGAGAGGACAGUGAUGUGAGGUGGUAUGAUCACUUCUGUUCCAUAGGCGAGAGAGAAUGGGGUUUCACCAGUCGAUCUUCGCUUGGUGGUGUGAUAAACCCAUGGUACUCUGGGGAGUUCAUCCACUCAUUUCCCUUCAGCGCCUUCCAGCCUUUUCUUUAAGCAGUCCAAUAUGACUUUGUUGGAUGCCUUGGCUUGUCCAUUUCCUUGUGGAUACCUCGGGGUGGACAAGUGUUGUUUGAUCUUGUAUUUCACAAAAAAAGCGGUGAUCUGCUUGCCAAUGAACUGUGAGCCAUUGUCGGUAACCAACGACUGUGGGCAGCCAAACCGGCAUAUGAUGUUUCUCCAGAUGAAUCACUCCACAUCGGCUUCUUUAGUAAAUGAUAGAGCUUCGGCCUCGAUUCAUUUAGUAAAGUAGUCGGUGGGGACGAUCAUCAUUUCUUUCUUGGCGGGCGCUAGUGGCAAGGGAUCCACUAGGUCGAUGGCCCAUUGCAUGAACAGCCAUGGACUGUUUUGCGGAUGAUAGACUUCGGCAGGCAAGUUAGGGAUCGGCUUGUAUUGCUGACAGCGUCACAUUUCUUGGCACAUUCAGCACAGUCGUGACGUAUGGUAGGCCAGAAGUAGCCUAUGUUUAGAACUUUCUGGGCGAGUGACCUGCCCCAGAAUGGUUGCCAUACUCGUCGUCGUGAAUUUUACAGAUAAUCUCAAGUGUUUGAUGGUACUUUAUGCAGGUGAGAUGAAGGCCGGAGUAUGAUCUGUGGAUGAGCUUGUUGCCGUGCAUGUAGUAUCUCUCGGCCUUUUGCUGGACUUUUCUAGCUUCGGACUUGUCCGUUGGCAGGUUUCCAUUCGUGAAAUAGUCGAUGAUGAGGUCUUGCUAGCUGGGGUCCUCGUCAAUCUGCAUGGUAUUAAUCGGCUCUAUUUCUUCAAUGCUUGGUCGGUCAAGGUGUUCGACCUAGAUGGAGUGUUUGAACUGGGUAUCCAGCGUUGAACCUUGGCUUGCCAGUGCGUCUGCAUGCGCGUUCUUUGCCCGGGACACUUGUUGGAUAGUGAAGGUAGGAAAUGCCUUCAACAGCUCUUGGACUCUAUCAAGGUAUAAGAUCAUCCUUGGGUGCUUUGCCAUAUAUUCACCUGAGGCUUGAUUCGUGAUCAACUGUGAGUUUGAGUAGAUGGCUAGCUUUUUGAUUGCGAGCUCCUUUGCCAAGCGUAAGUCGGCGAGUAAUGCCUCGUAUUCUACCUCGUUGUUCGAGACCGAGAAGCCAAGCGUAAUAGCUUGCUCUAACAGGGUUCUAUCCAGGGUGGUGAUAACGACCCCUGCUCCAGCUCCUUUUUGGUUCGACGCUCCGUCUACACGCAACUGCCACAUGUCUCUGGGAUGGCUUGGUUCUGCGGAGGUCCUGUCUGCUUUUGAACUUCCCUCCUUUUGGUUGACUAACUUCUCUUUUUUGGCUGAUGGGGUGAAUUCUGCGACGAAGUAUGCUAAAGCCUGGGCUUUUAUUGCAGUUUUUGGCCCGUAGAGGAGGUCAUAUUGGCUUAGCUCUAUAGCCCACUUCAUGAGUCGCUGAGAAGCAUCAGGGCUGUGGAGGAUUGAUCUCAAAAGAAAGUCAGUCAUGACUAUGACUCGAUGAGCUUAGUAGUAGGGUCGCAGCUUUCUCGCAGAAACUACAAGAGCCAAAAUAAGUUUCUCCAAUUUCGGGUAACGAGUCUCUGCAUCGAGGAGAGCUUUUGACGUGUAGAAUACCGGAUAUUGGGCCCCUAUCUCUUCUCGGAUGAGAGCUGAACUGACAGCUGAGUUGGACUUACCUCACUAGGGACUGGAUUUGAGAGCAUGGAAGGUGAGGUGAGGUAAGUCUUCAGAUUAUGGAAAGCUACUUUGCAGUCCUCAUCCCAUUUCUCUCUUUGUCCUUUCUUCAAAGCUUUGAAGAGUGGUCUGCACUUGUCGGUUGAUCUCGAGAGGAAUCGGUUGAGAACCGCUGCUUUGUCCGUCAGACUUUAUAUCUCUUUCACCGUGGAAGGCGACUUCAUCUCUAGAAUGGCUUUGAUUUGACGUGGAUGUGCCUCGACACCUCGUUGCGUGGCUAGGUAUCCCAAGAAUCGGCCGGAGGAUACACCAAACAGGCAUUUACUUGGAUUCAACUUCAUGCGAUACUGGCGGAGCAAGCUGAAUGAUUGGGUAAGACUUCCGAUGUGAUCUGCACGUUUUGGGGCUUUGACCAGCAUGUCAUCCACGUAGACCUUCAUAGUUUUGCCGAUCUGCUUAUUGAAGAUUUUAUUCCCGAGCCUUUGAUAGGUUGCUUUGGCGUUCUUCAGCCCAAAGGGCAUGACCUUAUAGCAGCAGGUCCCUCUCUCGAUGAUGAAAAAAGUUUUUGCCUUGUCAUCCUCGUGCAUCAGGAUUUGUUUAUAGCUGGACUAGGCGUCCAUGAAGCUAAGCAGUUGAUUGCCAGAAGUGGAAUCCACGAGUUGGUCGAUUCUCGGCAAUGAGAAGUUGUCUUUAGGGCAUGCUUUGUUGAGGUCUGUGUAAUCGACACAAACUCUCCAUUUGCCAUUUUCUUGUUUUGCCACCAAAACAACGUUGGCAAGCCACUCUGAGUAGGAGGCCUCUUCGAUGAAGCCGACAGCUAGGAGUUUGUCAAUCUCGGCCUCGAUGAUAGCAAGUCGCUGGGGUGCGAAGUUGCGUCUCUUCUGCGCCACUGGCUUGCAGGCAGGGUUGAAGUGGAGUCAGUGACAGAUGAUGUUCUUGUCGAUGCCAGACUUGUCUGACGGCAACCAUGCGAACAUGUCUCUGUUGCUCUGGAGGAAGGUGGUAAGCUCCACAUUCUCUUCUGGCCUUAGGCGCGAACCGAUCCACUCUUUCCUAUCUGGUUGGUCAGGAUCCAAGGGUAUUAACUCGACGUCCUCCUUGGGUUUCCAUCCUUCUUCAGGAAAGACCUAUGGACGGAUUUCCUCGACUUGGUCCUGACGCUUUAAUUGCUAUAAGAUAGCAAGAUCCAGUUGCUCAACCUCCUCCAGAUCUGCCUGGCUCACAGGGAGAAACUGCGCUUGUUUACCUUUCUUUAGCCCUUGGGCGGAGCAUUUCCUCGCCAUUGCCUAAUCGUUGUUGAUUUGGCCGACACCGCCCCCAAGGAUUGGGUACCGAAUUUUCUAAUGUGUGGCGGAGGUGAUUGCAUUAAUUUUGCCAAUCGAUGGUCUGCCCAGAAUGCCGUUGUAGGGUAAGACCUUAUUAAUGACCAUGAAGGUUAUGAGCUGAUUAUAAGUGGGGAGUAGACGUCGAGGUCUAUCAUGCCCACGGUAACCGUUGUUGCACCAUUAAAAUCGCUCAGCAACCUAGCUAAUUUGUAAAUCUUUGUCUCCAAUCCCAUCUGUUGAAUGACCUCCAGUUGCAGGAUAUUGGCUGCGCUGCCCUCGUCUGUGUGGAUUCAGUCUACCAUGACCUGAGCAAUUUGAAUGCUGAUGACAAGGGCUUCGUUAUGUGGCAUGUAGAGGCCGAUCAGAUCUUUCUUUUGGAAGCCGAUUACAGGAUCGUCUUCUGCUGGUGGAAGGUCGGUCGAGAUUUGGGAGAUCACAGUGGUCUGUUUGAUCUUCCUCUUUUUUUCCUUUCUGGUCAGCCCAGACUCCUCGGAGUCAGCUAGGAUUGUGUUAAUUCUUAUGACCUUCUGAGGCGGCUCCUUGGCGAUGUCACGAUCUUCUAUCCGCUGGAUGACCUUCUUUGCAAUGAAUUCUGUGCAGUGACCUUCUCUCACGAGUUCUUCAAGAUGUGCUUUCCAAGCGAAGCAGUUGUUCAUAGUGUGUCCGUGCAUUUCAUGGACGGCACAGUAUUUGCUAGUAUUCCUUUUGUCCGGAUCUUCUUUCAAGGGUGGUGGUCUUCUUACCCAAGGUUGUUCUUCACUUGGGCUAAGAUUUGAUGUAUGGAGAUGGUGAACUUGGUGUAGUUCUCUCCUGCCGUAGCAUCCCCUUAUGGGUGCGACCUGCGCUUGUCCUUGUCCCUGUUGCUAAAUCCGUCGCUUCUUUGGCCUGCCCCCUUAGUCGGCUGAUCUUCCUGCUUAGUAGAGUUCUUUGCGGCGAUUCGAUCGUCAUCCCAAAGCGCAUAGCUUUCCGCGGUCUCGUAGACCUCUGCCAAAGUUUGGCUGGGAGUGAUGGUCAGCUCGUGGUACAAGUCGUGCUCAGUCGAAAGGUCUUUCUUGAAAGCAGAGGACGCAAUUUGGUCAUCACAUCCUACAAUGUUGGCCUUUUCUACUUUGAAUCUCUUGAUGUAAUCUCUAAAGGAUUCGUCGAACUUCUUGCGCAGGUUAUACAGGUGGUCAGGGUUCUUCUUGAUUGUUCGGUAAGAGGUGUAUUCUUUGGUGAAUAAGUAAGUCAGCUCCUUGAAGCUGCUGAUCGACCUGGAUGGCAGAGUAUGGAACGAGUCUUGGGCUUCCUCACAAGGUCAUUGCAAACACCUUGCACAUCAGCGCGUCGUCAACCUUGUGGAGGAUCAUGACACUUUUGAAGUGUUUUAGAUGGCUCUCAGGAUCGGAAUCCCCCUUGAAGUGUGUGAAUGUGGGCGUUGAGAAUCGCUUCAGGAGAGCAGCCUGCUCGAUUUUGGCAGUGAAAGGUGUAGAGUAUGCCUGGUCUACCUCAUUUCGUACAUCUUCGAAAUUUCCACCGGUCUUCAAGUCUCGAAGUUGGUCAUUCACAAGCUUCUCUACGUCUUCCGCACACAUUGCUUGUCGGCCACAUUGGCGACCUUCACGAAUUGUUCGAUGCUGACUGACUUCCUCGUUGAUUUCCGAGGAUCGACCUUCUUGUCUGCAUUGCCUAGGUGGAGUGUUGGUGGAUUGCGCCUACGAAAGAUUCUCUGUGGCUUGUCAAUGAGAAUCGGUUCUUCGAGAGUGAGUAACGAAGUGCCUUUCCUCAUGGUCCUUAUUGUGAGGGUUAUCCAGCUGACCUCCCUGGGGCCUAGCCUUUCCUGAAUGCUUCUCUGCGAGUAGACAGUUGAAUGCUUUUCUUCACGAUCCUCGUUGUGAUGGUUGUUUGGCUGACCUCCUUAGGGUCUUAGCCUUUGAUGUACAUUUCCCUGCCUGCCCAAGUAGGUGCGGACGUCGAGUCGUGGGCCCAGCCUUUCGUGCACGUCGUUCCUUAAACUCAAUCUGCUCUGAGUGUGGCUUGCAGAUGCUUGCGACAUGUCGGCAGGUCGAUCACGUUGUUGUCCCUCGACUUGUCUGCCCACUCUUGCUUGACCUGCUUGGUACUCGUUGAGCUGUCUACCGGCCCGUUCAUCCUUCCUUCUUUCCUCGCCUGGUUGUCCAAGGCCAAGGUUUUGAGCAAAGCUUAUUUGGUUGAGGAGCUGCCUCAUUAGAUUGUUUUGGUCGUCCAUUCUUUAAGCUAGCUGGUCAACUCUCAGAUUAAGGUCUGCUUGAUUUCAUGGAUCAGGAGGAGAGAAGUGUGUGGAGCUCAACUGCACAUAGGCUAGGGUUUCAUUAGAGGUGUAUGCGGGAGCGUGUGUCGAGCGUGGAGGCAAUAGAGGGAAUGCUUGGAGUUGCUCCAAGACCGGCCCUAGGUCGGCGGUGGUAACGAGUCCACCUUGAUGGGAAGUUCCACCAUGUUUGGCGGCAGUGACCGAUGCAGUGGUGAGAGGUGGUGGUGCCACCAUGUCGAUCGCGGGAUCGUUGGUGGAGUGGCUUUGGGCCGUCGCAAAUCUAGCCAUCAUGGCGGCUUUGCCUCUCGUGUUCAUGCUUCCAACCAUGGUUGUUUGGAAGGCUUAGGUGGAUUGGAAAAUUAGAGGAACGGAUUCCUUGAGCACGCAUUGAGUAUAACUCGUGCUCUCAAUGAAAGCACCAAUUUGUGGGAGCAAAUUUCCCCACGAGAAUAUUCGGUUCGAAAGAUUCCCCUUUCUUAUUCGCCGCCUCUUUCUCCUCGCAAAAUAGAACAAAUAAGAGGACCACACCCGAGGGGUGUUGGCCAAAGGCCCUCCGAUGCCUAAAUUAGUUCAAGUAUUUGUAAGAAAAACACUAGCUAACUAGGGUAUGGAGAUGUGUUUAAGGUGUAAACCGGGCGGCCGGAACCUUAUGUAAAAGAGAGAGAGAAAUGAGGUGGCUAGGGUUUGAGAGGAAUUUUCUGCAGAGUUUUUAGUAGAGAUUUCAGACGUACCUCAACCAUUGUGUGUGGCCAUCUUUUUAUAGUGGUCUUGGAGGCUAGAGUUUCAGAGAAAUAAUUUCGUAGAUGGAAAGGAAUUAUUCCUCCCCUAUUUAGAAUUGAUUUGAUUAAUUACGGAUUUGAUUUAUUAGGGUAAAUCAAAUCCCUAAUUGUGGUAAGUAUCAAAUCAAAUCCUUUUUUAAUUAGGUAACUGCUCAUUUAAUUGACAAUUGUGGUAGGAAUCAAAUCAAUUCUCAACCUAAUUGGUAACGUUCAAUUUAAUUGGGUAAUUCCCAAUUAAAUUGAGUAACUCCCAAUUAGGUUGAUUAAUUCACACUUAGAUCAAAUAAUCCCCAAAUGGAAAGAAUUAUUUGACCUAAGGUAUGAUUUAAUUCGAUUCCCACAAUAUUUAGAUGCAUAAUUGAAUGCGAAUAAACAUCACUCUCUCCAGUGUGAAAUGGCGAAAAUUCUCUUCAAUCAAAAGUGGGCUUACUUCAAAUUUAGUUGAAGAAUGAUGGUGUGUCUUGCCUGACAAUUGACAAUUAGGUUUAGGAGCGUUCCUCUAGUAGAAAAAUCUAAAUCAUUUGUGGUCAUCCACUCACUUGGUUAGUCUUCCAGAAUCAAAUACCAAAUCAACCCAAAGGAAGCUGCAAUUUUCUGAAUUGUAUACUUGUUUUAAUUCUUCCUAUCUUUUUCUCUCUUUCAUUUUUUUUGUCUCCCUCAAGUUAAUACUUAAGUGAGUUGCCAAAUGGGGGUAAAAAAGAGAGUAGAAGAGAUGAACCCCACAUUUGACUUUAAUAGACAAAUGCCCAAGAGAAGUACCAGUAAGAGCAUCUCCAAUUGGGAGGUGCUAUCCUAUAAUUUGACACACAUUUCUUUUUUCUUUUUUUUCAAUUCUAACAACAUGUCAUCUAUAUCGCAAUAGGCCGUUGUAGUUAAAUUUUCAAAUAACCAAGUUGCUCUCUAUUUUCCAAAGAAGACUAGAAAACAACUUACCAUCUAUCUGGUGCUGCUUCUUCCAAACAUUAGAAAAAACAGAGCUACACCCAGGAGGAGCCCAGGAGAUGACACAAUACUGCCUACUAUGAUUCUUACUUUCUUCACAUUCAAUGAGACUAUAAAAUAUAACCCAAGUGGUCUAACCCCCCAGGGCGGAAAUUGGGUUUAGCAAGUUUAGCACUGAUUGUUGUAUAGUCUUAAACAGUCCUGAUCUCUUGGACCCCUGUAGUCCAAGAGAUUUAUGGUCACCCACCGUUGGAUGUAAAUUCAACGGUUGACUUGAAUCGGGUAAUAAUAAUUUAUGUCAUAUUGCAUUUAUAUAUAUCAUUUUGAACCAUUGGAUUAAUAUCCAACGGUGGGUGACCACAAUCUCUUGGACUCCUGUGGUCCAAGAGAUCGGGACUGUAGUCUUAAAAUAAGUAGUUUAGCGAGUGCAAACUUCGACUUAAAAAAACUCUCAUGUAUAGCCGCGCGGCUAUACUAUUUACAUAUAAAUAUAUAAAAAAGCACCCCCUAGUCACGUGUCACAAAUAGUAUAGUCGAAAACAGUAGAGCCGCGCGGCUAUACUGUUUUUAAAAUAAAAAAAACCAUAUUCGAUUCUCCUUAUAUUUAAAAGGGGUAUAGCCGCAUGGCGAUACUAAUUUUUUUUUUUCAAAAAAAGGGACCCCAGUACUCCUUUUAUAUAUUAUAAUAUAUUGUCUAAUAUUUGGAAUAUUUACUCUAAAAUAAACAAUAUAUUAGGUUCUUUUUGUCUACAAAUUGACCAUUAAACUUCUUAAUCACUCUUAUACUUUCAAUUAAAUCUACUAGGCUAGGUUAUGAUAUUUUCACUAAAAAACUCCUCCUUUUUUUCUUCUCUUUCUCUUCCUGUUUUGUUUAACUUAAGCUUAAGUUUUGUAAUUUUUUUUCCCGCCCUUUUUACAUGUUUGAGUAGGGUACUUUAAUAUUGGGAUUUAUGAACUUUUUUUGUAUUUCUUCUUUAUAUUGGAAUAUAAAUUAUUAACUUUUGAGUCUUUAAUAGUGUAGAUGAUGAGAUUAUUAUUCAACCAUUUUAUAAUAUGAAAUGAAGGACAAUCAUGAUUGUGAUGAAUGGAUUAUUAAUCAAUAUGAAAUGAUAUUAUGAAGUGGGCUAAAUCGAGUAGUUAGUAUCGUAUUGUUGAGACCCAAAAAAUCCAAGGCUAGGCCCAAAUAUAUUAUGAAGUGGGCUAAAUCGAGUAGUUAGUAUCGUAUUGUUGAGACCCAAAAAAUUCAAGGCUAGGCCCAAAUAUAUUUCCGGUCCAAUGCGAUACCUUACCGAGAAGAAACCUUAUUUGGGCACGCGAAAGUUCGUCAUAUGCUCUUGCACACAUGCCAUGCCAAGCAAAUAAGCAACAUGCCACGCUACAAGCUUAAGUGGGCCCAAGCCACGUGAAUGCCUAGGGCCUGCUGAGUGGGUUGUGGUAUGGAUGGUUAUGAGUAUUCACGAGGCCCAUUGAUGGUCUAAGGAGUGGAAGUUUUGGGCUACUUGGGAGCACCAAAACUCAAGCCCAUUCAUUGAGCCCAAACAUAUGGGUAAGCAUGAGAUAAAACCUAGUAGCCCAUCACCUUAAGAAAUCCUAAUAGCCCAUAACAUGUGAGAAAAUCCCACAUCAACCAAAGCUUCCAGCAGUCUGACGAAAUCAAAGGGAACUCACAAGCCGUUGGAAACAAAACAACCCAACACUGUAACACCCCGACCCCAAAUUUCCCCAAAUUUAACCCUUAUUUAAUUAUUUAAGGGUAUUUUAGUCAUAUUUUUAACCGGAGAGAGUUUGGGGCAAUGACUAGUAUUUUUGGAUAGGUCGUACUGAGACGAGUUUAUGGACACGCAGUGAGCUCGAAUCGGAGUUGUAACGAGAGAGAUAUGGUCAAAAGAAGCCCAGUGGCACAAUCGUAAAUAUUUUGAAAUGAGAUUUUUUAUAAAAAUCUGGUUUUCUCUCUCUCUCUCUCUCUCUCUCUCUCUCUCUCUCUCUCUCUCUCUCUCUCGCUAGCGACCUCUCUCUCUCUCCCCCGUCGGUCUCUCCCCUCUUUCUCCUCGUAACUCCGGCCACCGGCCCCGGCUGUGGACGGGGCCGGUACCAAAAUGACCGAGGCGUCGUCCUCUUCCUACCCCAGCCACCUCCCACCGCCAGCCGUCGCGGAUUCGCCGGAAUCUGGAGAUGAAGCGGCCUACGUCGUCCAAAUUUCAAAGCUGCCGAUCUCCCUCCUCCGGCCACCAAUUCCGUCGACCCAGGUAUGGAUUUUGAACUUCUCGAGCUGCUCUAGCUGAUGGUUGGGUAGGAUUAGAUCGAUUCUUAGCUUAGACAACUCGAUUUUCAAAUUGAAAAUCGGCCGAACUUCGGCUGCCGUGAUCGGCCAUUUCCGGCCACUUUUUGGGGUAGGUCCAAGAACAAAAGUGGCUCCAAAUAGGGUGUUAUACCUAGGGUAGGAGUUUGGAGCCGUGGUUUUGAGAUUUUCCGGCGAAGCGUUAUCGCUUUGGGCACCCACGCGCUGCCGGUGCGUGCGGCGGCGCGUGGGCACUGUAGAAAAAGUAGCACUGUGUUCCGAUGAGAUCCUUAGGUUGUCACGAGUGCGUAGGAUUUUGCGGAUCUCAAUUCGGACGUCGUUUGACUAUCGAACGGAUAUUCGCAUAUUGCGCGUUAUUCGGGUUCGAUAGGUUGGGACCGUUGGAUGGACCCAAAUUUAAUAUAUGUUAAUCUAAUUAAUUCUAGGAUCGUGUAGGAAUUCACGGAUUGUGAAUCGGAGCCCCGGAUGUUCCGAAUAAUAAUUUUAAAGUUUGUAUUUUAUAUUAAUUGUCAGAUCGUGCGAUCGUGAGCAAUCUGACCGUUCGAUCUGAACCAAACUUGCAGGACAAGUGUCCUAUACCUUGUAGAACCCAUAGGGACCUUCGGAUCGGAAAUUGGAGGUCGUGGGUUCCGCAAGUCGGUUUGACCAGGGUUAGAGAAGUUUGACCCUUGGUUGACCGUGAGUCUCCCGGAGUAAUCUCACCUUUCUAGGGGAGAUUAUCGGGUACUAGAUGAUUGUGGACACAAUAUUAGAAUUAAUUUAUAUAAUUAUAAUUAUAUAUGGUUGUACAAGGGUACAACAGAGUCUAGAAUGUCAGUUUGGAGUGCUAUACGCACUACUUUAGGUACCUCCCCGGAUGUUGGGAUUUACUACAAGUACCACCAAGUGAAAUUGAGGUCCCGCGUGGCGUAGGUUAUCCAGCGUUGGGAUAGGUCUCAUACGUGGGGUUGGUUGUACCGGCGUAUGGGGAGAUUUGUGAUAUUAUGUUCAGGUCUCACGUGGCGUAGGUUAUCCGGCGUUGAGACAGGCCCCAUACGUGGUGUUGGUUGUACCAGCGUAUGGGGAGCUAUGUGAUAUUGUGUUGAGGUCGCACGUGGCGUAGGUUAUCGGGCGUGUCGACAGACCCCAUACGUGGCGUUGGUUGUACCGGCGUAUGGGGAGAUUUGUGAUAUGAAAUUGAGGUCCCACGUGGCGUAGGUUAUCCGGCGUUGGGACAGGCCCCAUACGUGGCGUUGGUUGUACCGGCGUAUGGGGAAAUAUGUGAUAUGAUGGCAUGGUCGCACGUGGCAUAGGUUAUUCGGCUUGUUGACAGGCCCCAUACGUGGCGUUGGUUGUACCGGCGUAUGGGGAGAUUAUUUGAAAUGCAGAGAAACGAAAUAUGGUAUCGCCCAAAUGUGGAAUUGGGUUUUAGGGAAGAACUACGUGUGGCUUGAUCCCUCAAGGAGGGUACGUAGGCAGCCUAAGGUUAAUAGGUGCAGCCGCAGACUAAAUGUUAGUCAUAAUUGAUAUUUGAAUUGUUUGGUAGUUGGUUAAGAAUUAUUGGAAGGCCGAAGGCCAUUUGUGUGAAUUGCAUGAAAUUAUAUUGUGCAUGCUGCCAGUUGGGAAUAUUAAAUGCGUUUUUAUGCAGGUAUAAAUUUUAGGAAAUGUCCAAUUUAUAGGGGAGACUCUGCCGAAUUUUCGGCAGGAAGUCUCAGUUUUUAGUAUCUGGGCCUGGCAUCGGGAGGAUGUCGGGAAUUCCAAAGGGUCGUCUCGAGUUCUGAAAAAUUCGGUGCGGGUCCUUUCAAACACCUUAUAAAAUAUCCAACGCCGUGCAUCUCUGUUAAAACCAGAUCACAGCCAAACCACCAAAACCAUGCAAACCCAUAUGCUGAUCACCAUUUUUACUAGCACCCUUACCCAUUCUUUCCUCUUCAAGCUUUGGUGAGAAAACAAGAAACAAAAGUGGGCGGAUCUUCACCCACAUGGAGAAAUCCAGCUGCCUGAGGGCCCUGGAACUCCAAAAAACUUCUUACCUACAUGCUCAGGCUAGGGAAGUUUCACCAAAUAAGCAAGAAUGGAAGAAAGUGAAGGAAAAGGGGAAAGGGUGGCUUGACGAAAUUAAGGUUUUCAGCACUUAUAAAAGGAAACACUUUCUAUCCAGCAAAAACAACUCACCCUGGUUGCUGCAAGCCUCCUAGCAACCAUGAGAAUUCAUUGAAGGCAAGCAUCCCCUUUGGAACCCUUCAAUUUCAUGCUUUGUUCUUCCAUCUUCCUCCUUUCUCUCUCUCUCAAAACCCACAUCCAGAGAGAGCAAGCAUCAUCUCUCAUCUUUGGAACCCUUCGAUUUGAAGCCUUGUUCUUCCAUUGCUUCCCAUUUUCUCUUCUGUCAAAUCACCUAGGAGCUUGACGAAACUUUCGUCAAGCUGCUGGAAAUAUGGUAAAGCCACCCAUGCUUCCAUCUUCUUCCUCUCUUUCCAUAAACACACAUCCAAAGAGCAAGCUUCAUCUCUCAUCCUCUAAACCUCUGCAAUUUCAAGCCUCAUUCCUCUAUCUUCUCCCAUUUUCAGCGGUAGUGAGAAUGAUUUCUGCGUGUGCAUGGGAAGGAUUGUAACUCAGAUGAGGAGGAGAUGGUUUGGAGUGGGGUGAGGCAGUUGGAUAGAGCUCUUGGCCUUUUCAAGUUUGGAUGGGAAAGAGCAGGGAUGAAAGAAGCUUUACAACUGCAAGGGCAUAUAUGGUGCGUAGGGGCUGAAGGCAGAACACUUACAUAUAGAGGAAACACAUUUUUUGUCCAUGGGAUUCAUGUUUGACAAACACUUGUCUUAGACUAUGAGUUCAAAUUUCAAAACCUUUUUUUUUUCUUUCUGAAAUCAGGACCAGUGUGGAGAACUAGCAAGGAUUGGAGAAACAGAUUUUUGGGCGUCACUUGACCACAGAUUGUUGAUUGCUCAAAUGUGUAGAAUUGGCCAUCUUAAAUGUCAAAAUGAUUUAUCAAUUGGGGUUUUUUUAGAAACGUUUAUGUUUGUCAAUAGAGACAGAAGUCAGAGAACAUAAACCUUUCUCAGCAAAUUGAAAUUCUCAGUGCAUGCUCUGUUCUUCCAUGGCUUUCAAACCUUCUCUGCCACGGUGAAAUGGAUCGAUAGAGAUAGUUUAGGCCGUUCCAUUUGUUUGAUGAAGCAUUCGUUCUAGGGAUUCUGUAUAUUCAUAACAAAAUCACUAGAAUGAUUCUUAGAAAUUCAUCACUGCUAAAGGCAAUGGGUUCAGCAUAAUAACUUCUUAGUCUUGCUUCUUGGUCCUUUAUUUUCUUUGCAUAAUACUCCAAGUUUACCUGGGUUCUACAGAGAAAAUCUCGUAGAUACCUCUUUUUGUGGUCUUCCAUGGCAUUUAAGUGCUGCUUUCCAUGGUGAAGUGGGCCUAUAGAGACUACCUGAGGUGUGUAGGCUUUGUCAUUUCCACGCCGUAAUCGCUCAGGAACUCUGUAGAUACACCUUCAAGGGGGACAAGGGAGACAAACUAUCCAAUUCCUUGCGCCUUACAAAUAGAUCGCAUGGGUUUUCUAUUUCAUCUGCAGCUUCAUCAAUUCCUUCCAUUUUUCUCCUGAUCAUCAUGCGCGGUGAUUCAAAUAUUUCAUAAUGAACAUUGAAAUGAGAUGCUACAAGCAAACUUAUGAAAAGAAACAGAAAUACCAAAAAGACAAAUCAAUGUAGAUGGUUUAGAAAAUCUAAACAUUGCAAUUAUACUCCUUUGCCCAACUUCUAGGAGCAAACGUACACAAAGACCUUAUUGCUUCCAACUUUUCCAACAGAAUUUCAUAUGAAUUGCUCCAAGUGAAAUCCGUAUGAAAAAUCGGUAGUUGGAUUUUCAUCCUGCUUUAAUAUGAUUAUUUAACUUCUAACAAAAAAACUCUUAUUACUUGAGCAAGUAAAAUACUAUUCCAGGUUUCUCCUAGUUCUAUAUGCGCUUAUAAUUGGUAUACUCUAUAAAUACCAUAAUCUGAAUUUCUCUGUUUUGAUUACUUUAAUUUAUUACUUAUGUUUUAAUUAUUGUUUACUUAGUGAAUUAUUAGUAUUUAAGAGAAGGCCUUCCAUCGAUUAGGCACCACGUGUCUAUAAUAAGUAAAGCCGUCCGGCUAUACUUAAAAAAAAAAAAAAUUGUAGUAUAGCCGACCGGUAUAGCCGCGCGGCUAUACUAUUUAAUACAUUAUAUUUAAACGGUAUAGCCGCGCGGCUAUACUAUUUAAUAAAAUAAAAAACAAAAGAAAAAGAAAAAUUACCCUCCUAUUUCAUUAGUUUGUACUUUAUAGAUACUAGCCCCUUGACACAUGCUCACGCAUGUGCCAAUUGGUUUUCUUUUUCUUUUUUAUUUUUAUUUUUAGAAUUAAGAAAAAAUAACAGGAUAGUUAUGUUCCAUAAAAGUAGGACCUAUUAUCUUAUUUUGUUUUUAAUUUUAAUUUUUUUAAUAUUAAAAAAAUAUGAAUUUACGAUAUUAUCCUCAUUUAAUUAAUAAUUUCAAUUCUUAAUGUUUGAAUUAACAAAGGGCAUUUUCUGGUAUUUUGAAUGUUUCACCAUUCUCUGCCUUUUGCUUUAUAUAUAUAGAUUAAUUUGCCAGUUUCAAGAUAUCCAAAGUACAUAUUAGACUUUCACUAUAUAAAUUUCAAUAUAUAUUUUUUAUAACAUGUGUUGUUCUUAUUCAAUAAUAUGUGAGAAUUAUUUGUAUAAUACGUGAAUUUUGUGUGUCUUACUGAAUUUUUUUAAAUACGUGUAUUAAACGUUACAAAUACGUACAUAUAUGUACAACACGACUAUUGUAAGUUUGCUAUAUAAAAAAAAGUGAGAUGUAUCUAGAACACGAAUGUAUUAUCGAAAAAUAUAUAUGUAUGUAUAUAUAUAUAUAUAUAUGUAAAAGCCUAUAGCCUCUCACCUAUACUAUUUAUUAAAGACAAUUUAAAAAUUACAACAACAAAAAAACCAGUACAGCCACAAAGCUAUACUAUUUUAAAAAAAAAAAAUAGAAAAAAUAUCAAGUACUACACAGGGCAAAGGCCCAGUGUAAAAUAGUAUAGCCGUACGGCUAUACGUUUUUAAGAAGAAUUUAAAAAACUAAGUAUAGCUCACCGACUAUACUAUUUUUUAAUAUAAAAAAACAACCCCAUCCAUUAGGCGCCACGUGUCAACAGAAGUUUAUUUUUAAAAAAAAAAAUUAAAAGACAAGGAGUAUAGCCGGGUGGUUGUACUAUUUUUUUAUUUUAAAAAGAAGACAGUCCAUCGAUUAGGCGCCACGUGUCCAUAAUAAGUACAGCCGCUCGGCUAUAUGUUGGAUAUUUUGAAACUAGCAAAUUAAUAUCAAUAGCCGGUCGUAACCUAUGCUGUCCACGUCACUCAUGUUUUACCAGAGUUAAAGCAUCCACAAUGAGCUCCCCAAACCAUCUCUUUAGACAAAUUUUAGGGAGAAAUUGGAAAAGUACAACUCCAACCAUGCUCCCUAUCCACCAACUAAAAUAGGGAGACCUCUAGGAGCUCCUAAAUCUGAGGAGAGGGAAAGGACUCUUAGUGACUCCCUAUAAUUUAAUGUUGCUUUGUUUUAUGCAUAUUUUAAACUUUUAAUUAAAUCAAAUUAUUAUUUUAUAUUAUUUUGUAUACAGAUGGACCAAUUAUAUUAAAUUAAAAAAUAAUUAAAGUAUUUGUGACUCUCUAAACUAAGGAGUAUGAUUAGAGUUCAAAUUUUAUAAAAAGCUCUUAAAAUAGCUUUUGUGUGUUUUUAGCUAAAUUUUAACUAAAAAAUUUGAAGAUUCUUUAUUUGGGUUUCUUUCAAGACGAAAACCAUAUCCACAACAGACAUCUUUGGCUGUUCAUCACAAUUGAGAGACAAUGAAGAAGACAUAAGGGAGAGGCUGCCAAAUACUUAUCACCUUAGCCACCACCAACACCACAAGACCAAUAUGUGUAGGCCAGGAGGCUUUCCAAUUUUAAUAUAUAUAUAUAUAUAUAUUAAAAAAUAAAAUAAAAAUCAAUCUAUUAUCAUAUAUAUUAUAAAAUAAAGAUUAUUGCUCCAUCCUCCAUGCACUUGCGUGCCCUCUUACAAAGUAUGAAGUAGAUUUUGUUAGCUGGAUUUAUAAGAUCUUUUGUUUUUUGGAAAUUUUCUGAAAUAAGGAAAAUCAAGUAAAAUUAAUAAAGCAUAAAUUGGAAAGGGAAAAUAUCUAGAGGAUGCAUUGUAGGAUUGCUCAAGCCAAUAAUUGUACCCUCUAAAUAUAUAGGGACAUAUUUUUUUUGUUUUCAUGACAUGUCGUCCUAAAAUUAUUGUUCUUAGCGGGCUCUCCACCCCCUCUCGAUUGAAAACCUAUUGUGUAAAUCUUCAAUCCUGAAUUAGAAAAGUACAACUCCAACCAUGCUCCCUAUCCAUCUCCUAAAAUAGGGAUACCUCUAGGAGCUCCUAAAUCUGAGGCGAGAGAAAGGACUCUUAGUGUCUCUUUAUAAUUUAAUGUUGCUUUGUUUUAUGCAUAUUUAAACUUUUAAUUAAAUCAAAUUAUUUUUUUAUAUUAUUUUGUAUACAAAUGGACCAAUUAUAUUGAAUUAAAAAUAAAUUAAAGUAUUUAUGACUCUCUAAACUAGGGAGUAUGAUUGGAGUUCAAAUUUUAUAAAGAGCUCCUAAAAUAGCUUGUGUGUGUAGGGGUCUUUUUCUUCUGGCAACUACAGAUGGGUUGGGCUACCGUAAGGAGCAAACUGAAGAAAAUAUCCCCUGUGUCUGAGUUCAAAGAUUCGGCCCCAAAAUAUUUCGAAAAGGCAGUAAAGCCUUAGGAAACACCUUAGUUACCUUCACCAACGAAAAUGACGGCUGCUUACAGGUAGAUUCUUAGUGCUUACAGAUGAAUUCUUAGCUUAGCAUGAGGAGAUCGUGGCAUGGAAGCAAAGUUAGCAUGAGUUUAGCACUAAAGAGAAAAUUAUGUGUUCUUGGGAGGAAGAAGGGGUGUCCAGGUAAAUGGGAAAAGGUUUUGCAAGUAGAUUUGGCUAAGAGAGAAGGGAGAGAGAGAAGAGGGUGGCUAGAGUGCUUCUUCCGGCAGCUUGACAGUGACUCUGUCAAAUGUUAGAGCAAUCUGCCAUAAGAGGGAAAAUGGGGAAGAAGGAUGAACAGUGCACAAAAUUGCUAGGUUUUUGCAAGUAAGAGAGGAAGCUUGCUCUCUGGAUGUGGAUGAUCCGUUGGGUAGAAGAGGCCCCAUUUUAUAGCCGCUGGAAACUAUCAUUUCUCAAGAAACCCUAAUAGUUUCUACCCAAUUUGGUCAAGCUUUUCCCUUCCUUUCUCAUCUCCUCCCUUGACUUUUCCUAUCUUGGUGAAAUUUCCUCUGUCUAUUUGCACAAAAUCAGGAGCUCAAGGCCUCCCUUUCCCGCAACUGUUCAAUGGGAGACUCCAUUCUUAGCUAUUUUUCUUCUUCUUUCCUUCCUCCUUCCCUGACCAAAUCUGAUGAAGGAAAGCAAAUAGGUGCACACAUUGGUUUGAAGGGUGCUUCUCCUUCUAGCAGCUUACAUGCCAAUAUCCCUUGGGUCCUUGCAUGUUUUUUGCUUUGAAACUUGUUUCUUCCUUCCCGUCAACUCACGUGGUCUUCCAUGCUUCUUCAUGGCUUUAUCUUUCAGCCAAAAGAUGGAGUUUUUACUGCUUGCUACUUUUAAUUGUAUGGGUCUUCUAGGAUAGGAAGUCAACCUACCAAACAAAUGGGCCACCUUUAUCAAAUAUUGGGCUGUUGGGGUUAGUUUUAGUGGGCCAUUUUGACUGGGCUUUUUGGUUGGGUUAUUUAAGUUAUUUUCCCUUUUGUGCUCACCCAUGUAUUUAGGCCUAAGAAAUGGGCUUGGGCUCCGAGUCUCCCAAGCAACCCGGAACCUCCAUUUCUUGGCCCAUUAAUGGGCCUCAUGACAACCUAUUACCAUCCAUACCACAACCCACUCAAGCAAGCCCCGGGCAUUUGAAUGGCUUUGGCCCACUUUAGGCUUGUAGUGUGAUUGGGUGUGGCAUAACGAUUUCUCGCUUGGCAUGGCAUGUUGCUUGGCAUGUUUUUUCAUUACGAUGCUUGAUGGAUUUGUAGAGCUACCUAUUUUUAUGAUCUUAAUCUUGAUUCCUAGCAUGACAAAUUUAUUUAUUUGGCAUGGCAUGCGGAGCGUGACUUGUGCGUGGCGAGUUUUGUAUGCUCCAACUUGGGCCUUUCCUAAAUAAUGUAUCAUUUUGGGUUAUGAAUUCUUUCGGGCCCAACCGUGAAUUUUUUGGGUUUCAACAGUGUGUUUUUAGCUAAAUUUUAACUAAAAAAUAGGGAGCAUGAUUGUAGAUCAUCUUAUAUACCUUAAUUUGAAGAUUCUUUAUUUGGGUUUCUUUCAAGAUGAAAACCAUAUCCACAACUGGCAGACAUCUUUGGCUGUUCAUCACAAUUGAGAGACAAUGAAGAAGACAUAAGGGAGAGGCCGCCAAAUACUUAUCACCUCAGCCACCACCAACACCACAAGACCAAUAUGUGUAGGCCAGGGGGCUUUCCAAUUUUAAUAUAUAUAUAUGGAGUGAAAAAAAUAAAAUAAAGAUUAUUGCUCAUCCUCCAUGCACUUGCAUGCCCUCUUACAAAGUGUGAAGAAGAUUUUGUGUGCUUCAAGUCAUUGACUAGAGCUGAAACAUGGUUAGCUGGAUUUAUAAGAUCUUUUGUUUUCUGGGAAUUUUCAGAACCAAGGAAAAUCAAGUAAAAUUAAUAAAGCAAAAUGGAAAGGGAAAAGAUCUAGAGGAUGCAUUGUAGGAUUGCUCAUGCCAAUAAUUGUACCCUCUAAAUAUAUAGGGACAUAUUUUUUUUGUUUUCAUGACAUGUUGUCCUAAAAUAUUUGUUCCUAGCGGGCUCUCCACCCCCUCUCGAUUGAAAACCUAUUGUGUAAAUCUUCAAUCCUGAACGAUGCUCCUAAAACUCAAGUGUCCCAGGCCAAUUAUUGCUCUCAUACCACUUGUUGCAAUACACAUCCACUCAUUCUCAGGGAAAGAAACCCAUCGAUAUUAUCUCAAAUUUAACCACUUUAGUCUAUUAUGAUUAACUAUGUAUUUUAUGGAUCAAUGCAGUUGUGAGGUUUUAUACCCAAUUAGAUCGACCAAUACAGAGAUCACAUGUGGACUGAAAAGCGCCAUCGGUAGGGGAGUGUUUGGCACCCUUUACUGCCGAGUGCAACACAAGACCCCUUACCAGGAACUUAUCUACUAGGACACGUGAAGCCACCACAAGUAAUAUCAACAGUCCCACAUCGAAGUUUAACAUAACAUGUACACUCCCCAGGACUGAUAAAAGUGGGCACAAGUCCCAAAAAUGGGGGAACUUGGACUUUCAGCAAUUCAUCCAUUAUUAUGUCCAAAUUACUAUACACUCCGUACUUAUUCUUACUUAAGCAUUGGAGAGCCUUCGGCCGGUACCACACCAGUGCCUAAGGGCUUACCGAGCGUUCUCUAUCUUGCAUAUUGAUCGCUCUACUGAAGCCCAUAAAGAGUUAAAGGUCAAGACAUCACUAAGUUGAGCCCAAAAGUGCUGAACCACAUCAAAAAUAUGUAUAGAUUGAAAAAAUAAAAUAAAAAUCAAUCUAUUAUCAUAUAUAUUAUAAAAUAAAUAUUGGAUAAAUUACUCAAAUGGUCCUCAAACUUAUACUCGAUUUACAUUUUGGUCUCUCAAUUAAAUUAUUUGUUCAAAUGGUCCAUCAACUCUAUAUUAUUUCUGCAAAAUCUACAAAGUGGUGGGAGGCAGACCAACAAAAAAAAUUAGCGAAGGCUUAUAACUCUGGUAAAACAAGAGUUACUUGGAUAGAAUAAUGUUACGUCGUACUGAAGAUUUUUGGGUUUCUUUAAUUGGUUAAGUGAAGAUUCUUUAUUUGGGUUUCUUUCAAGAUGAAAGCCAUAUCCACAACCACAACCACAACUGGCAGACAAUCUUUGGCUGUUCAUCACAAUUGGGCGACAAUGAAGAAGACAGAAAUUGGAGUACUGUAUGUUAUCACCCACACCACAAGACCAAUAUAAGGAGGAUGGGGAGGCUGCGGAAUACUUAUCACCUUAGCCACCACCUACACCACAAGACCAAUAUGUUGUAGGCCAGGAGGCUUUCCAAUUUUAAAUUAGAUAAAUCGGAAACUGUUUCGAUAUCCAAUUGUAUUCUAUAAAAUCAAUGAACACGGUGCUUCAAGAAAGUAAUAAAAUUUCAAUAAUUCAAUUGAGUGGUCAAAUUCAAGUGAUUUUUUGUAGUGAUGAUCUUUGAAUGAGUAUCUAUAAAAGAGACGGUUUGGAUUAGUGAAAUACAAUAUGGAGUGGGCCCUACCAGCAAUCCACGACAAAAUGUCUGCAAGCUUUCGUAAUAUAAGGAGGAUGGGGAGGCUGCGCAAUACUUAUCACCUUAGCCACCACCUACACCACAAGACCAAUAUGUUGUAGGCCAGGAGGCUUUCCAAUUUUAAUAUAUAUAUAUAUAUAUAUAUAUAUAUAUAUAUAGGGAUGUGAUUUCUCUACUCCCCUUUUCUCUACUUAUACUCCCUUUUGCUUUUAAAUACUUUUUAAUCAAUUUUUUUUCCGCUUUCCUAUUAAUAUUCUACCAUUUCCCUACAUUAAUUUCUUUUUACUUCACUUUUAUAUUAGUUCUUUUUCUUUAUACUUAAUUUUUCAACUUGCACUCCAUUUUCAUUAUUUUUUUCCUAAUCGAGUAAGAAAUUAAGUUUUUUUUCCCCAUUUAAUACUGAAAAUGGAGUGUAAGUUAGAAAAUUAGGUAUAAAGAAAAAGAAAUAAUAUAAAAGUAAAGUAAAAAAGAAAUUAAUGUAGGGUAAAGGUAGAAUAGAAAAGAGAAUGAACAAAAUUGAUAAAUAAAUAAAAAAGGUUUAAAAAGCAAAAAGGAGUGUAAAUGGAGAAAAGGGGAAUGAGGAAAUCAGCUCCAUAUAUAUAUAGAUUGAAAAAAUUAAAAUUAAAAUCAAUCUAUUAUCAUAUAUAUUAUAAAAUAAAGAUUAUUGCUCCAAGGAAAUGACAUCUUUUGUUUUCUGGGAAUUUUCUGAACCAAGGAAAAUCAAAUAAAAUUAAUAAAGCAUAAAUUGGAAAGGGAAAAGAUCUAAAGGAUGCAUUGUAGGAUUGCUGAUGCCAAUAAUUGUACCCUCAAAUUAUACAUGGACAUAGGGGUGGGCAUUCAAAUAGGCAAACUAGAAAUCCGAGCUGAACCGCACCUAGGAAAACCGGAAAAAAAACCGAGUUGACCAAAAAGUCAACAACUGGUCAAAAAUCGAACCGGACCGAUUUGGACUGGUUUUGGAUUCAGUUUAUAUGCAAUGCUACAUUUUUAGUCUCAUAACUAAUAUUUAUCCAAGUUCAAUUUCAAAACAUCUUUCUUUUUUAGCUUUAAUAUUUAUUUUUAUAUGAAAUUAAAUAAUUUAUUAAUUUUCAAGUAAAUAAAAUAAAAUUUCAGUUGAAAUUUAUAUUAAAAAAAUAAUUUUAAUAAUCCAGUUCAAAACCAAACCGGACCAUCCAGCUGUGAGGUACAUUUCUCCCACAUGCCACAAUUGUAUAUUCACAAUUACGUCUGAUACAUCACAUCAUGCCACUUGCCUCAAAUGAAUUUAAGUGAGUGUGGCAGUGGAAAGUAAUUAAGCUCUAUAUUGGUGGGUGGACUGUUACUUCUGGGUUCCCCUCAUCAUUCGUCUAUAAAAUGGUGAAGGCAGUUGCUAUUGUUACCAUAAGAGCCAGCUCCGACUUCCUUUAAUUUCUUGCUUCAUAUCCACUAGCUACAUCUGUUACCAAGUUAAUUUCAGUCCUAAUGGGGUUUCAUCUCCCACUCAUCUUUGCUCUUCUCAGUGUAAGCUCUGCAAUUUGAUUAACUUUUCCAUUCUCUCUCAUUGUACUCUAUAUAAACGAAAGUUUUGUGUUCCUAUAAUUCUCUCCGAUUUUAUUUAGUACGUACUUAAGUGUCGUCCACUAAUUAAUUACACUUUGUGAUUUGAUUUUAAUUUGAGUUCGAAUUAAUGUUGCAGCUAGCAGCAGUGGCACUGGCAAACCAUGCUGCUCAACCAGCACCUCAACUUUACUGGAACUCCGUCCUGCCAAACACACAGAUGCCAAGAUCUAUCAGUGAACUUCUGCAUCCUGGUUUGUGUUGAGCUCUUUAGAAUCUUAGAUAUCUCUUCUACCUGCCAUUUUACUAAAAUAUGUUCCACCACAUAUUUAUCAGUUAACCACUGUUAUUACAUGAGUGACACAUAUUCACAAAUCGGCUGAUCACUUAUUUUCCAUUAUGACGUUGAUAUAUAAUUUGCAGACUCCACAAAUGAAGAAAAGAGCACAAAUGACGUUGGCAAACCUGAAACUUUCCCAUUGGGCAAUAAACAUUACUCCAGUCAAAAACAUUAUGGAAGAGGCAAACCUGAAACUUUCCCAUUGGGCAAUAAACAUUACUCCAGUCAAAGACAUUAUGGAAGAGGCAAACCUGAAACUUUCCCAUUGGGCAAUAAACAUUACUCCAGUCAAAGACAUUAUGGAAGAGGCAAACCUGAAACUUUCCCAUUGGGCAAUAAACAUUACUCCAGUCAAAAACAUUAUGGAAGAGGCAAACCUGAAACUUUCCCAUUGGGCAAUCAGCAUUACUCCAGUCAAAAAAAGUAUGGAAGAGGUGCUUCUCCAUCCGACAAUCAACCACCAAUUCCAUAGAAAUUCAAACACGGCUACUUUCUUGCCACGAGAAAGCGCUCAAUCGAUCCCCUUCUCCUCUAACAAACUACCAGAAAUUUUCAACCAUUUUUCAGUGAAGCCAACAUCUGAGGAAGCCAAAACAAUUAAGCAAACAAUCGAAGAGUGUGAAGCUCCAGACCUUAAGGGAGAGGAAAUAUAUUGCGCCACAUCUUUAGAAUCAAUGGUUGAUUUUAGCACUUCGAAGCUUGGAACAAGAAACGUUGAAGCAAUCUCGACGGAGGUAUUGGAAAAAGGAGCCACCAUGUCCAUCCAAAACUAUACAACAAUGCCGGGACUGAAGAAGUUGGCAGGUGACAAAGUCGUUGUGUGUCAUAAGCAGAACUAUCCCUAUGCUGUGUUUUUCUGCCAUGCAAUAAAACAUACAGCAGCUUAUGCUCUCUCCCUGAAAGGCGAUGAUGGGGAGAAGGUUAAAGCAGUAACCAUCUGCCAUCUAGACACAUCAGAAUGGGACCCAGAGCAUAUGUCCUUCAAAAUCGUCAACGUUAAGCCCGGAACCAUUCCCAUCUGCCAUUUCAUUUCCACUGAUGCUAUUGCCUGGGUUCCGAACCACAAAUCUGCAUGAUCAUCACUUAGCACUAGUACUGUGCGUAUAAUAUGCCUGUAUAAUUAUCUCCCUACUUAUUUCUGCCUGUUCAUCAUGUGGUGUAAGAUAUAUGUUGAGAUGAAGUUUUUGGGAUUAGUGGUCGAAAUUAACCCGAUCAUGUUUUCUCUUGUAACUAUAUAGACUUCAACUUGUACUCAUAAUAAAGCAUGCUAUAUUUAUGAAGAGAUAUUAAUCUUCAGGCAAAUAGAUAUUAUGAAAACAUAUAUAGCAAUUUAUCCAGAAGAAAUAUUAUGAAAUGAAAAGAAUAAAAAGUAAAAAAACAGAAGGAAAGGAAUUCGCACCUGCUAUGUAUGAAAGGACCAAGAUUGUUUUCCCUUUGGUUAAUGACUAGAAAAGCUCACUUGCAGAUUGCUUUCUCUGACCGUAGAUGCAACAGAAAUUUUCUCUUAAUAAUAGCACAAUGAUCGGGUAAUUGUAAGAACAAGUUGAUUUAAAAUUCCUUGACCCAAAAAAAAAAAAAAAAUCAUUUCAAAUUCAGGUCAACCCAUAGAUUUCUUGCCUUUUUCUUCUUCAUCACGUUGGGCUUGUCUUCUUCUUGAGGAUUGUAUAGGCCCAGGAAAUGCUUUGAGGUAGUUUUUGGCCUUGGAAGUUGGGACCCAACCCAACUUCACAAAAAGAAAACAGAUUUGCCAAAAAUCAAAUUUCAAGUCUCUCCUCAGAUCACUAAUACAGAUCAAAUUUUGGAUUUGAUGAACUAAAGUGGUUUUACUUUCUCUGUCAGUGUUUGAUGACUUAAUUUGUUAUUUACUUCUUUUUUUUUUUUUACUUGAUCUUUGUAGGGGUUUUUUUCUUCCGGUAACUUAAACGGGCUGGGCUGCCGUAAAGGGUAGAUUGAUGAAAUUGUCUCCUUUGUCUGAGUUCGAAAAUCAAGCCCCAAAAGCGCUUCGAAAGGGCAGUAGAGCCUUAGGAAGCGUUCUAGUCAUCUUCACCAACUAAAACAACAGCAACUUACAGAUGAUUUCUUAAGGCUUACAGAUAAAUUUUCUAGCUUGGCAUGAGAGGCUUGUGACAUGGAAGCAAAAUCAGCAUGAGUUUAGCACCAAAGAGGAAAAUAUGGCUUCCUAGGGAGAAAUGGGAGUGUUUAAGGUGAGGAAGAAGAGGUUUGCAGGCUGAUUUGGCUGAGGAGAGAGAAAGAAAGAACAAUGUUCUUCCAGUAGCUUGACAAAGCUUCUGACAGAUGUGAAAGUCGUCUGCCAUAAGAGGAAAAUGAAGAAGAAUGGUGAAUAGUGCAUGAAAUUGCUGGGUUUUUGCAGGUAAGAGAGAAAGCUUGCUCUCUGAAUUUGAGUUGGUUUUUGGUUGGGUAGAAGAGGCCCCCUUUUAUAGCUGCGGGAAACCAUCUUUUUUCAAGAAACCCUAAUGGUUUCUAUCCAUUUUGGCCAAGCUUUUCCCUUCAUUUCUCUUCUCCUCCCUUGACUUUUCCUAUCUUGGUGAAAUUUCCUCUGCCUAUUUGCACAAAAUUAGAGAUUUUGAGGAGCUCAAGACCCCUUUCCCGCAGCUGCCUCAGUGGAGAAUCCCCAUUUUCAGUCAUCUUUCUUCCUUCUUUUCUCCCAUCUUCCAAGGUUAGGUCUGAUGAGGGAAAGAAAUGGGUAUGCACACUGGUUUGAAGGGUAUUUUUGCUUGAAACUUGUUCUCUCCCAUGUGCUGGAGCUUCCCAGCAACUUACACACAUGGAUAUUUUGGCUUUCAUCGUGGCUUUUGUUUUCAGCUAGGUGCUGGAGAUUUCGCAGAUAUUUUCAUGAGUUGCUUGGGCCUUCUAGGACAAUAGGUUGGUUUAUCAAGUGAAUGGGCUAACUUCAUCAAUUGUUGGGCUAUUUUGGUUGAGUUAAUGGACUAUUUUGGUUGAAGUAAUGGGCUAUUUUGGUUGAAUUAAUGGGCUAUUUUUCUCUCUUUGUGCUCACCCACAUAUUUGGGCCUAAGAAAUGGGCUUGAGUUCCGGGGCUCCCAAGCAACCCCGGGACUUCCAUUUCUCGGCCCAUCAAUGGGCCUCAUAUCAACUUAUUACCAUCCAUAUCACAACCCACUCAAGCAAGCCCUGGGCAUCUUGCGUGGCUUGGGCCCACUUAAGCUUGUAGCGUGACGUGUUGCUUAUUUGCUUGGCAUGGCAUGUGUGCAAGCGCAUAUGACGAACUUUAGCGUGCCCAAAUUGGGUUUAUUCUCGGUAAGGUAUCGCAUUGGGCCGAGAAUUUAAUUGGGCAGAACUGUGGAUUUUUGGGCCUCAACAAUCUUAUAUAUAUUGGUUUUCUUUUUUUCCUUAAUAUUCACCACCUUUCUGUUGCAUAAGUAUUUCAGUCUUAACGGGUUUCCAUCUACCACUCAUCUUUGCUCUUUUAAGUGUAAGCUUUUUUUUUUUUUUUUUAAGCACAAGAUUAGAGGGGAGGGGGAUUUCUCAAUGUAAGCUUUGCAGUUUCAUAAUUAAUAUUUCCAAUAUCUCACUGUUAGUAAAAUAUGGAACAGGAAAAGUAUGAAUAAAAUACACACAUGUUUUAUUUAGCAAAAUUUUGACAAGAUACAACUGAAAAGUUUGGCCACUAUAUAAUAUUUUGAUAUAAUUUCUACACUUCUUCUCAAAAGAUUAGAUCACUUCACAUCUUGUGUAUGUGAAAACUAAUGUAAAAAGUUGAAACUUUAUCGUAAAACCUCGACAAAAAUGAGCUCUACUAGAAAAUGUUCAAUUUGGAUUCGUUGAUUUAAAUGGCAAUUUGACACUUGAUAGAAAUUUUUACAUACAUGUGUUAGUGUUUGAUCACUUCACAUGUUACUUACUAUAUUUAUUCCACUCAAGUUAGGUAAAUAUUAUUAUCAAACAUUUCAAUUAAUUUGUGAUUUUUUUAUUAUUUAAUCAAUUAUGAAUUAAUGGAUUCUUCUUGUUGUUUUGAAGACCAAUAAAAAAAAAAGGGUAAGGAUGGCUUAUAACUCUGAUAAAACAACAGUGACGUGGACAGCAGAUGUUACACCGUACUGAAGAUUUUUGAAGAUUCUUUAUUUGGGUUUCUUUCAAGAUGAAAACCAUAUUAUCCACAACCACAAUGAAGAAGACAGAAAAUGGAGUAAUUCAGAUGUUACCAGCCAUCCACGACAAACUGAAGUCUGCAAAGCAUUCGUAAUCUAAAGGGAGACUUUGGAAAAGCCCAAAGGAGAGAGAAAAUUUUUAAAAGAAGCAAAAAUGGACAAAAUUGCCCUUAUUUAUUUUUUGAUUUCCUAAGAAAUCCUUUACAUUUGCAUGUCUUUGGUUUGAAAGUUGAGAGGUUAUUCUGUCUUUUUUCAAAAAGCUUUGGCUUUUUCCAAAAGUGAAAGUUUUUUUAUGGGUAAAACCUAAAUUUACUUAAUCCCUAAAAAGGAUGGGGAGGCUGCGCAAUACUUAGCCACGUGUAGGCCAGGAGGCUUUCCAAUUUUAAUAUAUAUAUAAAUUGAAAAAAUAAAAUAAAAAUCAAUCUAUUAUCCUAUAUAAAAUAAAGAUUAUUGCUUCCAUGGGCAGUGCUAUGCACAGGACAGUGCCUGCCCAGCACAAAUUUUUUUUAAAUAAAAAAAAAAAAUCUACAUAUGUUAUAAGCUCAUCCAAAAAAAUAAAAUAAAAUAAAAGUAAAUUCUACAUAUAUGUUGCCCAUCUAGGUGGUUCCAUAUCUUCUCUCUCCUUCUCUUUUGGCUAUUAGACUUCUUGUUUCUCUCUCUCUCUUUGCUACCUCACAUCAGCAAGUUUCUCCCUCUCUUUUUUUGGGGUCAAAUUCUUCCUCUAUUGACAAAAUCUUCUAUUAUCUUGGGUGGGCAACUUGGCAACAACAUCUUCUCUUCUCCUUUUGUCAACAACAAGUAUUAUUCUCAUUCUCUCAUUUGCUAUAUAUCUUUAAUUAUAGUUUUAAUUUAAAAUUGAGUAUUCUAGGGUUUAAUUAGGGAUGAAUUAUAAUUUUAGAAUUUUGUUGAAAUUAAUUAAGGCUUCGAUUAGGGGUGAAUUAUUCUACUGCUUUGGUUUGGAAUUUUGUUAAAAUUGAGUAUUAUAGGGUUUAAUUAUGGAUGAAUUAUAAUUUUUGAUUUUGGUAUUAUUGAGAUGUUAUUAUGAGAAUUUGUUUCAUUUUUUUAUUGGUAUAUUUGAUUAAAAUUCUUUCUACAUAUUAUUCAUAGGCUAUCUUUUAUUAUGUCGGAUCACAAUCGGAAUCCCAAGAGAACAAAGAAUUUGAAUAGUGUUGUUUUGUAUUGCAUUGCAUUUACUUUUGGUUUUAGUUUUGCUUUUAGUGUAAAUUACUCAAAUGGUCCUCAAAUUUGUACCCGAUUUACAUUUUGGUCCAUAAACUAAAUUAUUCAUUCAAAUGGUGCACCAACUCUUUAUUAAUCAGUGCUUUGGUCCUACCGUUAUGUUUUCUAUUAAAUUUAGUCAUGUGAGCAGCACAUGCUACAUUUGUAGGGGUAAAUAAGACUUUUGACCACUUUAUCACCUAUGUAUCACCACUUUAUAACCUAUUUGGAGAACAUAGGUCAGUUAUGGACGGUUUUACAAUUAUAUUUGACGGCAACAUUAACAUAAUGUAACAGUGGGAUCAAUGGAGCGAUUAAUAUAGAGUUGAUGGACCGUUUGAACGAAUAAUUUAAUUGAGGGACCAAAACGUAAAUUGAGUAUAAGUUUGAGGACCAUUUGAGUAAUGUACCCUUCGCUUUUAUAUUUGUUGAACUUUUAUUUAUGGAUAGAUAUGCAUUUGAGGGUAAGACCCAUUAUGUUCCCCCUGACUUGGUGUAUCUUUUUAUGUUUAUUAAUGAAAUUCACUCGAACUGUUGAGUUUAGUAUGUAAGUUUUGCCUAACCGGCUUUUGAAUCCUAGAACCGCCACUGUUGCUCCAUCCUCCAUGCACUUGCAUGUGCUCUUACAAAGUGUGAAGUAGAUUUUGUGUGCUCCAAGUCAUUGACUAGAGCUGAAACAUGGUUAGCUAGAUUUAUAAGGACCCAUCUCUCUAUUUCCUAGACAUAUACCCAUCUCUCUAUAAAUCUAUAUGUAAAACUCAAUUUCAAACUUAAAUGACCAGUAAGAUAUAAGAGGUCAUAGUAUUCCUAUGUUUUUACAUCGUUGCCACCAGACUUCUUAUUUUAUUUAUAAUUUAUUUCAAGCAUUUCAUUAACUGCCAUAAUUGUAAUUAAUACUCCAUAUUAAUAGCAUAUCAAUCACCCCAUUUCUUUUGAUUGCCAUUCCCUCUAACAUAUCGCCCCUUAAAAUUGAAAACCAAAAAAAAAAAAAAUGUAAAUUACAUAUCCAAUAAUGUACCUAUGAAAAAUAUAAAUAUAAAUAUAUACGUAUAAAAAUAUAGGUUUAUUAUUUACCAAAUAAAAAAUAUAAAAAAACUAGGUCAGUUGCUUUGUAAUUGAAAUUUCUAUACAUUUUCCACAAAUUAAAAAUAGGUACACAAUAAUUUAUAGAAAAUAUAGGUGCAUUAUUUAUCCAUAGGUAAAAAUACCUAUAAAUGCACAUAGGUAAAUUAUUUACCCAUAUAUUAUUUUUUUGCUAAGGAUUUACCUUAGUUUUUAGUAGAUUAAUUUACCUACCUAGAGGCAUAGGUAGCUUAAAAAAAUUGUAGCACCUUAGUUGGUUGCAUACUAAUUUACCUACCUAGAGGCAUAGGUUGCUAAGAAAAAAUGUAGGUAAAUUCAUGUACCUAAACACAUAGGGGUCAAAUAGAGAAUAACAUGUUAUUUCCCUUCGAACAAAUUAAUUUCAAACCAUAACAAUAAUUGAAUUCGGAAAUUGGUAUAAAUAAAAGGAAAUAAAUAAGCUAUCAAUUUGAAAAUUAAAAUAAGAAAUGAUCAAGUAGUCAUAUUUGAAAAAAAAGAAAAGAAUAUAUUCUUGGUUUUUAUAGGAACAACGUGUAUAUUCAAACCAAAUGGCAGUAACUACACCAAGCUUUAAUUACUUUUUUUUAAGGCCAAAAGUCACUUUUGGUCUCUGUAGUUUGACACUUCUAUUACUUUUGACGCUGUAGUUUCAAUUCCGUCAAUUUUGCCAUUGUAGUUUCAUAUUUGUAGCAAUUCAAGGACAUGUUAAUAUUAAUGUCAAUUUGUUUAAUGAUGCAAGGGGUAAUUUCGUCAUCCCAAAAUCCUUGAGCAUAAAAGCUUGUCUGAAAUUCUCCCCAUUUCAUAUUAGGGCUCGAAAUUCAACCACUAAUCCCAAUUUUUGAAGAACCCUAUACCCAAAUGACCAAUUUCAAGCCCUAAUAACAAAUUAGGGAAGUUUUAGAUGAGCUUUUAUGCUCAAGGAUUUUGAGUUGAAGAAAUUGCCCCUUGCACUGUCAAAGAAAUUGAUAGGAAUACUGACUUGUCCUUGAAUUGCUACAAAUACAAAAAUACAGGGUCAAAAUUAACAGAAUUUAAACUAUAUGGUCAAAAGUGGUUAAAGUGCCAAACUACAAGGACCAAAAGUGACUUUUAGCCUUUUUGUUUAAAUAAGGAAAAAACUUACCUAUUAAAUCCUUGGAAUCUAUACAAAAUUGAAACACAGUUAAUCAGCAUUGAAUUGCAGCUAAUUUCUUAAACAAGGGUAUUAUAGGAAUUUAAAAAGUAUAACAUUUAAUCCAUUGAGCUUGAUUAGGAAUCUUGAUGAGUUGGAUCCUAGUUAUAUAGUUUCUCUUAUAAAAAUCGGGUUUUAUUUAUAGACAAAUAAAACAAUGGGUUGUAGGUAAGAAAAUAUUAAUUUGAAGGGAAAGUGUCACAUCCUGGGAUCGGCUCCGCCGUAGCACGAUAUUGUCCGCUUUGGGCCCCCCUCUCUGCCCGCACGGUUUUGUUUCUGGGAGCUCACGAGCAACUUCCCAGUGGGUCACCCAUCCUGGGAUUGCUCUGGCCCCCAACUCGCUUAACUUCGGAAUUCCUAUGACUCCGAAGCCAGUGAGCUCCCAAAAGGCCUCGUGCUAGAUGGAUGCGGGUGUGUACAUAUAAGACACAUCACCCCCUCUCCGUUGGUUGAUGUGGGAUCUUACAGAAAGAGUCAAAUUUACUAAAUUAAUAAAGCAUAAAUUGGAAAGGGAAAAGAUCUAGAGGAUGCAUUGUAGGAUUGCUCAUGCCAAUAAUUGCACCCUCUCGAUAUUGAAAAACCUAUUGUGUAUUAUUAUCUUCAAUCAUGAAUGAUGCACCUAAAACCCAAGUGUCCCAAGCCAACCAUUGCGCUCAUACCACUUGUUGCAGUACACAUUCACCCGUUUUUAAAGAAAGAAAUUCUACCAAUCGAUAUUGUCUCAAAUUUAAUCACAUAGGUCUAUUAUGGUUAACCAUAUGUACUUUUAUCGGCCAUAUAGAGGUACCUUUUUCCAACGUGCAACAAUUGUAUUUGAUUCACAAUUAUGUCUGAUAUACAUCACAUCAUGCCACUUGCCUCAAAUGAAUUUAAUUGAGUGAGGCAAUGGGAAGUAAUUAAGCUCUAUAUUGGUGGGUGGAGUGUUACUUCUGGAACCCUCAUCAUUCGUCCAUACAAGGGAACAAUUCCCUUCCUUCUAUAAAAUGGUGAAGCCAGUUGCUAUUGUUUGUUAGAGUUUUAGGAUCUGAGUGUUAGAUUUUGUGAGAAGAGAGAAGAGAAUUUAGUGAAAACUUCCAAUACUGCUCUGCUAUACGUGUAGCAGAGAGAACAUUCUGUUUUGUUAUAUAUUUUCAGUACAACAACACACACUUGGUGUGAGAAGAAAAAUGACUGUUAUGCACAGUACCAGCUGGAUGCUUUCCAUCAAAGUAAUCUCAGCCAUUCACUAUCUAACCAAUCAAGCUAUGACACCUGGACUAAGUAUAAAGAAAUACAACUAAGCAGAAAACAAGACUCUUAAUCCUGAAAUCAACUUAAGCACUUAUAAUUCAACACUCCCCUUUAAGUCUUGAGGUGAUUUCACUCCAAGCAUGCCUCUGAGAUAAUUGAAUCUGUCUUUGGCCAGAGGUUUGGUAAAAAUGUCAGCCAAUUGUUCAUUUGUAGGACAAUAUUCCAGAUUGAUUACCCCUUCUUGCAAUGCAUCCUUGAUGAAGUGAUACCUCCUGUCAAUAUGCUUUGUCUUCUGGUGGAAUACAGGGUUUUUAGUGAUUGCAAUUGCUGAGAUAUUAUCACAAUGCAAUGGAGUAGCUUCAGUUUGAAGCUCUCUAAAGUCUUCUAGCACAAAACGGAGCCAAAUAGCUUGAGUAGUAGCCUCAGCUGCACUGAUGUACUCAGCUUCUGCAGUAGACAGUGCAACACAGUUCUGUUUCACUGAGGCCCAAGAAAAUACUCCACUUCCAAAACUAAACGCAUACCCUGAUGUGCUCUUGCAAUCACCAACUGAUCCUCCCCAAUCACUGUCACAGUAACCAACUAGAAUUGAUCUUUUGCCUUUCACAUAUUCAAGACCAUAGUCCAGAGUUCCUUUGAUGUAUCUCAAAACCCUUUUAGCUGUUCCAUAGUGUCUAUUUGUAGGACAGUGCAUGAAUCUAGCUAGCAAGCUUGAGGCAUACAUGAUGUCUGGUCUUGUAGCAGUUAAGUACAGCAAGCUACCAACAAUGCUUCUGUAUUGUUCUUCAUUUGCAGCUCAACUCCCAUCAUCCUUAGCUAGUUUCUCAGUGGCAACAAGGGGUGUUGUCACAGGUUUGCACUCAGUCAAACCAAACUUGCUCAACAAGGUGCUAGCAUAUUUCUUUUGAUGUAGAAAUAUACUAGACUCAGUCUGAAUAACUCCCAUGCCAAGAAAGUGAUGAAGUAAGCCCAAAUCAGUCAUCUCAUACUUAGCCAUCAUGUCUUCUUUGAAUUCAGCCAACAAUGCUUGACUGCUCCCUGUAUACACAAUAUCGUCUACAUAGAUAGACACAAUUAGAAUCUCCUUAUCUCCCCUUACUUUGGUAUAUAAGGUUGUUUCACUUAAGCUUUUCACAAAACCACAUUGAGUGAAGUAGCUGUCUAUCUCUCCAUACCAAGCCCUUGGGGCUUGCUUCAGACCAUAAAGGGCUUUAUGCAAACGAUAAACCUUGUCUUCUUUACCUUUAAUUACAAAACCUUCAGGCUGACUGACAUAAACUUCCUCUUGCAGCACACCAUUAAGGAAAGCAGACUUCACAUCAAGCUGGAACAAUUUCCAAUCCUUUUGAGCAGCUAGAGCAAUAAGUGUUCUAAUGGUGUCCAAUCUGGCUAUAGGUGCAUAAGUCUCAUUAUAAUCCAGUCCAGGCUUCUGAGCAUACCCCUUAGCCACUAAUCUUGCUUUAUUCUUUUGCACUGAGCCAUCCAAAUUCAGCUUUGUCUUGUACACCCACUUAACUCCAAUCACUGGUUUUUCAGUUAGUCUAUCUACCAAUUCCCAUGUUUCAUUCUUUUCAAUCAUCUGCAGUUCAUCUUCCAUAGCCUUAAGCCAAGAUUCAUCCUGAGCAACAUCAGCAUAUUUUUCUGGUUCCAUGAUACACAAGUUACACUGAGCUAGAACAUCAUCUAGCCUUCUCCAUUUUAGAGGGGUGUGAUCAUAAGCUUGAGUUCUCCUUUCUUCACUGCUUAUAUCACCUGGAGUUGAUGAAAUGCUCUCUUGCAUAUCCAAAGUUUGAGGUGUACCAGUAGAAUUCUCAUUAGAACUGUCAGAUUUCAAGUCCAAAUCAACUUGGUUUUCAAUUGAGUAUGUUGUCAUAACUGAACCAUUUUUGUUUGUCCAAUGCCAAGCAUUUUCUUCAUCAAAUGUCACAUCCCUUGAUAGUAAAAGCUUGUUAGAAACAGGAUCAAAAACUCUAUAUCCUUUUUCACAAGUUGCAUAUCCCACAAACACUCCCUUUGUACUCUUAGGAUCCCGCUUGUGUCUCAAUUCAGUUGGCACAUGAACAUAACACAGAGAACCAAACACUUUCAGAUGUGCAAUUCCAGGCUUCCUUCCACUAUAUGCUUCGAAUGGAGUAAUGUUGUUGAGAGCUUUGGUAGGACAUCUGUUCAGCAAAUAGAUAGCUGUAUGCACAGCUUCUGCCCAUAGGAAAUAAGGCAUUCCCUUCUCAUGUAACAUUGAUUUUGCCAUCUCAAUGACAGUUCUAUUCUUCCUCUCAACUACUCCAUUCUGCUGAGGAGUAUAGGCCAUUGUAAGCUGCCUUUGAAUGCCAUUAGCUUCACAAAACUCCAAAAAAUCAGUAGACAUAAACUCUCCACCCCUGUCACUUCUUAUGCACUGAACCUUGUGUCCAGUUUGUAAUUCAGUCAUGGACUUGAACUUCUUGAAACAAAAGAAGGCUUUUGACUUGUUUCUCAAGAAGUAUACCCAAAUCAUUCUUGUGAAAUCAUCUAUAAUCAGCAUGAAAUAUCUGUUCCUUGCAACAGACUCAUUUCUCAUGGGACCACAGAGAUCCACAUGUAUUAGCACUAGUACUUUGCUUGCUCUUUGAGCUUGAUCUUUUGGAAAAACAUUUCUGUGCUGUUUUCCAAAUUGGCACCCGUCACACACACCACUUUGUUCUUCCAAUUUUGGUAAACCAUGUACCAUUUCUUUAUCACUUAGCUGCUUCAAUCCUCCAAAAUGCAGAUGACCAAAUCUCUUGUGCCAAAUCCAUGUGGAUUGAAGAAAACUAGUCUUCAUUAGUAACUGUUUUUCAGCUAGAAAAGAGACAGGAUAGCAUCUGUUACUCUUCAUUUGCACCUUUAUGAUGAGAUAAUCCAUGGAUGGGCUAUCAAAUACCCUGCACAUCCCUUCUCCAAACACUAGACAGUACCCAUGUUCAUCCAUCUGCCCAACACUUAGCAGAUUUUCUUUCAAUCCUGGCAGAUACAUUACUUCUCUGAUGUAUUUCCUGCCCUUUGCUGUAUCAAUACUCAGUGAGCCAAUACCAGCUACACUCACUAAUGCACCAGUUGGCAUUUGUACUCUCCCAGCUACAUUAGUUCUCACAUCAACCAGCAAAUCUAAAUUUCCUGUCAUAUGAUUGCUGCAGCCACUGUCAAUGUACCAUUCAUUGGUUUUGAUCUCAGUGGUUGAGCAAUUGGCAUAAAACAGGUUUCCUGUAACCUCCAUUUGAUUUACACAAUUAGCCUUCUGCACAUUUUUGCUCACUGUACAGUCUCUAGCAAGAUGUCCAACUCUGUCACAGUUAUAGCAUUUUGGUUUUCCCUUAUACCUGCACUCACCAAAAUGAUGCUUUGAACACACCUUGCAUUGAGGCUUUGUGUUUUCCUGAUUUGAGAACUGUGUUGAAGUGUGGUUCUGUGCAGAAUAAUUAUUCUGCUGUGUCUUGUCUUUUGCCUCCCAUGACUUCCCUUUAGAGUUCCAGCUUCUCUGUGACUUAGAUGAACCAGACUGAGAAGCAUUUUUGUUCUGACCCUUUGAAUUCACAGUGAAUGAGGCAAAUGCCUUCUCAGCUGUAUCAACACUAUGCAUUUCAAGCCUUUGCUCCCGACUCUUCAAAAUGGCAGUUACUUCCUGCAAAUCCACAGUUUCUAGUGUCUUUGUGUUUUCAAUCACAAUGCAUAUAGGGUCAUACUUCUUACUUAGACUAAUUAACACCUUCUGAACCUACCUCUCAUUUGACAGAACUUCACCAAAUGUUUUCAUUUGGUUAAUCAAUUCAGUUAGUCUAGUAAGAUAUUCAGAUAAGGUUUCACUAUCACGCAUCCUACUGUAUUCAAACUCACGUCUAAGGUUUUGAAGCUUUACCGAUCUAACAUGCUCUCCACCAUGAUAUUCUGAGUACAGCAGAUUCCAAGCCAUCUUUGCAGAGUCAGCAUUGGCAAUUCUGGGAAAAAUCUGAUCAGAAACAGCAUUUUGAAUGAUACCCAAGGCCUUCGCAUCCUUCAUGAGAAUCGCAGCUGUUUUCUCAUCAACUUCUUCUUCUGAACCAUCCUCAGAUUCCUGCUUCGUCUUUGAAUCUGGGAUUAAAAACCCCUUCUCUACCAAACCCCAUAAACCAUAUGAUCUGAAUAUGGUUACCAUCUUAAUCCUCCAAAAUUCAUAGUUCUCACCUGAGAAAAUGGGGAUUCUAGCCUCUGAACUUCCAGAUCCAGCCAUUACGAAUUUCAGAUUCGCCUGGAAACAAGAUGUUUUCAGAUUUGACCCUUGAUCGAGCUCAAUCAGCUUCGUGAGCUUAGAAUGAGCUCACCUCGAUCGAUUUUCUUCACAGAACAACGCCCAGCUUCAGAUAAUCAAACUUGGCUCUGAGGCCAUGUUAGAGUUUUAGGAUCUGAGUGUUAGAUAUUGUGAGAAGAGAGAAGAGAAUUUAGUGAAAAUUUCCAAUACUGCUCUGCUAUACGUGUAGCAGAGAGAACAUUCUCUUUUGCUAUAUAUUUUCAGUACAACAACACACACUUGGUGUGAGAAGAAAAAUGACUGUUAUGCACAGUACCAGCUGGAUGCUUUCCAUCAAAGUAAUCUCAGCCAUUCACUAUCUAACCAAUCAAGCUAUGACACCUGGACUAAGUAUAAAGAAAUACAACUAAGCAGAAAACAAGACUCUUAAUCCUGAAAUCAACUUAAGCACUUAUAAUUCAACAUUGUUACCAUAAGAGCCAGCUCCGACUUUCUUUAAUUUCAGUCCUAACGGGGUUUCAUCUUCCACUCAUCUUUGCUCUUCUCAGUGUAAGCUCUGCAAUUUGAUUAACUUUCCCAUUAUCUCUCACUGUACUCUAUAUAAAGGAAUAAGUGUCGUCCACUAAUUAAUUACACUUUGUGAGAUUUGAUUUUAAUUAGAGUUCGAAUUGAUGUUGCAGCUAGCAGCGGUGGCACUGGCAAACCAUGCUGCUCAACCAGCACCUCAACUUUACUGGAACUCCGUCCUGCCAAACACACAAAUGCCAAGAGCUAUCAGUGAACUUCUGCAUCCUGGUUUGUGUUGAAUAAAUAUAGUAUGUUACUGGAGUACGUAUGGCAACAUAUUCACAAAUGUGUCACGUAUUUUCCAAUAUGACGUUGAUAUAUAAUUGCAGACUCCACAAACGAAGAAAAGAGCACAAAUGUCAUGAAUGCUGUUGGGAAUGGAAAGCCAAUUGACCACAAGGGCAACCUGAAAAUACUGUACUACCACAGCUUGCACGACGCCCAUUUUCUUACAAGAGUGAUGAUCGUCCCACUGACAAUCAACUCCAUUAUAAAAACGUAGCUAUUUUCUUCUUGGAGAAGGACAUGCGCCCUGGCACAACAAUGAGCUUCCAAUUCCCUAGAAAUUCAAACACGGCUACUUUCCUGCCACCAGAAAGAGCUCAAUCGAUCCCCUUCUCCUCUAACAAACUACCAGAAAUUUUCAACCAUUUUUCAGUGAAGCCAACAUCUGUGGAAGCCAAAACAAUUAAGCAAACAAUCGAAGAGUGUGAGGCUCCAGGCAUUAAGGGAGAGGAAAUAUAUUGCGCCACAUCUUUAGAAUCAAUGGUUGAUUUUAGCACUUCGAAUUUUCGAACAAGAAACGUUCAAGCAAUCUCGACAGAGGUAUUGGAAAAAGGUGCCACCAUGUCCAUGCACAAGCAUACAACAAUGCCGGGACUGAAGAAGUUGGCAGGUGACAAAGUCGUUGUGUGUCAUAAGCAGAACUAUCCCUAUGCUGUGUUUUACUGCCAUGUAAUAAAACCAACAGCAGCUUAUGUUCUCUCCCUGAAAGGCGAUGAUGGGGUGAAGAUUAAAGCAGUAGCCAUCUGCCAUCUAGACACAUCAGAAUGGAACCCAAAGCAUUUGGCCUUCCAAAUCCUCAAAGUUAAGCCCGGAACAAUUCCCAUCUGCCAUUUCCUUCCCACUGAUCAUAGUGUCUGGGUUCCGAACCACAAAUCUGCAUGAUCAUCACUUAGCACUGUACGUAUAAUAAGCUUGCACCCCUGUAUAAUUAUCUCCCUACUCUACUUAUUUCUGCCUCUUCAUGUGGUGUAAGAUAUAUGAUGAGAUGAAGUUUUUGGGAUUAGUGGUCGGGUUGCCUUAAAAACACAGAUUACAGAAACUGCUUGAACUUAACCCGAUCAUGUUUUCUCUUGUACUCGUAAAGCAUGCUGUUGUGGUUCUACUUAAUUUCGUUCUCCCCAAUGUUUGAGUGUUUAAUUGUUACGUUGGAUAAUGCUUGUAGUUAGAGAAGCCUUCAUUUAUAUCAAAGUCCUCAACUUGUAAAGAUAUCAAUGGUCCUAGUGCUGCCACGUGUAAGAAGAUUGAAGAAUAAAGCUGUUGAGAUAUUGUUAGACCUGUUAUGCAGUUUAGGAAAACUGUUAGUAUUGAUAAGAGAAGGUUAGAGAUGUUAGAGAGGUUAGAAAACACGUGAACAAGGCUUUAACUCAGCUGAUAUAAAGUCUGUAGUUGUGCUCAGUUGAACUUAAUGAGAAAUACAACAAGUCUCUUCUCUAUCUCUGAAAUUCUCUCUGCUCUCUCUGCUUUACUUCUUUUGUCUCUGCUCUACAUUUUUUUUCAAUCUUCCUAUCUUAACAAAACUAUCAAGAAUUAAUGCAUCCAGAAACAUAUAUACCAAGACGCAAAACAACAUAUUUUUCAUGCUCUGUCUGUAACACCAAAGCAAACUUCCUUUAUCACAAAAGGAUCAAAUUCCAGUACUAAUCUAAUCCAUCAUGUAAAGCAUACAAUCUACAAGUGCCUCCCUUAAUUUGUCCAUUGGAUAUAUAUGUCACUUUUUGGUAAUUUGGUAUAGCAGCACCACGUAGUCUUGAAAUAGUAGUGCGGCUAUACCAAAUAUACCAUUUGCCCCUGCAUUUAACAGAAAAGUAAACAAAAUUGACGGUAGAACUAUUUGUCCUAACGAAACUGCAGUUGAAAGACCAUGAGAACGAUUUUGAAAAUUGAGGGACUCAAAUGAAAAUUGGGUCUAAGUUCAAGAACCAAUAAAACGAUUAACCCAUAGAUUUUGGAUCCAGUACCACAUCCCAAAGAGAAAACCACAAGUUUGCAAGCAAGUUUGUCCAUAAUAACACUACGUACAGUAUGGGCAGUGCGCUAGACUCAUCUCACUUUCUCAACCUAUCCUAUAGUUGUCUAAAAGAGUUUCUAAUUUAAUGUACUGAGAUUUACGAAAGAAAUAUCAGAGAAACAAUUUUCAGGCAAUAAAAAAAUGUCUUGGCAAGAAAAUGUACAAUUUGUUACAUAACUUAUUAAAUAUGAACAGUUGAAAGAAAAAAGAAUCUGGAUGAGGGAUUUGCAAAUUCCUAUGGCCCAAUUACCUUUUUUUCUUUGUUGUUUUUUUUUUUUUUUUUUUGGUUCUUUUGAUCCAGUAGCAUAUUCCAAAGAAUGAAAACCACAGGCAUGCAAUGCAAGCUCUUUUCCCACGUUUUCCUCUGUUUUUCUCCUAUCAUGGAAGUGAUUAAAACACACCUCUAAGCUUGUUUUGCGUUUGGUAGCCGAGUGUAAAAGCUCAAUGCAAGAUAGUUUGAGGUAGAAUUUUCUCCUAUUUUAUUAGGACAAUGAUAAUUAAAAAAAAGUGUGAUUCAUUGAAUAUUUGCGGGGUUUUGUUCAGACCUGACAAAGUUCUAAGUCAACACAUCAAAUUCCUUUUUCCAACAUGCAACAAUUGUAUUUGAUUCCCAAUUUUUUCUGAUAUACAUCACAUCAUGCCACUUGCAUCAAAUGAAUUUAAUUGAGUGAGGCAAUGGGAAGUAAUUAAGCUCUGUAUUCGUGGGUGGAGUGUUACUUCUGGAACCCUAAUAAUUCGUCCCUACAGGACUCUAGAACUCUCAAACUUCUUACAAGGACUACUUAACUCUAUAGCUUAAUGCAUAUAGCAUAUAUAUGCAAACACAAUUAGAAAUUCUACAACAGAAGCAAGAUCAAUCUCACUAUGCCUUCUAAACAAACAAACAAAUAAAACAAGCAUAUUAAUUGCUUUAAUCACUCUACUAACAUCAACACAGCACACUUAGUUUACUAACAGAUGAUAUAGAAAGGAAAAAAAAGGACCAAUAGGGAGAAAAUGGUGAACUAAGGAGAGACUAAUACUUCUGGUCCUUAGAAGGCAUAACAGAAAUAAUAGAGCACACUGCUUGAAUGCAAGUCAGUAUUAGGAGCAAAACAGCUGCAAUGAAAGAAAUAGUUGCCCAAGGUGUAUUGAAAUAAUGUUGCCUCAAAUUUGCCUUCCAUUUGUUCCAAGGCUUUCUGCAGUAGCUAUUAAGGCGCUCAGAAAGAAUAGCAAAGUAGAAGCUUUCACGAUACACUGCAAUUCCUUUUCCGAGGUUGUUAAUCAGAGUGCACACCUCAUUGUAGUCACCAAGCAUAUUUUUGACAAUCCCAUCCUUCAGAAGGAACUCCACAUCCUUUUCGGUGUUCACAAACUCAUCCAUGAGUGAAACAUAAUCACUUAUGUAAUUCUUACGGCAAUGGCACUAUUCAAAGGCAAUGAGGUUACGGAGUGUGAGCUCUGUGUAAUCGUGUAUUUUUAGUUUUGGAAUUUCUAGAAUCCCAUCGUUGAAUUGUGUUAACGCAGCUUUCCUUUCCUAGCCUACACGGAAGUCAACUUCACAAUCUCCUCCUAGCAAUUAGUCUUUCCUGCUGUAAAUCAGAUUUCCUACUGUAAAUCGGAUUGUAUUCAUGUCUAUAUUAUUUCCUACUUUAAGUAGAUAUCUUGUACUAGUAUAAAUAGGGACUUUGUGUAAUCUGUUAAAUACAAGGAAAUAUAUACUCUGCAUGGUAUCAGCCUAACCUAGGGUUCUCUCUCUCUCCCUUAUUCGAUCCUCUUCUCCUUUAGGUCCACCUCAUGGCUUUGUCUGAAUCCACCAUCUCCCUCCCAAGCCCCAACUCUUCUAUUUUAUCAAGCUUAUUGACUCCAACUAUCUUCUUUGGCUCCGCCAACUCAAACCCUUUUUAGUCGGCCAUGACCUCUGGAAAUUUAUCGAUGGCAUUCAUAAACAACCUUCUGCCCACACCUCCACCUCUACCACCGCAACACCCACAACCACCACCACUCUUACCCAAAUCAAUCAUGCCCAUGCUCAGUGGUACCAACAAGACCAACUCAUUGUUAGCUACAUCACCAAUACACUCUCUGAGUCCAUUCUCUUUCUCACUGUUGGUUGCACCUCUGCCCGGGAUCUCUGGGAGUGUCUCCAACGCCACUUCUCUCAAUCCAGUAUGGCCAGUGAAUCUACUCUUCGUUUUAAACUCAUGGAUUUGCAAAAAGGCUCUGAACCCACUUAUGCUUACAUUCGUCAUGCUAAGUCCUUUGCCGAUUCACUGGCUGCCAUCAAUGAACCUGUCUCCCCAAAAGAACUUGUCACUACUGUGCUUUGGGGUUUAAGACCCUAUUGCAACAUCCUCGUCACAGCAAUUCUCAAUUUCCCUCUGCUUCCUAACUUUGCUAAUCUUCGUGCUCGUUUGUUAGCAUUUGACGCACAGACUCCUUGAAUCUCUCCUGAUCAAAACACAGCGCAAAUGGCCACCCAAUCCUCUCCUCACACCACCGGUCAUACUUCCUUCCCUUCUCACCGUGGUGGUGGCUCUUCCAACAACAGGCGUGGUGGCCUCGGUGGCUGGCGCAAUAGCGGCCGGGGUGGCUGGCGCAGCUUCUCAUCUUCCUGGAGCAACCCGUGGAAUGGCUUCCAGCAGCUCCAAUGACCUAAUCAACCAUGGCCUCCUUUUGCUCCAAGUUCUGGAUCUCAAAGCAACUGGCCUUCCUUUCAGCCUCCUUGGGCCUAAUCUGCCGCUUCUAUCAAACACUUUGCCCGGCCCAACUCAGCUCCUGGUGUCUUGGGACCCGCUUGGUGCACUACCUGCAAUACCAAUCACAUACUACUACAAUAUGUCCUCAUCGCUACAAUGGCCCAGAAUCCUUUCUUUGCUAGGGCUCAAUUCAUGUAGCCACCUGACUCUACUUGGUACCCUGACACAAGUACCACUCAUCAUAUGAUUGGUAGUCCUUCUAAUCUCCAAAAUCAAUCCUUCUAAUCUCCAAAAUCAACAGCCAUAUCAGGUUCAUAAUUCUGUAUUUCUUGGUAAUGGAGAUUCUCUCCCUAUCUCUCAUACUAGCUCUCUCUUUUGUCUUCCAUCUCUUCGUACUAAUCUUCUUUUUGUUGCCCAUUUUACUUGUGAUAAUUUAGUUUUCUUUGUCUUUACUCUUGACUUUUAUCAAAUCUAUGACUUAUGUACUGGUUCGUUACUCUUUCAGGGCCCUUCUAAAGAUGGUCUUUACCCACUUUCCAUCUCCUCUCACUCAUCCAUAGUCCCCCAUGCCCUUACCACCGUGCACUCUCCUGCUUGGCAUCAUUGCCUUGGCCAUCCAUUCCAUCGUGUGCUCUCUCAUUUAGCGCCAUCUCUAGGCUUUAAAGUUUCUCAUGCUUUCUGUAAGGAUUGUGCACUUAGCAAAUCCACCAAACUGUCAUUUCUUAGUAAUAAAACCUUUGCCCCAUCUCCCUUUUAUUUAAUUCACUCUGAUGUAUGGAUGUCCUCGGUCAUUUCUGUCACUGGUUAUCGCUAUUAUGUCUUGUUUACAGAUGACUUUUCUCGUUACUCCUGGAUCUAUCAUAUGCACCGUAAAAAUGAGGUCUUUUCUCACUUUCAAACCUUUCUUGCUAUGGUUAAAAAUCAAUUUCACACCACUGUACAAAUUCUUUAAAGUGACAAUGGCACUGAAUAUGUUAAUAAUGCUUUCUCUGAUCUUUGCAGUCAACUAGGCAUCCACCAACGUUUCACAUGUCCCCACACUCCCCAACAAAAUGGCCUAGCUGAACAUAAACACAGACACAUUGCCACCAUGAUCUGUCCCCGGUCAUUUAUUCAACCAUCUUGACCUUUUGCUUGAUCAUUUUCCACAAGCAACCGUCCACGUACCCCAAUAAUUUAAAAGGGCUGAUGAUCUUUAAUUUGGUGAAAGCUUCUAUCUACCUACCGUGCUAUAUAUGAGCUAUGCAAUCGUGACCGUGUUACAUGACGUCCCAAUGUCGUAGGGAUAAAAAAAUAAUAGUCAUGGUUUUCUUAUUAAUGUCAAUACAUUCAUAGCAAAGAGCUUGUAGCUCUAGUGGUUAAGAGCAAUUACCCAUGCACUUGAGAUAUUUUGUGUUUAAAUCCCCUCUUCCCCAAUAUUUCUUGUAUAAAAAUAAAAAUAACAAUAAUAAUGACAUUAAUGUUGUAUUCUAUAAAGUGUUGGACAUGUUUUAUACCCCUUUCUUGCAAAUUACAGUUUGCCACGUGUACAAAAAUAAUAGAUAAGUGUUGGACAUCAAGAGCACUUACAUAUAGGUUUAAUAGGUAAGUUUUGAAUAUUUCUGUAUUUAGCUUUAAAUAUUGAAAAUCAACCUAUUAGCAUAUUAAAGAUUUGUCCAUAUUCGACGUACAUUCUCUUAUUUUUCUCUCAUUGAAGUAAAUACAAAACUAAGCACAUAGUGGGAAAGUGCGUCACGAUUAGGGGUGGGUUUAGUCUAGGUUGGUUCAUUUUUGGGCUCAAUUUGAACACCGAACUGUAAGCUUCGGUUUGGCUAUUUUGGAAACCGAAACCAAACCAUAAUUGAUGAAAACCGACCACUUCGAUUACCUUCUGGUCUUCCAACCAGAAGAAAACUCAAAACUUUAACCAUACCAAGUGCAACAGAAUUACACCAGGCUGGAUUCAAGUUUAUGAUGGUUAAAGAUAAAAACUUAUUUGACAUACAAUUUGAGAAUGGAAUCCUCAAAAUUCCACACCUGCGAAUACGGGGUUUAACAGAAAUUUUCUUCCGCAAUCUUAUUGCCUAUGAGCAGUGUGAGCUUCAUGAUCAUUACAUCAACGACUAUGUCUUCAUCAUGGACCGCCUGGUCGACAGUGCCAGGGAUGUGGAAUUGCUUGUGAAGAGUGGAAUUCUUGAAUCUAUGCUACCGGACAGCGAGGCAGCAGGGGAAUUUAUUAAUUCUCUUGACUUGGGGCCUAUUUUAGGCAAGCUUGAAACAAGACUAUUUCAGUUCACCAUGGGCUGGCCUGUCUAUUAUUGUAGCCGCUAUACUAGUUGUGCUCACAUUUAUUCAAACAGUGUGCUCCGUAAUGGCGCUGUAGGUUCUUCAUUUCCUCAAUUUCAUGUUUAGUGGUUGCAGAUUUGUUGCUCAUGUACGUGUUUAUCUAAAGUUAAAUAAGAGUGAUUGACUGGAUUGACUGUUAGUCUGUUAGUUUGUUUUUCUGGGGUUUUUCCCCCCUGUUCGUCAAAAAAAAAAAUAAAAGAGUGAUGGCUUGUGCCUAUGAAAAUUACUUAGGAGUAUGCUCCACAGAGCCAAAAUAAAUAAACUAGGGAAGUGGAGGUUCUUCUGUUUGUAUAUAAAUGAGCAAUUCAAACUCUCAGUGCCAAGGGAGUUACCCUUGAUACAUUUGUUAAAAAUUAUAUAUUUGGUCUUACAUCAAACAAAUAAUUUGAAGGGCUUUUUUGACAACUGCUGACAGCGUUUGGCAGAAAAGUUUAGAAGCGCUUCUACGCUUCUAGAUCAUAAAAGUGCUUUACCAAAAAGCACUUAGAUUUCUUAUGAAAAUUUCAACAUUUUUAUAAUAAAAGCGCUUGCUAGAAGCACUUAUAAGCAGAAGUGCUUCAUAGAGAAGCAGUCCCAAACGAGCUUGAUUUUCAAAUGUGCUGCUUAAGAAGAAAUUUAAUACGUUUUGAAAACAAAAAAAAAUACGAAAUUUAAUACGUUUGUUUUACAAAUUGUAUUAAUUGUUAUCAAUAAUACUUGUGCACACCCACAACAUACUUCUUUCUUUCUUUAUUUUCCUUCAGUACAGUUCUGCCUUUCUUUAAUUAUUUUUAACGAAUGCAAAGAGUUUGUCACAAAAUCAAGGAUUGAAAAAAAAAGAGAGUAAAUUAUGUGCUAGAGAAACUUUCCUGCAGAAAUUGAAGAACAACUCUAGUUUCUCUCUUUCGCCUUGUACUCCCGCACUGAGGUUAGUAUUGUUAUAAUGUGCAGAUUAUACGGUCACUCUUGUAUAAUGGCGAGAAGGCUCUAAUUAUAUUUUUGAACCUCUUUGACAGGACCCGCCCCGAAUUUCCCGAAACCCAAGACGAAUUCUGUGGAAAUUCCCUACAUCACCCCGAUGUUGGGCCCACUUCUAAAACUAUAUCAUUUUUCCUAAAAAGGAAUAAGGGCACGAGACUUUCUACCGAAAUUUCGGCAGAGUCUCUCCUGUAAAUUGAACAUUUCCCAAAAUUUCAACCUGCAUAAAACACAUUUUAUAUUACCCAACUGGCAGCAUGCACAAAAUAAUAACAUGCAAUUCACAUAAACGGCCUCUGGCCCUCCGGUAAUUCAGAGCAAUGCAAACUAGCAACUCUAAACCUAAUAAAACAACAUAAGUAACAUUUAGCCAGCGGCUGCACCCAGGCACUACCCUAGGCUACCUACGUACCCUUACUAAGGGAUCAAGCCACACGUAGUUCUUUCAUACAAAAUUUCCAAAUCCAUCAACAUGCAAUCAAUUACAGAAUCCCAAACAAAAUCUUUCUCAAACAUCAUUAGUUCCCAACUCAGUAUAAUAAUCCUUAAUUCAUCUCUGUAAUAAUCACAAUAUCUCCCCAUACGCCGGAACUACCAACACCACGUAUGGAGCCUGCCUGUACGCCAGAUAACCAACGACACGUGGGACCUCAUCAUCAUAUCACAUAAUCUCCCCAUACGCCGAAACUACCAACACCACGUAUGGGGUCUGUCAACACGCCGGAUAACCUACGACGUGUGACCUCAACAUCAAAUCACAAUAUCUCCCCAUACACCGGAACUACCUACGCCACGUAUGGGGUCUGUCCACAUGCCGGAUAACCUACGACACGUGGGACCUCAUCAUCAUAUCACAUAAUAUAUUAACGAUCAAGAAAUAUCACUACGGUCAUUUAAUCCUCCUGGGAAGGUAAAACUAUCUCAGGAGACUCACGGUCAACCAAGGGUCAAACUACCUCAUACUUGGACAAACGAGCCCACGGAGCCCACAACCUCCGUUUUACUAUCCAAGAGUUCCUAUAGGUUCUACAAGGUUUAGGAUACACGGCUUGCAAGUUUGGUCAAGAUCAGACGGUCGGAUCGCUCACGAUAGGACGGUUACUGCAAACCUAGCCCUAGGGUUGGCAUUUUCGGAGUAUCCGAAACUCCGUUUUACGAUCUGUCGAAUCAUAGACGAUCCUAAGGAUUUGCAGACUAACUAUAAUAAAUUCAAGACCAUCCAACGGUCUAAACCUAUCGAACCCGGAUAACGCGCAAUAGGCAAUAUCCAAAUUGAAAUCCGAGCACACCUACGCACUCGUGAGGACUAGGAGAUUACAUCGGGACAUAGUGCCCUUUUUCUACAGUGCCCAUGAGCCGCCGCACGCACCAGCAACGCGUGGGUGCCCAAAGCGAUUAUGCAUCGCCAAAAAAUCUCAAAACCACGGCUCAAGACUCCUACCCUAGGUAUAACACCCUAUUUGGAACCACUUUUGUUCUUGGACCUACCCCAAAAACUGAUCAGAAGUGGCCGGAAUGGCUGAAAUGUAAUUCAAAAAUCAAGCUACCAACGCUCAAAAUCGAUGCAAUCCUACCCAACCAUCAACUAGAUUAUGAAGAAUGGAUAAAUUUCCAUACCUUGAUCGCCAACAAUGGCGGCCGGAGGAGAGAGAUCUGAUCCGGCGAAGUUCGAGUGAAAACGGCCAAAAAUCAUCUUUUUCAGGCGGCUGGAGGGCGACCGAUGUCAGGGAAGGGCAGGGUCGUGACGCUAAGGCUGAGCCUGUCCUUUUGGCACCGGUCCCUUCCGCAGCCGUGUCCGGUGGCUGGAGUUUCGAAGAGAGAGAGAGAGAGAGAGAGAGAGAGAGAGAGAGAAAUCUGAUUUUUAUCAAACCUUUUUGCCAAAAUUACGGUUAUGCCACUGAGGGUAUUUUGAUAGUAUCUCUCUCGUUACAACUUCGAUUCGAGCCCACCACGUGUGUACGGACUCAUCUAACUGUGUUGUACGCAACGGUAUAGUCGAAAUUCCCAAAUUAUUUCCUUGUCAAAAAGUCAACUUUAAACAUUAUAAAAUAUUUUAGGGAAAAAAUGGUAUUUUCUCUCAAUAAAUUAGUAACUAAUUUAUUUAGGACUGGGUCAUUAUACUCUUUUUCGCUUCAAUGGAUGGGAAAAAAUUUUAUGUAAUAUCCCACAUCGACCAACGAAGAGGGGGCGAUGUGUCUUAUAUGUACAUGCCCGCCUCCAUCUAGCAUAAGGCCUUUUGGAAGCUCACUGGCUUCAGAGUCAUGGGAACUCCGAAGUUAAGCGAGUUGGGGGCUAGAGCAAUCCCAGGAUGAGUAACCCACUGGGAAGUUGCUCGUGAGCUUCGAGAAACAAAACCGUGAGGGCAGAGAGAGGGGCCCAAAGCGGACAAUAAGGCCUCGUGCUAGAUGGAGGCGGGCAUGUACAUAUAAGGCACAUCACUCUCUCUCCGUUGGUCGAUGUGGAAUGUUAGAAUGGAAUUGUUACCUUUGGUGUGGAGGUGUUCUAUCAUUUGAGCAAGAAAUUCCCACAUAUUCUUCAACUAUUUUUCAAGCAUGCAUAUUCCUCCCUAUCAAUCUUUGGUUUCUUCCUUUACUGUGCAUAGUAAGGAUCCAGUCAGGGACGGACCGUCGCUAUGACUAUCCUGGGCUAUAGCCCAGGCAAAUUAUUUUUUUUUCUAGUCUAAAAUAGCAAUCCCACCGCUUGCUGUAGUACUUGUUCAGUUCGUCACAAACAUGAGCAUAAUAGAAGUUAUCAACAUCUAUAUAGGAACCCCAAUGAAAAGGCUGUUAACUAAUAAUGAAGUUAACCCGUCAAUUUUUCCGCAUAUCAGAUAUCUCUCAGAAUAUGCGAUUCCAUAUUCAAUAAGCCACUCCACAUGCCCUGAGGUUUUCAUCAAACCACCCAUUAAGGAAACAUACUGACUCAUGUAAUUAUCAUUACUCAUCGGGUAAUGCAAUUGUUCAAAGGCAAGGACAUUUCUCAUUAUUUAUGUAGCGAACCCCAAUGGAAAUGGUGGGAUCUUCAGAACCCCAUCGGUGCUACUGAAUUGUAUGUCAAAUAUGUUUUCACCUUGUCACGCCUCAAACUUGACUCCAGCGUGCUGUAAUUCUGUCAAGCUGGGUAUGGAUGAUGGGAGUUUGAUGCAGGAGCAUAGGGGUGGAUCAAGAUAGAUAUUUACUAUUUAAUUAGUUAUUUCAUGAUAUAUUGUUAUUUUCUUAUUUAGGUAGUUUUAUGAUAUCUUUUAUUAUUUAUGUGUGAUUUUAUAAUUAAUUAGUAUACUUUUGGACCAAGUAGCCUUGGUGCUCAAGUCUUGUAAAGCCUAUAAAUAAGGCUAAUGUAAUAGUUGUAGAAUAGAUGUCGAUGAUUAAUAAAAUCGUUUAUUUGUGGCAUGGAUUUGCUACGAUAUAUGUGAGUUUGCACUAGCCCUAGAUUUCAGUGCUCGUGUAUGUGGUUGGUGACCUGUGUCCGGAUCCCGAUCCCCAUCAAUUGGUAUCAGAGCUAUGGCUCAAGAUCUGCUAUAUCGGGGAGGUUUUUGGAUGGAGGGUCGUUUUAACAACUACAACGACAUGGAGGAAAUUAGGAGGAUGCUACGGCAACUUAUGGAACACAUUGCUCGCAUUGAAGCUCGAACCCAGAUAGGUAAGAGUUCUGACGGGGAGGGAUGUGUGAACCCUUAUCUGAACCGAGUAGCUCGCAUCGACACUCUAAGCCGUGAGAGUCUCGACGGGGAGUACGAGGGAGAUAGCCCUUUUCAUUAUUGUGCUCCGCUGUGUGAGUCAAGUGAAGAGGGGCACGGUUAUUCUCAUUGUGUCUUUGAAGGUAUAAAUGAAUUUAGUAAUUUUGGUGCAUCUUGUUAUUCAUCAAAGUUAUUAAAUUUGGAUUUACCUCCAUUAUUUGAUCCUUGCAAUUGUGAAAAUUGCAAUAAAAAUUGUUUGGGUGUUCAAAGCAAUUUUGAUAAGCAAUUUAUUGACCAGAACAGUGAAGAGAUGAGAAUUGAGAAAACUUUCGAAGAUAUUAUUGAUUUUAUGGGCAUUAAUAUUUUCACUUGGAAGGUUGCCAAAAAUCUGGUUGAUUUUGUCAAUCGGUUGAAGAUUCUAGAGAGAAACAUUUGCAUUGCUAGAGGGAGUAAGAAGUCAAGAAUAACGAAAUAUUCCAAAUAUCUUUUUAUUUGGAAAGGAAGGUUUCAAUUGGAUGCUAAAAGAUCCAAAAUUAAUAUGCAGCAAUUGAAGAUUCUACUCGGAUUUUCCUUAAUCAAAGGCUUGAAUUCGAGGACGAAUUCUUUCCAACUAUGGGAGUCUGAUGCAGGAGCAUAGGGGUGGAUCAAGAUAGAUAUUUACUAUUUAAUUUGUUAUUUCAUGAUAUAUUGUUAUUUUCUUAUUUAGGUAGUUUUAUGAUAUCUUUUAUUAUUUAUGUGUGAUUUUAUAAUUAAUUAGUUUACUUUUGGACCAAGUAGCCUUGGUGCUCAAGUCUUGUAAAGCCUAUAAAUAAGGCUAAUGUAAUAGUUGUAGAAUAGAUGUCGAUGAUUAAUAAAAUCGUUUAUUUGUGGCAUGGAUUUGCUACAAUAUAUGUGAGUUUGCACUAACCCUUGAUUUCGGUGCUCGUGUAUGUGGUUGGUGACCUGUGUCCGGAUCCCGAUCCCCAUCAGAGUUCCCCUCCAGCUUUUGAUUCCAACGGUUGAUAGAGUUUAAAUAUUUUCCUGAAAAGAUCAAUAAUAUGUGCCACUGAUCUAAAAGUCUCCAAAUUGUCUUCCAAUUUGUCAACAGGCAAUAGAUGUUCGAAGAAACUGAAAGAAAUACAAAUUAUUGAAAGCCCCUCAGUAAUGCUGUUAUUGUCAGCAUUAGCAGGGAGUGUAAUUUUCUGUGGGUCGAAAAGAUCCUCGAGAAUGAAGAAUGGCAACUGAUUUUCAAGCAACCACGUAUCUGUCCAUGCAUCUUGCAACAUACCUGGUUUGUCAAAUAUGCGGUCAUUUUCGUCCCAAAAUUUGAAGUAGUCCUUCAAUAAGGGCUCAAUAACGAAGGCGGCGCCCACUAGAAUGAUUGUUACAAAUUCAUCACUGCUAAACUUGAUGGGUUCUCCAUAACAACGUCUCAAUCUUGCUUCGUGGUCCUUUAUUUUCUUAAUAUAAUCCUCCAAACUCACAUUGGUCCGACCUAUAAAAUCUUGCAGGUAUCUCUGUUUGUUCUCUUCCAAUACGACAUUCAAGCCUUCCUUUCCAUGGUGAAGUGGACCUAUAGAGACCGACUGCCUGAGGUGUGCAGAGCUUUUCAUUCACACAUACGUAGAUAAAAUGUCUGGGGGCUCAGAGAGUGAUGAAUGUGCAACAGCUAAUGGGAGGGUUUAUAUUCCUGAAGUAAGAAAUGAGGAAACACCAGCAGUUGGGAUGAAGUUUGACUCGCUUGACCUCGUUUACAAUUUCUAUAAUAGAUAUGCAUUCUUGGCUGGCUUUGGUAUUCGACUUCAUUCUAGCUUUUGGGGGAAAAAUAAGAAAGAGAUUUUGAGGAAAGAAUUUGUAUGUUGCAAACAAGGUGCAUACAAGAAGGAUGAAACUCGGGAGAGAAAAAGACAACGGGGAAUAAGUAGAUGCAAUUGCAAAGCAAAGAUUGUGGUUGUGAAGACAAAUGGGAGCAAGAAGUAUACCAUUUCUCUUUUUGCAGAGGGACACAAUCAUAAGAUGACACCCUCAGAAAGAAUGCAUUUAUUGAGAUCACACCGUCAUAUUUCAGAUUCUACAAAAGUACUCACAAAACAGUUGGGUUCAGUUAAUAUUCCCAUUCAUCAGAAGGUAAGUAUAUUCGAGGUGCAAUCCGGAGGAAUGGAUAAAAUCGGUUUUAUCAAAAAAGAUAUCUACAAUCUUGAAUGUAGUGUGAAUGGGAAGCUGAGGAACCACGAUGUUGAACUAGUGACCGAGUAUUUUAUGGCUGAACAGAAAAAAAAUGAGGCUUUUUAUUUCAAGAUUGAGGGAGAUGGGCAUGACAGGUUUAGUCGAUGUUUUUGGGCAGAUGCAACUUCUAGACGGGCGUAUGGGUUUUAUGGAGAUGUUGUUGUAUUCGAUACCACAUUCAACACGAAUCGAUACGACUUGACAUUUGCACCAAUGUUGGGAGUUAAUAACCAUGGUCAGACAAUUGUCUUAGCAUGCGCAUUUUUGAGCAAGGAAACGACUGAGUCGUUUGUUUGGAUGUUUGAGGAGUUUAAGAAAGCCAUGCCAGGUGGGGAACCUAAAACGAUCAUUACAGAUCAAGAUGCGGCAAUGGCCAUAGCGAUUUCAAUAGCCUUCCCGAGUACAUUUCAUCGACUUUGCAUAUGGCACAUCACAUCAAAGUUCUCUGUUAAGUUACCACGUGACGCUUAUAAGGAGUAUUGGCCUGAAUUUCAGAAAGCCAUAUGGGAUACUGACAAUAAGGAUGAGUUUGAUGCAAAAUGGAAUAUUGUGGUUAUAAAGGCUGGUUUGACUGACCAUCCAUGGCUAAGUUCAAUGUUUGAUUUAAGGGAAUCUUGGGUUCCAGCCUACGCACGACAAUUUUUUGCCGCUGGAAUGUCAAGCAGCCAAAGAGCGGAAGGUUCUCAUGGUUUUUUCAAGCAAUACAUAUCAAGGAGAAAUUCGUUGAUGGAUUUCAUAAUACGAUUUGAGAGGGCAUUUUCUCAUCAACGUGAAAAAGAGUUAGUUGCUGAUCACGUAGAUGCAUUUGAAGUGGCUCAAUGUCUUCUACCGAUGCCAAUGAACAAACAAAUGGCUACCUUGUACACAAGGACAAUGUUUCAAAAGUUUGAGCAAGAACUAAUACAAAGUACAGCAUGUUUCCUAGAGCUCAAAACAGAGGAUGCAUGUAAAGUUGUGUUCAACGUGAGCGAAAGGAAAAAUUGGGAAACAAGAGUGGCAGAAGUCGUAUAUGUCAAAGAUUCUGACCACGCAUCGUGUAGCUGCAAAAGAUUUGAAUUUGUUGGAAUUAUUUGCAAGCACAUCCUAGCAUUGUUCAGAAGGGACCAGAUUGAAUAUAUGCCCGAUAAAUAUAUUUUGAAGAGGUGGAAGAAAACUGCGAAAUGUGGAUUGGUGUCAGAUGCAAAUGGCAACGAAAUUAAAGACUGUGCAGAUCCUGGCCUUCUAAUAAAGCGGAGUACAAUGUCUCGACUUGCUUCAAAUGUGGUUGAGGAUGCAUUAAUGAGUGAAGAAGGAUGUGAGCUACUGUCAGAGACUCUAAAAAGUUUGCAGGUGAAGUUGAAGUUGCUGAAGGAUGGACCAAGUAAUAACGAAGUUGGAGGGUCCAGCUCUCAAACACAAUAUAUGAAAGACCCUAAGAGAGUGAGGUGCAAAGGAAGGUCGAAAGGAAUAACGGGAGCAAAGGAAAAGGCAAUGAAGCGAGGGAUUAGACACUGUCGGGAGUGUGGACACAUUGGUCAUGAUAGAAGACAAUGCCCAGCCUUGAACACACCGUAAGAUGCUACCACUAUUUGUAAUAAUAUCUAAAAUAUGAAAAGGUAAAAUUUUUAUGUGCUUGUGUUUGAUGUUUAUGCAGGACAUCACCGUCGAACAAUGACAAAUCAACUCCAAUACAUCGUAGUGACCCAUUAUUCGACGAUUUUGACAAGAUGCACAGACCAACUGAAUGAUUGAUAUUUGUAUUAGACGAAAUGUGGUUGUUAUGAAGAUUAAUGAUCAAGUGAAGUUUUAUAGAUUCAGUUUUUGAAUGUUAUUGUGUUUUUGUUCAUGUCCACCGAUGAGCUCUUACUAUGUCCACUGGUAAUUGAAAUGAAAAUUUUCUUGGUUUCAUUCUUCCAAGACAUUUGGAGACAUGUUAAUUUUACGUCUUCUCCCUAUUUAUAAAUUUUCAUAGACAUUUGAUCAAGUUUGAAAUUUGUAGUUAUGUGAAGAAGCAAUGACUCUUACCAUGUAAAAUGGGCAGUUUAGGGUGAAAUUUGUUUUAACAGAGAUUCAUUUUUCAAUUCCUCAGGGUAAUGCAGCAAUUACAGCAGCCAGCUGUUGUUUCCAUUACCAGUAAUCAUUUCCAGCAGCAGCCACUUUUUCCGACUGGUUAUUAGGGGCACGAUUUUGUACACUUUUGUAAGUGAAGGAUACUCGAAGCACUUUGUUGGAACAGAGCAAAUAGAAACCAGCGGGUAAAAAAAAAACAUAACAUUGCAGCUAAUUACAUUUCGAUACAUAGGUGAAAAAUAUUAAAGGGUACACUAACUUACAUAAAUACUCAUAAUUCCACACACAAAAGAACAUUUGAUUGCAAAACAUAUUAUGUGCUUCCUCAUAGCAAUACCACGAUCUCCCCAACCAACUGAACAACGGUAGCCACAAUCACUGGGUCGUACUCGUCAGCUUCUUCUUAGCAGGUCUCACAUGCUUAUGGCCACUCAUAUCCCUAGUGAUAUACACGAAAUAAAUCUUCAGCAAUAUUUGGAAUUUUAUUAUAUAUAAAUAAACCAUAAACCAUUCAGUAAACAAUGUAUAGCACAUGUUAUGUAACUUAUGACUCACGUGUCAGUUUUUUUUUUAACACAUUAGUACUCCAGCUCUUUAAUGUAAAUGGACAUGAUAAGGAGCAUUUACUGAUUCCCGGCUUUCUAUGAUAUUGACUGCUUCUUGAAUAAUAUUUCCAUAUUUGCAAAAUAUAAUGUUAGACAUUAUAACACAUGAUGACUUGCAAUACAUAGUCCCAAUAAUUAUAUAUCAAGCAAAUGAAACUGAUAUUUGUGUUAUUUUAAGUUAGAUAAUGACAUUAAGGGAGUAUAUGUGCAAUACCACGGUCACCCUCAACCAACUGAACAGCGGUAGCCGCAAUCACUUAGUCGUAUCGGUCGGCUUCUUCCGAGCAGCUUUGACGUGCUUAUGCUCAUUCAUGUCACCCCCAUCGUCUAGUAUCUCUCUCACAGCAUCAGGGGACACAUAGUUCCAAUCAUAACUUGUAUGAGUAGUUGCCGCAAAUGCUCGGAAUUUGUCGAAUCCUUCGUUGAAUGCCAACUCCAGUUCAGUAUGGUGCUCUUCGCAUCGCAUAUGGUUCAUCAAACAACCUUUGAUUUCAUCAUUCAUUACUGUAUCCAACUCCUCAGCUUUCAGCUUCCUGCUAUGACUCAGCUUCAAGUACUUGUUCUUUUGGGAUAACGCUUUGUUCACCCUAAUGUUAAGAUCAGCCAAAAUUGCCUCGUCUUCAACACAUUUCUCGUGCCAUGAAUUGAUCAGUCUGGAAUUAUAAUCCAGCUUGCCACUGACUGCAUGUAUUGCCUGUAAUGGAUCAUCGGAGUCCCCCUCACUCCCAAAUGAUGUUGAAAAAGGAAGGGGUCGGCGAGUACAAUGUGGAAAUAGAACCUGCCACUCCAAUUUGUCAUCUUCGAUUGUGUUGUUGGCGCCUGAAGAGGUUGACAUGCUUGAAUAAUCCUCUUUGUUUUGGGAGGAUGAGGAUUGCAUAUGCAAUUUCGUUUGAGAAAGGGAACAUAGGUUUAUAGACCAACAUACCAAAGCUUGUGUGUAGUCAACAUAUGUACUUUUUGGCGGGAAUUUUUUAAAAAUAGGUGUUAGGUUUUGCUUUUCAAGCAUGUCAACCUCACACUCUCCUGACACCACUGCUAGUGGUUGAAACAAAGUCAAUGGAAGUGACAUCUACUUAGUUAACUCAACCAAACUAGUUAGGAUUAAACUUAGAUUGUAUCAGACCAAAAAAUAAUUUCUACUUUGUCAACCAAAUAUUUUUUGGCGGGAACCCUUUUCUUGGUAUUACUAUCACCCCUUUCAUAUAAAAUCUCCUUCCACACAAAACUCACUCCUCCACCGAAUCUGUCUCCAUCUACCGAUACUCUCUCAAGCAAACAAACUCAUUCCCCCCAAAGAAUGAGCAUAAGCACAACCAAGUUUGAUGUGAGCAUAAUAAACACCCCUCCAAACAAAGACCGGCUUCGACACGCAAGUGAGUCACCGGACAAGCAAUGUCACAUUGCUAGACAGAAUGACCAUUUUGUUGGAAGUUUUGAGUCUGAAAGAGUUGUUGCUUUUUGGAAGGAGAGGCAUCUUCAACUUGGUGAUGAAAUCCAAAGGGCAAGGGCACGUUUGGAAUUUGUGGAAGGCCAAAUUGAAGAUGACAAAAGGCAGGCCAAUCUGGAUAGGGCGAAGUUGUAGCGCAUGAAGCGUAGACACAAACGACUUCGGAGUGUAGCUGUUCAAAAAUACAAGAACUCAUCUAAUGUAGUGGAGUCAAAGAAGCGUGUGAUGCAAGCUGGAUUCGACUACUUCCGAUCCUAUGCAAAACUCGUCGUACCCGGGUUUGAUUGGUCAUCUAUUACCGUUUCCGACGUCACCAAAUAUACUCAGCAAGGGAAGUAACCAUUUUGGUUCUCGUGUUUUAGCAGAGGCAAAUAAGUGGAAUUGGAAUUUUGGUUACACUCUGCUUCAAAGCUAUUUUGAUGCUAACUACUAUGGAAGAUUUAAACCUUAAUAUUUUGAUGUCUUUAAUUACGAAAACAGAAGAUGCAAAGAGCUCAUCUACUUCAGCCAUAUGUUGCUGCCAUGUCCAUUUGUUUUUGAUCACUUAUCAGAUUUGGACAUGGUUGCAUCAUAUGCAAUGUUGCCUUUAUUUAUUAUAUGUUAGGACAAGGUUUAUGGAAAAGCUUUUGUGAGUGCGUUUGUGACAAGGUUAUGGAAUUAUUAUGUACACUUUAUAUAUUGUUUUUUGUACUGGUUCAUUUCCUACUAUUUCUUGCUUUCUUUAUAUUUUAUGUUUGUGGAAUCCCUCUCAAAGUUAACAUAUACUGUGAAAAAAAUAUUAUGCAACUGAUUAUAUAAUCACUCAUAUAGACUAGGACAAAUAUUCACUAAGGGUUUUAAACUUGCUUCACUUGUGUGAUGUUAUUGACAAAAAGUAUGGCAUUAUUUAUGUGAUUUGACAUGAUUGAAAAUAUAUUACUGAUUCCCAAUGCGGCGUCAUAUGGACAACGUAUUGAAUACCUGUGACGUGUUAAUAACUCAAGGUGCAGUUGCAUGUGGACAACUUCUUGAAUACCUCUGACGUGUUGAAAACUCUAGGUGCAGUUGCAUGUGGACAACUUAUUGAAUACGAACUGACGUCUUCAAAGCUCUAGGCGUAGUUGCAAUGAUGGCUUCAAAGCAUGUGCAAUUAUUUUUUAUGUACAUUAUUAUAACAAAACAUAUUAUUGUAUAUAGUGAAACUAAAUAUUGUAUUAUUAGAAAUUAUAUUUCGAAUAUUAUCCGAAAUAUACGUGUUAACGUGAAUUUGGGUUAAGAGGAAAGUGAGUUAUGUACAAAUAAUUUUCAUUUUCUCAUUUUCCGGGCAUUUUUUGGAUUUUCGUAGAAUUUAUUACCUAUGUCCACAGAUUGUUGCACUAAAAAAGCCAAAAUAAUAGCAAGAGGACACCUGGAGCGAUCUCAGCCCGUCACUGAUGACUACUUGCACAAGUGUACGUCAGUCAACAUGGCCACACCCUCCCAUUUUACCCUAAAUUAUUAUUUUAUUACUUUUCCUUACAAAAAUCAGAACUAAUUACACACAAAAUAAAAAAAUUAUCCGAAAAUUGCUACGAACUCAUUGACACUCCAUCUCCGUUGCUGAAUUCUCCGAUUCAUUGUUACGUAUUUGUAAAAUUAAUUCCCAACAUUAACGGGAGAUGCUUGUUGAAGUAGGUUAUUCAAGUUGAAGUUAACAAACAUCAAUACUUAGGGUUAAGAGGAAAGUGAGUUAUGUAACACAAUUUGGAUUAUUUCAUUGCGAGACGAAUGAUUUAUAGGUUCUCCUAGUUUUAUGACGUCACAAGUAGGCCGGAGUAAUUUUUGGGGCAUUUUUACGAUUUUCCUACUAUUUUUUACCUAGUUUCAAAGAUUUUUGAACAAAAGAAUCCAAAAUGUAAAAGAAGAUGACACCUGGCGCGAUCUCAGCCCGUCACUUUUCACUACUUGCACAAGUGUACGUCAGUCAACAUGGCCACAUCCUCUCAUUUUACCCUAAAUUAUUAUUUUAUUACGUUUUGUCUUGGAAAAUUCAUAACUAAAUACACAAAAAUUCAAAAUUAUUUCUGAAAAUUGCUACGAACUCAUUGACACUCCAUCUCCGUUGCUGAAUUCUCCGAUUCAUUGUUACGCAUUUUUAAAAUUAAUUCCCAACAUUAACGGGAGAUGCUUGUUGAAGUAGGUUAUUCAAGUUGAAGUUAACAAACAUCAAUACUUAGGGUUAAGAGGAAAGUGAGUUAUGUAACACAAUUUGGAUUAUUUCAUUGUGAGACGAAUGAUUUAUAGGUUCUCCUAGUUUUAUGACGUCACAAGUAGGCCGGAGUAAUUUUUGGGCCAUUUUUACGAUUUUCCUACUAUUUAUUACCUAGUUUCAAAGAUUUUUGAACAAAAGAAUCCAAAAUUAACAAGAAUAUGACACCUGGCGCGAUCUCAGCCAGUCACUUUUGACUACUUGCACAAGUGUACGUUACCGAACAUGGCCACAUCCUCCCAUUUUACCCUAAAUUAUUAUUUUAUUACCUUUUUUCUUGGAAAAUUCAUAACUAAAUACACAAAAAUUAGAAAAACGAUCCGAAAAUUUCUACGAACUUAUUGCGAUUUCAUCUUCCUACUGCAUUCCCUGUUUAAUGGUUAUGCUACAUUAGUAUUUUAUUAUUAUUUAUCCACAAUUAUUAUAAUUAUUAUGAUAUUACUUUUUAGGCUGUCCAUUUGUUAAUUAUACCACAUCCAACUUGUUGAAAACAAUUUUAUUUUCCGUGCGAAUAGGCCAUUUGUAGUGCUUAUCGGUUUCUCUGUUCUUCAAUUUGUUAAUUUUUUUAUUUUUUAGGUUGAAGGGAUGUUUUGAAACAUAAUAUGGAAAUAUACAAGUCAUCCAUUGUACUCCUUCCACACAAAAAAAUAGUCUACGUCAUUCACUGUUCAACACCCUAGGUUAAGACACGUGUAACCAAAUCCGUUCGGAUAUGCUAAGUGGGAAAAUGUCAUUCCCAAGCACUGGUGAAAAGACACUUAUUUACUCCAUGCAUGACUUUUGGUUUACCAAAUAUGAAGAUUGGGGUCGGUGAGCAAAAUAUCUGUGUCAGUAAAAUGUCAUUCCUAGCCAUCUAUGAUGUAAGUAAUAAUUCCGCUAUAUAAUAAAUAUUAUACAUUUAUAUAUAAAACGGUUUAUGACAAAAUACCAACAUUUGAACAACAUUUAAACUGAGAUAGGUAUAACGUAGCCAGCCAACCUAGAAGUGAAGAGAAGCAAGUCCACAAUGCAUCAAAACUGUAAAUUCGUACUAAAACUAAUGCAAAAAUACGUGAUUCCCUCGCACAACUUACUCACGCAGGAUUUUGCACCAAAAAAUACUCUCACGGUGCCAUUUGCAUCGGUUGCAGCAAGUCCAAAACGCAGGAUUUAUCUUGUCUUCACUAGGCCACCCUGGAAUAACAAAAUACCAUUCAUUGUUGUUACAAGCGCUGCACCGAUUGAACUUAAUCUUCCCAUAGUCAAACAUAUCUACGAUAUGUCUUGCAACAAAUGCUCCGCGACAUCUUCCUGUUAAAGCAUCCCUGGUUCCUUUCAUAUCAAUGUUGUUACGUUGAUUCAAAGAACACAAGAAUUGUAAUGCAUCCUCUUUUGACUGACCAAUUCCGGACAUACCAAGUAGUCCAACUACAUAUGCCGCUUCCAUAUGGCCUGCCGUGGCUGCAAUGCGCAUCCCAUACAACGCUUCCACCUUACCGUCUGUGAAAAAACCUUCGAAUGCUUCUCUAAAUAUGGACUCAGGGUUAUCGCAAGCCCUGCAUUGUUGCAAGAAAUGCUGGACUGCAGGUUUGGCACGGUAGCAGAUAGGAUGGUGUGGGUACUUUGCCAUUGAAAUGGUGUUCCACACUUGUGGACUGUUUGCCAAAAUGUUGAACAAUCGGCACACACAUGCCAUACGGAAGAGAUCUUCCGAUGAUUCGGUUGCCACGUAUAACAUCACUUGAAACCAAGCGGACUCCGGGAUAAAGGCUUCGGGCAUAUCGAAAUGGAGAUGCUUCCUUCUCUUUCCUCCGACUGUAGUGAAGUGUUUCGAAUUCAUUGAAAAGUUUUUGGAAUGGAACGAUUUGAGGAGUGGCAGAGGGGAUAAAUGAUAAUAUUUGGGGUACACGUUCUACUUCCGAGCCUCUGUUUAUAGUGUUUUGAAAAGGUGUUUCCAGUUGGGGUUUUUCCAAGUUGACCCUUUUGAAAGAAACUGAAUCCAAGUGAAUUAAAACUUAAGACAAAAGAAGGGAAAACGUCAUAACGGUGCAUACAGAGUCAGACAGUUAAAAAGUUAAUUAAAUGGCUAUUUGCAUAGCCAUUUUUGGGUUUAUCCCACUAUCAAAUUCAUUGAUACAAAUGUGAUGGAUUACUGACUAGUGACAGAAGGUCCCAUCAUAUACUUUUUCAUUUUCGCACACCCAACUAUCCCUAGUAAUGUUAUUAAAAUGGAACCAAUAAUGACGGAUUCUUAUCCAACUAGUUGCCUUAAUGAAAUAUAAAUAAAUUAAUAAAAUUGAAGCAGUGUCCCGUCAUUAGUCAGAAAAUAUAUUUGGUAGUGAAGUAGUUUCUAUUGCUUUUCGGGCUAAAAGAUGUCACAAUGCUGACGGUACAGGUGUCGACAUCGUGACCAACCCACCAAAUGAUCCCAAAAAAAAGUAAUAUAACUCGAUUUGGGCAGAGAUGAGAGAGAGCUGAGUGACAAGUUUAGGGUUAUGAGUGAAGGGGUAUGAAUGACAACUAUGAGUGAGAAGGUAUGAGUCCGAAGAGGUUUCAGUGAGAAGAUUUGAGUGAGAAGAGGUACAACUGAGAAGAUUCAACAUGUCUUCGUCUUCAUCUCCUGCUCAAACAAAGAGGUGUCAGUAUUGUGGAGCUACAAUGGUGCUUCGGGUUUCAAAAUCUGAAAAAAAAUCGAGGGAAGCCAUUCUGGAAGUGUCUAACCUCCUAUGUAAGUUUUAAUUUAAAGAAUAUGUAUGUGGGUGAAAAAAAACCUAUGUCUAACUCUGACAGAAUUAUAUUCCAUAUAUGAUGCCUGCAAUUAGGGAGCCACCAGUUGCAAUGGAUUCGAAUGGGUUGAUGUAACCUCCGCUGAAGCAGAACAUCAAGAUGACACGUAUGAUGUUAGAGUGCUGAACAUGCUGAAGUCCAUUAAGGACUUGGUAUUAGUUUUAUUAGUUGUAUUAAUUGUCAUUUUAUUUGUUCUUUUAAUGAUCAUUUAACUGCACGGUUUAAAAGAUUGUGAAAGUUCUCUCGCACAAGACAUAUUGCACGCACCACCAAUGAGACCCUAAACCCAUUUUGUAAUAUUUGGUAACUGCAUGUAUUUCGCAUGUUAUUGAAUGUUUAUUGAAGGUUUAUUGAUAGUUUGCUGCAUGUAUAUGGAAUAUCAUUGCCCCAAAAUUGGAUGUUUAUUGGGGCCACAAGUAUCACUCAAGUAAGAAUGAAGGGGAGAAACGGACCUUAUUCUUUCUUAUAGUAGGAAGAACAACUGUUAAGUUUAAUAUCCUAUUCAAUACGACUUCCCUAUGGUUGGUGUACUUGGGGACUGAAGUAUAUUGCAUCAUUAUUGUGGGCAAGGGCAUGUCUAUUGUGUGUGUUAAGGGAGUAUUGUGUGGGCAAGGGCAUGUCUACUGUGUGUAUAUUGCAUGUCUACUGUGUGUAUAUUGCAUAUCUAUUCUCUGUAUAUGGCAGGCCAAGUUUGUGUAUAUUGUUUGUCUGUUGUGUGUGUAUUGCUUGUCGGUGCGUUUGUGAAUUGUGGUUCAUUUUGUGUAUAUUGUCUUUGUUUCUACUUUUAUGCUACUGAGCUGCGGAAAACCUCGCAUGUUUAGACACCUAUUAUGAUGCAACACAUUGCGAUUAAUGGUGGCUUGCAUCAACAAUGACAUAUCACUUUGCAAUGAUGUAAUACACUUAAAAAGCCGUCUUCAAAUCCCAAUUCACAUAUGCAGUCUUAAAAUUCUAAUUCAAUGCAGUUUGGUUAACAAACAUGUAAAUGUCAUGAAGGAGUUAGCGGUAGAAUUCGAUAAGGACCCGUACGUCUCUAUUGUGUAUUUACAUUAGUUUGAGAAUGGACAUUCCCAAAACCUUCUCAUGUACCAUUUGUCAUCUUCAACCAAUAUCAUGGGAAGUAAGCAUCUCCCCUUGUUAUCUCCGCAGCCAAUUUCAACCGAAAAAAAGGCAUGUUGUGCGAGGUGCAAGUAGCUAACGGAAGCUUAGCGCUGAAAAGCUCAAUGUACUUUAACACAAACAUGCCACAAUCGCCUCUGAAGCAAAACAAGAACUCGAUCAAUUCAACUAAUGACAUUCUAAUGUAAUUGACAAUUGAAAGUAAUAAAAUUAAAUUGCAAGUUGUGCUUACUCAUUAGACUGUUGUGGAACAUCCACACGCUCUAUUGGCCACGGACACCACCAAUCUCGGCUGCAAUUGUUUGCAUAAACACCUUCUUCAUAAAAGUCGAUGGUGUUGAGAAGAUUUGGAAGCGUAAUUGAUAGCGGGCCGAGUUCUUCCUUUACGAUGUCAUCUGGAAUUAGUGAAACCUUUGAAUCGUACACUUUGAUUCACACAAUACCAGAUCAAACANNNNNNNNNNNNNNNNNNNNNNNNNNNNNNNNNNNNNNNNNNNNNNNNNNNNNNNNNNNNNNNNNNNNNNNNNNNNNNNNNNNNNNNNNNNNNNNNNNNNNNNNNNNNNNNNNNNNNNNNNNNNNNNNNNNNNNNNNNNNNNNNNNNNNNNNNNNNNNNNNNNNNNNNNNNNNNNNNNNNNNNNNNNNNNNNNNNNNNNNNNNNNNNNNNNNNNNNNNNNNNNNNNNNNNNNNNNNNNNNNNNNNNNNNNNNNNNNNNNNNNNNNNNNNNNNNNNNNNNNNNNNNNNNNNNNNNNNNNNNNNNNNNNNNNNNNNNNNNNNNNNNNNNNNNNNNNNNNNNNNNNNNNNNNNNNNNNNNNNNNNNNNNNNNNNNNNNNNNNNNNNNNNNNNNNNNNNNNNNNNNNNNNNNNNNNNNNNNNNNNNNNNNNNNNNNNNNNNNNNNNNNNNNNNNNNNNNNNNNNNNNNNNNNNNNNNNNNNNNNNNNNNNNNNNNNNNNNNNNNNNNNNNNNNNNNNNNNNNNNNNNNNNNNNNNNNNNNNNNNNNNNNNNNNNNNNNNNNNNNNNNNNNNNNNNNNNNNNNNNNNNNNNNNNNNNNNNNNNNNNNNNNNNNNNNNNNNNNNNNNNNNNNNNNNNNNNNNNNNNNNNNNNNNNNNNNNNNNNNNNNNNNNNNNNNNNNNNNNNNNNNNNNNNNNNNNNNNNNNNNNNNNNNNNNNNNNNNNNNNNNNNNNNNNNNNNNNNNNNNNNNNNNNNNNNNNNNNNNNNNNNNNNNNNNNNNNNNNNNNNNNNNNNNNNNNNNNNNNNNNNNNNNNNNNNNNNNNNNNNNNNNNNNNNNNNNNNNNNNNNNNNNNNNNNNNNNNNNNNNNNNNNNNNNNNNNNNNNNNNNNNNNNNNNNNNNNNNNNNNNNNNNNNNNNNNNNNNNNNNNNNNNNNNNNNNNNNNNNNNNNNNNNNNNNNNNNNNNNNNNNNNNNNNNNNNNNNNNNNNNNNNNNNNNNNNNNNNNNNNNNNNNNNNNNNNNNNNNNNNNNNNNNNNNNNNNNNNNNNNNNNNNNNNNNNNNNNNNNNNNNNNNNNNNNNNNNNNNNNNNNNNNNNNNNNNNNNNNNNNNNNNNNNNNNNNNNNNNNNNNNNNNNNNNNNNNNNNNNNNNNNNNNNNNNNNNNNNNNNNNNNNNNNNNNNNNNNNNNNNNNNNNNNNNNNNNNNNNUUUUCCUCUCCCUCAUCUCUAUUAUUUGGCCCUUCACCCCCUUCAAUCCCUUCAUCUUCUUUUUCCUCUCCCUCAUUUCUGUUACUUGGCCCUUCAUCCCAUUGAAUGUCAUCCAUUUCCCCAUAUCCCUUAAAUAGAUGUGAGACGACACAACGAUUCGUCCUCUGUUUCAGUAAAGCUAGGUCCCUCCUUACUUCCUGCUCAAACUGAGGACCUAAACAUUGGUCCAAUAGUUUUUCCAUCCGUAUGACCUUUAAGUGAAGGACGUCUUUUUCCCGCUUUUCUUGAAACAACUCGGACCUCAACAAGCUUACCACCUUGUUCAACUCAUCAAGAUCACCACAUGAAGAAGGAAUUGACUCUGCCGAGACAACAGCAGGGCGAUCCUGUGGCCAACUCCAAUAUGGCUGUCUCAUUUCCUCUUCACUUAGACAUAGCGCCCGCAACUGAACUGACUGUUUCAGAAUACAGACAAGAGUCAUAUUAAAUCAUUCUACUUCAUAAUUUCAUUCAAUCUUAUCAAUAGUUCUAAGGGCUGCAAACCAAACCUCUUUGCUCUGGAAAAAAUAAUUGUUCAACUUUCUCAUCUCUGGAACAGACGUAGUAGUUCUCCAUCGCAAAAUACGCGGGACAGCGGUCGGAUCAACAACCUUGCAGUAAUUCAGGUCCGCCAUUCUAGGAAUUAAUUCAUAUACCCAAAUCUACACAAUUCACAGGACAAAAGUCAUUAUUUAUGUUUUAAAGAAAAACAAAACAUAACUGACAUGAACAUUAUUACCAUGUACCUGGAAAGCAUACGUGAAACCUUUAAAACUCCAGCCACUCCUUUGCGCUUCACUAUGCUUAUCCUUCUUGCCCUUCUCAUUUCUCCGGCUUGUUCCCGUUACCUUACUUUUCCCCUUCCCUCUUCCCUCUUCAUUUUCCAAGCUUUUCACAUACUUUGUUGGUGCAGAAAAUAGACUGUCUUGGGUUUUGUCAAAGGACACCGAACCCCACGGAUACCUGUUGAACGCAUCCAAGUCCUCUACAAGGGUCAGGUAAUUUAGAUUGAUGUUCAAAUGUUUGUCCCUUCCCAAAACCACUAACUCAGCAAAGUAAACAAGAGGUAGCUUGAAGAUGUCAUCUUCCUCUGUGCACCUCACAAAUGCUUCUUCUAAAGCAUUGCAUGUAAUUCCUUCGUCUAUAAAAUAUCUUUUCUGAAGUCUGAUUUCAUUACUCUCUCCACUGGAAACUUCAGGCACUUCCCCAAAACGAAGCCCUGUGAUCAAACAGAAAUCCUGACGAGUGAACUGAGCAACGUCACACCCUAAUAAGAAACUCAGUCCAUCCAAGUCUUUCACACCCUGCCCCGCUACUCUACGCAACACAACCCCAUGCACAAUCUGUCCGCUAAACUGAAUCUUAUCUAUAUUCAGAAGAUGGCCAAAGCAUGAUGUCUUGAAUUGUUCUAAUUGUUCCGCACUCAACUUCGCUCGAAUUGCAGCUAGAGAUGAAUUUGCAUGUGAGCAGUUGUUCACCCGUGAUGAAUAUACCUCUGCCUCUGGCCAUACCAGCUCCACGUUGGAUCCCAUUUCCUCAAAUACAAUGUGAAAUAACGUGAACAUAUAUACUACCACGUAUUUGCACAAUCACAACUAGUCAACCAGGCACAUUACAACUUUUACAAAGUACAUGAGCAUAUGGAUUACUCAUCACAGGCUUUAACAUCAUCAAAGCAAUAUGACAAUUUUUGUGCAAAUACCUGUUAAUGCAAUGAUUAUGUGAAUUACAAACAAUUUCACGUGUUUUAUUUAUGGAUCCAUACUCGUGUGAGUGCAAUGUAGGCAAGUUCUGCACUUCACACACAUGACAAUUAUUGUCAUCUCAUACACAACCCAAAAUAAAUAAAUAAGAAAUAUAGUGGAAGGAAGCAAAGCAAAGCAUGUACUCUGCUAUCUGCUUGCUAAGCAAUUGCCACAUCCUUCUUUCUUUCUACCUUUUUCUUCAGUCACCCACAAUCGUCAUAGAUCAACCUUCAUUUCAAAUGCUUUGCACUUUUAUUCAUGAGUUUAUUAUUAUCUGUUCUCAUUUCUCAUAGGCAAAUUUAGUAACAAAUGAAAUAAUAUUUAUUUCACAAAAUAUAUAAAUUCUAGUGCCAGAGAGGUACUCUUCACUCUGCACUGCUUCAAAUGUGGAAGGUUUUGAGAUGUUAUUGACAUGUGAUUGACUUUAUUUUCAUUCGUUUUUUAACAUAUACCCAAGCAAAAAUUAACAUGCAAUUGAAGCACAAAUAAGAGAUGCCAAAUCCAACAACAUUGAUGGUACAAAUUGGGGAAAACCAUUACUCUAACCCUAAACUCAAAUUCCUUACAUUACUCAUCAAAUGCUUUGCAGUUCUAUUCAUGAGUUUAUUAUUAUCUGUUCAAAUGUUUCUCAGGCAAAUUUAGUAACAAAGGAAAUCAUAUUUACUUCAUAAAAUAUAUAUAUAUAUAUAUAUAUUCUAGCGCCUCUUCUUAAUCUGCACUAUGCACUGCUUCAAAUGUGGAAGGUUUUGAGGGCCUCCUCCAAUUCAACACCAUUAUCUUAUUCAUAUCAUUAUUGACAUGUUAUUCACUUGUUAUUGACUUCAUUUUCAUUCUUUUUUUAACAUAUACCUAAGCAAAAAUUAACAUGCAACUGAAGCACAACGAAGAGAUGCCAAAUCCAACAAAAUUUAUGGUACAAAUUGGGGAAAACCAUUACUCUAACCCUAAACUCAAAUUCCAUAAAUUACUCACCAAAUGCUGGUUAUUGCAAGGUGUCUGUGUGGGGUCUUUCUGUUUCUUUGCUCCACAAAUGGAACCUACCACUUCCAACGAAUACAGCUUUUCCCCUUCCCCUUCCACUGCUUCGCCUCUUCACUGAUUUGGAAUCCACACCUUUGCCCCUUCUACUCCAAAUAAAUACUUUCUCGGGGUCUGGAGAACGGAGUGGCGAAUCGUUGCCUUCAACUGUCGUUAGCCGUUGCCUUCAUUGGGUAUCUCAGACCUCUGUGUUUUAGAGAGAUGAGUUCUUUCUGUUCAAACUUCGAACUUGCCUCUUCUUCUUCUUUUUCGGACGUGUUUCCCUCUUCUUCUUCUUUUUGGACGUGCUGGAUAUUCAAUUCGGGUUUGGGUUCCUUACCUACCCAAUUGUGAAACUUUAACUCAAUUCUCCCCAGCCCUUGGAUUAAUCUGAUGGCUAUAAAGUGAACCCCUUAUAACUUACCCCUUAUAACUUUCCACUCAUUAUAGUCUUGGCCAGGUAUGGCGGCCAUGCUAGUAAGUGUUGGGUCUUUGACCCAACUUAAGCUAAAUGGGUCAUAAGAUGACCGAUCAUCUUAUCUCAUAAGGAUAUAUAAGUCAUGUUAUGAUUUAGGAUUUUAUAGGGUUUCCUUUGUAAGAGGUAAGAGAGAAACAAGCUCUCUCUCUCUCUACACAAGGAGGUCAGCCAUAGCAAGGGAAAGGCUCCUAGCACUCUCCUCUCUCUUAUUAUAUCAUCCUUCCAAGGACAGCUUUGGUAUGGUAAAGUUGGAGGUUGCACACUUUGUGCACUUUGGUAAGAACUCAUCCAAGGGAGCCAAGAUUAAAUUGGUUAGCUGUUGGAUUAAAUUGGUUAGCACGAUUCAACGGUUAAUAGAUAAAACUUCACAUAAAAGUCAUAUAUAAGGCCCUCACUAUAGAAUGACUCGUUAGUUUAGUCUCUUGUUACAUAUCAAAUGUUAGAGAUAUUUUUUAAUAAGGAUCUGCCAUACCACAUAGUUGGAUAAGACAUUAUACACGGCUUUUGUAAGAGCAUCUCCAGCGCUCCAAACUAGCCCAAGCAGCAGGGGGGCCUAAGUCUAGGAAGCAGCUCCAGCUCGCAAGAUUCAACCCAGGCAAGGUGUGGAACCCACGAGGAGAUCUAGCCCGUCACCUUGCCUUUGGGUUUCAGUCAAGCUGAUGUCAACGAAAGAAUUUCAAAUUUUUUUUACCGUUACAAUGUACGCGCCAACGAUAAAUUUUCUUUGGAUUUCUUGCAUUGAUCCACAGCUACCAAAAACCAACAGCUACAAGCCACGUGGCUUCUCCAGGAGCCUCCGAUCCAAAAAUCAUGUCAAAUCUAACGGCAGUCCAUUUUUUGGCUAAAAAUAUCAAAAAAUUAUGGAAACAUGUUCUAUAAAUUCCUACAAAUAUUAUUCACUUCCCACACCAAAUCUUCAUACAAAUUCAUAUCCUUUCAAUAUUUUUCACUUUCCAUACAAGAUUUUCUACUACUAAGUUUCGUUUGUGUAAAAAUACAAAUGACCUCUUCUAUCGAAGCCGGAGGCGCGUGUACAACCGUGGAAGAUAUUUUGUUGCGUGAGUGUUGGGUCAAAGUUGGUCAUUCCCUGAUCACGGGCAAUGAGAUGAAGUCCUCUCGUAGGAGUUUCUGACAUCGCAACGAAAGUAAGAUGUGAUAUGAAAAUGUAAGGAAUUUGAUGAGAGGAAUGGGAUUUGAGGAGUUUGAUGUAGGAAUUGAUGUAGGAAUUGAAUUUGGGAGGUAUGUAUAUAAGAUUUGAGGGUAUGUGUUUAGGGAUUUUGAUAAGAGGAUUUGAGGAAUUUAGAUUUGAAGGAUUUGGAUUUGGGGAAUUUAAAUAUGAGGAAUUUGAUUAGGGUUUGGGUUUGAAUAUGUGAAAUUUGAUAUGAGAGUUUAGAGACAACAGAUGAUCGAUUGCUCUGAUACCAUGCUAAAAUAUGAUAUGGUUUGAAUACUUUAGGUUGAGUUUUAUUCUUUUCCAUAAAAAGGUAUAUAUAGGAGUUUACAUGAGUGCUUUACAAAGAAAUAGAUACAAUAAUCAAUUAGGAUAAUAUCUCCUAAUUAUACAAUAAUUUGUCAACUAUAUAGAAUAGGAAAGUAAAUUCCUUAAUUAAUCAAGAAAAUAAAUCUCAUUGAUUAAUUAGGAGACUAACGUCAACAUUUAUAAGCCAUAAAAGAGCAGAAAAAGAGGUACUUAGGAGAUUUUAUACGUCGGACUAAGGUAAGCUUAAAGGACUAUAUCAAAAAAAUAAGGGACCAAGAAGCAAGACAGAGAAGUUGUUAUGCAAACCCAUUAAGUUUAGCAGUGAUGAAUUUGUAAAAAUCAUUCUAGUGGAUUCUGCCUUCACUAUUGAGUUCUUAUUGAGGUUCUAUCUGAAAGGAUCUGGACAUGAAGGAGACCGCUUAUUAAACAAACCGUGGAUGUUUACAGCCUGACAUGUGGUUGCUUGAAAAUCAGCUCCCAUUCUUUAUUCUUGAGGAUCUUUAUCACACAUACAUAAUAACCGACUCUUUUAGGAAUUAUUACAGUACUCAUGAUCAUGAGAGGCUUUCAAUAAUUAAUAUUUCUAAGAAUUUCUUCACAGCCGGAAUAUUGAAUUUGGAGGGGAAGGGAGACAAAUGGAACAGAAUAUCAUCUUCUUCUAGUGUUGGAAAUUUUAUAUUAUUUAAUAAUAUUUAAUUUCUAUUGUGAAUGAAAAAUAAGUUUCUUUAAGAAACGUGUGUCUUAGGCCAGUUUUUCUAACUGGUCGGCUUCCUUAGAUUUGUGCCUAUUGCUUUUCAAAGUAUAAUGAUGCAAUGGUUGUAUCUCGUUCAGGCAAAUGGAAGGUAUAUAGCAAUUUAUAGAACAAUACAGUAAUCCAGAAGAAAUAUUAUGAAAUGAAAAGAAUAAAAAGUAAAAAAAGAGAAAGAAAGGAAUUCCCACCUGCAAUGUAUAUGUAUGAAAGGAAGGACCAAGUUUGUUUUAAAAUGGUAAGAACAAGUUGAUUUUAAAUUGGGUUCAGAUCAACUCAUAGAUUUCUUGCCUUUUCUGUUCUCCUUCCUUGGACAUGAACUGUUUAAUCUUGGACUCUUCCCCAUCAUGUUGGGCCUGUCUUCUUCUUGAGGAUUGUAUAGGCCUAGGAAAUGCUUCGGGGUAGUUUUUGUGUUUUGGGCAUUGGGACCCAACUUCACAAAAAGAAAACAAAUUUGACCAAAACACAAAUUUGAAGGACAUUGAAAUUGUACCCGUAGGAUAGAUUAAAACACUAUAAGGGAGGUAAAUAGUACGUUUACAGAGUUUAAGUGUAAUAAAGGAAUAAAAACAUGCCCAGAGAAUUGAUAAGUGAUAUCAAUUCUUGAAUAUACGUGAAAAUUAUUUUAUGUGGUUAAACCCCACCUCUGGGGAAAAUCCACGGAACUUCUUAGUCCAACUUCUAUCACUUAUCCUAGACACAUUCUAGAUAAUGUUUGCCAACCUCUUCGUAACUCAACUUCUGUCACGAGAUGAUCUUUCAACACUUUAUGUCGAACGCAAUACUGGUCACGAUUUCUUCAAGCUCGCCGGAGUUCUUCCAAUUCUCCUUAUAUUGAAUCUGAUACUAGUCACGAUCGAUUCAAGCUCAUCGGAGAAAAAUCGCCACAACAAUCUUGGUGCCCUCAACCGUAUGAGUCACUGAACAUGCAAAUGAAUACAAUAUGAAUGAUAAAAGUGUUUGAUAAAUCACCAAGUUAUGGAACACUUGAUGAUUUAUCUCAAAUAAAAAUUCAGCUUUCCAAAGUUUAUGAAUUGAAAAUAUGACCGUUAAAGCUCUCUAAACAAAGAAGACGAAGGUCUUAUUUUAUAGACUUUUACUUUACAAGAAAGAAAACACGUUGAAAACCAAAUCUCCAAUUUCCAAGGCUUGACAGAAAAUCACAAAAUUAUCUUUCCUAUUCUAGAGAUUGGUCACAUGAAGUCCAACCAAUAGGAAAUGAGAUAUUUAAGAAAGGAAGAUUUUGAUCAAUAUCAAUAUCAAAUGAAUUCUUAUACGCCUAGUCAAUUGUUAUGGGUAUCUUGACUCCUUGAUAUUGUGAUAUGAUUGAAACAUGAUUUCCACGUUAGAAAAUUAAGGGGAUGUUAAAACAUGAAGGUAAUAGGAGAAUCAAAUUGAUUUGGGCCAAAAUUGCCUAAAAAGAAAACACUCCUUAAUAAACUUCAAUUUACUUUUAAAAAUAGUAAAACGUGAUUGAAUCGUUCUUUAAAACAAUUCCCUAAUAUACAUGCAUGAUAGUGAUAUCACUUACCUUUGAAUCAGAUGGCUUUCACGGGUCAAGCCACAAGUUUUUGUCUUGGGGAUUGCUGAGCUUCAUCAAUCCUGCCAAUGUCAAUUUUGCCCCUAAGCUCUCUCAAAGCACGUUUACAACCUAUGCUAACAUAUAUUAGAGUUUAUGUUAGUAUCAAGAAAAUGCCAACACUAAUUUCGUAACACGUAGAAAUUGUUAGAGAUUGAAGUUUUUAUCAUUUUUUCUUCCAGACUCUCCACCACUCACUAAUAUAGUUUACUCAUGUGAUGAGUUUACAAAACCUAUUUCUCUACUCUCACAAAGACUAUACUUAGGGGGGUGUAUUCAAUUAGGAUUCUAAAGCGUUUAAAAAGAUUUUGUUUAAGUGCCAGCUUUCAUAGAACUUGAUGGAACUUUAUAAUUCGUAUAGAACUUGAUAGACUUUCAGAAGACUUCUGUAUAAUUUUUUAAUAAAACUUUCUUAAGCUUUCAUAGAACUUGAUAGGCUUUCAUUCCAAACUUAUGUAGAUGGUAUAUUUCAUUUUAUCCCCAUCCUUGACAUUUAAAGAAAGAAACUUGAAUUUUUUCAAUCAAAUUUGUUUUUGUUACCAAAGCAGCAAAAACAAAAAGUACUUGUUUGCGAUGGAAGAACAUAUGCACAGUUCAAAAUGAAAAGAAUAAGAAGCAAAGUACCUAUUUGACCAAUGAAUGCUGUGUCAACUAGAGAAGCAAUUGGAUCGGCUGUCAAAGCCAAUGCUGCAGGCAAUGCAUCGAUGGUCCAAAUUGCAAUAAAAAAAUAUUUUGAAUAAUGGCUCUUGCAGACAAAGACCACAUAAAUUCUGAACUGGUCUAGCUUGAAUAAUAAGGUUAGAUUAGCCAAUUGAUGAGAUUAAAAGCAAAGCAAGUUGAUGAAUUUAUCAUCAACUAUUUAAUAACCACAGUCCUGAUCUCUUGGACCCCUGUAGUCCAAGAGAUUUAUGGUCACCCACCGUUGGAUGUAAAUUCAACGGUUGACUUGAAUCGGGUAAUAAUCAUUUAUGUCAUAUUGCAUUUAUAUAUAUCAUUUUGAACCAUUGGAUUAAUAUCCAACGGUGGGUGACCACAAUCUCUUGGACUCCUGUGGUCCAAGAGAUCGGGACUGUUAAUAACCAAUAGAGUAUUUAAACAUAAACAACAAUGUUUGAUCAACAAAACAAAUAGUCCAAAUAUCAUCCAAAAAACAAUAACAAAAAAUCAAUCAUUCCAAACAAACUAGUCAUUCUCAAAAACUCUCAAAAAACCCACUCAUUCCAAAUUGUAGGAUAUCCAAUUUGAGCACUCCUCAGGAGACAUUUUCAAAAAUGCAUCCUUUUUUGUGUUACUAUGCAACAAAGAGAGUGCUUUAUAACGAGCAUGUUCAUCCAAAUUUGGGGUCUCCUUAAUGGCAUCCCAUAUAUAACUCCGCUGCUCUCUCUCUUUUUCCCUUUUUGCCAAUAGGUUAUGGACCUCCCGGAAGUCGAUGACAAUUGAAUCAAUGCUAAGGCUAAUUCUUCCCAUAGCUUGCUGGGUGGUCACAUUUGAGAUAGCAUUCCCUUCCAAAUAUGUUCUAGUUCGUUUCCUCUAGUAACAAGCAUAAAUCCUAGUAACAAGCAUAAACCCUAACCCCAACCUAUAACCUAAUAACAAGAAGAAAACCCAACGAGGUAUUGAUCAAAGAAAAAUUAGGGAGCAUACCUUCACAGAUGGAGGAAGGAAGCUGUUCGUCUUCGCAGAGAGAAAAUCUAGGGAAAGAGAAAAACGUCUUAUGAAAUACUUGGGGGGGAGGUUGGAUUUAUUUUGGUCUUUUUUAUUUAUAACUCUCCCCUUAAAACCUACGUAAAUUUAUCACUUAAUGAAAUCCUUCCAAAUAUAUGACCUUUCGAAUACACCUAGAUUUGAUUCAACUUUUUUAUAAUCAUAAUUGAAUACACCCAUAUUUGAAUGGACUUUUUAAAAGUUCAUAUAGGUCCGAAAUGAAUAUACUCAAACUUGUAAAACCUCUUUUAAAGUUUGUAUAAAUCCAAAUUGAAUACACCUGGAUUUUUAAAAUCUUUUUAAACACUUUAUAAUCCUAAUUGAAUACACCCCCCUUAUUCUCAAAAGACUAUAUUACUUUACCUCUAUCUCUGUGAAAUGUAAAAAGUUGAAACUUUAAUGUCAAACCUCAACAAAAGAUGAACUUUCAUCAGUUACGUUGAAUUUGGAUUUGUUGAACUUAAGUGGUUUUAUUUUCUUUGUCAGUGUUUGAUGACUUAAUUUGGUAUUUAUUUCUUCUUUUUUUUCCUUGGAAAUGUGUUCCACCAACGUGAGGAAGAAAAAUAUGCACAAAUUAAUAUAUUUAAUAGAAGCCCAAGAUUUCGGAUGCAUAUAAUUUCUACAAAAAUCUACAAAGUUUUUUACUUUACAAACUUCUUAUGUCUACCAAUUUCUACUAAAAUUAAUUUCUCUGUGGUGCUCAAAUUCAUCAUAUGUGUGUCGUUAAUUUUAUUGAAAAUUGGAAGUUCCCAUCAUUUUUGUUUUUUGGGAAUUUUCUGAACCAAGGAAAAUCAAGUAAAAUUAAUAAAGCCUAAAUUGGAAAGGGAAAAUAUCUAGAGGAUGCAUUGUAGGAUUGCUCAUGCCAAUAAUUGUACCCUCUAAAUAUAUAGAGACAUAUUUUUUUUGUUUUCAUGACAUGUGGUCCUAAAAUUAUUGUGUAAAUCUUCAAUCCUGAACGAUGCACCUAAAACUCAUCCACCCAUUCUCAGGCCAAUUAUUGCACCUAGUGGGCUCUCGACCCCCUCUCAAAUUUAACCACAUAUUUUAUGGACCAUCCAGCUGUGAGGUACAUUCCCCCCACAUGCCACAAUUGUAUAUUCACAAUUACGUCUGAUACAUCACAUCAUGCCACUUGCCUCAAAUGAAUUUAAGUGAGUGAGGCAGUUGGAAGUAAUUAAGCUCUAUAUUGGUGGGUGGAGUGUUACUUCUCGGUUCCCCUCAUCAUUCGUCUAUAAAAUGGUGAAGGCAGUUGCUAUUGUUACCAUAAGAGCCAGCUCCGACUUCCUUUAAUUUCUUGCUUCAUAUCCACUAGCUACAUCUGUUACCAAGUUAAUUUCAGUUCUAAUGGGGUUUCAUCUCCCACUCAUCUUUGCUCUUCUCAGUGUAAGCUCUGCAAUUUGAUUAACUUUUCCAUUCUCUCUCAUUGUACUCUAUAUAAACGAAAGUUUUGUGUUCCUAUUGUUCUCUCCGAUUUUAUUUAGUACGUACUUAAGUGUCGUCCACUAAUUAAUUAUACUUUGUGAUUUGAUUUUAAUUUGAGUUUGAAUUAAUGUUGCAGCUAGCAGCAGUGGCACUGGCAAACCAUGCUGCUCAACCAGCACCUCAACUUUACUGGAGCUCCGUCCUGCCAAACACACAGAUGCCAAGAUCUAUCAGUGAACUUCUGCAUCCUGGUUUGUGUUGAGCUCUUUAGAAUCUUAGAUAUCUCUUCUACCUGCCAUUUUACUAAAAUAUGUUCCACCACAUAUUUAUCAGUUAACCAUUGUCAUUACAUGAGUGACACAUAUUCACAAAUCGGCUGAUCACUUAUUUUCCAUUAUGACUUGAUAUAUAAUUUGCAGACUCCACAAAUGAAGAAAAGAGCACAAAUGACGUUGGCAAACCUGAAACUUUCCCAUUGGGCAAUCAACAUUACUCCAGUCAAAAACAUUAUGGAGGCAUACCUGAAACUUCCCCAUUGGGCAAUAAACAUUACUCCAGUCAAAAACAUUAUGGAAGAGGCAAACCUGAAACUUUCCCAUUGGGCAAUCAGCAUUACUCCAGUCAAAGACAUUAUGGAAGAGGCAAACCUGAAACUUUCCCAUUGGGCAAUAAACAUUACUCCAGUCAAAAACAUUAUGGAAGAGGCAAACCUGAAACUUUCCCAUUGGGCAAUCAGCAUUACUCCAGUCAAAAAAAGUAUGGAAGAGGUGCUUCUCCAUCCGACAAUCAACAACUCCAUUAUAAAGACUUAGCUAUUUUCUUCUUGGAGAAGGACAUGCGCCCUGGCACAACAAUGAAGUUCCAAUUCCCUAUAAAUUCAAACACGGCUACUUUCUUGCCACGAGAAAGCGCUCAAUCGAUCCCCUUCUCCUCUAACAAACUGCCAGAAAUUUUCAACCAUUUUUCAGUGAAGCCAACAUCUGAGGAAGCCAAAACAAUUAAGCAAACAAUCGAAGAGUGUGAAGCUCCAGACCUUAAGGGAGAGGAAAUAUAUUGCGCCACAUCUUUAGAAUCAAUGGUUGAUUUUAGCACUUCGAAGCUUGGAACAAGAAACGUUGAAGCAAUCUCGACGGAGGUAUUGGAAAAAGGAGCCACCAUGUCCAUCCAAAACUAUACAACAAUGCCGGGACUGAAGAAGUUGGCAGGUGACAAAGUCGUUGUGUGUCAUAAGCAGAACUAUCCCUAUGCUGUGUUUUUCUGCCAUGCAAUAAAACAUACAGCAGCUUAUGCUCUCUCCCUGAAAGGCGAUGAUGGGGAGAAGGUUAAAGCAGUAACCAUCUGCCAUCUAGACACAUCAGAAUGGGACCCAGAGCAUAUGUCCUUCCAAAUCGUCAACGUUAAGCCCGGAACCAUUCCCAUCUGCCAUUUCAUUUCCACUGAUGCUAUUGCCUGGGUUCCGAACCACAAAUCUGCAUGAUCAUCACUUAGCACUAGUACUGUGCGUAUAAUAUGCCUGUAUAAUUAUCUCCCUACUUAUUUCUGCCUCUUCAUCAUGUGGUGUAAGAUAUAUGUUGAGAUGAAGUUUUUGGGAUUUGUGGUCGAAAUUAACCCGAUCAUGUUUUCUCUUGCAACCAUAUAGACUUCAACUUGUACUCAUAAUAAAGCAUGCUAUAUUUAUGAAGAGAUAUUAAUCUUCAGGCAAAUAGAUAUUAUGAAAACAUAUAUAGCAAUUUAUCCAGAAGAAACAUUAUGAAAUGAAAAGAAUAAAAAGUAGAAAAACAGAAGGAAAGGAAUUCGCACGUGCUAUGCUAUGUAUGAAAGGACCAAGAUUGUUUUCCCUUUGGUUAAUGACUAGAAAAGCUCACUUGCAGAGUGCUUUCUCCGACCAUAGAUGGAAGAGAAAUUUUCUCUUAAUAAUAGCACAAUGAUCGGGUAAUUGUAAGAACAAGUUGAUUUAAAAUUCCUUGACCCAAAAAAAAAAAAAAAGUUCUUUUCAAAUUCAGGUCAACCCAUAGAUUUCUUGCCUUCGUCUUCUUCAUCACGUUGGGCUUGUCUUCUUUUUGCGUUUUGGGCCUUGGAAGUUGGGACCCAACCCAACUUCACAAAAAGAAAACAGAUUUGCCAAAAAUCAAAUUUCAAGUCUCUCCUCCGAUCACUAAUACAGAUCAAAUUUUGGAUUUGAUGAACUAAAGUGGUUUUACUUUCUCUGUCAGUGUUUGAUGACUUAAUUUGUUAUUUACUUUUUUUUUUUUACUUGAUCUUUGUAGGGGCUUUUUUUUUUCCGGCAGCUUAAACGGGCUGGGCUGCCGUAAAGGGUAGAUUGAUGAAAUUGUCCCCUUUGUCUGAAUUCGAAAAUCAAGCCCCAAAAGCGCUUCGAAAGGGCAGUAGAGCCUUAGGAAGCGUUCUGGUUACCUUCACUAAUUAAAACAACAGCAACUUACAGAUGAUUUCUUGAGGCUUACAGAUAAAUUUUCUAGCUUGGCAUGACAUGGAAGCAAAAUCAGCAUGAGUUUAGCACCAAAGAGGAAAAUAUGGCUUCCUAGGGAGAAAUGAGAGUGUUUAAGGUGAGGAAGAAGAGGUUUGCAGGCUGAUUUGGCUGAGAAAAGAGAAAGAAAGAACAAUGUUCUUCCGGCAGCUUGACAAAGCUUCUGACAGAUGUGAAAGUCGUCCGCCAGAAGAGGAAAAUGGAGAAGAAGGAUGAAUAGUGCACGAAAUUGGUGGGUUCUUGCAGGUAAGAGAGAAAGCUUGCUCUCUGAAUCUGAGUUGGUUUUGGUUGGGUAGAAGAAGCCCCCUUUUAUAGCUGCGGGAAACCAUCUUUUUCCAAGAAACCCUAAUGGUUUCUAUCCUUUUUGGCCAAGCUUUUCCCUUCCUUUCUCUUCUCCUCCCUUGACUUUUCCUAUCUUGGUGAAAUUUCCUCUGCCUAUUUGCACAAAAUUAGAGAUUUUGAGGAGCUCAAGGCCCCUUUCCCGCAGCUGCCUUAGUGGAGAAUCCCCAUUUUCAGUCAUCUUUCUUCCUUCUUUUCUCCCAUCUUCCAAGGCUAGGUUUGAUGAGAGAAAGAAAUGGAUAUGCACACUGGUUUGAAGGGUGUUUUUCCUUGAAACUUGUUCUCUCCCAUGUGCUGGAGCUUCCCAGCAGCUUACACACAUAGAUAUUUUGGCUUUCAUCGUGGCUUUUGUUUUCAGCUAGGUGCUGGAGAUUUUGCAUAUAUUUUCUUGAGUUGCUUGGGCCUUCUAGGACAAUACGUUGGUUUAUCAAGUGAAUGGGCUAACUUCAUCAAUUGUUGGGCAAUUUUGGUUGAGUUAAUGGACUAUUUUGGUUCAAGUAAUGGACUAUUUUGGUUGAAAUAAUAGGCUAUUUUUCUCUCUUUGUGCUCACCCACAUAUUUGGGCCUAAAAAAUGGGCUUGAGUUUCGGGGCUCCCAAGCAACCCCGGGACUUCCAUUUCUCGGCCCAUCAAUGAGCCUCAUGUCAACUUAUUACCAUCCAUACCACAACCCACUCAAGCAAGCCUCAGGCAUCUUGCGUGGCUUGGGCCCACGUAAGCUCGUAGUGGCAAUGUUGCUUAUUUGCUUGACGUGGCAUGUGUGCAAGUGCAUAUGACGAACUUUCGCGUGCCCAAAUUGAGUUUCUUCUCGGUAGGGUAUCGCAUUGGGCCGAGAAUUUAAUUGGGUAGAACCGUGGAUUUUUUGGGCCUCAACAAUCUUAUAUAUAUUAGUUUUCUUUUUUUCCUUAAUAUUCACCACCUUUCUGUUGCAUAAGUAUUCCAGUCUUAGCGGGUUUCCAUCUACCACUCAUCUUUGCUCUUUUAAGUGCAAGCUUUUUUAUUUUUAUUUUUUUAUGCACAAGAUUAGAGGGGAGGGAGAUUUCUCAAUGUAAGCUUUGCAGUUUCAUAAUUAAUAUUUCCAAUAUCUCACUGUUAGUAAAAUAUGGAACGGGAAAAGUACGAAUAAAAUACACACAUGUUUUAUUUAGCAAAAUUUUGACAAGAUACAACUGAAAAGUUUGGCCACUAUAUAAUAUUUUGAUUUAAUUUUUUUUAUUUUUUUAAUAUAUAUUAUUUUUAUUCAAUAAUAUGUGAAAAAUAGGUGUACAAUAUAUGAAAUUUGUAUGUAUUAUUGAAAAAUUCGUAAAAAAAAAACAUGUUAUUAAAUGUGAAAAAUAUGUACGUAUAUGUAUAAAACAUGUAUUGUACAUUACUUUUUAACAAACUUGUAUUUUACCUAGUCUUUAAACCGUAUAUGGAAAACGGAAGUAUUAUUGAAAAAUACAUAUGUACGUAUAUGUAUAAAACAUGUAUUGUACAUUACUUUUUAACAAACUUGUAUUUUACCUAGUCUUUAAACCGUAUAUGGAAAACGGAAGUAUUAUUAAAAAAUACAUAUGUACGUGUAUAAUAUGAGUAUUAAACAAAAAAAUGUGCUAAGUACUUAUCUUUUAAUUUAAUAAUUCAUUUCAUUUUGUGAUCUCAUACGUAGUAAUGAGAGUUCAAAUUAAUGUUGCAGCUGACAAUGGUGGCUCUGGCAAGCCAUGCUUGAUGCAGGAGUAUAGGGGUGGAUCAAGAUAGAUAUUUACCAUGUAAUUAGUUAUUUCAUGAUAUAUUGUUAUUUUCUUAUUUAGGUAGUUUUAUGAUAUCUUUUAUUAUUUAUGUGGGAUUUUAUAAUUAAUUAGUUUACUUUUGGACCAAGUAGCCUUGGUGCUCAAGUCUUGUAAAGCUUAUAAAUAAGGCUAAUGUAAUAGUUGUAGGAAAAGAGAUGUCGAUGAUUAAUAAAAUCGUUUAUUUGUGGCAUGGAUUUGCUACGAUAUAUGUGAGUUUGCACUAGCCCUAGAUUUCGGUGCUCGUGUAUGUGGUUGGUGACCUGUGUCCGGAUCCCGAUCCCCAUCAAUGCUGUUCUCCCAGUACCUCAACUUUACUGGAACUCUUUCCUGCCAAACACAAAUGCCAAGAGCUAUCAGUCAACUUCUGCAUCCUGGUUUCUAUUAAGGGACUUUUCGUGAGCUUAUCAUCUACCCAAAUUUUACUCAUCCGACGUAAUUUUAAAAGUGAUUUGAUCCUUUGGCAAAGUAAUCUUGAACUACAAAAAAGGAGGGCACUCGAAUAGGCAUGCCAUUUGGUAUUACCCACCUCUAAUUUCUUUUAAAAUUUUAGUAAUUGAUUUUUAAGAUUAGAAAAUGGGAAAGUUCAAAACCGAAAAAGUUGUUUCAGUUUUGGCAAGUAUCGGAAAAGACUAAAAUUUUCCGACUUUAUUAUUACUAGAAACAAAGUCGAAGUAUUCACCAAUCAUGUGGCCUUCCAAGUGCUCAAGGUUAAGCCAGGAACCGUUCCUAUCAGCCAUUUCCUUCCCAAGUAUGAUCAUGUUGUCUGGGUUCCAACCCACAAAUCUACAUCAGUACCUGAACUAAUCAGUUCUACAUGAAUAUUCAUUCAUGGCAACCUUGGGCUAAGUAUUUGAAUUUAUGCUCAUAAAGCUUUAAUGCUUUUGAGGGCCAAUCGUUGUCUACAUAUGGUAUUGUAGCAUCUUUAGAUGGAAGAGGUCAGGGGUUCAAUUCUUGUUUUCCACUUCUUUAUUUGUUGGUUUAUCGAGUGUAGAGUGGAGUUGCACCUAUAUGUUCGUCUCUCACCCCAUCAUUUACCAUUGAUAUAUAUUUAAUAGAAGCCUAAGAUUUCGGAAGCACAUAAUUUCUACUUUACAAACUUCCUGUGUCUACCAAUUUCUACUAAAAUUAAUUUAUCUGCGGUGCUGAGAUUCAUCAUAAUUUUAAUAGAAAUUGGAAGUUUUCAUCAUUUUUGCUUUAAGUCUCUACUCCACUCACUAAUAAAGAUUACUCAUGUGAGUUUACAAAACAUUUUUUUUUUCUACUCUCUCCUGAAGACUACACUUCUUCUCAAAAAAUUAGAUCACUUCACAUCUUGUGUAUGUGAAAACUAAUGUAAAAAGUUGAAACUUUAUCGUAAAACCUCGACAAAAAUGAGCUCUACUACAAAAUGUUAAAUUUGGAUUCGUUGAUUUAAAUGGCAAUUUGACACUUGAUAGAAAUUUUUACAUACAUGUGUUAGUGUUUGAUCACUUCACAUGUCACUUACUAUAUUUAUUCCACUCAAGUUAGGUAAAUAUUAUUAUCAAACAUUUCAAUUAAUUUGUGAUUUUUUUAUUAUUUAAUCAAUUAUGAAUUAAUGGAUUCUUCUUGUUGUUUUGAAGACCAACAAAAAAAAAAAAAAGGGUAGUGAUGGCUUAUAAUUCUGGUAAAACAACAGUGACGUGGACAACAGAUGUUACGCUGUACUAAAGAUUUUUGAAGAUUCUUUAUUUGAGUUUCUUUCAAGAUAAAAACCAUAUUAUCCACAACCACAAGCACAUCCGGCAGACAAUCUUUGGCUAUUCAUCACAAUUGGGAGACAAUGAAGAAGACAGAAAAUGGAGUAAUUCAGAUGUUACCAGCCAUCCACGACAAACUGAAGUCUGCAAAGCAUUCGUAAUCUAAAAAGGAUGGGGAGGCUGCGCAAUACUUAGCCACGUGUAGGCCAGGAGGCUUUCCAAUUUUAAUAUAUAUAUAGAUUGAAAAAAUAAAAUAAAAAUCAAUCUAUUAUCAUAUAUAUUAUAAAAUAAAGAUUAUUGCUCCCAUGGGCGGUGCUAUGCACAGGACAGUGCCUGCCUAGUCCAAAUUUUUUUUAAAUAAAAAUAAAAAUCUACAUAUGUUAUAAGCUCAUCCAAAAAAAAAAAAAAAAAUAAAAGUGUUGUAAAUUAUAAGGUGGAGCCCACAUGUUGGAAGGCUUUGCCUACAAAAGGGUUCACACCCUCCCUUUGUAAUUAGACAUUGAGAAUACUAAGGAAGACAGAAAUGAAUAGAGAGAAAACAUUCCCUUCUCUCCAUCUCAAUUCCCUCUCCAAUUCCUCUAGAUUUAUAACACGUUAUCAGCAGCACGAAUCGCUUUCAAACAAUACCAGCUGAAUUUUAUGAUGAAACCCAGAUCUCUCAUCCAUCUCUGCUGCUCCACUACUUCAAAAUAAAUCCCACAGAAAAAGAAAAAGCCUCAAUGCUCUCUCUCUCUCUCUGUCUCGCUUGGGAGACUUGGACAAUUCCUCAUCCCCGUUACUGACAAUUUCAACAGCUUCAGGGGAAGCUAGUUUAUCUUCCUCUGCUCACGAAACCAUGACUCUUUCAGAGCCAAACAACAACACAAUAGACAACGCAUGGAGACCAGACUGGAGCUCGUCGGCUAAGGCACCGACGAUCCGACCCUACCCGUAUGGACCUUCCGGAUGUGGUUCCUGGGUCUUGUCUCAUGUGCCCUCCUCUCAUUUCUCAACCAAUUCUACAAGCAGCAGAGCUUCAAAUCAAACAGAUCAUGGCAUCGCUUUCACACCUCCCCAUCUUCCUCUUCCUCCUGUUCACCGCUUUCUAUUCUACAGCUUCGCAGUCCUUCAUCGGCGCAUCCAAAGGCGACAUACCGGCGCUCGCCUCAGAUCCGAACGCGGCGGCUCAGUGGGUGAACUCGAAUGUCCUCGCCUUCUACUCGGCCAGCAACAUCGACCUCAUCAACGUCGGCAACGAGGUCCUUUUUCUCCAACGACCAGGGCCUCAUCUCGCAGCUCCUCCCCGCCAUGCGAAAUGUCCAAUCUGCCCUCUCCGCCGCGUCCCUCGGCGGCAAGGUCCGUGUCUCCACGGUCCACUGCCUCGCCGGAUCGGGAUCCUUCCUUCAAGUGUUUCUCUGUCUUCGACUUGAAAAAGAAGGUCAUGGCAGGCCUAUGUAAAAAUUGCGAAAAGGAAGGCAAUCUUCAACCUUUUCUCCUGUCUCUCUCUUGAUCAAUUCAUGGAAGGCACAUUUGGGUCUUCCGGGGGCUCAUCAAAUGAGUCAGCAAUGUCAAAGGUGGAGGUGGUGGAGCAAGACUACGUGGGGAUGUCAUAUGAGGCAACCUCAUACCCAGCUGAGGCAGAGCUUGUGCUGGGCCUGGGCCUUGGCCUGAGCCUUCGUGGUGGUGGUGCAGGGAAGCAGCCAAAGCCAUGUGCAUGGGGUGAGCGUGGUAGAAUCUUGACUGCUAAAGUUAGGUGCUGAGUUACACUGUGUUCUCUGCUACUGACCCUAAGAGGAGUGCUAGAAACUUCCAUGUUCCGCCAUCAUUUCGCUUUCACUGUUACAAGGCACUGGAGUAUGUUUAAUUGAAAAGUGAGAUACACAGCAAGUUGAUCAGCCUAGUGGAAAGCAAAGGAUUAUUGCCAGGGAUAUGAACACCCACCGAAAUAAAGGGAUAAGUACUCUUUUUCCCUUCGACCAGUUUUUUUUUGUCCCACUGGGUUUUUACUGGCAAGGUUUUUCACGAAACAUAUUCCGUAUCAUUUGUGGUCUCUAAGAGGGAGUGUUGUAAAUUAUAAGGUGGAGCCCACAUGUUGGAAGGCUUUGCCUACAAAAGGGUUCACACCCUCCCUUUGUAAUUAGACAUUGAGAAUACUAAGGAAGACAGAAAUGAAUAGAGAGAAAACAUUCCCUUCUCUCCAUCUCAAUUCCCUCUCCAAUUCCUCUAGAUUUAUAACAAAAAGUAAAUUCUACACAUAUGUUGCCCAUCCAGGUGGUCCCAUAUCUUCUCUUUCCUUUUCUUUUGGCUAUUAGACUUCUUGUUUCUCUCUCUCUCUUUGCUACCCCACAUCAGCAAGUUUCUCCCUCUCUUUUUUUGGGAUCAAAUUCUUCUUCUAUUGACAAAAUCUUCUAUUAUAUUGGGUGGGCAACUUGGCAACAACAUCUUCUCCUCUCCUUUUGUCAACAGCAAGUAUUAUUCUCAUUCUCUCAUUUGCUAUAUAUCUUUAAUUAUAGUUUUAAUUUAAAAUUGAGUAUUCUAGGGUUUAAUUAGGGAUGAAUUAUAAUUUUGGGAUUUUGUUGAAAUUAAUUAGGGCUUCGAUUAGGGGUGAAUUAUUCUACUGCUUUGAUUUGGAAUUUUGUUAAAAUUGAGUAUUAUAGGUUUAAUUAUGGAUGAAUUACAAUUUUUGGUUUUGGUAUUGUUGAGAUGUUAUUAUGAGAAUUUGUUUGAUUUUUUGUUGGUAUAUUUGAUUAAAAUUCUUUCUACAUAUUAUUCAUAGGCUAUCUUUUAUUAUGUCGGAUCACAAUCGGAAUCCCAAGAAAACAAAAAAUUUGAAUAGUGUUGUUUUGUAUUGCAUUGCAUUUACUUUUGGUUUUAGUUUUGCUUUUAGUGUAAAUUACUCAAAUGGUCCUCAAAUUUGUACCCAAUUUACAUUUUGGUCCAUAAACUAAAUUAUUCAUUCAAAUGGUCCACCAACUCUUUAUUAAUCGGUGCUUUGGUCCUAUCGUUAUGUUUUCUAUUAAAUUUAGUCAUGUGAGCAGCACAUGCUACAUUUGUAUGGGUAAAUAAGACUUUUGACCAGUGGCGGAUCCACGUUGGGACAAGAGGGGUCGGACGACCCCUUGGAAGGCUGGAAAUUUGGCAAGGGAGUCCAUGAAAGCCCCCUUGGACAGCUGCUGGAAGCCCCCUUGUAUGCACACAAUGUGCUCGACGAAAUGCCCCAACGAAAUGUCCUGCGCAGCUGUGCUGCGCCUUGCGCGUAAUUUUUUUUUAAAACCAGCCUUGCCAAACGACGUCGUUUGGUCAAGGCUCAGUCAAAUUUUUUUUUAAUUAACCUGGCCUCAAAACGACGUCGUUUUGGGCCAGGUUUAAAAAAAAAAAAACAGAACAGUACACACGCACAGCAGCUCUGCACAGAUUCAUUUUCUCCAAACCUUUCAUUCCCAAUUCCACAGCCCCUCUUCCCAUCCUCUCAAACCCUAACCUCCCAACCUCCCAACCUUGGACAACCUCCAUCAACUCUUCACCGGUGGCCCAAUGCCGAUCACCACCACCUUCUACCGCCGUCCGCCGCCCAUUUUUUAAACUACAAGUAAGUAAGCAUGGAAAAUCUGAUAUUAAUAAUUAUAGUGAUAAUAUAUAUUGUUGAUAUUGAUAUUUUUUUUUUAUGUAAUGAAAUUUAUGGAUAUGAAUCAUAUUGAUUGAUUGAGUUUAUGCUUGAAAUUUAUGGAUAUGAAUCAUAUUGAUAUUUUUUUUUAUGUAAUUAAAUUUAUGGAUAUGAAUCAUAGUGAUAAUCAUAUUAAUGUAGAUUGAUUGAGUUUAUGCUUGAUUGAUAAUAUGAAUUGAUUGGGUAUAUUAAAUAUUGAUUGCUAUUUGAUAUGAUAAUUUGGUAUAUUGAAUAUUGAUUGAUAUGGGUUUAGGGAGUAUAUUGAAUAUUGAGAGUGGGUUAUUGAAAUUUUCAUAUUCAUAUGAUAAUUAGGAUAAAAAUUAAUGAUUGAUUGAAUUAAUUGAUUUGUAGAUUUAUGGAACGAUUCUUUAAAAGAAAAUUAUCUACGGAUAGUUCUUCUCUGUCUAAUCCGGGUAGUUCAAAUGCAAGACCAAUUGAAGUAGAUGAGAUCUUAGCUAAUCUUCAAGCAGACCCUGGACUAAGAACUCGAAUGGCGGAUUAUAGUCCUAAUAUUAGGGAUGAGAUCCGAAGAGCAUAUCUACAAAAGGGACCUUGUCAACCUAGAAGUUAUAAAUUCCCACAAACUAAUCAAUCAGGAAUUAAUAGACGCUUCAUUGCUCAUUGGUUUGAUGAUCAUGAUUGGUUGGAAUAUAGUAUUGCUAAAGAUGCUACGUUUUGUCUUCAUUGUUAUCUCUUCAAAUCUAAUUUUGAUCAAGUGGGUGGUGAUGCAUUCACUGGGGUAGGCUUCAAUAAUUGGAAGAAGGCGAAAGAAAGAUUUAACCUUCAUAUUGGACCGGUUGGUAGUGUUCACAACCAAGCUAGAGAAGUUGCUUACAAUUUGAUGCAUCAAACUACACACAUUGAAACAAUUGUGCUCAAGCAAACAAGCCAAGCUCGCACGGCUUAUCGCACUUGCUUGAAUGCAUCACUUAAGUGCACUAGGUAUUUGUUGCGGCAAGGGCUUUCUUUUCGUGGUCAUGAUGAAAGUGCACAAUCAAGUAAUAAAGGGAAUUAUUUAGAGCUCUUGCAAUUUCUUGCGGAUCAUGAUGAAAAAGUUAAGGCCGUUGUAUUGGAAAAUGCUCCGGGAAAUUUAAAGUUAAUAGCUCCUUCAAUUCAAAAAGAUCUUGUCAAUUCUUGUGCCAAAGAAACCAUUGAUCUUAUCUUGAGUGAUGUAAAAGAUAGAUAUUUUUCAAUAAUGGUGGAUGAAGCACGUGAUGUUUCAAUAAAGGAGCAAAUGGCAAUGGUGUUGCGUUAUGUGAAUGACAAAGGACAAAUAAUUGAAAGGUUUGUGGGGGUUCAACAUGUAACCGACACUACUUCAAGUGCACUAAAGGAAACAAUUGAUGAAUUCUUUUCUUCCGCGAAUUUGAGCUUUUCCAAGCUACGAGGACAAGGUUAUGAUGGAGCUAGCAAUAUGAGAGGUGAGUUCAAUGGCCUUAAGAGAAAGAUUUUGAGAGAACAACCUUGUGCAUUUUAUGUUCAUUGCUUUGCUCAUCAACUUCAACUAGCUCUUGUUGCGGUAGCAAAGAAAAACAUUGAUGUCAACUCUUUUUUCACAACGGCUAAUAGUUUGGUUAAUGUGGUUGGAGCAUCUUGUAAGCGUCGCGAUGCACUUAGAGCACAAUACCAAGAAGAGCUUGUGAGAGCUUUUGAAGAUGAUUGUCUUAUAACGGGGCGGGGCUUAAAUCAAGAAAGGACUCUCAAACGUGCCGGCAAUACACGAUGGAACUCACAUUAUGGUACGUUGAUUAGUAUCAUUUCUAUGUUCCCAUCUGUGGUGAAUGUGCUUCAAAUGAUUGUUGAUGAUAAUCUUAAUGAUAGUUCGGGUGAAGCCUAUAAGUUAAGGAGAGAAAUACAAUCUUUUGAGUUUGUGUUUCACUUAUUUGUAAUGAAAGCUAUAUUGGGAAUAACAAACACUUUGUCUCUAGCAUUGCAAAAGAAAGAUCAAGACAUUGUGAGUACAAUGAAUUUAGUGAAAACAUGCAAGGAAAACCUGCAGUUGAUGAGGGAUAAUGAGUUUGAAGAAUUGGUUGGGCAAGCAUCCUCGUUUUGUUACAAAUAUGAUAUUAUAGUUCCUACCAUGGAUGAGGAAUAUGUAAUUCCAGGGAGAUCAUGGCGUAAUGCUCCAAUGAAGACAAAUUAUCAUCGUUAUCGUGUGGAGAUCUUUAUUCAUGUAAUUGAUGGGCAACUUGCGGAAUUAAAUGAUCGCUUCAACGAGGUAAGUACUGAGUUACUUACUUGUUUGGCAUGCUUGAGUCCAAAAAAUAACUUUGUGACUUUUGACAAACGAAAGCUAGUUCGUCUUGCUCAAUUUUAUCCUUAUGAUUUUUCGGAUAGAGACUUAUUGAUGCUUGAAGAUCAACUUGGUGUUUAUGUUCAUCAUAUGCGUUCGAGUAGUGAUUUUUCUCAAUUGGAAGGGAUUAGUAGUCUUGCGGAAAAAAUGGUGGAGAAAGGAAUGCAUGAAAUAUUUCCUUUUGUAUUUGCUUCUUACAUUGGCUUUGGUUUUACCGGUUGCAACUGCAUCAGUGGAGAGGGCAUUUUCCGCUAUGAAUAUUAUUAAAAAUCCACUUCGCAACAGAAUGGGAGAUCAAUGGUUGAAUGAUAGCUUGCUUGUUUACAUUGAGAGAGAUGUUUUUGCUUGUAUUGAUAACGAAAUUAUAAUGCAAUGUUUUCAGAAUAUGAAAACUCGUCGUGGACAAUUGUAACUUGUAUUAUUGGUUUUGUUAUGAAUUAUGAAUGAAAGUACUAUCUUUCUAUCUUUUUAGCAUUAUUUUCUUUGUAGAAAAAUUUCAGAACUUUUACACUAAGCCCCCUUGGCUACAUAAUCCUGGAUCCGCCACUGCUUUUGACCACUUUAUCACCUAUGUAUCACCACUUUAUAACCUAUUUGGGGAACAUAGGUCAGUUAUGGACGGUUUUACCCUUACAUUUGACGGCAACAUUAACAUAAUGUAACAGUGGGAUCAAUGGAGUGAUUAAUAUAAAGUUGAUGGACCAUUUGAAUGAAUAAUUUAAUUGAGAGACCAAAAUGUAAAUCAAGUAUAAGUUUGAGGACCAUUUGAGUAAUUUACCCUUCGCUUUUAUAUUUGUUGAACUUUUAUUUAUGAUAGAUAUGCAUUUAAGGGUAAGACCCAUUAUGUUCCCCUGGCUAGGUGUAUCUUUUUAUGUUUAUUAAUGAAAUUCACUCGAACUGUUGAGUUUAGUAUGUAAGUUUUGCCUAACUGGCUUUUGAAUCCUAGAACCGCCACUGUUGCUCCAUCCUCCAUGCACUUGCAUGUGCUCUUACAAAGUGUGAAGUAGAUUUUGUGUGCUCCAAGUCAUUGACUAGAGCUGAAACAUGGUUAGCUAGAUUUAUAAGGACCCAUCUCUUUAUUUCCUAGACAUAUACCCAUCUCUCUAUAAAUCUAUAUGUAAAACCUAAUUUCAAACUUAAAUGACCAGUAGGAUAUAAAAGGUCAUAGUAUUCCUAUGUUUUUAUAUCGUUGCCACCAGACUUCUUAUUUUAUUUAUAAUUUAUUUCAAGCAUUUCAUUAACUGCCAUAAUUGUAAUUAAUACUCCAUAUUAAUAGCAUAUCAAUCACCCCAUUUCUUUUGGUUGCCAUUCCCUCUAACAUAUCGCCCCUUAAAUUUGAAAACCAAAAAAAAAAAAUGUAAAUUACAUAUCCAAUAAUGUACCUAUGAAAAAUAUAAAUAUAAAUAUAUACAUAUAAAAAUAUAGGUAUAUUAUUUACCAAAUAGAAAAUAUAAAAACCUAGGUCAGUUGCUUUGUAAUUGAAAUUUCUGUACAUUUUCCACAAAUUAAAAAUAGGUACAUAAUAAUUUAUAGAAAAUAUAUGUACAUUAUUUAUCCAUAGGUAAAAAUACCGAUAAAUGCACAUAGGUGAAUUAUUUACCAAUAUAUUAUUUUUUUGCUAAGGAUUUACCUUAGUUUUUAGUAGAUUAAUUUACCUACCUAGAGGCAUAGGUAGCUUAAAAAAAAUGUACCACCUUAGUUGGUUGCAUACUAAUUUACCUACCUAGAGGCAUAGGUUGCUAAGAAAAAAUGUAGGUAAAUUCAUGUACCUAAACACAUAGGGGUCAAAUAGAGAAUAACAUGUUAUUUCCCUUUGAACAAAUUAAUUUCAAACCAUAACAAUUAUUGAAUUUGGAAAUUGGUAUAAAUAAAAGGAAAUAAAUAAACUAUCAAUUUGAAAAUUAAAAUAAGAAAUGAUCAAGUAGUCAUAUUUGAAAAAAAAGGAAAGAAUAUAUUCUUGGUUUUUAUAGGAACAACGAGUAUAUUCAAACCAAACGGCGAUAACUACACCAAGCUUUAAUUACUUUUUUUUAAGGCCAAAAGUCACUUUUGGUCCCUGUAGUUCGGCAUUUCUACCACUUUUGAUGUUGUAGUUUCAAUUCCGUCAAUUUUGCCAUUGUAGUUUCGUAUUUGUAGCAAUUCAAGGACCUGUUAAUAUUAAUGUCAAUUUGUUUAAUGAUGCAAGAGGUAAUUUCGUCAUCCCAAAAUCCUUGAGCAUAAAAGAUUGUCUGAAAUUCUCCCCAUUUCAUAUUAGGGCUCGAAAUUCAACCACUAAUCCUAAUUUUUGAAGAACCCUAGACCCAAAUGACCAAUUUCAAGCCCUAAUAUGAAAUUACGGAAGUUUUAGAUGAGCUUUUAUGCUCAAGGAUUUUGAGUUGAAGAAACUGCCCCUUGCACUGUCAAAUAAAUUGACAGGAAUACUGACUUGUCCUUGAAUUGCUACAAAUACAAAACUACAGUGUCAAAAUUAACAGAAUUUAAACUAUAGGGUCAAAAGUAGUUGAAGUGUCAAACUAUAAGGACCAAAAGUGACUUUUAGCCUUUUUGUUUCAAUAAGGAAAAAACUGACCUAUUAAAUCCUUGGAAUCUAUACAAAAUUGAAACACAAUUAAUCAACAUUGAAUUGCAGCUAAUUUCUUAAACAAGGGUAUUAUAGGAAUUUAAAAAGUAUAACAUUUAAUCCAUUGAAUUUGAUUAGGAAACUUGAUGAAUUGAAUCCUAGUUAUAUAGUUUUUCUUAUAAAAAUCAGGUUUUAUUUAUAGACAAAUAAAACAAUGGGUUGUAGGUAAGAAAAUAUUAAUUUGAAGGGAAAGAGUCAAAUUUACUAAAUUAAUAAAGCAUAAAUUGGAAAGGGAAAAGAUCUAGAGGAUGCAUUGUAGGAUUGCUCAUGCCAAUAAUUGCACCCUCUCGAUAUUGAAAAACCUAUUGUUUAUUAUUAUCUUCAAUCCUGAAUGAUGCACCUAAAACCCAAGUGUCUCAGGCCAACCAUUGCGCUCAUACCACUUGUUGCAGUACACAUUCACCUGUUUUUAAAGAAAGAAAUUCUACCAAUCGAUAUUUUCUCAAAUUUAAUCACAUAGAUCUAUUAUGGUUAACCAUAUGUACUUUUAUCUGCCAUCCAGAGGUACCUUUUUCCAACGUGCAACAAUUGUAUUUGAUUCACAAUUAUGUCUGAUAUACAUCACAUCAUGCCACUUGCCUCAAAUGAAUUUAAUUGAGUGAGGCAAUGGGAAGUAAUUAAGCUCUAUAUUGGUGGGUGGAGUGUUACUUCUGGAACCCUCAUCAUUCGUCCAUACAGGGGAACAAUUCCCUUCCUUCUAUAAAAUGGGAGCAAUUCUCUCACUGUACUCUAUAUAAAGGAAUAAGUGUCGUCCACUAAUUAAUUACACUUUGUGAGAUUUGAUUUUAAUUAGAGUUCGAAUUAAUGUUGCAGCUAGCAGCGGUGGCACUGGCAAACCAUGCUGCUCAACCAGCACCUCCACUUUACUGGAAUUCCAUCCUGCCAAACACACAAAUGCCAAGAGCUAUCAGUGAACUUCUGCAUCCUGAUUUGUGUUGAAUAGAUAUAGUAUGUUACUGGAGUACGUAUGGCAACAUAUUCACAAAUGUGUCACGUAUUUUCCAUUAUGACGUUGAUAUAUAAUUGCAGACUCCACAAACGAAGAAAAGAGCACAAAUGUCAUGAAUGCUGUUGGGAAUGGAAAGCCAAUUGACCACAAGGGCAAACCUGAAAAUACUGUACUACCACAGCUUGCACGACGCCCAUUUUCUUACAAGAGUGAUGAUCGUCCCACUGACAAUCAACUCCAUUAUAAAAACGUAGCUAUUUUCUUCUUGGAGAAGGACAUGCGCCCUGGCACAACAAUGAGCUUCCAAUUCCCUAGAAAUUCAAACACGGCUACUUUCCUGCCACGAGAAAGAGCUCAAUCGAUCCCCUUCUCCUCUAACAAACUACCAGAAAUUUUCAACCAUUUUUCAGUGAAGCCAACAUCUGUGGAAGCCAAAACAAUUAAGCAAACAAUCGAAGAGUGUGAGGCUCCAGGCAUUAAGGGAGAGGAAAUAUAUUGCGCCACAUCUUUAGAAUCAAUGGUUGAUUUUAGCACUUCGAAGCUUCGAACAAGAAACGUUCAAGCAAUCUCGACGGAGGUAUUGGAAAAAGGUGCCACCAUGUCCAUGCACAAGCACACAACAAUGCCGGGACUGAAGAAGUUGGCAGGUGUCAAAGUCGUUUUGUGUCAUAAGCAGAACUAUCCCUAUGCUGUGUUUUACUGCCAUGUAAUAAAACCAACAGCAGCUUAUGUUCUCUCCCUGAAAGGCGAUGAUGGGGUGAAAGUUAAAGCAGUAGCCAUCUGCCAUCUAGACACAUCAGAAUGGAACCCAAAGCAUUUGGCCUUCCAAAUCCUCAAAGUUAAGCCCGGAACAAUUCCCAUCUGCCAUUUCCUUCCCACUGAUCAUAUUGUCUGGGUUCCGAACCACAAAUCUGCAUGAUCAUCACUUAGCACUGUACGUAUAAUAACCUUUACCCCUGUAUAAUUAUCUCCCUACUCUACUUAUUUCUGCCUCUUCAUGUGGUGUAAGAUAUAUGAUGAGAUGAAGUUUUUGGGAUUAGUGGUCGGGUUGCCUUAAAAACACAGAUUACAGAAACUGCUUGAACUUAACCCGAUCAUGUUUUCUCUUGUACUCGUAAAGCAUGCUGUUGUGGUUCUACUUAAUUUCGUCCUCCCCAAUGUUUGAGUGUUUAAUUGUUACGUUGGAAUAGGCUGCUAAUGCAUGUAGUUAGAGAAGCUUUCAUUUAUAUCAAAGUCCUCAAACUAUCAAGAAUUAAUGCAUCCAGAAACAUAUAUACCAAGACGCAAAACAACAUAUUUUCCAUGCUGUGUCGGUAACACCAAAGCAAACUUCCUUUAUCACAAAAGGACCAAAUUCCAAUACUAAUCUAAUCCAUCAUGUAAAGCAUACAAUCUACAACUGCCUCCCUAAAUUUGUCCAUUGGAUAUAUAUGUCACUUUUUGGUAAUUUGGUAUAGCAGCACCACGUAGUAUGCAUUUAACAGAAAAGUAAACAAAAUUGACAGUAGAACUAUUUGUCCUAACGAAACUGAAGUUGAAAGACCAUGAGAACGAUUUUGAAAAUUAAGGGACUCAAAUGAAAAUUGGGUCUAAGUUCAGGGACCAAUAAAACGAUUAACCCAUAGAUUUUGGAUCCAGUACCACAUCCCAAAGAGAAAACCACAAGUUUGCAAGCAAGUUUGUCCAUACUAACACUACGUACAGUAUGGGCAAUGUGCUAGACUCAUCUCACUUUCUCAACCUAUCCUAUACUUGUCUAAAAGAGUUUCUAAUUUAAUGUACUGAGAUUUACGAAAGAAAUAUCAGAGAAACAAUUUUCAGGCAAUAAAAAAAUGUCUUGGCAAGAAAAUGCACAAUUUGUUACAUAACUUAUUAAAUAUGAACAGUUGAAAGAAAAAAGAAUUUGGAUGAGGGAUUUGCAAAUUCCUAUGGCCCAAUUACCUUUUUUUCUUUGUUUUUUUUUGGUUCUUUUGAUCCAGUAGCAUAUUCCAAAGAAUGAAAACCACAGGCAUGCAAUGCAAGCUCUUUUCCCAUGUUUUCCUCUGUUUUUCUCCUAUCAUGGAAGUGAUUAAAACACACCUCUAAGCUUGUUUUGCGUUUGGUAGCCGAGUGUAAAAGCUCAAUGCAAGAUAGUUUGAGGUAGAAUUUUCUCCUGUUUUAUUAGGACAAUGAUGAGCUAUAUGUGACAACAAAUUGCUUUAAUAAUGAAAAUUAAAAAAGUGUGAUUCAUUGAAUAUUUGCGGGGUUUUGUUCAGAGCUGACAAAGUUCUAAGUCAACACAUCAAAUUCCUUUUUCCAACAAUCGUAUUUGAUUCACAAUUUUGUCUGAUAUACAUCACAUCAUGACACUUGCAUCAAAUGAAUUUAAUUGAGUGAGGCAAUGGGAAGUAAUUAAGCUCUAUAUUGGUGGGUGGAGUGUUACUUCUGGAAUCCUAAUCAUUCGUCCCUACAGGACUCUAGAACUCUCACACUUCUUACAAGGACUACUUAACUCUAUAGCUUAUUGCAUAUAGCAUAUAUAUGCAAACCCAAUUAGAAAUUCUACAACAGAAGCAAGAUCAAUCUCACUAUGCCUUCUAAACAAACAAACAAAUAAAACAAGCAUAUUAAUUGCUUUAAUCACUCUACUAACAUCAACACAGCACACUUAGUUUACUAACAGAUGAUAUAGAAAGGAAAAAAAAGGACCAAUAGGGAGAAAAUGGUGAACUAAGGAGAGACUAAUACUUCUGGUCCUUAGAAGGCAUAACAGAAAUAAUAGAGCACACUGCUUGAAUGCAAGUCAGUAUUAGGAGCAAAACAGCUGCAAUGAAAGAAAUAGUUGCCCAAGGUGUAUUGAAAUAAUGUUGCCUCAAAUUUGCCUUCCAUUUGUUCCAAGGCUUUCUGCAGUAGCUAUUAAGGCGCUCAGAAAGAGUAGCAAAGUAGAAGCUUUCACGAUACACUGCAAUUCCUUUUCCGAGGUUGUUAAUCAGAGUGCACACCUCAUUGUAGUCACCAAGCAUAUUUUUGACAAUCCCAUACUUCAGAAGGAACUCCACAUCCUUUUCGGUGUUCACAAACUCAUCCAUGAGUGAAACAUAAUCACUUAUGUAAUUCUUACGGCAAUGGCACUAUUCAAAGGCAAUGAGGUUAUGGAGUGUGAGCUCUGUGUAAUCGUUUAUUUUUAGUUUUGGAAUUUCUAGAAUCCCAUCGUUGAAUCGUGUUAACGCAGCUUUCCUUUCCUAGCCUACGCGGAAGUCAACUUCACAAUCUCCUCCUAGCAAUUAGCCUUUCCUACUGUAAAUCGGAUUGUAUUCAUGUCUAUAUUAUUUCCUACCUUAAAUAGAUAUCCUGUACUAGUAUACAUAGGGACUUUGUGUAAUCUGUUAAAUACAAGGAAAUAUAUACUCUACAUGGUAUCAACCUAACCUAGGGUUCUCUCUCUCCCCCUUAUUCGAUCCUCUUCUCCUUUAGGUCCACCUCAUGGCUUCGUUUGAAUCCACCAUCUCCCUCCCAAGCCCUAACUCUUCUCAUUUUAUCAAGCUUACUAACUCCAACUAUCUUCUUUGGCUCCGCCAACUCAAACCCUUUUAGUUGGCCAUGACCUCUGGAAAUUUAUCGAUGGCAUUCAUAAACAACCUUCUGCCCACACCUCCACCUCUACCACCACAACACCCACAACCACCACCACUCUUACCGAAAUCAAUCCUACCUAUGCUCAGUGGUACCAACAAGACCAACUCAUUGUUAGCUACAUCACCAGUACACUCUCUGAGUCCAUUUUCUCUCUCACUGUCGGUUGCAUCUCUGCCCGGGAUCUCUGGGAGUGUCUCCAAUGCCACUUCUCUUAAUCCAAUAUGGCCAGUGAAUCUGCUCUUCGUUUUCAACUCAUGGAUUUGCAAAAAGGCUCUCAACCCAUUGAUGCUUACCUUCGUCAUGCUAAGUCUCUUGCCGAUUCACUAGCUGCCAUCAAUUAACCUGUCUCCCCAAAAGAACUUGUCACUGCUGUGCUUCGGGGUUUAGGACCCGAUCACAAAAUGCUCAUCACAGCAAUUCUCAAUUUCUCUCCGCUUCCAGACUUUGCUGAUCUUCGUGCUCGUUUGUUAGCUUUUGAUGCACAGACUCCUCGAAUCUUUCCUGAUCAAAACACAACGCUAAUGGCCACCCAAUCUUCUCCUUACACCACCGGUCAUACUUCCUUCCCUUCUCACCGUGGUUGUGGCUCUUCCAGCAAUAGGCGCGGUGGCUGGUGCAGUAUUGGCCGUGGUGGCUGGCACAACUUCUCAUCUUCCUAGAGCAACCCGUGGAAUGGCUUCCAGCAGCCCUAAUGACCUAAUCAACUGUGGCCUCCUUUUGCUCUAAGUUUUGGAUCUCAAAGCAACUGGCCUUCCUUUCAACCUCUUUGGGCCCAAUCUGCCGCUUCUAGCAAACACUCUGCCCGACCCAACUCAGCUCCUGGUGUCUUGGGACCCGCUUGGUGCACCACAUGCAAUACCAAUCGACAUACUACUACAACAUGUCCUUAUUGCUACAAUGGCCCAGAAUUCUUCCUUUGCUGGGGCUCAAUUCAUGCAGCCACCUAACUCUACAUGGUACCCUGACACAAGUGCCACUCAUCAUAUGACUGGUAGUUCUUCUAAUCUCCAAAGGAAAUUAAAUGAAGGAGUCCUACGAAGGCUCAAGGCUCGAAAGCACACGAUCCGGCUCUGCUGCGGAGCUCACUCAACUACUGGCUGAGGGGGCGCAAAACAGAAAAUUGUGAGUGGACAAAAAUAAAAAUUCAGUUCAGUGUAAACCAACGUAAUAUAACCCCACCGUUUAGAAAACCAUGCAAGAAAUCCAAAUGCAUCUCAAAACCAUCAUAAUCAUCAAAUCAAAAUCAAAUACUGGAUGCCAAGUCCGAAAUCCAUAAAGAAAGCUUUACAAACCCACCAUCCAAAUCUUACAAUCCCACAACUAAACUCUCGAAAGCGUACCCAUUGGCAGUACCAGCAAGGAAGUAUCCUCACCGAGAAACAAGAACAAAAGAAUAGCUAUAUAUAUAAUUAUAUAAUAUAACCACACCUAGUUGUACCGGGAAAACAAUCCAACCGGGGGAUUGUUUGACUAGUCACCAUGGCAGAGUCAAAGUAAACAAAUUCCUCAAUUCACCAUGUGACUAGGGAACGAGCUGUCCAACUGGGGGACCAACUCUCAGCCAGCAUGUACCGUCGAUAGCCUCAAAACCCGUACGUCUGUGACCAGUCCUACGCGUGCAGACUACCCAAUCAAGGGUUUACAGCAACAUCCCAUCAAGGAUGCCCUAGGUUCCCACAAUUCCAAGUAUCUCAAGUUUGCGUAUCCAAGUUCCAAAUCCGGGGAGGUACAUAGGGUAGUGCUUAUAGCACUCCAAAUUGACAUUCUAUACUCAUCACUUUCCACAAUCUCAUCUCAACAACCUAAGUACCCCACACAUAGCCAAACAUAUAUAGAAAUUCUCAAAAUCCAUAUAUACAUACUCAAGAUACUCAAAUAUGUCAAAAUCCAAAAUAUAUUUCCAAUGCAUCAUAAAAAUAUCACUUUUAACAAUUGAAUAAAUAAUAUAUAUCCAAUAUACCAAUUAAAACAUCAUGCAUAAUAUUUCCCAUCAUAAAAUCAUGCAUAAGAUUUGAAAACAAAGUCCACUCACAAGUAGUCCCACACUGCUUGACCUUGAGAGGGUCCCGCCUACUGCGUAUGCGUGGUUGGAGUACCUAUUUCAGAAUACGUAUACGAGAUUAAUAAGAAGCGUUUCGAACGAGAACUUUGAAUUAAAUAUCCUAAUUUCCCAGGUUUCUAGUAAGUGUACUAGGAACGAGACGUUCUAAGGUUCCACUACCCAAUUCGAACCAUGGAAGAGCUUCGGGAGACACUCGGUCAACCGGCGGUCAAAUUCCCAAAUCGGGUCAACUGGCCCACGGGACCCACGACCUCCGUUUUUAAAAUCCGUAAGUUCCUAAAGGUUUCACAAUGUCUAAGAUACUACUAUCACAAGUUUGGUCCGAAACGGACUGUUAGAUCGCUUACGAUCGCACGAUCAGACGGUUAUUGUAAAACGUAAACUUUAAGUUAUUGAAUCAGAACAUCCGGGGCUCCGAUUCACGAUCCGCGAAUUCCUACACGAUCCUAGGAAGGUCUAGAGUAACAUAUAUUGGAAUGGAGUCGAUCCAAAGGUCCGAACAUAUCGAACCUAGACCGGAUAACUCCUAAUAUGUGAGAUUCGUUCGGGGUUCGAACAUCAACCAAAUUGGAAUCCUAAGGUACCUACGUGCUCGUGACAUUAAGGGGAUCAAUUGGGACAAAAAUGCCCCUCUGCUACAGUGCCCACGUGCCACCACACGCGGCGGUAGAGAGUGGGUGUCCAAAGCGAUUUCUCUUCGCCGGAAAAUCUCCAAAUUACAAGCCACUCUCCUGGCUACAGGUUCUACUCAACGAGUGGAACACUUUAUUCAACUACAGCCAAGUCCAAUUCGGACGGCAAGUGGCCGGAAACUCACGGUUUAACCCGGAACUUCAUGGCUUGGAUUGGGCGACCAUCGUCACCAUUGUCGUGGCACAACCUAGGAAAUAGCUAAAAGGAGAGGAGGGCUACCUAUUCCAAGCGAUGGCGCAGCUCGCGGUAGCCGAAAAUGUAGCCGAUGACGUUGGCAGUUUUGGCCGGUUUUUCACGUCGUUGCCAUCGCCGUUUGUCGAGUUUUCGAUUGGAGAAAAGGGGUGGGGUGAGUAGAGGAGGAAGAGAGGAAGCUUUUGCAAGAAAUGACACUUGUCAGGGAGGGGGGGGUUGGGGGAAGAGAGAGAGAGAGAGAGAGAGAGAGAGAGAAAAAAAAAAAAUUUCAGAUUUUCAUCCAAACCCUUUUCGAAAUAUUUACAAGUUUGCCACUAAACUACUUUUGGUUGCCAAAUCUUCGUUAUAACUCCGAUUCAAGCCUACCACGUGUCUACGGAUUCGUCUCAAUACAACCUACCCAAAAAUACCAGUCACUGCCCCAAACUCUUUUUGGGUAAGAAAAUGACCAAAAUACCCCUACCCCAAGGGUAAAUUCAUAAUUUCACUUCAAUAAUUUAAUAAAGAAUUAAAUUUGGAGUCGGGGUGUUACAUUAACUACCUGUUUAGUAGGUGUGGGGUUUUAUACAAAAAGCAUCGAUGUUAUUGGGAGUGGAACCACUUAUUAUAAGUUGUGAUUUAUUUAGUCAAGUUUCCUAUGUGGGAUUUUCUAUUCUUCAACAAGCCCCCUCAUGUGGGACCACCACAUAGUGGGCCACAUGUAAAGCUAAGUCCACAUCGGAGUCAAUCAUUCAAGCCCAAUACCUAAACACCACGUAUUGUGUGAGGGGUAGGGGUAAACAUUCAAGCCCAACAUGUGAACCACCAAAUAUUAAGUAAGGGUAAAGGCUCAAUUCAGGCCCAAUCAAUGAACCCAUUAUGAUAUCAUGUUAAAUUUCAGAUAGACGGGACUGUGGCCCACCACUAGCAACAUUGAUAUUGUCCCCAACUUAACUACAUGUUUAGUAGGUGUGGAGUUCUAUACAUAAGGUCUCGAUGUUUUUAGGAGUGGAACCACUUAUUAUAAGUUAUAAUUUAUUUAGUCAAGUUUCCAGUCAACCUGACUUUGAUACCAUGUUAAGAUUUUAAAGGGACGAACUCUUGGCACUAUUAGUAACAUCGACAUUGUCCCCAACUUAACCACCUGUUUAGCAAGUGUGGGGUUUUAUCCUAAAGGCCUCGAUCUUAUUAAGAGUUGAGUCAUUUAUUAUAUGGAACUUUCUAUUUUGUUAACUCUGUGUAUUCUUCAUCAAUGUGAACACCCCUAAACCAAUCAUACCUGAUACGAAUUGAAACACAAGUUUGUUUUUUGCCUUUGGUAGAUGAGUAGCUAGAAAAGCUCAAUGCACUUGCUCUUCUGCUACAUUUCAAUAUAAGAACAAGGUUUGGAAGUCAGGUCAACUCCUCAUAGCUUCCUUGCCUUUGCUUUGACAUGUCUAUGCACUUCUUGGGGAAGUUUGAAUAAUCCAUUGCAGGCCCCAUGACAACUAAGGAACCAACAUUUUGUAGAAGGUUUUGUCUAUACCUUUUGACUAUAAGUAAAAUCUUUUGUAUCUGCUCUUAUGUUUCGGUGAAGUUUCUAUGUGUCCUUUGUGCCGAGUUUCUAUGCGUCCUUUGUUGAACCAAAAAAUGAGGUUGUUUCUUACUAGAUUCAAAUACUUAAAAGAAAAAAAGAAAUUGUUGUUUCUUAAUGGAUUUUAUGAUGAACAAUAUCAAACUCUCCUCUUAUACGUCUGUUGGUAAAUUUUAACAACAAUAUUAAAACCUUGCAAGUGCACAAAUCAAAUGAUAGUAUAGUAAGCAAGCAAGGGUCGAUCCCACGGAGAUUGUGAUCUAAAGAGAUGUUUAUCAAUGUCACGCAAUGAAAAUCAAAACAAAGGACUUCCAAACACACGCCAACACCAAGGGGGGUUUUGAUUUGUUUUUGUGAAUCAAACAAAAUAAGGAAAAGGAAACAAAAGAGAAUUUAAAUUAGAGUUUAAGAGAAAUUGGUUUAAAAUCAAUCAAGAUCAAUAGCUAGGACUUACUAUCCACCUCCAAACAAUCAAUCAAUCCAUAAACAACAAUAGAUAAUCAAUUUCUAGUAAGCACACUACUACAAAAAAGCAAAAAGACGACGGUAAAUCACCGUCGUGUAUUCGGUUUUUCAAUGGUCGUGGAAUCCACCGUCAUCUUUUCCCUCAUAAACCACGACGCUAAAUCACCGUCGUUGUUACAAUAUACAACGUCAUCAACAAAUACAAAACGACGUCUUUGUACUGCAAAAAGAUCUAAAAAAGCAAUCGAUGAUGAGAAAAGACGACCAACUCUCUAAACAAACCGUCGUUAAAAAGAAAAAAUAUGACACAUAUUAACAGAACAUGGCCGCAAGAUAGACAUACAACGACGAAAAUUAAAAUAAGACGCCGUUAAAUAUCAUUUUCACGACAAUAAAAAAUAUGUCGUCUUUAAAUACAUUAGAAGACGACGUUAUUGAUACCUACUACGUCGCCUAUAUAAAAAUAACCGUCGUAAAAUAAAUUUUCCACUUCGAUUUUUCUAUAAAAGAUGACGUGGAAAUAGUUGUCAGUGUCAUUAUUUACGACGUAUGUAUUUAUAGAGUAGACGUUGAACAACGAAACAACGUCGGUUACAAAUAUAUGAGAGUCGUAUUACAAAAUUUAUACGUCCUAUUUUCAGAAACAAACAACGACGAUAAAUAUUAGACGUUGUUAAAUAAAACAACGUCGAAAACAAAUAAAAACAGACGUGUUUAGUCUGCUAAAGUUCUAAAAAAUAGUCGAGGAUGAGAAUAGACGACCAACUCAAACAAAUCACCGUCGUUAAAAAGGAAAAAUAUGACACAUAUUAAAAGAACAAGGCCGCAAGAUAGACAUACAACGACGACAACUAAAACACUACGCCGUCAAAUAUAAUUUUCACGACAAGAAAAAAUAUGACGUCUUUAAAUACAUGAGAAGACGACGUUAUUGAAAUAUACUACGUUUCUUAUUUACAAACAACCGUCGUGAAAUAAAUUUUCCACUUCGAUUUUUCUAAAAAAGAUGAUGUGGAAAUAGUUGUCAGUGUCAUUAUUUACGACGUAUGUAUUUAUAUAGUUGACGUUGAAAUGCGAAACAACGUCGGUGGCAUUUAUAUAGUCGACGUUGUAUUUAUAUGUAUUCAUUACUCACGACGCACUUAUUAAUAUAGACGACGUUGAACUUCUAAACAACGUCGGUUCCAAAUAAAUGAGAGCCGUAUUACAGAAAAUAUAGAUGGCGUUGAUUAUGAUGAGAGCCGUAUUACAAAUAACGUCGUUUAAUUGAUAUUAGACGGCGGUUAUAAUGAAUUACCGUCGGAAUUCAUUUCGUUCCUCUUCGUUUAUAAAAGAACUUGCGACGUGGAAAAUGUAUGAUGACGUCGUAUUUUUUAACGUUCAGAUUAUAUAUCUCGUUUUUUAGACGUCGGUAUUAUGGGAUUGGAGUCGUGUUAUUUUGAAUUACAUGGCGGUUCUUAAUCCUUCCCCGACGUGAUAUCCUGAAUAAUUGCUUCAUAAUAGCGUCGUGGUUCUUCAUUGUUACGUUGCUUUAAGACGUCGGUAAAUAUGCUGAAUAACUGGUUCACAAUAACGUCGUGUUUUAUUUGAACGUAGAAAGUGAAGAAAUCACAUUACAAUAUAUUACAAAAUUAAUGUCAUACACUGCCAAUUACAUAAGCAUCAUUCAAUCCAUAUAUCUUCACACCCAUCUCGAAUAUUUUGACCGCCUAACUCACCCACCAGUUCAUCAAAUGUGUCAACAUUUGGCAUCCCUCUAGUAAAUGGCUCACACUCAAUUAUCACAUCACCUAAGACUUCAUCACCAAUAACAUUAUUAUAUUCUCUAUUAGGCAUUGAUAACACUACCGACCAACCACGAUGCAUCGGGUCGUCAACAAAAAAUAUUUGUUUGACUUGAGAAGCCAAAACAAAUUGGUCAUUCCUAUGUCCAAUUUUACUCAAAUCUACAAGGGUAAAUCCAAGUUCGUCGACUACAAGACCAGAACUAUCUAUCCAAUCACACCUAAAGACUGGGAUUGUAAACUUUUGGUAGUCAAGGUCCCAAAUUUCUUGAAUGACACCAUAGAAACCCAUAUUUGAGAGAAUUGAGUUUUUAUCCUUGGCACUAGCAACUUGCAUGGUAUGUGCAAGUAAAUAAACUCCACUAUUUUGAGUUGUCCGCACAUCAUCUUGUGCCUUGAUAUUGAAUUUAAUACCUUUAAUAAGAUAGCUCCUAUAUAAUGGCACAGCCAUGUUUGGACCAGCUGCUAGCCACCUUAAAUUUUCUGAUACGCCAUGAUUGUCUUCCUCAAGUUCACUUUGAACCUGCAAAUUAAUCAUAUAUCUUAAUGCAAUCUAACAUAGAAAUAAGAAGAAAAUUAAAAGAGAAAUAUGUUAUUCAACAACAUAUACCUUGAAGCGUAGCCAUUGAAUGAAAGUGUUAUUGUGCUUAUCCUGCAGCCACUUUGUGAUUUAAGGUAUGACAAUCAUGUGAUUUAAGGCCAAGAAGUCUUGAAUCUUGUAAAGAUACAAGAUUUUUAAUAUUUGAAGAAUAACCUUCAGGGACCUUCAUACCAUAGAAAGAAUUGCAAACCUCUCUCUUCUCUGCUCUUGACAAAUUCCAAGGCCCAGGAGGCAAACGAGUACGUCUUUCUCCAUACUCGGGUUGCAAAUCAGUUUUGACCCCCAUGUUCAAUAAAUCUAAUCGAGCAGCAAUCCCAUCUUUAUUUUUUCCAGGGAUCUCCAGCAAUGUACCAAUGAUACUAUCGCAAACAUUCUUCUCAAUGUGCAUAACAUCUAGGGCAUGCCUCACAGGAAGGUAUUUCCAAUACUCGAGAUCAAAGAAUAUUGAUUUCUUCUUCCAACAAACUCUGUCACCAUUUUCAACCAUGUGCAGCACUUCUUCUCCGGUUAAUGGCUCGGGAGGUAUGCCAUAUUCAGGUUUCCCAUUAAAAGCUGCACGUUGCCUCCUAUAUGGAUGAUUGAUUGGUAACCAUUUUCUAUGCCCAAUGUAACAAAUUUUGUGGCCAUUUUCAACCUGUGACUAGGUGUAUCAUCGCCGCAUAUUGGACAAGCUUUAUAUCCUUUAACAACACAACCAGAUAAGUUUCCAUAGGCGGGGAAAUCAUUAAUUGUCCACAUUAAUGCAGCUCUGAGUGUAAAGUAUUCUCCAUUAUGUGCAUCAUACACUCCUCUAAUCCCAUCCCACAAAGAUUUUAAAUCAUCAAUCAAAGGCUCCAAGUAGACGUCUAUAUCAUUUUCGGGUUGUUUAGGACCGGAAAUCAAUAAGGUUAACAUCAUGAACUUUCGUUUCAUGCACAGCCAUGGAGGGAGAUUAUAUGUAACUAAGAUAACCGGCCAACAACUAUAUCUGCUACUUAGAGAACUGUGGGGAUUGAAUCCAUCAGAUGAAAGAGCCAAUCUCAAGUUUCUCGGCUCAUUACCAAACUCAGGCCAUUUAUCAUCAAGAAGUUUCCAAGACGGGGAAUCCGCCGGAUGAGACAUCUGACCGUCAAUUGAUUUUCUAGCAGCAUGCCAAGUCAAACUCUUAGCUGUCUCAUGUGAUUGAAACAUCCUUUUAAACCUUGGAAUUGGAGGAAAAUACCACACCACCUUCGCUGGCACAUCCUCUUUCAAGAUUGAAUCUUUGCCUUCCUUCCACCUUGAGAUACCACAAGUAGGACAAUUAGUUGAAUCCUCAUACUCCUUCCUAUACAAGAUGCAAUCAUUGGGGCAUGCGUGCAUUUUCUCAUAACUCAGCCCCAAUGCACACAAAGUCUUUUUUGCCUCAUACAUAGAGGUUGGUAUUGUAUUUCCUUCUGGAAGCAAAUCGCCUUGAAGUAUCAAUAAUUCUGUAAAACAGACAUCACUCAUCCCAUGUUUUGCCUUCAAAUUAUACAACUUCACUAAUGCCGAUAACUUCGUGUACUUUCUACAACCAGGGUACACUGGUUGAUCUCCAUCCCCAAUCACAUUGGCAAACUCAUACGGAUCGGAACCAAAAUCACCAAAAUCAUUAUCAUCCAUAUCAAUUUCUUCAGACACAAAACUGUACCUACUAUGGCCAUCAUCUUCUUCAACAUUUCUACUAGCAUUAGUAGUUGCUUCCCAAGGUUCUCCGUGAAAUGUCCAAUUCUUAUAGCUUUGGUCAAUUCCAUUAAAGUAUAAGUGAUCCCUUAUAAUUCCAACCCCAAACAACUUCAAAUUAACACAUUUAACACAUGGACAACGGAUAUGUGUUGUAGUUAGAAGAUUUUCUACAGCAAAGUUCAAAAAUGCUUCCACCCCAAACUCAUAUGCCUUCGAUCUUCUAUCCGAGUGCAUCCAUGACUUAUUCAUCUCCGACACUAUAACCUAUUAUCUAUAAUAAAGUGAAAAUACAGGCAAUGACCAUCACUAUAGCAGAUUAUACAAAGAUCUAAUAGCAAGUAAUACAUAACAGAGACGACGGGUUUUAAACAAAAACAGACGUAUUUGGCAUAUAUAGACGACGGAUUUUCAACAGACGUCGUCUAAUAUAAGUAAUACAAACGACGGUUUAUGAAAAAACCGUCGUGUAUAAGUAAUACAACGACGGUUUUUUCAUAAACCGUCGUGUAAUCGUCGUCGUAUGCCUAAAAAGGCGUCGUGUCUCAGUUUAUUUUCAAGAACCCAAAACCCAUUAAGAACACAACAUAUAUAUGAAACCAAGCAAGAAACCAACAUAUACAUGAAGCCAAGCAUGAAAACAAUAAAUCCAUUCCCAAUUCAACAUAACAUAGGGUGAUUAAAAGAUCCGACAAAAUUAAAACCAUUCCCAAUUCAACAUAACAGAUAAUGUAAUCCAUGAACCCAUUAAACAGAAAAUCCAUGAACCUAUACCUAUAAGCACAUUAUUAACAGAUCGCAAAGCAUAUACCUAAAACCCUUUAACAAAACAACCUAAUAUCAUUCAAUGAAUUUACAAAGGGAAGAUAGGGUUUGUACUUACAGGUUGGACGAGCUCACAGAUUCGACGAAGCCUGGAGAGUGCAACUUUUAAUUAGAGCAGAAGUGAGAGAGCGAAUGUUAUGUUGCGCGAAAUCUGAAAAUUUUAGGGUUCAGGGUUAGAAGUAUAAGAAUAAGAGCCAAAUAUAAAAAAAUUUAGGGCGCGCGAAAAUUUUUAGAGCGCGCGCUCUUUAAAACGUCGAAAGAAAAACCAUGGCGAAAGUUCUACAAGAACCGACGUAAAUGUAAUAUUCCACGACGAAAACACUUAACGUAACGCCGUUUAUUUUGACGUUCAUUUUUCGGAUUAAUUUUAAAUUUAUUUUGAAUAUUUUGAUAUAAAGACGACUGAAAAACCACGUCGAAGUUAAGAAAUUGAAAACGUUGUAAAUUAUAAUAGACGACUUACAUAUUAAAAUGACGUCGUUUAAAGUGGAAACCAUGUCGGAUAUUUUACUGCACGACGUAACAUAUGUAUUCCACGACUCAACCACCGUCGUUAACAAUUAAUACCCUAAACCCUUAAAACUAAAUUAUAUAAUUUUAAAAAUUAAGUUUAUAAAAGGGUUUAUGGUUUUACAGCCUAAUAUAUACCCUAUACUACCCAAAAAUUAUACUUUAAAAAUAAACCCCAAUAAAUAACAACCCUAAUCUCUAAACCCUAGACUCUAAACCCUAAACCAUAAAACUAGAAGUGAUUUUAUGACUCAUCAAAACAAUUUUGUUUUGGAUGGUCAUUUUAAAUUUUUUUUAUUCAAAAUGAAUUUUUUCAAGGUUUAGGGGGAAGAAAAUAUAUCAAUGACUUCAUAGGAGUUGACUUUUCAUUUUUCUGAUUUAUUUUAAAUUUAUUUUGAAUAUUUUGAUAUAAAAAUAAUAAAAUAUUCUUAUCACAAUAACAAACCACGUCGGUGUUAAUAAAUUUUAGACGUUGUAAAUUGUAAUAGACGACUAAGUUGUUAAAAUGACGUCGUUUAAAUGAGAAACCAUGGCGGAUAUUUAACUAUCCGACAUAAAAUAUAUAUUCCACGACUUAACCGCUGUCGUUACAAAGUACUACCCUGAACCCUUAAGAAAUUGAAGACGUUGUAAACCAUAAACGACUCAAUUGUUCAAAGAACGUCGUCUAAAUAUCCUUUUACGUCGGAUUUGGUUAAAACGAAACAACAAAAAACGACGGCUUUUGACUUUAUUACGUCGUUGGAAAAGUAUUACACGUCGGUUACGCAAUUUGUAUGUUUGUUUUUUUUUUUAAUUUAAGAAAACCUCAACAAAUUUUUACAUUAUAUAUUAUAGACAAAAUUUGUACAUUAUACAUAAAUAUCAAGUGUUCAAUAAUUCCCCUAUUCCAGGUGAAGGCAAACAAACUCUGACCAUUCAUUCCGGACUUCAUCAAUUGCUUCUUGGGGGUAUGGCGCUUCCUGUUUUCCCUUGGCAUACUGCAUAAACAAUGACUAUUAGGGUUUAUAAAUAAAAAGAAAUUCAAUCACAGACGACGAUAUUUUUCAUAACCGACGUACUAUAUCUAUUCAACGACGGUAAUUUUACAUGACCGUCGUUGAUAAUACAAAAAACGACGUAAAAUGUAUGAAGGUAAUUUCUUCUUACCUUCUUCUCAAACCCCAAGGAAGGAUCCAUGAUGAUGUCCCUCAUGAAGCGCAUCACAUAAUACCCGCAUUCGACAUUGCUGGGUUGCUUUGGUGUCCCUGACAGAGUUUUCCAAAUGGCUGCCUUACGGCCUGGUCUGGCUAUGUGAGAAUUAUAAAUUUUUAUAGCACUGUUCACAAUGUUUUUGGCCUCUUCAUCGACCACACGAUUUCCUGGCAGAGGAUCCAGAAAAUAGACGGUUUCUCUCUUUGCUCUUACAAUCAGCAAGAUCCAAUGACGGCUGCACAAAAUUAAUAUAAAAACGACGGUUAUUUACAAUAACGACGUAUUAUAAUGUUUCACACGACGAAAUAAAGUAGCAAUCGACGACAUUUUACAUUUAUCACGACGAUAAAUAACUACCGACGUGGUUAGUAGUUUCAAACGACUCAAUAAAAUAAAACACCGACGUGGUUAGUUUAUACGCUGUAAUUUAUUGAAAAUCAUAAAAACAAAAUCCUGUUAAGGAGACUAACCCUGGAUUGUAAGGCAUCAGGAAAAUCUGUUCACCGUCAGUCUUUUGAAGUCGAGCUGCUAGUAAGCGUGAUCUGUCAGCUAUUGUGCCAGAGUUGGCACUAACUGUAGCAAGGUCGAUAAAGCCAACCAUAUUGCACAUAUUUGCUCGUUUCAAAACAUCGUGCAAGUGCCUAAAUAUAUAAAAUAAUAUAAACAAGUCAGCACAAAAAAACACACGACGGUUAUGUAUAACAAAACGACGUAUUAUAAAAUUUCACACGACGUACUGAAAUAGACAACGACGUUAUAAUAUAUUUAUCACGACGGUAAAUACUAACGACGUGGUUAGUUAGUUAAGACGACGUAAUAAAUAAACCAACGACGUAUUAUUUUAGAAUGACAAACCUCAUAUAUACAAAAAAACACGACGGUUAUGUAUAACAAAACGACGUAUUAUAAAAUUUCACACGACAUACUGAAAUAGACAACGACGUUAUGAUAUACUAACGACGUGGUUAGUUGGUUAAGACGACGCAAUAAAUACACCAACGACGUAUUAUUUUAGAAUGACAAACCUCAUAUAUACAGCAAUGACAGUGGCUCCUAUUUCUUCCAUGCCUGCAAAUUGUGUAAUAUCUUCAGGCAGGAGGAAGGUAUCGCGCUCUAGACCAAACACCUCCUUAUCAAUUGUAAAGUGCAGGGUCUUAUCCUGAGGCACGAGUGUCGUUUCCACAUAACGACAAAGGGAGUUUAAAGAAGAUGGCGCCUCCAUAUUUGAAUAAUCAACAACUUUAAUAACCUGUUUAAAGAAAUAUAAAAAAUGACGUGGUAAUUCAAUAAAAACGACGGUUUAAGGAAUAAAACGUCGUCUGAAAAGAAUUUAAACGUCGUCUGAAGAAACCGUCGUGGUGAAUAAUUUAUUACGUCUUAAAAAAAAUUCCGCCGUCUAAGUUGUAAACAAACGACGGUUUAAAGAAAAAUAUCGACGUCUGGAAUUUUGAAAAACAAAUAAAAAAGGCAAAGUUAUGUGAACAUACCUGGUCGUCAUCUUCUUUCUCCUUUUCAUCAUGUUUUUCUUCUGUCUUCCCUUCAUCUAUUACGUCGAGAAUGACUAACUCCGUCGUCUAAAAACCACAAAGUUUUAAAAUAACGACGUUUAAUGGCGUGUAAAACAAGUAAACUAAAUACGACGUGGUAUUGAAAUACAAACGACGGUUUAUGUUUAAAAUCGUGGUGGUAUGUAUUUCAAACGACGGUUUUAUUAAUAAUAACGACAUCUAAUGGUUUUUAAAAAAACAGAGAAUUCAAAGUUCAGAUAUGUUACCUUUUCUUCCUGAUGUUUCCCAUUUUUGGCAGUAUCAUCCUCAAAAUGCUGGGAUCUCACAUCACCUCCAGAGCAGCUUGCUUUGUCAGACAUUGGAUUUUUGGGACUUUGGCUAAUUCUGGGUUUAAGCAUGCUUGGAUCAAAAUUGGGAAUUAAUUGGGAAAGCUGACUCAGGAAAUGCUCCCUCUCAGCCUCUACCAAUUGUUUCGUUCUAGCCUCCAUCCUUAAAGCCUCUUCCCUUGCCUUAGCUUCCAUCUUUUUAGUCUCUUCUUGAAGGAGAACUCUUAAACUGUCCUUCAAACGGUCGUCAAAGCUCACUCUCUGUGGUUUGGGUAAAUUGAAAUAUUGCCUUGGUGAGAUCCCAGCACCUACUCCUCUCACUCUGCCUGGAUGCUCGGGGCCCAAAGCCAUGGUCAGCACAUCAUUGCUGCCAGAAACAGUGACUUUGCCUUCCGAGACUUGUUUUUGCAAUUCAUCCUAAAACAAAGAUAUAUAAAAAAGUAAGAACAAAAACACACGACGGUUAUUUAUAUACAAACGACGUAUUAUAUAAUUUCACACGACGCAAUAACAUAUAAAUCGACGUUAUUAUAAUUUAUCACGACGGUAGUUUUUAAACCGACGUGGUUAGUUUUUAAAACGACGAAAUGAAUAAACCACCGACGUCUUAUGCUUUAUUUACAGAUAACAGAGGGAUGAUUCAAUAUUCACACCUUUAACGACCUUGUUUAAAAUAUUUCGACGUAGUAAUUCAAUACAAACGACGCGAAAAUGAACCACCGACAUCUUAUGCUAUAAUUACAGAAAACAGAGUAGUGAUUCCUGAUUUAGACCUUUAACGAUGUGGUAAUAUCAUUCACACGACGCAAAAUAUAACAUAAGACGUAAUAAGAAUUAUUCACAGUUUAAUAAAAAUUUAAAACAGAGUGAGUAGGCUUACAAUUAAUUUUGCUUUCUCUGCCACCUUUGGAUCCGGGAUGUUACCAUGUUUGUCCUGUCUAGCUCUCUUCCAUAAGGUAGAUCGAUCAAUUUCUACCCCAGGCAUGGUUUCCUCCAAUUGAUCCUCCAAACCAGCAUAUCCUUUUCGAGACAAUCGAUGAUUGUACUCAAGUUUCUCCCUAAUCUGUGCAUGUUGAGAAUGCACAGACUCAAAAUCUUUGGAUAACCUUGAAGCUACAAAGGCAUCCCAUUGUGCUUUCUCUAUGAAUUUAUAUAUUUCAGGGGGUUGGCUUAAUCUCUCCCUGUCAUUAGUGUAUGGAAGGAUAUAUUGCCUCGUUAGUGUAGACUUGAAAUCCUUCCAUUUCUUGGCAGCAGAAGCUAACACAGAGCUCUUGCCCCCUUGACCUACCACAAAAGCAAUGUCAACUGCUUCCCAAAUCUGCUCCUUUAUAUCCUUGGAGAUUUGAGCCUAUUUCAUGUCCACAAGUGGAACUCUGGAGCGUGCCAACACACCAAUGUAGGACUGCAUCUCACUAUGUGCUUGGCCAAUUCCUUUCCCCCUUUUAUUGUACUCAACAAUUGGCCUCAGUUUCUGAAGUUUUCUCUUCACAACAUGAGGCAUUGUGCUCAUACCUCGACCAGACUUUGAAUCAUCAGAGAUUGUUGUCGUGCUGGUUCGUUCUGUCUCAGCAGAUGAUGAAGCAAACUUCAUCUUCUUCGAAGGCUUCACUUGAGGAGGUACCAUUCCAAGGUCCUUACCUCCAUUUUUCUUGGAGCCAGAAUCCUUACUUUGGUCUUAGUGAGAAACCAUUUUUACAGACAAAACUGCAAGUGAAAAUAUUUCAGGAAAAGAUUAAGAACACAAACGACAGUUAUUAAUAAAAUACGACGUAUGAUAUGAUUUUAAACGACGCAAUGAAAUAAUCUCAGACGUAAUAAAUGUUUAAAACCAAGGUAAUUAAACAACGACGAAAUAAUUAACUAUAAACGACGUGAUAAUUAACUAUAAACGACGAAAUAUUUAUAUAACGUCGUGGUAUUGAUGUUCACACGACGUCAGUCGUAAUAUACCGUCGUCUAUAUAAGGAUCCAAAACCCUUCUUUCUUUCUCUGUGAAUGUUUGAUUGCAGAUUUGAUUUUUCUGAACCAUGGUUUUUGUUUUCUAAUUUGAUAAAAUACAAGGCCAAGAAAGAAAGUUUUGGAAUCUUAUAUAGACGACGGUAUUUUAAUAUGACGUCGUGGUAUUAACAUUCACACGACGUAAAACAAUAAGAUACUGUCGUCUAUAUUAGAUACCAACCCUACUUUCUUUUUCUUUAUAUUUUAUCAAAUUAGGGAAAAACAAAAACCAUUGUUCAGAGAAAUCAAACCUGCAAUUAAACAAGCAAAUAAAAAAAAGACUAUAAUUUUAAAAACAACUUUGUCAAUUUUCAGACGACGCUAGAACGACUGACGAACCGUCGUGGUCUACAUAUUUAACCACGUACAUAAGAAGCUACCGUCGUCUUAUUUAGUUGAGGUAGUUGUCUUCAAAGUUGGAAACUUUCCCUCUUUGUCUGUAUAUUUUAUUGAACUUGGAAAGAAGUAAAAUGAUUUUGGCCAGAAAAAAGGUAAAAAGAUUUUUCAAACAAAAAACGUAUGAGCAUGCAAAACAACAACCAAAAUAGUGAAAAUGAAAGCUUACCUUUUGCGUGCAAUGAAAGCAAGAGGAAGAUUAUGUUUAAGUUCAGAGACGACGAAGAAGAAGAGAGGAAGACGAUGAGAUACUCUGACAGUGCUCUGACAAGGAAAAAAGUCUAAAAGUUUUCUCUGGGAGAUUGAACUUUUUAAUCGGGUUUGAAAACGGCGCAUGUGUAUGUCAGGUAGACGAAAAGUUGCUUACAUAUAAAACCAUUUCAAAAAAAUAAUACGGCGGUUACAUAUAACUACGACGUAUAAAUUACAAAAUACGACGGUACAUUUAACUUCGGACGUGGUAAAUAAAUACGACAGUAGUGUUGUAGGUACCGUCGUAGUAAACUCAAAAAUUAAAGUACAUAAGUAAUAACUCGCGUCAUGGUAGAUUAUUUAACACGUCGUUUUUAUUAAUUUACCGACGUGGAUUUCUGUAAUAUACGUCGAUAAUACCGACGUUGAUUUUACAAUUUAAACGGCGGUUUUUUUGUAAGGACCGCCGUUGGUUUUAAAAAUUUAUUCUAUAAAUUUGUCGCUUUCAUUCAUUUUCGGUUUACAUUUAAGGUUCCAAGUUCUUCCUCUCUCAGUCUCUCACGUCUCAAAGACAAUAAUUUGGAUGUCUUUCUCAAAGAGAAAUUGAGCUUACUCGCAUCAAAUAUAUGUCCACAAGAAGAAGCUUGUCAACUAGCCUUCUCACUUCCUUGAUCAAGCCUGAUAGGACACUUAGUGCUUCUGAAUACUCCUUGCUUUCCAUCAAAAGAGAUGCAAGCCUGGCCUCCACUCGCUGUCGAAGGAAAGUUCGCUUCUCAGGGAAAUCUUCUUGAUUUUCUUGGCUAAGAAGAUCCGUCAGAUUUGUGAUAGCCUCUUCCUUUAUCCGUAGAGCUUCAGAAGAAGAAGAUGGGUUUCAAGAAUGCGAUAAAGAAUAGAAAUGGCUUCAGAUGGCCUCUAAAGCAUGAGCAAUCGAAUCAGUAGUUGUUGGGAGAUAUGAUGAAGACAUUGUCAAUGCUUUGAACUAUACAAGUCCUGCAGAAAGAUAAAGGACCAAACUGUUAAAGAAACUGAAACAAUGGCGGUUUUCUGUUCUACCGUCGUCUUUUCUCGUCGUCUAUAUUAAGGUAAGAUGGCGGUAGAUUUAUAAUUACCGACGUAGAUUAUUUUGUUAAACGUCGUUAAGUGUACUACAACCGACGUGGAUUUUAUUUUUAAAUUAUAAAUAGAGUUUUUUUUCCCCUAUUCUUUCAGUUUUAGUUUUCAAUUACAAAGCGUGAUAAAUAGAUUUUUCUUUCCCGAGGAAAUUUAAAAUGAGGGAAAUUAAUGUUCUAGAAUUUGUAAACUAACACGACGCAAUAUUUGCAAAUCUGUGUCAUCUGUUAAGAUUAUGAUGUGGAACAGAGUUCCAUCUGGUAAGAUUUCGUAACCCUUGGGAUCUCAGACAAAUCUGAUUAUGUCGGCGGUUUUCUAUAUAAAUCGUCGUGGUUAUUUCAAUUCUUGUCAUUAAGUAGAUCUACCGACGUAGGAUAAGAAAAUCAAAGAAAAAAAUUGUUAACAAAAAUUCUUAUUAAGACGACGGUUAAAAUUAAAGGUACGACGUAUAAAAUGAAUAAAUACGACGUUAAAUUUUAUUGUACGAUUUAAAGAUAACGUCGUAGAACUAUAAGAGAAUGACGUCGAUAUAUUUAUAUUUUCCGUCGUUGUACAUUAAUUUAAUACGGCGAUAUUUUGUAUUUUAAAGCCGUGGAUUUGUUUGUAAUUAUACGGCGUCUUAUACGAAAACCUCGUCGUGUUAUUUUAUGAGUAAAAACGGCAGUUUUUAUUGAAAUCGUCGUCUUUACUUUCUACGUCGGUCGAUUCAUAACUUCUGCCGUUCUUUGUUGGCAUUGAUUUUACACUGCGAAAAUCUGUUUCAAAUAGACGUCGGUUGUUUAAUUAUGUACGUUGUUGUUUUUGAACAGCCAUUUGAAUCUCCAUUUUUUAGUUGUCUAAGGUUGUAUUACACGACGGUGUUUUUAGAACCGUCGUCUUUUUAAAAACCACGACGGUUUUCACUUAGACCGUCGUUGUUUUCUGGUCGUCUUUUUCACUUUUUGUAGUAGUGGCAUAUGAUGACGACACUCACAACAAGAUCAUGGCAUUUGACUCGAGUUGUAUGAUUCUCUCUUAAGUGUAUGUAAAGUGUAUGACAUUUACAUCAAUACGUGUAUUCUUAAUUGAAAUCUACUAUGGCAUUUACUCAAAUUAACAAUCAAGAAUCCAUUAAGAUCAAAGAGAAUAUGAGUGUCACAAAAACCCUAAAACAUGGCAUUUGUUAUUAGGAAUUCAAGAAUCGAUUUCUCAUAACUAGUUCUUAACCCAAUUAUUCGUUGCAAAUAAGAACACAUUCAAUAUGGCAAUUGACCUAUGUUCUACAACAAUUUAAUUCCAAUACAUGCUUCUAAGUUAGCUACUCAAAGAAACAAAAUAUCAGAAUUCACAUAACAUAUAGAAACCGAAAACAUCACGCUUGUAGAAACUAAAAAUCCAUUAACCUUGUUUAUAAAAUUGAAAUCAUGUUUAGGGCUUCAAGAUUAAGCCCUAACUAACAAGAAAUUAGUUACUCAUGGUCUUGGAUGAACUCAAAAAUAAAUACAUAAGAACUGAAAAUUAAAGAAGGAAGGAAAAGAAAGAACUCGUUCGCAGCUUUCUCCUCUUGCGCUGUUGAUCUCUUUAGGACGUGAAUCCUUUUUAUCAGCCUUGCCUCGUCUUUUAUAUCACUUAUAUCAGAGUUCUAAACCCUAAAAUUGACUGAAAAGUCGUCCAAGAAGUCUUGGUAAACAAGGAAUCCAAAUAGGAAAGUAAAAAUCACAAUUCCUAACUCCACUGGGAAAUACAGCUCAGCCCAAUGUUCACACGAUUUUGGGAUCUUCGACCUUGUAGAAAAAUCAUUAAAAAUAUAUUUUAGAAAGAUAAAUGUCUUAUCUUUCCAACCAUAUAUAGCACGUAACUUGAAAAAUUCGGAAAGGCUUCCGUUUCUUCACAUUCACGUAGCAUGUACGAAACUGUCCUGUCUGCACGUGGGCUAACUUUACUUGUAAUACUGUACCAAUUGGCUCGGUAGAAAAUUCUAGAAAAAUCAUAGAUUGAACUUCAAGAUGUUAGCUUUCAUCUCCAAUCAGGGGCGGCCUUGGGGAGGUGCAAGUGGCGCCACCGCACAGGGCCCCCGAAAAAAAAAAUAUUUAUAUUAUAUAUAUAUAUUAAUAUUAUAUGAAUCGUAUAUAUAAUAUAGCGUCUGGAUAUUUGCACAACAGCGUGUUCAGGGGAGUUGGAUGGAGCACAUCUCUCUUUGGCAAAAGGGCCCGAGUUCGAUGCUCCUUGAUGUCGUUCUACUGGCUAGCCUUUUGUGAUAUUAUUUUUGCAUUCAAACUUUACAUAAUUAUUGAACCAUUGGAUUAAUAUGCAACGAUGGGUGACCACAAUCUCUUGGACUCCUGUGGUCCAUGAGAUCGGGACUGAUAUUACAUGACUUAUUUUAUUAAAUUAUUAUCAUGUUGAUGAUUGGUUGUAUGAGAAUAUAGUUUGUAGAAAUAUUUAUCUAUUUCUUGUUGGGGUUUUCUUCCAGGUUAUAGGGUUUUGGAAUUUUUCUUUGUAAUCUAAACAUGCCACCUACUAGAAAAUACGUUUAUGGAUAUACAAAACGGCUUAGAAAAAGAAAAUUCGAGGAAUUGACUCAAUCUCAAAGAGGAGCUCUUGAUAGAUUCAUUGUUAGAGAAUCACAUGCUACAAUUGAUGAAAAUAUUUAAAUUUUUAUGAAUUUAAUUUCUGAUUUUCAUUGCAUAUUUAUUGAUGGUGAAUUUUAGUUAUAAAAAAAAAUUGUUUAUGACAUUAAGUUAUGGCAAAUUUUUAUAGUAUUUUCGUAUUAGAUUAUGCAAGGCCCCAAUUUAAGUUUCGCACAGGGCCCUCAAAAUCUCAGGGACGGCCCUGUCUCCAAUUGGUCUUGUGCUAAAAUUCCUCCGAAAAGUUGAUUUUCCCUUAAAAACCUUCUAAGAGUGCAGAAAAGCUGAAAAUCAGAAAAAUAAAGUAAUAAGCCAUUUUUAAAUCUAAUUCUCUUACAAAACCAAAGUAAAAAGAGUACAUAAAUGAGUAUAUUUAUGGACUUAUCAACGUCUUCUUCGUUGGACUUGGGGUUGUUUUCCUUAUAUGUCCCCUAUAUAUAUAUAUGGCCUUUAGUUGAGCCCACAAAUACCUUCAGUUAGUUUUUGGGUUUAGGGGCCUACAGAACCUGCACUAAACAAUAAAAGAAAAUACCUAAUUAGUUUAGUACGAAUUUAUAAUGAAGGCUUUAUUAGGUGAAGUUUUAUUUCUUAAUCGUUAGAUCAAAUUGGUUAGCAUCUGAAGUCGCCCAAAGAUUUGAGAGGGAUUCCACAAACAUAUAAUAUAAAGAAAGAAAGCAAUAGUAGGAGAUGAACCAGUACAAAAAACAAUAUAUAAAUAGUACAUAAUAAUUCCAUAACCUUGUCACAAACGCACUCACAAAUGCUUUCCAUAAACCUUGCCCUAACAUAUAACAAAUAAAGGCAACAUUGCAUAUGAUGCAACCAUGUCCAAAUCUGAUACGUGAUAAAAAAAAAAGGACAUGGCAGCAACAUAUGACUGAAGUAGAUGGGCUCUUUGCAUCUCGUGUUAUCGUAAUUAAAGACAUCAAAAUAUUAAGGUUGAAAUCUUCUAUAGUAGCAAGCAUUAAAAUAGGUUUGAAGCAGAGUUUAAAGAAAAUUCCAAUUCCACUGAUUUGCCUCUGCUCAAAGACGAGAACCAAAAUGGUUACUUCCCUUGCUGAGUAUAUUUGUUAACGUCGGAAACGGUAAUAGAUGACCAAUCAAACCCAAGUACGACGAGUUUUGCAUAGGAUCAGAAGUAGUUGAAUCCAGCUUGCAUCACACGCUUCUUUGACUCCAUUGCAUUAGAUGAGUUUUUGUAUUUUUGAACAGCUACACUCCGAAGUCGUUUGUGUCUACGCUUCAUGCGCUGCAACUUCGCCCUAUCCAGAUUGGCCUGCCUUUUGUCAUCUUCAAUUUGGCCUUCAACAAAUUCCAAACGUGCCCUUGCCCUUUGGAUUUCAUCACCAAGUUGAAGAUGCCUCUCCUUCCAAAAAGCAAGAACUCUUUCAGACUCAAAACUUCCAACAAAAUGGUCAUUCUAUCUAGGAAUGUGACAUUGCUUGUCUGGUGACUCACCUGCGUUUCAAAGGCGGUCUUUGUUUGGAGGGGUGUUUAUUAUGCUCACAUCAAACUUGGUUAGUAAAUCCAUUCUAUGGGGGGAGUGAGUUUCUGUGGAGGAGAGAGUUUCAGUAGAUGGAGACAGAUUCGGUGGAGGAGUGAGAUUUUUGUGGAGGGAGAAUUUCUAUGAAAUGGGUGAUAGUAAUACCAAUAAAAGGGUUCCCGCCAAAAAGUAUUUGGUUGACAAUGUAUAAAUUAAUUUUUGGUCUGAUACAAUCUAAGUUUAAUCCUAACUAGUUUGGUUAGUUUGGUUGAAUUCACUAACUAGAUGUCACUUCCAUUGAGUUUCUUUCAACCACUAUCAGUGGUGUAAGGAGAGUGUGAGGUUGACAUGCUUGAAAAGCAAAACCUAACACCUCUUUUUUUUAAAAUUGAAAGAAAGUACAUAUGUUGACUACACACAAGCUUUGGUAUGUUGGUCUAUAAAGCUAUGUUCCCUUUCUCAAACGAAAUUGCAUAUGCAAUCCUCGUCCUCCCAAAACAAAUAGAAUUAUUCAAGCAUGUCAACCUCUUCAGGCGCCAACAACACAAUCAAAGAUGACAAAUUGGAGUCGCAGGUUCUAUUUCCACAUUGUACUCGCCGACCCCUUCCAUUUUCAACAUCAUUUGGGAGUGAGGGGGACUCCGAUGAUCCAUUAGAGCUAAUACAUGCAGUCAAUAGCAAGCUGGAUUAUAAUUCCAGACUGAUCAAUUCAUGGCGCGAGAAAUAUGUUGAAGACGAAGCCAUUUUGGCUGAUCUUAACAUUAGAGUGAACAAAGCGUUCUCCCAAAAGAACAAGUACUUGAAGCUGAGUCAUAAAAGGAAGCUGAAAGCUGAGGAGUUAGAUACAGUAAUGAAUGAUGAAAUUAAAGGUUGUUUGAUGAAUCAUAUGCGAUGCGAAGAGCACCACAGUGAACUGGAGUUGGCAUUCAACGAAGGAUUCGAAAAAUUACGAGCAUUUGCAGCAACUACUCAUACAAGUUAUAAUUGGGACUAUGUGUCCCCUGAUGUUGUGAGAGAGAUACUAGACGAUGGUGGUGACAUGAAUGAGCAUAAGCACGUCAAAGCUGCUUGGAAGAAGCCGACCGAUACGACUAAGUGAUUGCGGCUACAGUUGUUCAGUUGGUUGAGAGUGAUCGUGGUAUUGCACAAAUUAGAAGUAUAUUCCCAUAAUGUCAUUAUCUAAUUUAAAAUAACACAAAUAUCAGUUUCAUUUGCUUCAUAUUGUAACACCCCGACCCCAAAUUUCCCCAAAAUUUACCCUCAUUUAAUUAAUUAAUUAUUUAAGGGUAUUUUAGUCAUAUUUUUAACCGGAGAGAGUUUGGGACCAUGACUUGUAUUUUUGGAUAGGUCGUACUGAGACGAGUUCAUAGACACGUAGUGGGCUCGAAUCAGAGUUGUAACGAGAGAGAUAUGGUCAAAAGAAACCCAGUGGCACAAUCGUAAAUAUUUCAAAAUGGGAUUUUUAUAAAAAUCUGGUUUUUCUCUCUCUCUCUCUCUCUCUCUCUCUCUCUCCCGCGACUUCUCUCUCUCUCCCGUCGGCUCUCUCUCUUUCUCUCCUUGUAUCUCCGGCCACCGACCACGGCUGUGGGCGGGGCCGGUACCAAACUGACCGGGACGACGUCCCCUUCCUUCCCCGACCAUUCCCCGCCGGCAACGCGGCCGUUGCUGGCCGGAAAAUGCAGAAAACCGCCGGGAGGUCGUCGAAACUUCAACGCCGUCGAUCUCCCUCCUCCGGCCACCAUUUUCGUCGACCCAGGUAUGGAUCUUGAACCUCUCGAGCUGUUCUAGCUGUUUGUUGGUUGGGUUUUGAUCGAUUCGAUCUCUAGAUCACUCGAUUUUCGAAUUGAAAAUUGGCCGAAACUUCGGCCGCCGUGAUCGGCCAUUUUCGGCCACUUUUUGUGGUAGGUCCAAGAACAAAAGUGGCUCCAAAUAGGGUGUUAUACCUAGGGUAGAAGUUUGGAGCCGAGAUGUUGAGAUUUUCCGGCGAAGCGUUAUCGCUUUGGGCACCCACGCGUGCGGCGGCGCGUGGGCACUGUAGAAAAAGUAGAUGUGUUCCGAUGAGAUCCUUAGGUUGUCACGAGUGCGUAGGAUUUGGCGGAUCUCAAUUCGGACGUCGUUUGACUAUCGAACGGAUAAUCGCAUAUUAUGCGUUAUCCGGGUUCGAUAGGUUGAGACCGUCGGAUGGUCCCAAAUUUAAUAUAUGUUGAUCUAGGUAUUUCUAGGAUCGUGUAGGAUUUCACGGAUCGUGAAUCGGAGCCCCGGAUGUUCCGAAUAAUAAUUUAAAGUUUAUAUUUUAUAUUAACCAUCAGAUUAUGCGAUCGUGAGAAAUCCGACCGUCUGAUCUGAACCAAACUGGCAGGAAAAGUGUCCUGUACCUGGUAGAACCCAUAGGGACCUUCGGAUCGGAAAUUGGAGGUCGUGGGUUCCGCAAGUCUGUUUGACCAGGGUUAGAGUAGUUUGACCCUUGGUUGACCGUGAGUCUCCCGGAGUAAUCUCACCCUUCCAGGGGGAAUUAUCGGGAGCUAGACUAUUGUGGAGGGUUACACAAUAUUAGAAUUAUUUAUAUAAUUAUAUAUGGUUGUACAAGGGUACAACAAAGUCUAGAAUGUCAGUUUGGAGUGCUAUACGCACUACUUUAGGUACCUCCUCGGAUUUUGGAUUCGCUACAAGCACCACCAAGUGAAAGUUAGGUCCCGCGUGGCGUAGGUUAUCCGGCGUUGGGACAGACCCCAUACGUGGCGUUGGUUGUACCGGCGUAUGGGGAGAUUUGCAAUAUGAUGUUCAGGUCUCACGUGGCGUAGGUUAUCCGGCGUUGAGACAGGCCCCGUACGUGGCGUUGGUUGUACCAGCGUACGGGGAGAUUAUGUGAUAUGAUGUUGAGGUCCCGCGUGGCGUAGGUUAUCCGGCGUUGGGACAGGCCCCAUACGUGGCGUUGGUUGUACCGGCGUAUGGGGAGUUAUAUGAUAUGAUAGUAUGGCAUGGUCGCACAUGGCGUAGGUUAUCCGGCGUGUUGACAGGCCCCAUACGUGGCGUUGGUUGUAUCGGCGUAUGGGGAGAAUAUGUGAAAUGCAGAGAAAGGAAAUAAGGUAUCACCGAUGUGUGGAAUUGGGUUUUAGGGAAGAACUACGUGUGGCUUGAUCCCUCAAGGAGGGUACGUAGGCAGCCUAAGGUUAUUGGGUGCAGCCGCAGACUAAAUAUUAGUCAUAUUUGGUAUUUGAAUUGUAUGGUAGUUGUUUGAGAAUUAUUGGAAGGCCAAAGGCCAUUUAUGAGAAUUUGCAUGAAAUUAUAUUGUGCAUGCUGCUAGUUGUGGAUAUUAAAUGUGUUUUUAUGCAGGUUGAAAUUUUGGGAAAUGUCCAAUUUAUAGGGGAGACUCUGCUGAAAUUUCGGCAGGAAGUCUCGGUUUUUAGUAAGUGGGCCUGGCAUCGGGGUGAUGUCAGGAAUUCCAAAGGGUUCGUCUCGGGUUUUGAGAAAAUUCGGGGCGGGUCCUUAAACAUAUAUAAUUAUUGGGACUAUGUAUUGCAAGUCAUCAUGUGUUCCUUCUGUCUAACAUUAUAUUUUGCAAAUAUCAAAAUAUUAUUCAAUAAGCAGUCAAUAUCACAGCAAGUUGGGAAUUAGUAAAGCCCCAUUAUCAUGUCCGUUCACAUUAAAGAGCUGGCGUACUUUUUCUCAAAAAACUGACACGUGAGUCAUAAGUAACAUAACAUGUGCUAUACAUUGUUUAGUGAAUGGUUUAUGGUUUAUUUAUAUAUAAUAAAAUUCCAAAUAUUGCUGAAUAUUUGUUUUUUCUAUAUCCCUGGGAACAUGAGUGACCAUAAGCAUGUAAGACCUGUUAAGAAGAAGCUGACUAAUACGACCGAGUGAUUGUGGCUACCGUUGUUUAGUUGGUUGGGGAGAUCGUGGUAUUGCUAAGAGGGAGCACAUAAUGUGCUUUGCAAUCAAAUUUUCUUUUGUGUGUGGAAUUAUGAGUAGUUCAAAUGUUAGUGUACCCUUUAAUAUUCUUCAACCGUUUGAAAUGUGAUUAGCUGCAAUGUACUUUUUUACACGCUGCUUUCUAAUCACUCUGUUCCAACAAAGUGCUUUAAGUAUCCUUCAGUUACAAAUGUUUACAAAAUCGUGCAUCUAAUAACCAGUCGAGCUCAGAUCUUAAUAACAAGUAAAACACUAGAACAUAACAUUCGGAAAAAGUGGGUGCUGCUGGAAAUCAUUACUGGUAAUGGAAGCAAGAGCUGGCUGCUGGAAAUGCUGCAUUAGCCUGUGAUAUAAUCAAUGAAUCUCUGUUAAAACAUAAUUCACCAUAAACUACCCAUUUUACAUGGUAAAAGUCAUUGCUUCUUCACAUAACUCAAAAUUUGAUACUUUAUCAAAUGUCUAUGAAAAUUUCUAAAUAGGGGAAAGACGUAAAAUUAACAUGUGUCCAAAUUUCAUGCAAGAAUGAAACCAAGCAAAUUUUUAUUUCAAUUAUCAGUGGACAUAGUAAGAACUCAUCGGUGGACAUGAACAAAAAAAUAAUAAUAUUAAAAACUGAAUCUAGAAAACUUCACCUGAUCAUUAGUCUUCAUAACAACCGAAUUUCGUCUAAUAGAAACAUAAAUCAUUCAGUUGGUCCGUGCAUCGUGUCAAAUUCAUAGAAUAAUGGGUCACUACGAUCUAUUGGAGUUGAUUCGUCAUUGUUCGACGGUGAUGUCCUGCAUAGACAUCAAACACAAGCACAGAAAAAAUUUACCUAUUCAAAUUUUAGGUGUUAUUAUAAAUAGUGUUAGCAUCUUACGGUGUGUUCAAAUUUCUUGCGCAUUGUCUUCUAUCAUGACCAAUGUGUCCACACUCCAGACAGUGUCUAAUCCCUCGCUUCAUUGCCUUUUCUUUUGCUCCCGUUACUCGUUUCGACCUUCUUUUGCACCUCACUCUCUUAGGGUCUUUCAUAUAUUGUGUUUGAGAGCUGGACCCUCCAACUUCGUUAUUACUUGGUCCAUCCUUCAACAACUUCAACUUCACCUGCAAACUUUUUAGAGUCUCUGACAGUAGCUCACAUCCUUCUUCACUCAUUAAUGCACCCUCAACCACAUCUUAAGCAAGUCGAGACAUUGUACUCCGCCUUAUUAAAAGACCAGGAUCUGCAGAGUCUUUAAUUUCGUUGCCAUUUGCAUCUGACACCAAUUCAGAUUUUGCAGUUUUCUUCCACCUCUUUAAAAUAUAUUUAUCGGGCAUAUAUUCAAUCUGGUCCCUUCUGAACAAUGCUAGGAUGUGCUUGCAAAUAAUUCCAACAAAUUCAAAUCUUUUGCACCCACACGAUGCGUGGUCAGAAUCUUUAACAUAUACGACGUCUGCCACUCUUGUUUCCCAAUUUUUCCUUUUGCUCACGCGAAAGACAACUUUAGAAGCACCCUCUGUUUUGAGCUCUAGGAAACAUGUUGUACUUUGUAUUAGUUCUUGGUCAAACUUUUGAAACAUUGUCCUUGUGUACAAGGUAGCCAUUUGUUUGUUCAUUGGCAUCGGUAGAAUACAUUGAGCCACUUCAAAUGCAUCUACGUGAUCAGCAACUAACUCUUUUUGACGUUGAUGAGAAAGUGCCCUCUCAAAUCGUAUUAUGAAAUCCAUCAACGAAUUUCUCCUUGAUAUGUAUUGCUUGAAAAAACCAUGAGAACCUUCCACUCUUUGGCUGCUUGACAUUCCAGCGGCAAAAAAUUGUUGUGCGUAGGCUGGAACCCAAGAUUCUCUUAAAUCAAACAUUGAACUUAGCCAUGGAUGGUCAGUCAAACCAGCCUUUGUAACCACAAUAUUCCAUUUUGUAACAAACUUAUCCUUAUUGUCAGUAUCCCAUACGGCUUUCUGAAAUUCACGCCAAUACUCCUUAUAAGCAGAAUGUGGUAACUUAACAGAGAACUUUGAUGUGAUGUGCAAUAUGCAAAGUCGAUGAAAUGUAGUCGGGAAGGGUAUUGAAAUCGCUCUGGUCAUUGCCGCAUCUUGAUCUGUAAUGAUCGUUUUAGGUCCGCCACUUGGCAUGGCUUUCUUAAACUCCUCAAACAUCCAAAUAAACGACUCAGUCGUUUCCUUGCUCAAAAAUGCGCAUGCUUAGACAAUUGUCUGACCAUGGUUAUUAACUCCCAACAUUGGUGCAAAUGUCAAGUCGUAUCGAUUCGUGUUGAAUGUGGUAUCGAAUACAACAACAUCUCCAUAAAACCCGUACGCCCAUCUAGAAGUUGCAUCUGCCCAAAAACAUUGACUAAACCUGUCAUGGCCAUCUCUCUCAAUCUUGAAAUAAAAAGCCUCAUUUUUUUUUUCUGUUCAGCCAUAAAAUACUCGGUCACUAGUUCAACAUCGUGGUUCCUCAACUUCCCAUUCACACUACAUUCAAAAUUGUAGAUAUCUUUUUUGAUAAAACCGAUUUUAUCCAUUCCUCCGGAUUGCACCUCGAAAAUACUUACCUUCUGAUGAAUGAGAAUAUUAACCGAACCCAACUGUUUUGUGAGUACUUUUGUAGAAUCUGAACUAUGACGGUGUGAUCUCAAUAAAUGCAUUCUUUCUGAGGGUGUCAUCUUAUGAUUGUGUCCCUCUGCAAAAAGAGAGAUGGUAUACUUCUUGCUCCCAUUUGUCUUCACAACCACAAUCUUAGCUUUGCAAUUGCAUCUACUUAUUCCCCGCUGUCUUUUUCUCUCCCGAGUUUCAUCUCUCCUGUAUUCACCUUGUUUGCAACAUACAAAUUCUUUCCUCAAAAUCUCUUUCUUAUUUCCCCCCCAAAAGCUGGAAUGAAGUCGAAUACCAAAGCCAGCCAAGAAUGCAUAUCUAUUAUAGAAAUUGUAAACGAGGUCAAGCAAGUCGAACUUCAUCCCAACUGCUGGUGUUUCCUCAUUUCUUACUUCAAGAAUGUAAACCCUCCCAUUAGCUGUUACACAGUCAUCACUCUCUGAGCCCCCAGACAUUUUAUCCACGUAUAUUAUUGAUCCACUUCUAUAUUAUUGCAUAGCAAAUAUUAAUUCAUUAAUAAAUCAUUACUGCAUCACAACAUAUCAAUGCAUUCCACUUACACAAAACAUUGCCCAAAUUGACACAAAACACGCAUAGCCUAACUUGUUGGAUUCCGAUUACACAAAACGCAAGCAAAAUUUAAUAAUAGUUACGUCAUCUCUUGUGAAAUAAUCUAGAAAAAAUAACAUUAGAACCAACAUGUUCAACUAAGAACACAAAUGCAAUUCAAACCAGCAAUCACAUAACUUCACCCAAUAUCCUCUCCAAAUGCUUACUCCUAAUGUCAUUAAGCCUAAGUUUAGGAUCUUUUACCUACAUUUCAUAAUUUUUCACCCCCACCAAAAAUAAUCAACUAAGUAUACUGAAUAUUCAUAAGGAAAUGACGCAUUAUUGAUGCCACAAAUGACGAAUUUCCUACCCUCACAAAAAACAAAUCAAACCCAAUUAAAUCAAUCCAGCAAGAGUGAACUUACCUCUCAAAAUCAAUCGGGAGCUCCGAAGUCAGUAAGCUUGAGAGAAUGUGGUGGACAUUAGAGAAGACUCUUUGGUAUUGGAGACUCCAUCUCUACCAAAAUCGAGGAACGAACUGCUGCUACGGCGUCUAGCUACAGAAAAAGAUAUGCUACUUUACUUUCAUCUGGAAUCUUGUUUGCUGAACGAAAAAGAGAAAGGGUUUUCACUUGAGCCAUAGAAUCAAAACAAGGCAACAUCUAGGUAAGAGCCAUUAAUCGUCAUAUCGAGGAUACCAUAGAUCGCAGGCCUCCCAAGGAGCUGAUGACAAUGGAGCGACUAUAGGGUUUGGGAGCUUUGGAUCCUUCUAAUUGUGGGUUUGCGUUACAUUCAAAAAAAGAGGAGUGUGUUGUUGAGUUUUUCACAUAGAGGGAAAGAGGGAAAGAUCUUCAACUGAAGUUGGGUUUCCAACGGGUCAAAUUUCAACCCGGUUCUACAUGCACCCUCUUUUAAAAACUCACCGUUGGAUUUCAUCCAACGGCUCGUACAUACCCCUCAAAAACACCCCUUAUAACUUUCCACUCACUAUAGAAGCUCUCCCCAGGAAAUGCUUCGAGGUAGAUUUUAUGUUUUGGGCCUUGGGACCCAACUUCACAAAAAGAAAACAAAUUUGACCAAAAAACAAAGUUGAAGGACAUUGAUAUUGUACCUGUAGGAUAGGUUAAAACACUAAAAGGAAGGUAAAUAGUACGUUUACAGAGUUUAAGUGUAAUAAAGGAAUAAAAACAUGCCCAGAGAAUUGAUAAGUGAUAUCAAUUCUUGAAUAUAUAGAACGUAAAAUAAAGGAAUACGUAGAAAAUUAUUUUAUGUGGUAAAACUCAAUCUAUGGGGCCACGGGACUUCUUAGUCCAAAAAAAAUCCAUUGAACGAUGAUUACAAGAAGUACUCACACACUUAUCCUAGACACAUUCUAGAUAAUUUUUACUAACAUCUUUGUAACUCAACUUCUGUCAUAGGAUGAUUUUUUGACACUCCUUAUGUUGAACGCAAUACUGGUCACGAUUUCUUCAAGCUCGCAGGAACUCUCCUUAUAUUGAAUAUGAUACUAGUCACGAUAGAUUCAAGCUCAUCGGAGAAAAACAGCCACAACGGUCUUGGUGCCCUCAAUGGUAUGAGUCACUGAACAUGCAAAUAAAUACAAUAUGAAUGAUAAAAGUGUUUGAUAAAUCACCAAGUUAUGGAACACUUGAUGAUUUAUCUCAAAUAAAAACUCAGCUUUCCAAAGUUUAUGAAUUGAAAAUAUGAUCGUUAAAGCUCUCUAAACAAAGAAGACGAAGAUCUUAUUUUAUAGAAUUUUUCUUUAUAAGAAAGAAAACACAUUGAAAACCAAAUCUCCAAGGCUUGACAGAAAAUCACAAAAGUAUCUUUCCUAUUCUAGAGAUUGGUCACAUGUAGUCCAACCAAUAGGACAUGAGAUAUUUAAGAAAUGAAGAUUUUGAUCAAUAUCAAUAUCAAAUGAAUUCUUAUACGCCUAGUCAACUAUUAAGGGUAUCUUGACUCCUUGAUAUUGUGAUAUGAUUGAAACAUGAUUUCCACGUUAGAAAAUUAAGGGGAUGUUAAAACAUGAAAGUAAUAGGAGAAUCAAAUUGAUUUCGGCCAAAAUUGCCUAAAAAGAAAACACUCCUAAAUAAACUCAAUUCACUUUUAAAAACAGUAAAACGUGAUUGAAUUGUUCUUUAAAACAAUUCCCUAAUAUACAUGCAUGAUAAUGACAUCACUUACCUCUGAAUCAAAUGCCUUUCAUAGGUCAAGCCACAAGUCUGUGUUUUGGGGAUUGCUGAGCUGCAUCAAUCCUGCCAAUGUCAAUGCUGCCCCUAUGCUCUCUCAAAGCACGUUUACAACCUAUGCUAACAUAUACCCUAAACCCUAGUAUCAAGAAAAUGCCAACACUAAUUUCGUAACACGUAGAAAUUGUUAGAGAUUGGAAGUUUUUUUUCUUCAAGUCUCUCCACCACUCACUAAUACAGAUUGCUCAUGUGAUGAGUUUACAAAACCUAUUUCUCUACUCUCACAAAGACUAUACUUCUUCUCAAAAGACUAUAUCACUUUACCUCUAUCUCUGUGAAAUGUAAAAAGUUGAAACUUUAAUGUCAAACCUCGACAAAAGAUGAACUUCCAUAAGUUACGUUGAAUUUGGAUUUGUUGAACUUAAGUGGUUUUACUUUUCUGUCAGUGUUUGAUGACUUAAUUUGGUAUUUACUUCUUCUUUUUUUCCUUGGAAAUGUGUUCCACCAACGUGAGGAAGAAAAAUAUGCACAAAUUAAUAUAUUUAAUAGAAGCCCAAGAUUUCGGAAGCACAUAAUUUCUACAAAAUUCUACAAAGUGUUCUACUUUACAAACUUCAUAUGUCUACCAAUUUUUACUAAAAUUAAUUUAUCUGCAGUGCUCAAAUUCAUCAUAUGUGUGUCCUUAAUUUUAGUGAAAAUUGGAAGUUUCCAUUAUUUUUGUUUUACGGGAAUUUUUUGAACCAAGGAAAAUCAAGUAAAAUUAAUAAAGCAUAAAUUGGAAAGGGAAAAUAUCUAGAGGAUGCAUUGUAGGAUUGCUCAUGCCAAUAAUUGUACCCUCUAAAUAUAUAGGGACAUAUUUUUUUUGCUCAUACCACUUGUUGCAGUACACAUUCACCCGUUUUCAAAGAAAGAAAUUCUACCAAUCGAUAAUGUCUCAAAUUUAAUCACAUAUUUUAUGGACCAUCCAGCUAUGAGGUUUUAUCUCAAAAACCUUCGGUACAUUUCUCCCACAUGCCACAAUUGUAUAUUCACAAUUACGUCUGAUACAUCACAUCAUGCCACUUGCCUCAAAUGAAUUUAAGUGAGUGAGGCAGUUGGAAGUAAUUAAGCUCUAUAUUGGUGGGUGGAGUGUUAGUUCUGGGUACCCCUCAUCAUUCGUCUAUAAAAUGGUGAAGCCAGUUGCUACUGUUACCAUAAGAGCCAGCUCCGACUUUCUUUAAUUUCUUGCUUCAUAUCCACUAGCUACAUCUGUUGCUCUUCUCAGUGUAAGCUCUGCAAUUUGAUUAACUUUCCCAUUAUCUCUCACUGUACUCUAUAUAAAGGAAUAAGUGUCGUCCAUUAAUUCUCUCCGAAAGUGUCGUCCUGAUUUUAAUUAGAGUUCGAAUUAAUGUUGCAGCUAGCAGCGGUUGCACUGGCAAACCAUGCUGCUCAACCGGUACCUCAACUUUACUGGAACUCCGUCCUGCCAAACACACAGAUGCCAAGAUCUAUCAGUGAACUUCUGCAUCCUGGUUUGUGUUUGAGCACUUUAGAAUCUUAGAUAUCUCUUCUACCUGCCAUUUUACUAAAAUAUGUUCAACCACAUAUUUAUCAGUUAACUACUGUCAUUACAUGAGUGACACAUAUUCACAAAUCGGCUGAUCACUUAUUUUCCAUUAUGACGUUGAUAUAUAAUGUUGGGAAUGGAAAGCCAAUUGACCACAAGGGAAAACCUGAAAAUACUGUACUACCACAGCUAGCACGAAGCCCAUUUUCUUACAAGAGUGAUGUGGGGACCAAAUCUCAUGUAUCAUAGCUUAACCCAUAUGCCACAACUAAAAGACGUGGGAUGAUCGAACAGCAUACCCACAUGGUCAUGGAUCUCUUCAGAUAAUCAAUAUUAAACAACCCAUAAACUUCUCCCUUUGAAGAACAAAUUAAAACCAAUUUCUAGAGGAAGGUUACAAAACAUUUUAGCCCGUGAAGAACAAAUCAAGACAAUAUAACCCAUUUGAUAACAAAAUCAAAAUGAGAUUUACCAAUACUAGAUGACCACGGCGCCAGUAUAAUGGUACGACGGCGGCGUUAUUGUAACGGUGGAGAAGUGGAUGGUAUGACGACGGUGUUAGUGUGACGGUGGAGGAAACGAUAUUAUGAAGGAGGCGUUGCUAUGUUCGGUGGAGGAGUCGUGUGUUUCACAGUUCAAUAUAUCCUUUUUAGUCAUUUUAUAUUAGGGUAAAUCAGUAAUUCAAUAAAUAAUUUGAUAGUAUGGUGUACUCAGUUAAUAUUAGGGUUCAUUUAACAGCACUCAAAUUAACUAGUGUAGAGUCUAUCUAUAUUAUUAAUACUAAAAAUAAAUAUAUGACUAAAUAACUCAAAAAAAAAAUAAAUCUACAAUCUUUUUUUUAAAAAAUUUUUUUUAUAGAAUUUUAUUAGAUUAAUAGGCACUACUAAAAAAUCUCCUUAUAAACUACAAAUACACGCAUAACUUAUACUAAUGUGAGCUACUGACACCACCUGCCACAUGACAGUUGUCCAAGCAUAGUGUUGUCAUUCAUUAUUCCCCACAGCAACUAACAUCCAAUAAAGGGUUGGGGCCCACCCAUACUCCACCUCUCUGUAUGUAGCUCUUUGAGAAUACAGAAGAAAUAUUUUUUAGGGAAAUAGCUUAAAAUGAUACCCAUUUCAUAAUUUUAAUUAAAAAUACCACCCCUUUCCAAUUUUUGUACAACUAUCACCUAUAAAUAUAAAAUUAUUGUCCACUUAUUGCUGAUUUUUCACAAGUUCAGAAAUUUUGGAAAGAAGAAGCUCACACAGCUCUCUCUCUCUCUCUCUCUCUCUCUCUCUCUCUCUAGCACAACUCUCUUUCUUUGGUAUCUGUCUAUCACAGCUCUCUGUGUCUCUCUUGGCUCUCUCUAUCUUGGCUCUCUCUCUCUCUAGCACAACUCUCUGUCUCUCUCUUUGCUCUCUUUCUCAUAGCGCAGCUGUUUCUCUCUCUAGCUUCGUUAUGUCUCUUUCUCCCCUAUUCGAUCUCUUGCUUUCUGUUUGGAAUCGCGAACCCCUCCCUUUAGCUAUGUCUUCUGAAUAGCUGCUUGCAACCUUGAAGCUCUAGUGGAUUGCCGACCUCGAAAAGGUAGUGUUGAUGGUUAUUUUCUUAAUAUCAGUGGGAUUAUGUGAAAUGGGUUAUAGUUUGAUUGUUUGGGUUUGUGUUAAAUUCGUUUUGGCUUUAAUUUCUUUGGGUUAGGUUUUGUUGAAUAUUCAUACUCAUUCAUCUGGGUUUGUACCAAUUGCAUUUAGAUUGGUCUGGAUAUGUGAAUCUUGAAACUUGGGAUUUUCUAUUUGAUGUAGUAGAUCUGUAUAGUGUGAUUCUGUUGUGUUCCUCUUAUUUUACAGUCGUAUUGCUGUUAUAUUGUCAUUAUAUUGCUUAUAUAUUGCUGUUAUAUUGUGGUUAUAUUGCUAUUGUAUUGUUUGGUUAUUGUGGUUAUAUUGUGUUAAUGAAAUGUUGUUUUGUCAUGGUCAGAAAUGGAGACAAUUGUUAUUCUCGUGUGCUACAAUGGAAAAUGGGUCACCUCGAAGAAGAUGUGCAAAUACGAAGGGGGUGACUCAAAAGGCUUAAUAGUUCCACGGACCAUCAAAUUUGUUGAACUGUUGGACCGUGUGCAUUAGAUUGGUAAUACAAACAGCAGGGAAGACAAGGUUUGCUUAAAAUUCUCAGUUUUGGUGGCCUCGAAUGAGUGGAAGCACAUAAAUAUUGAGGACGAUGAUGAUAUCAAUUUUUUUAUGAAGUACAAUUCCGAGGUAACACCUUCAAAACUAGCUCCCUUACUCGUGAGUAUAGAAGAUAAAGGAUUGACAAAUGAUGUAGUUCAUAGUAUGCAUAUCACGACAGAUAGUAGUCGGAUGGGUCAUUCUUCAGUUGCCAUUGUUGAAAGCAAUGAAGUAACUUGGAAUAAUACGAAUGUCACUGAUGUGGGAGGUGAAGUAGGGACAGAUUUUGUGGAUAUGAUUGAUUUUAGCGAGGUGUAGGAGAUGCAUGGUGGUGAUAAUAGUACUGAAAGAAAUGAAGUGUCAGUGUACUCUGCCCCUCCUAAUUUGGGCUGCUUCAACAUAGCUGCCCAGUUGCCAAUAAUGCGUUUAGGAGGAGAAUCUGAACCCACUCGUCAACAUUAUUGGAGUCAAAUAGGUGAACAAAAUCGGUACAAUGCAGCCGGUGUAAAUGAUGAAGAAGCAUAUUUGGACAGCGGGUUUUCACGAAGUGAUUGGAAUCCGAAAAUUACAGUUGGGCAAAUUUUCUCUAGUAAGAAAGCAUUGUUGACGGAGUUACGGUUGACGGCAUUAAGAGGCCACUUUGAAUUUAAGGUGCAAUUCUCUUGCACUAAAAGGUUGCUUGUGGUUUGUUGUCAACGUCCAUGCCCAUGGCGGGUCCGAGCAUCGAGAAUUGGAGAAUACAGCUUCAUGAUUGUGAGGUGUACAACUGUCCAUGAAUGUGAUUUGAGGUUCGUAAGUGACAAGCAUCGUCAAGCAACCGCAGCACUUGUAGCCACUUCACUUAAAAGGAAGUGACAUUAUGAGAGAUGUGAAACACAACUUUGGUUGCACCAUCCAUUAUUCGAAAGCUUGGAAAGCAAAGGAGUUAGCUCUAUUGUCCAUUAGAGGAUCAGCGGAGGAGGCAUAUUAUAUCCUUCCAGCUUAUUGCUAUGAAUUGGAGCGUAUGAAUCCCGGCACAAAAACACACAUCCAAACUGAUGAGAACAAUCACUUUGUGUAUUUAUUUAUGGCGGUUGGCGCAUGUAUUAGAGGGUUCCGUUCUUCCAUGCGCCCAGUGAUAGCCGUGGAUGCCACUCAUUUAAAAUCCAAGUACAAGGGUGUUAUGUUUGUAGCAAAUGCAUUCGAUGGUAAUUGAAAUAUAUAUCCUCUUGCUUUUGGGAUCGGGGAUUUGGAGACGGAUGCAUCAUGGCAUUGGUUUUUCACUAAACUUCAUGAAGCCAUUGGUGAGUGUCCCAAUCUUGUUAUUAUUUCUGAUCGCAAUGUUAGCAUAGAGAAUGUGUGGAACAAAAUUUUUCCAACUGCACAACGUGGCAUAUGCUUUUAUCAUAUGAAGGGGAACAUGAAACGCACUUGCUAGUUGAAAAAGCGUGAUCACAUACUUAUGCACUUUGAGCAGGCUGCGAAAUCUUAUUCCAUUGCUGAAUUUGAUUGUCAUUUUUGCAAGAUCAAGCGAAAGGAACAUGUUGCUCAAUAUCUUGAAGAGACAGGGUUACAUAAGUGGUCUAGAGCUCACAUGGAUGGACGCCGCUACAAUGUAAUGACAACAAAUAUUGCAGAGUCAAUCAACUCAGUCCUUAGGUUUGCAAGGAUGCUGCCAGUGGUUCAUUUGAUAGGGGAAAUUGUUAAUCUCCUUGUGAAAUGGUUCACCGAACGUUGUGAGUUGGUUUUGAAUUGCACAACAACAUUGUGCCCCAAUUUUGGAGAGAAGAAGUUGAGGAACAGGUUGGAGGAUGCUGCAAGGAUGAAUGUGGUUAAAGUAAAUAAUGCACAGUUUAAUGUUUUGGACGGUGAUAUGGACGGCCUCGUAGAUUUGGCGAACAGCAGUUGUAGUUGUAGAAAGUUUCAGCUUGAGCAGCUACCUUGCAAGCAUGUAGUUGCAGUUUGCCGCUUCUUGAAAGUAAAUGUAUACGCAAAGGCUUCUCGGUAUUACACUCAGAAAACCUGGAUGAUGCUUAUUCGGAUAGCAUCUACCCGGCACAACCUCACGGAAUGUGGGAUAUUCCUGAAGAUGUUCGAAGUCGAGUUGUGCUGCCUCCCAUGGCAAGGGUCAUGCCAGGCAGACGAAAGAAGAUCAGAAUUCCCUCGCAAGGAGAGGGCACCAUUAGAAGAAAGUGCUCAAGGUGCGGUUCCGCAGGCCACAAUAAAAGCACAUGUAAAAACAAUAUUCCAUUGCGCAAUGUAUCUUAGACAAUAUGAUUUGUGUUGCUUUGGUAGGUCAUGUAAACUCUACUUUUAUUUGUGGUGGGUUUCGUGUUAUGUUGAAUGGGAAUUCUUUUAAAUUUGCAUAAUUUGGGUUGCAUUGCUACAGCAUGCUGUAUUGCUGACAGAUUGCUAUUAUAUUGGACUUUUAUUGUACUGGUAUUGCUUCCAGAUUGCUAUUAUAAUUUGAGUGCGAAAUUAAAGGGACUGGAAUGUAAUUCCAAAUGGAUCCAAAUCAUUAAAGUUCUUAGAAUUCCUAUAUUACACAGUUACUGUGAUACUCCGACUAUACCUUCUUUUAUGAUUACAAAUUCGGCCAAUGCAUAGGCCAGAUGUGGGGCAAAUACAAGGUGAAAUGUCCUAUGUGUUUGACUACAUAUACUUGUUGAAGGAGCAUUACGAAUGCUAACCUCAAUAGAUUGCUCAUGUCUUGCCAAGAACACUCUUGAAUUUAUGCAAUGUGCCCAAGCCAGUCCCAAAGCUGGACUCACCCGUCUGCCUGAUGUGUCCAGGGACUCCAAGUUUCCCAACCUCACCUCAUUCACUUUAUCAUGUGGCCCAAUAAAAUCCACCACUUGGUUGGUGACAACCACCGCCAACCCAAACUUAUUUGCUAAACCCUUCAAUGUCCCAGAUAUGUUGAAAAAUAUUUCAAACCGCCAUUUCAAAUCUGCUGGUGUUGUCUGAUACUGUGAUCGGAACAAUGCAGCAAUGGAAUCAAUGACAAUGAGUUUCACAGGUAGGUGGGUGUGAUCAAUGGCAAUAAAUGCUUCUAUGUCUCCAAGGACAUGGAUGAGUUGUUGAGCAUCAUGAACACCAUGAACAUAUAUGUCUUCCAAUGGCUCCAACCUUAUUAAGUUGGGGUAUGAUGCAUGAUAAAGGUUGCCUAGUUGUUGCAAUCGACGAAAUGGGAAGCUGAAUUCUGUGAAUAUGUAGACGGUGGAGCCCUCUAGUCCGCCAUGUGAGGGUGGGAGCUGAGCUGGUACCGUAAGUUGGAGACAAAGUUGCGUCUUCCCAGAACCACUCUCCCCUACCAAUUCUGUUAUAGAGUUGCAGGGUAUCCCACCCCCCAAGCAGUCAUCUAGUAUUGGGCAUCCAAUGGAUAAUUGAGGGGUUGAAAGAGGAAGGAGCAUGAGGUUUUAGGGUGUCAUAUUUGUGUAAUUUAGGGGGGGAUGUGAUGGUGCUACAAGGCAUGCAUUAUAUAUAUAUAUAUAUGUAGAGUUCAUUUUGAAGGUCUGUAUUGUAGGCCAUAUGUCUUUUAAGGGAUGUAUAAUCCAUCCUUUUUUCAGGUUGUAAUUAAUUUUUUGUUUAUUUAUUAGUAUUUUUUUGGACCAAAUAAUUUAAAAAACAUUAUGAUGCAGUACGUACUGUAAUAGGAUCAUAUUGUAACUCUAUCAUCACUCUAUUGUACUCUUAUUGACAUAAUAUUGCCGUUAUAUGCAUGUUUAUUAUAUAGUUAUUACUGCUAUAUCGCCACUGAACUGGACACCGAUAAACUGUAUACGCACAAAUACAAAAAGAGGCUUCAUCAUUCCAUAAAAUCCUAUUUCCAAACUUACAUAAUACAACAACAGGCCACCCCAUCGUUACAUAAUACAAAAAUACGCCACCUCAUAGUUCCAUUUCCCUACUGUUGACAAAUUCGAAGUUGCAUACUCUUCAAGUGCGGUGACCGCGACGCAUGAAAUUCAUGACCCCGGCCACAGUGAUGUUGGCCUAGUUUCCUGCCGGAUCCACUAUUUUUGCAAACUUACGAAAUAGUUCGAAUCCGCUUUCCACUUCUUCUUGCUUCAACUUGGCCGUUGCUUCUGAUUCCUUGAAUACCAUAAUUGCAGUGGUAGGGGCAAUUUCAAUUUUUGCUUUCAUUGUCUUUAUAUGUAGGAGAUGCAUGCGCGCAUGAUAACGAGAGCGAAUUGUGCGGUUUUUUAUGACACCCCAUCUAGUUUGGCCCUCCACAAUUUUGAAACUAUGUCUGCAUGAAGAUUUUUCCAAAACAUGGUAUUGCCUCGACAUUGCUGCAUGCCAUGGACCAAGUCUGCAGGGAGUGAAUUGGGUGACUUGGCUUGUGUUUCAGUCUUCUCUCCUUCAGUAAUUGAAAGUGUUGGGUGUGGUGUGAGGUUAUGGUCCAUGGUCUUCGAUAUUUAUUGUAGCCUAGUGUACAACUUAAUUGGAAAAAAAGGGGACUAAAUGCGAUGGGAGUGAAAUCAGUGGGGAAGGUAGUGGCUGUAAGCAGGAGUUAAUGUGAUGGAAGUUUUCAUUUCAAACAACUGGGUUGAUUAAUAUAGGCAAGUUUUAAUGACCUGGAGUAACUCAGAGAGUUAUUGGUGGGAGGGAUUAGAGGGAGUAAUUGGCGGGAGGGAUUGGCGGGAGUCUUAGGCGGGAUAGUAUUGGGCGGGAGUUAUUACCCAGUUGACUGUAUGCCUUUUUGUAAUAUAUUUGUAUGUUGGACGUUCCAAACUUGGUAAUUUUCCCAUUAUGUAAUUCAAAUAAGGGAUUUGCCUAUUUGCCUAAUUGACCAACUCAUUCAAAUUGACCAAUAUGGUUAUUGUCUUAUUUCUCAUUUCAGCAAUCUCAAUUCGUUUCCAUUUUUCCAUUCUUCAUAUUUUCCUAUUUUCCAUGUGUCAUCCAAUUUUCCAAUUUUCCAAUUUUUCAUUAUUUUUGCCUAUUUUUUCCUAUUCCCUAUUUUCCUAUUGUGCAAUUUCCCAAGUUUCCUUUUGUUGUAUUUCUAGUUUUCCAAUUUUUCAAUGUUCCCAUUUUCCCAUUAUGUAAUUUAAAAAAAGUUGCCUGCUUUGCCUAAUUCAGAAAGUAAUUAAAAUGGUCCAAUAUGGUAAUUGUCUUAUUUUCCAUUUCCACAAUUUCAAUUCGUUUCCAAUUUUCUUAUUUUCCAUGUGUCCCUAUUUCCUAUUUCCAUUUUUCAAAUUUUAAGUUUUUGUCCAAUUAUCCAAUUAUCUUUUUUCCAAUUGGACUAUUUUCUAAGUUUCCUUUUUUUCCUAUUUCCAAUUUUCCAAUUUUUCAAUUUGCUAACUUUCCUUUUGUUCUAUUUCCAAUUUUGCUAUUUUCCAAGUUGCCUUAUUUCCUAUUUUUCAAUUAUCCAGUUAUCCAAUAUUCCAAUUUUCCAAUUAUCCAAUUUUCAAUUUUCCAAUUUGCGAAUUUGCCUAUUUUCCAAGUGUCCUUUUUUCCUAUUUCCUAUUUCAAAUUUUCCAAUUUUCAUGUUUUCAGAGUUUCCUUUUUUUUUCCUAUUUUCCAAGUUUCCUUUUGUCCAAUUUCAAAUUUUCCAAUUUUCCAAGUUGCUUUAUUUUCCAAUUACCCAAAUUUCCUAUUUUCCAAGUGUCCUUUUUUCCUUUUUCCAAUUUUCCAAUUUUCCAAGUGUCAUGUAAUCCUAUUGCCUAGUUUCCUCUUUCCAAUUUUUCCUUUUUUCCUAUUUCCAAUUUUCAAUUUUCCAAAUUUCCCAAAUUUCCAACUUUCCAUUUUUUCGUAUUUCCGAUUUGCCAAUUUUCCUUUUGUUCUAUUUCCAAUUUUCCAAGUUUCCUUAUUUCCCAUUCUCCAAGUUUUCACUUUUCCUAUUUUUCAAUUUCGCUAUUUUCCAAUUUUCUGUUCUGAAAUUCGCAAUAAAUGCUUAGUUACACAGUCCUAUUUUGGGUUGAAAUCCACAAUUUUCAAUUUCCCAUUAAGGUUUGCUUUUUUGUCGUUUGGAAGCCAAUUUUAUUGUUGUUAAUGUAAUGUUGUACUGUUGUAAAUUACAGCCAAUGAGUUAAUGAUGUAGUUUGCAAUCCCAUCAAUUGAAUGCACCAACUAAAUACCCAAUAUACUUCAUAUAAGUUCGUACAUAUAACUCAACCUUCCUAUACAGAACUGCAACAGAGGCACCUUCUUAACGGGAAAGGUAAUUAGUCUUACUAAAACGCAAAUAUUCUCCACUACAGCUAACCAAUUGUCGUUUACAACUGGAGACUGAAUCUACCUUUAUUUGUUUUGUUGCAGGCAACAGCUGUGAAUUGUCCCCGGCAAUACUUAAAGAUGUCGGAUGUACGCCCUCCAAAUGAGCAUGUCACAGUUACCCGGGGGACCAGCCGUGGCAUGUGCCAUUCCCAUCUCCACCUCGGACUCCCAAUCAUGAUCCCACUUCAUCUGGAAGUGAGGCUGAGAGCAAUGAUCCGCUUGACAAAAUCUCUGCCGUCAAGCACCACCUCCAAUAUAUGUCAAAGGCAACGGAUUGGUGGGAGAGUAAGUGCGAUAUUCAUGGCCAAGUUAUGGGAAACUUGGCCAACAAGUUGAACAAAGCAUACGCUGGAGAGGUGAAGCAAACUCUAAAAGCAAAAAGUCGGAGCAAAGAGUUAGAGUCCUUGAAGUUGAAAUUGGAAGAGAGAAAGAAAAAUGCUGUCGAAAAAUUCACACAAUCUGAAGAAUAUAACCAUGAAAUGGUUGAAUGUUUCAACAACGGCUUUGAAAUGUUCCGAGAUUAUGCUUCGGUCAUCUCACCAGACUACAAUUGGAGUGAAAUUGAUGUAGCUGGUGUUUGGCAGGUGCUGAAUAUGGGUGCUGAGGGAAUGGCUCAUCAUAGCCUCGUGCAUGCAGCAAGGAGAAAGGACAAAGACUUGGAUCUUUUGAUGGACCUGUAGUAACAGUGAGUGCUGCUUCAGUUCAACUCACCUGAGUACAUGGAUCUUUUGUUGCCUUCAUUUUCCCUUCGCAGGCUAGUAUUGUUAAGGUUCGGUGGCGAUUUCUUUUGCAUGUGUAAAAUGUUGUCUGUAAUGUGUAUGUAUUGUAUGUAGAUUGACUUAAUAUUGUAGUUCUAUUGUAUGUAUAUUGCCUUAAUAUUGCCUUUGUAUAGCAUAGAUAGUGUAUGCAUAUUGCCACCGUAUUGGAUGUAUAUUGUAAAACUAUUGGUAUCGUAUUGCCCUUAUAUUGCUCUAAUAUUGCCUCUAUAGUGCACCUAUAUUGACCUAAUAUUGCUCUUAUAUCGUAUGUCAAUGGCAUGUGCUCUAAUAAGUCUCCAGUUCGUUGAAAGUAAUCCUGAAUUCAAAUAUGAUGGACAAGACAAUUGUUAUCCAUCCUUAUAUUACCAUGAAUUGAUUUGGACCUUUCAAAUGAUAGUUGGAGUUGCACAUGGAUUCAUAUUCAAAAGGAAAGUAAUUCUCUCCCUCAAUGAAUUGUCGUUCAAAAGAAGGCAGCUAUCAAAUUUUGGGUACAAAAAGGCAACAUCCACGGUAAAUUAAUUGGGCACAAACCACAUAUUACAAAACCAGGAUGAUUUUUGGCAUGCUUCAAAAGAGAAGGGCCAAAUACAACAGAAAAGAAAAUCCAUUCAAGCUUGUACAAUAGAAUGCACAAUAACCCUUUUACAUGUCCUUCCAACACCAGUGUUUUGCCUACUUUAGAGUCGCAGGAGGAGAGCUUAUUGCCAUUGUGCAAUUCGAGGGGGCAGUCAAUUUGGAAUGGUGGCAUAAACAUGUUUACUCCACGGAUCACCUAUAUGGGACAGAGCUUCCUUCUUCCCUUGUCGUCUGUAGGUUUCAACUUCACACUUUUUAUAUACAUGUAUGAGAACUUGUGGCUAUUUAUUUAUGGCCUUCUAACACUUGUUCUGCCAUUCCAAAGUGGGUUGGAGACUUUUUGAGUUGAAUGACUGGAAAGACUUCAGAUGACAGAAACUAGAGAGUUUGAAGAAAAAGGGUUACCAAGAACAGCAGUCAUGCCCACGACAUAAACUAAACAUGCUAUAAGCUCCACAGUAAUAUUUACUUCAUCUCCAUAAUCAGAAUAUUGGGAAAAAAAUACCACGGAGAAAUACGUGAAAUGAAAAACAACUCGGCAGUUACUGUGAGAUUGUGUACAUAAAACUUGGAACAACCAAACCAAUUAAAGCUAAGCCAUCUCAUACGUAUACCUACAUCAAAUAACAGUGUAUGGUCAUCUUGUUUAGAAUAUUGCAAUCAACACUUGGUUGAGACCGACCUGCAAAAACAACUGGGUUAAGUACAGAUGAAGCCAUUUAUGAAGGGCAGUUCCAGAAUUAAGACCUACGUUAAUUUGUAACUGCCACCGAAUCAGUUCAUAGUGCCAAAUGCAUCUACCAAGCACACAGAUAUGACCAGCCAAAAGAAAAAAAAGCAAAGUAAAAAAGAUAAAAGAGGCAUGCCAUAAAUGGGAACCUCAGCAGAAAUCAUCAGAUAUGCAUACAAGCAGAUUGAGUAACAUCUCACUAAGUAGAGGUCAUGUUGGUAAUCGCAUGUUGUGUUUGCACACAGACAUUUGGUUUUUGCAAACACAACAUGCAAUUGCAUUCCAUGAUGUGUGUGUUGUGUUUGCACACAGACAUUUGGUUUUUGCAAACACAACAUGCAAUUGCAUGAUGUGUGUGUUGUGUUUGCACACAGACAUAUGGUUUUUGCAAACACAACAUGCAAUUGCAUAUUGUGUGUGUUGUGUUUGCACACAGACAUAUGGUUUUUGCAAACACAACAUGCAAUUGCAUAUUGUGUGUGUUGUGUUUGCACACAGACAUUUGGUUUUUACACACACGAUAUGUAACAUUUAGUUUUACCCUUUUAUUCUUAUUUUCUUCGUUCAAACAUGGUGGUGAGAAAAGCACCAAACCAUCCCAUCAUAUAAAGCAAAACUCAUACAAUAUUUUAGAUGCAAAAGUUAUAUAUUUUAUAUAAAUGCAUCAUCCGCAUGGCUUGAAAUUACAAAUUCACGUUCACAUAUUACUUUUCACAAGCGCACAGACUAACAAUAAUAAUAAUCAACCAAGUAGUUGCGACAUUCAUCCUAUUACGUCCAUAUUGAUAAUGUCAGAAGUUUCAUCGAUAAGCCUCAUCAAACUACAAGUUUUUUAAUUUGAAUUAUGAAUUCAGAACUAAAAGCUCAUGAUAUGCAGAAAAUGACAUACAUUGUCCACAAUCGACUUUUCGAUAUAUUUCUGCUCUAGCAAUUUAUCGUCCAAAUUCUGGACUCUCUGUGUCAGGUGCUUCUUUGUGUUCUAUCCAGCAUAAGAAUAUUUAAUAGUGUGAUUUCAAUUGUUUAUACAAAUUCUAUAAGUAAUAUUGAUGAGUGCUGUAAAUCUAUUUGAUAUUGGGAACAAACAUGGUCCCACUAACAGAAACUCAAACAAAACAGGAAUUUUUUUUUAUUUUUUUUGGCAUAGACAGCCGAAAAGAAACUUACAGCAAUAGCCUCUGUCACGCUCUCCAGACGUUUAUGCAAUUUUGAAACAGCAGCAUUCAUACUACGCUUUGUCACAUACAGAAGAUCUGAGAAUUUUAGACCCUAACCAUUUGUGAAGAGCAAAUAUUAGAUUUGCUUAAAGAAGACAACAACUCACAGAACCAAUGGAUGAAAUAAUAUGAACAUAAAUAUAUCAUUUGGAUACCUUCCACCACAUGUAACCAUAACCCAAUGCCCCCAAGGUAGCUGUUGGCAUUAUUAGUGAUGUCAAACCUAUUAAAAAAAUCAAAAAAAAAAAUAUAACCAAGUAUAAAAUGUUUCUAUUGCAUUAUGAAAUACAUACGUGUAAGGAAUUAAUCGUUUUACAACUUAACCAAAAAGUCAAGGCAGGAGCAUGCAUUCAUUGAGUGGUUAUAAGCAAGAGGAAAAAGCACAAAGCAUGCUAAGAAUUCAUUUGAACACAGAAGAGAAAGUAAGCUACCUUGGAAUUUGGCUGUCAUUCCCCUUCAGGACGGCUCUCUGUAGUGACGAGUCUAGUUGUCGGACCUCAGCUGCCAGUCGGCGCACCUAAAACAAAGUAACACAGGAAAAUUGAUAUCCAUUACAAAAAACAAAAAUUGAACACGAGAAAGCAUCCUUCGACACUAAAUUUAUAGCAGUUUUUCCAAUACCUGUGAUGCGAUCGCAUAAAAGUCACCUUCUGAUUGUUCUCCGGUUCCAUUGAACAAAGGCUGCAAACAAAACAGAAAUAGACACAAAUCCAUCAAUUUUUUGAGCAACAAGACACAAGCUCCGAAAUAAAUAAACUAUCUAACUGAUCAAAACCCUAGUUUACCAAAUGCAUUACAAAAUUAAAAACUCAUACAAAAAUAACACCAAAUACAAAUGUUCUGCGAGUUCCACUAGCAAAGCAGAGUACAAAUCAUGAAAAUGGUACCUGAAGUUCACCGAUCAAUUCAGAUAAUUGACCAUUCUUACGCAGGAUGGUGCUCGUAUACCCUGUAGAAAGAGAACAAUCACUCAGAUCAAAUGUAGCUAAAUACACAAGGAAACUAAUCCAGUAUGCAAGAUGAAAGAGGAGUGAUUGGUACCUACUCCAGCGAAGAUCAGCAAACACAGUAUGAGGUUCCAAAUUCAAAUAACAACAUAAUGCUAAGCAGAGAAGUAGAAUUGCUGCCGAAAUUAUUUAAAACGAACUAAGUCAAAACUAAAUGGAGAAAUGUUAACAAAGUUGUAUGCUUCAGUAAGUCCAGUAACAGAUUCCCAAAACCACAGAGACAAAAUGUGAACAAUGGCUACAAAAGCAUCCAUAAAGAGCAACUAUGUUUAUAUAUGGAGGUGUACAAAAUAGUUAACCUUCAAAAUCGAAACAGUGUGUGUGCCAUGUAAGGCAAUUAGCCACUGCUUCUAGACUAUACAAUAUUACACCUCACAAUAAUAACUAAACCAACUAGCUCUAGCAAAAAGGCAGGAUGACCAUAUAAAGUACCCCCAGCAAAGCAUCUACGUCUGCAUCUUCAUAUCAAGGAGUUCCUGACAUAAGUAAUGAGCAAAGUGAAUUCCCAAGUCAUAAGUCCAGAAUGAGGUGAAUUCACGGACAUUAAAACAUUUACCUCAUAAAUAUGCCUCCCCCCUUAAACCCUCAAUUGCAAGCCUCAGCCGGUAAUAUUUGAUCUUCAAAGGGUCAACUUUAUCUACCGAAAUCCCAGCACUGAGAUGCUCGAUGAAUUUGACGGUCAUGAUUCCGCAAGACGUACUGUGAGACCAAUAAGUUGGGAAAUUAGAACUGCAGUUAUGUAAGAUUUGGAUAAACUGCACUAAAUUCACAAAGCUUACCCAUCUCGUUGUUGUGGCACAUCUGCAAUGCUGCAAACUGAGAAUGGCGUAAACGUCAACAUCUUCAGCCCCUUUUGCUUAACCUUUUCAACCUCAGAAUCUUCAUAAAAGUGCAUAUCGUACAGCACUCGUGCCAGCGUAUCGCUAAUAGGGUGCAGAAGUGUAACCAGCUUCGAACAUUUGGUAAAAGCAACAUAUGAGUCAUACACAGUUGCAGUAUGUCAGACGAAAUCAAUUUCGAUUGCAACCCAGUAAGACCCUUUAAGAUUAUAUGGAAUAUAGACCUUCCGGACUUUUGUCCAAGCUUGGCCAUACCCGUGUUGCCACGUACCGCGUACAAAGUAAUGUAUAUUCUGCAGCUUGCUGGGUGGAAGGUCAACGGUGUUUGAAGCAACUGCCUUCUUCGAUCCACGUUUCUUGGCAGUCGGUUUGAACGGAUCUAGAAAUUGCUGCAUAAAUUGAAAUGAAGGCAUAUUAGAAAAUCACAACCGAAAGCAAAUGAAGCAGCGAAUGUAACAUGGUAACAUGUUUACCUGCAAGCAACAAUCUGCUGUUGUCCAGUCAGUUCCAAAUACCAACGGAUGAGAGAGUUGCCUUUUCCAGAUAAGAAAGGUUGCCAUGUCCAGGUGCUGAAAGUUGACACACAUAAUAUCAGCACAAUUUCAUACAACUGUACACUUAAAAAAGGUGAGAAAACAAUUUAAUUAUCGCAAUAAAGUAGAGCUUUGUGUAUUCUUACCCUUGAGCUAAUCCAUUCCGUUUCAUCGAUAAGUCUGUAGAAAAAAUCAGCGCCCACUGAAAAUAAUUCCAGCUGCACCUCCGCACUACAAAAGGCAAACUUGCAAUGGUUACUUUUAUAGUCAUCUCAUAAUUCUGACUUUGUUGAUGACAAAAAUACACAUGUAUAUUAAAGCAAACUCUACGUUUUCUCAUUAGUCUAUGACUACAUACUAGAAUAGGAUGAAGAUUGGAAUUCAAAGGUAAAGAAUCCUAACCUGAUAUCGUUUUUCCAGGCAGUACAAAACUCUAUUACUGCCUUCACAUCUUCAAUGGGCACGGAUUUUGAUGGAUCAAAACAUGGCGGGGUUGCAGUCGCAGCCAACACACUCAUCGUCCUCUUCUUCCUCAAAGGAUCAGUAAAUGGGCUCAACAAUGUCUGCGCCGGGCGCUUCUGUCUGCACCCUUUACCUUCCACUUCUUUUUUUUCCACACUCGAACUACCUUCUUCAUCACCAGCCAUACUAACUGUGGGUAGACUUGGAGGAUUCAUCGGACCUCCCGAUGGCAUACUCUUAGUCACUUUCCAAUCUUCUAACAGAGACAACACUUUUUGGCAGAUUUCGUCACACCCGGCCACAUCUUCCGGGGUAGGCAGCUUCUCGGAUUGUGCCUGCUCAGCUGCUUCAUGCACUUGUAAGUGAGGAACUGAAGCGGCCAUUUCUGCCUCUUCGACUACCAUGGCUGCGGAAGGUUCGGCUCCAUCACCGGGAACUUGUGUUUCCAUUACCGCCGGUUCUGUAGGCGGACUAACAUGGUCAUGUAAUGGCGACAAGUGAUUGUCGCCUCCUUCAUUCAUAUGAGGACUACUGAGGUCCUCAUGUCCUUUCCCACCUUCAUUCACCCCACCAUUUCGUUUUUUCAGCUGCUCUAUCUCCACAUUAAAAUAAUGCUCCAUUAAAGCCAGGGUGUUGCGGAAAUCCUCCACACACUUUUUAUUUUUUUCGAACUCUCUUUCAACUUUCAAUGACUCCUUCCGUACCAUGUCUUCCAACUGAUGCACUCUGUUGCGAAGCGCUCGAUUUGAUAUGGCAACUUUGGCCAAUUCAUCCUUUGUCCUUUGAAAGUCACGCUUCAAAGUGCGUAACUCUCUGGACGCGACUGUACCCUGCAUUCAGUUAUAAUGCAAGUGUUACAAUAUUUUCAAAAUAUAUUGCAACAAUACAGCAGUUAUUUUCCUAUUGUAUUAUGACGUAUAUCUUGGAAAAAAAUGUAAUGCUUGCCUUAGAAGACGACGGAAGGCUAGCAGUUUCGUCAAUGUCCUUAUCUUUUUCUUCUACAGAGGCAGAAGUGCUGGUUUUUUGUUCAGCGUCAUCGCCAAACAACUGAACAAGUUCUUCAGUGUCGUCAACACUGUCACCCCAAGUCCAAUACGGCUGCUGCUUGUCGAUUACAGAUGGCCGGAGAAGUUGCACAUCAACCUGCAAUUUACACAUACAAUAUACAUAUCAGUAAACUUAUUAUAUUAUAUUUUCAUAUGCCUAACAUUAUCAUUAAAAACUUAACUAACCUCACGGUUCUCGAAUACUUGGCUCAUUAGCUCAUAAAAACACGGCGAACUAUUGCUCCUCCAAUGUAGUAAACGAGGGAUGUAGGCAUUAUCUUCGUGCACCACCAAAUGUAGUGCAGCCAACGCUGGAAAAACCUCAUAAGCCCAAAUCUGGUUUGAGGAAUAAAACGUGAGUCACUGUAAACAAAUGAAAUUUAACUUCAACAUGAAUGGAAAUUUGCUCACCUGAAGUGCAUAGGCAAAACCUUUGAGGUGGUACUCUCUUGGUCUACCAGUUGCCGUUGUUUUUGCUUUCUUUUCAGAUUUUUUUGUUUUUGCAGCUUUUUUGGGCACUUUCACUCGCUGGUAAUCUGUACAAAGUGCCCUCAGAAGUGACACAAUUGUCUUGGCAUAACACACAGCACCCCAUGGAUACUUCCCAAACUCUUCAAGGUCUUCCACCAACUUCAAAUAUCGCAUGUCAAUCUGGACAUGUUUUUCACUGCCCAACAGCACAAACACAGCAAAGUAUACAAAUCUGAGCUUCAAUACAUCGUCCGCAUCAACGCAUUUGAGGAAGGCCUUUUCUAAUUCCAAAACAUUGACAGUUUUAUAGUUGCCAAAGUACUUCCUUUUCAAUGAGCAGUUCUCAUUAGUGGGAAUCGGAAUAAAGGGAAGGUUUCCAAACCUUAGCCCUGUCACGAUGCAAAAUUGCUGCGCCGUGAAUUGGAUCACCUUAUUGCCAACGAUGAAUUUGAUCCCGUUGAGUUGGGAAACUGUCUUUGGAUCAGCUUUCCUCAGCAGCAAGCCGUGGACAAUUGGCGAAGUCCACUUGAGGUCCUCAAUCAGUAGGAGAUGCCCAAAACAACUCUCUUCAAACCUUUGUAGCUGUUGUUCACUGAAUUUCUCCUUUAUCGUGCUGAUUGCAGUCUUCGUAUGGGAUAGGGACAAUGCUUUUCCUUGGAACUUUUCUUCCUCUGCAAUCAUCAACUUCAUUUGAGCAACCAUCUUUCCCUGCAUGCCAAUAUUAUAAAAAAAAAUUCAGUCCGUUGCAAUCUAGACAAUAACAAGCAAUAAACAAUCAGCACUUAUCUACAGCCUAUUAUAGGAUAUUAAGUGAAAACAAAAAAACAAAAAAUACAGGGCAUAAACAAAACCCCAGCUAUUUACAACUGACCUACUAAUUCAAUAGCUCAAAGCCACAUCCCAAGACACCCAGUACUCUACCACUCUUGCAUAAUAUAAUAUCUAAAGACACAUCUCAACACACCAGAUAAUCAUGACACAGCUUCAGCUAGAAUGGGAAUGUGCGGUAGCACAAGCCUAAUUGAGAACAAUUCAAGACUAACGAUAGAAAUCUAUCUGACUAGAAAGAGUUUUAAAAAAACAAGAAGACAUCGGGAAAGAAUUGAUUGACUUCAAGGUAUAAUGUAAUGGAACAUCCUAUGAAUUAGUGGCAACCAUAAUAAUGACUCCACUAUGGCCCUCCUUUCAAAUGUAAGAAAAUGAAUGAAAUUGGCACCAUCCCUUCAGUUUUUUCUUAACAAAAUAAGAGAUUUGUAUGUAUUCUCUGCUUUAUCGAUAUCAAAGAUAAAUUAAUAAAUAAACCAUCAAAACUGUAUAAAAUGUUUGUUAGACAUGUACAAUUACAAAAUUAUAAGUUCUCCUCAGAAACAAAGUUCUCUAAGUACGCAAACAAGAAAAGCAAAAGCUUAAAGAGUUAGCUUAUAGCAAAAUCAAUGUCCCCAUUUCUCUAAACCACACCUGCUGGUGGUAGGUUCCCAUCUUCACUCAUUUCCCGCUUUCUUUUAAACAGACAAUGAUCAAGCACAAAAGAGCAAACUUUUAAAUAACUCAUAUUACACCACAAAUAGUUCUAAAGAAAACUUAUUCAUAUCCAAUAUGCAACCCCUAAAGUUAGUAAACAGAGUUAUAAAAAAAUAUGUCAAAUUAACAAGCAUUAUUCUCAAACAAAAAGUAUGAUAUGGUUGGGAGUUUACAAGUUCAAAAUGAUAUACACAGGUUAAUUGUCUUAGACUUUAGAUAUCAUCUUCAACAAAGAAAAUAGAUACCGAUUAGACUUGUAAGAAGGUUAAAUGCAAUGGUCAUAAAGACCCAUAGUAAGCCACCAAAUACCAAUCAAUAACUGCUAUAAAAACCAUAAUAAAACCAUAAUAAACUAAAAAUACAACAGCACUAAAAUGCCAACACAACAUCACUACAUUAGCAAUAUAGUAGCAACAAAACCACAAUACGACAUCAAUAGCAACAGCAAAACAACAGCAGUGCAAGCAUCAGUCCACAAAGAACAAACCCAUUCACUGUUUCAAACAAGGAAUCAUCAUACUAAGAUCAUUUCAGAGAAACCCCAAAACCAAUUUCAGUGAAACCCCUAAACCAAUUUCAGAGAAACCCCUAAACCAAUUUCAGAGAAACCCCUAAACCUUCAACCAAUUUCGAACAAAUCCCUGAACCAAUUUCAUAGAAAUGCAUAAACCCUAAACCAACUUCAAAGAAACCCUAAACUGUAAGAAAAUGACGAUGAACAGUACCUGUUCAAGGUGAACGAUGGAGUUGAGCUUCGAUGAACAAAUUUCGCUCGGAGAGGAAGAGAGAAGAGAGAGUCAGAGCUGAGCGACGAGAGAUUAAGGGCUGAGCGACGAGAGAGUGAGAGCUGAUCGACGAGAGAUGAGAGAGUGAGAGCAAAGUGACGACAGAGUGAAGAGAAAUUGAGAGAAGGAGCCAAGAGAGAGAGCUGAGAGAGAACUUCAGCAAAACUGAUAGAGAACUUCAGCAAAAGUGAUAUGUGUACAAUAAGGGGACAAUAAAUAUAUAUUUAUAGGUUAUAGUUCCAAAUUUUUUUAAAAAGAGUGGUAUUUUCAGUUACAAUUAUAAAAAUGGUGGCAUUUUGAGCUAUUUCCUUAUUUUUUAUUCAACAUGGACGCAGAAACUGUUGCUAAACUGCAAACUUCUUAAAAUAUUUGUCUCACUUUCUCAACCCUAUAUUUGUCUAACUUUCUAGAUCCAUGUACUGAGAUUUAUUAGGGAAAUAUUGUAGAAACUGAUUAUUUUGAAAUAUUAAAUGUGAAAAACUGAACAAAAAUUUGAUGGGUUACAUAUUUCAACUCAUUUCAGCAGCUUAGAUUUUGAAGACCUCGGAAGAGGCCAUGCAGUGAGCCUAGCUAGUGCACUGUUGAUCACUUCAGUGUCUACCGAUCUGUAAUUUUUCCAGAUUGGUUAUAUUUUCCUUUACAUAUUCUUAUAUUAUUCCCAGCUGUAAGUGUUUUACACACUUGUCUAUUAGAAAAGGGGAGACUUAUAAAUAAAUCCAAAAUGGGUACAGUAUUUAUAAAGAAUGACAAAAUUAAAGUGUUUGGGCAAUAAUGCCCUUAUUCAUUUUGAGAUUGCCUAAGGAAUAUUUUUUCUGAUUUUCAGAAGAUGCCAAAGGACCGUUGUUUGAUGAUUGCCGUAAGGAGCUAAGAAAACUUGCUUUGAUAGUUUUGGACAGAUGCAUGCUACUGUUGCUGGGAUGAUCUCUUCACGUGAAAUGAGGAUGAUGAUGCUUCUACACUACACAAUCCAACGAAUUCACAUGUCUAUUUCAGAUACAAGUAUAAACUAACAAGGCUUUAAAAUAUGGGCUGAUGCACUGUUGUUGAUGUUGCUGACACUGUUACUGUGUUGUUGAUACUGUCACUGCGUUGCUGUUGGAAAAAGCACAAGGACUUCACAUGUUGCUUUCGUCUUUUGUGGAGGAGAGAGACCUAGGACUUGCAUGUCUUAGAUAUUUAAGAUAAGGGGCUUUCGUUCCAUUUUGAAAAUACUUUGGGUGUUUUUGAAAGGUGAUUGUUUCUUUUGGGUUUCUCACUAAAUUUCGCUUUAGAAGGGAAAAUAAUAAUAAUAAUGUCAAACAAAGUAGGGUAAAUAUUCAGAUAUGCUCAUAUUAUUAUUCUUCUCCAAUAUUGAGGUAUUUAUACAAGUACAAAGAUGUGUUAACCCUAAAUAAAAUAGGAAAUAUAUCUAAAUUAUAAUAGGCAGUAAAUCUCUAUUACAAUAGGACUAAAUAAUAAUUGGUAAGUAACCAAAAUUCUAAUGAAAUAAGGAAUCAAAAUCCUAACUAAGUAAGGACUCGCCAACACUCCCCCUCAAGUUAGGGCAAACAUAUUUCGCAUGCCUAACUUGACAAGCGAGUCAUAGAACACCAUACUUGAGAAGCACCAAUUGUAGAGAAGGUCUUUUCGUCAACCACGAGUGAAACAAGUGACAAACUAAAGCAAAGUUCGCAGCGGAAACACAAGAGCGAAUCCUAAAAAAUAGGGCACAUAGCAGAACACAAAAAUCCUGGAGCACGACAGUAGAUAAGGCAGAACACAGAAACCCUGUUAGCACGGCAAUAGGUAAGGCAGAAAAAGUCAAGAGCAAAGGCAAGGUCAACAGGCGUGACCACAACGAAAACACACCAGCAAAGACAUGAGCAACAAUAUUAGCACCAUAAUAGACAUGAGCAACAAUACUGGUACCAACAACAGCAAUACAAGGCACUGGCACCAGCAAGAGCAACAAGGCAUGGACAUAACAUGCAUAAUCAAUAGUAAUCAACAUUGUCCCCAACAAGAGUCAUAAUAGGCAUGAGCAAUAACAUUGUCCCCACUAAGAGACUUAACAGGUAUGAGUAACAGUACUGGCACCAGCAAAGGGCAUAGUAGUCAGCAGCAAUAACAAUGACAAAUACUUCUAUUAUUGCAGAGACAACUUCUCUUCACUCCCCAUCUCCCCUUGAAGAGAAGGGGUCAUCGGAACCAUAAGAAAAGUGGCACUUAAGAAACAGAAGUUGACUGACGCUCAAAUGUAGAAGAAUCAGCCAUGGCAAAUAGGUAGCUGAAUUGCAGCGGAAUAGAUGAGCAGCGGUGUCACUCCCCCUCAUAUCUGAUAAUGUAUGAGAGUCGAGAUUUGGAGAAAGCAAUAUCGAAAAAUAAAGUUGCAGAACCCAAAUAAAGUUGCAUCUAUCUCCCCAUCAAAUCCGACACUGGUAAAGGGUCGAGAUUUGAAAGAGGAGAAAUUGAAAUAAUAGUAAAGAGACUCAAACAUGCAGUCUCAUGGCAGAAACAAAUGCAAGAGGGGAAGAUGGUAGCAUACGGUUGUCCCAUGAAGAAAAAACUUCAGAAAAGGAGAAUAGUAAGGGAGGAAACCUAGCAAAUCAUGAACAGAGACAAAGACAAAGAUGCUCAAACUGAGAAGCGGAAAGGCAACUCAAGAGAGCAACCGAAGAAGACAGAGGCCCGCAGAACAGUCAAAGUUAAGGCUCGGCGAGUGGUGACGAUGCUCGCGGAGGAAAGCAACGGCUCGGUGAGCGGUGAUGAGGCUCACGGAGUAAAGAGACUUGUUAUGAAGUUUCAAAGAUAGAGAAGCUGAGACAUCAAGAAAGACCAUCUGGCAUACAAAGAUGAAAAAUAAAAAUUUUGGAACAGUAGCAAAGAAGCAUGUGAAGGCUGGUGCGGUGAAAACACAUAUGAAAGGAUGAACAAAAGAAGAUGACUAUACAAGAUGAAGACCCAUGAUGGGUUAGGAAUGAGGAGUGCCAACGACUCUCAAUUUGGCAGAGGUUAUCGCAGGUUAGGAACCUGGCUCUGAUACCAUGUCAAACAAAGUAGGGUAAAUAUUCAGUUAUGCUCAGAUAUGCUCAUAUUAUUAUUUUUCUCCAAUAUGGAGAUAAUUAUACAAGUACAAAGAUGUGUUAACCCUAAAUAAAAUAGAAAAUAUAUCUAAAUUACAAUUGGAAGUAAAUCUAUAUUACAAUAGGACUAAAUAAUAAUUGGUAAGUAACUAAAAUUCUAAUGAAAUAAGGAACCAAAAUCCUAACUAAGUUAGGACUCGCCAACAAAUAAUAGUACAACUCUUAUUAGCAACAGGUUACAAACUUCUUCUACAACACACCAACAUGAAUCUAGCCCUGAUCCACUCUUUUACAUACUUGAAAACAAAACAAAACACGAAAAACAAAAAACAAGAAACAAGAUAGGGAGAAAAUGGCUACGGAGAGACUUCCUGCUAAUCAGGGGCGGCCCUGGGGUGGUGCAAGUGGCGUCACCGCACAGGGCCCCCGAUUCUUAAGGGCCCCCAAAAAAUAAUUCUUUAUAUUAUAUAUAUAUAUAUUAAUAUUAUAUGAAUCGUAUAUAAAGUAUAGCGUCUGGAUGAUAAAGAGACUCAUUAUCAUUAUCUUAGUCAUAAGAUUCAAAAUGAAUUGAUACUUUUGUUAGCUUCUGAGCUCAAAAGUGCAAUCAUUAAAAAGAUUGAAGAAGCUAAAUAUUUUUCUGUGAUUCUUGAUUGUACUCCAGAUGCUAGAAACCAAGAACAAAUGAGUUUGAUAGUAAGAUGUGUGGAUGUCUCUACUAAUUCAAUAAAGGUUGAAGAAUUCUUUUUGGAAUUUUUGAUUGUGAAUGAUACAACAGGACAAGGACUUUUUGAAGAGUUGCAAACGGUGUUGCAAAAACUUAAGCUUGAUAUUGAUAAUGUGAGAGGACAAGGCUAUGACAAUGGAUCAAAUAUGAGUGGGAAAUAUCAAGGUGUCCAAAGAAAAUUUUUGGAUGUAAAUCCUAGAGCAUUGUACACACCUUGUGGUUGUCAUAGUCUUAAUUUAACACUUUGCGAUAUUGCAAACUCUUGUGGAAAAGCAAAAGAUUUUUUUGGAAUCAUACAACGUAUUUAUACAUUGUUUGCUAAUUCUACAAAGCGGUGGAAGAUAUUGAAAGAUAAUGUUAAACACUUAACUCUGAAAUCAUUGUCAGUUACACGUUGGGAAAGUCGUAUUGAAAGUGUGAGAGCAAUAAGAUUCCAAGCUGCAGAUUUAAGAGAAGCUUUACUUCAGUUAGCAGAAAGUGACGGUGACUCCAAAAUAACAAGUGAAGCUAAUUCUUUGGCAACAUAUGAACUUGGAAAUUUUGAGUUCUUAUUGGGCAUGGUUAUUUGGUAUGAUAUAUUAGGUGGUGUCAAUGUAGUGAGCAAAAACUUACAAUCUGAAGACAUGCUUAUUGAUGUUGCUAUUGAUAAAGUGAAAGGGUUGAUUACUUUUUUUUUGAAAAGUAUAGAGAAAAUGGGUUUACAGAAGCUAUGUGUACUGCUAAAAAAAUUGCUACUGACAUGGGAAUUGACCCGGUGUUUCCUGAGAAGCGAAAAAUUCGUAGAAAAAAACAUUUUGAUGAGAAUACUUGUGAGCUAUCCCAAUCAGUUCCUGAAUCAACUGAAGAAAAGUUUAGAAUUGAUUAUUUCUUGUAUUUAGUGGACCAAGCUAUUGGUUCUUUACGAAGAAGGUUUCGACAAUAUCAAGAGUAUGAGAAUUUUUGGGUUUUUGUUUACUUCAGAGAAGUUAAAUUCAUUGGAUGAUUGCGAUUUGAAGAAUAGUUGCAGUCAUCUGGAAAGCAUUUUGAAAAAUGACAAGUUUUCUGAUGUCGAUGGGGAGGAUUUAUUUGUUGAGUUGAAAGUUUUACAAGAGCUUUUACCAAAAGUAAAUACCACAGCUACUGCAAUAUUAAAUUUCUUGAAAAGAUUAAAUUGUUUUCCAAAUGCAUUCAUUGCAUAUAGAAUCCUAUUGACUAUUCCUGUUACUGUUGCAUCUGCGGAAAGAAGUUUUUCAAAAUUAAAAUUGUUAAAAUCAUACUUGAGAUCAACUAUGUCGCAAGAAAGAUUAAAUGGACUAGCUUUGAUUUCAAUUGAAAGUGAACUUCUUGAAAAACUUGAUUAUGAACAUUUGAUUGAUGAUUUCUCUUCUAAAAAUUCAAGAAGAUCAAUUUUCAGACAUUAGUAUUGUACUAGCUGUGUUUUUUUUUUUCUUCUAGGGUAAAAGCUCUCAUAAUAAUUUUAAUUCUUCAAAUAAGACAGCAAAUACAAUGUGAUGAAUUUUGGAUAAUCAGGUAUGUUUUUGUUGUUGCUUUUGUGUUUAAUGCAAUAUAAUCUAAUUUUUUUAAUGACAUUUGUGUGCAACUACUCUUUGAUUUGUGAUUGCCAAUUUUUUUUUCUUUCUAUUAAACACAGAUUGCUUAUUGGAGGCAGCAAGAGACCUUAUAGGGGCACAAGGAGCUUAUUUUUGUACAAAACAUUUAACUUUAUCAAAUGGAAACAUUUAAAUUUUUAUGAAUUUGAUUUCUGAUUGUCAUUGCAUAUUUAUUGAUGGUGAAUUUUAGUUAUAAAAAAAAAAUUGUUUAUGACAUUAAGUUAUGGCAAAUUUUUAUAGUAUUUUCGUAUUAGAUUAUGCGAGGUCCCAAUUUAAGUUUCGCACAGGGCCCUCAAAAUCUCAGGAACGGCCCUGCUGCUAAUACUUGAUCAAUAACAGAGAUAAUAGAGCACACUGUUUGUAUGACAAUGAGUAUCAGAAGAAUAAUAGCUGCAAAGAGAGAAAUAGCUGCCCAAGGUGUGUUGAAAUACUUUUGUCUCAAAUUUGCCUUCCGUCUGUUCGUGGUCUUCUUGCAGUACUCGUUUAGUUUGCCAGCAAGAUCACCAAAAUAGUAGUUUCCGUGGUUCGGAGCAACUUUACUGCAAAGCUUGUUAAUCAUAAUGGAAACCUUAUUGUUGUCACCUAGCGUGUUUACAACAAUUCCAUUGUCAACAAGCAACUCUACAUCCUUUGGGGUGUUUACAAAUUUAUCCAGGAUGAAAACAUAAUCGCUUAUGUAUUUAUCCACGCAAUGGCCUUGUUCAAAGGCAAUGAGAUUUCUAUGUGUAAGCUGUGUAAUCAUGUAUUUCAAUUUUUGGAAUUUCCAAGGUGUUUUUCUUGAACUGUAUAUCGAAUAAGUUCUUGCUUGAUCCCACGUUAAACUUAACUCCGGCCUGGUGUAGUUUUGUCAUGCUGGGUGUACUUUGGAGCCCUCCAUUUUUUUUUCUUUUGGCAGAUGUAAAGUUCUAAUAAAAUCAACAAAAUGUAAAGGUUUUUUAGGAUCAGGAGGCAUAAAAGACUUACGGAAGGCUGGUGAGUUCUCCAAGUUUUCUAAACGCAGUGCCUGUUGGAAGAACUUGUAAGAGAGUUCAAUUAUUGAAGGCUCCCCAGUCUGAGCACCUGUGAGAUUGUAAAGAUCCUCGAGAAUGAAAAAUGGCAGCUGAUUUACGAGCAUAAGCAUGUCAGGCAAUAUAUUUUGUAGCACCCAUGGUUUUUUAAAUAUCCAAGCAUCAUCAUCCUGCAAUUUUUCUUCCUGAAAUUUUUCUUCGGAUUUAUUCCUCAACAAUAGCUCAAUGACAAAGGCGGCAUCAACUAGAAUGAUAUUCACAAAAGUAGCAAUGUUAAACUUCUUAGGGCUAGUUUGGCGGCGUUGUGCUUUUAAAAAAAUAUGCUUCUGCUGUGCUGUGAAAAUAAUUAGCUGUGAAAAAAAGCUACUAGGCGUUUGGUAAACUGUUUUUGAAAAACUGCUGUGAGUAGUCAAAGUGUUUGGUAAAUUUUUAUCAGAAGUACUUUUAGUGUGUAUAAUGACCAAAAAGGACAUGAUGAUGAAAUUGUUUGUUAUUUUCUUCAUUCUUUUUCUACUUUAAAAAAAAAAAAAACCCAAUUUCACUACAUAAAUUUUUAUUCUUUUUUAAUUCACACCUUUUUAUCAAAAAAUUUAAUCUACAAUUAACAUACAUAUUUUACCAUAAAUUAUAAAUUACUAUUAUAACAAAAGUAAUUCUAAAUAUUGUUAUAUUAAUAUGGGCUUCGGACAUGACAAAAAUACAAAAAUUGUUCAAUUUUAAAAUGCCCCAAUAGAUCACUACAAUAUAAAAGAAGCUAAUUAGAUGCAUUCAUUAAACUUGUAGCGAUGCUAUUUCUUAAUGCAUUCAUUAGCUUCUUUUUUUGGUUUCCAAUGGUUCUCUAACAAUUUUAACUAAAAAAACAACCAUAAUGCUUUGUGAACAAUAAAUUCAAGUCCAAAUCUGCUAUUGCCCACACCAUACAUAUAUACAUAAUUGUUCCUUUCAUAAAACUUGAAGAUUCAAUAGUAAUUACACAGUUUACCAAUCUUGAUUCCAACUAUAUCCAUAAAAUUAAACUAUAAUUAGAAAUAGAGGAGCUACAUGUGAUUACUCAUAAAUGCUUCCCACUCUCAUCAUCAUCAUCAUCAUCAUCUUCCUCCUCUGUACUUUGCCUUUCACAAAUGGACAAGACCAGAUGGUAACGUACACGACAUGGUCCACAUAUAGAUAAAUUUUGGGUUCACUGGAGAACAUAAAAGAGUUUUUACACGAAUACAAAGUUAGUUAAGUAGUGAAUAAAGUAAAACUAUUCUGUACAAUUCUAGCUGAUGCAGUCCAAAAAGAAUAUAUGUCUAAUAACUUAAAUAACAAUAAAGAGAAACAAAAGCCUCAUGAAAAAUGCUAGAGUAAAAGUUACAUAACUGAAUCGAUGGACAGAGAACUCCACAGGCAGAGAAACAGCAACAAAAAUUGUCAAAACAGUAGCAAGACCAUGUUGGAGUCAAGGCCAAAGAUCAUAUUUCCUGUGUAUCUUCUUCCAUUCUGAAUUAUUCUCGUAUUCAAAUACUGUAACUCUAUUUCAAGUGCACCCCAAAAUACUUAUCUAAGGCCAGUACAUAGGACUUCAUAAAGGGUGCGAUAAAAAAUAUUGCCCCUUAAUUGAUAAACAGAACCAAGAUCCCAACAGCACACCAAAACUAUACCAACCACACCUACAUAAUAUGGACAGAAAAUCCUGUUGUUCCGAUCUCUAACCACACCAAUGACAUUCAUUAGGAAAAUACAAAAGAUGGGUACCCUGCAUUUCUAACAUUUAAGAUAAAAUUCACUGCCAGCUAAUCACAAAUUUGAAAAGAUGGCAAGAAAAUUGGCUAAGCUUUAACAAAAACCAGAGCAGUCCUUGCAUAGACCUGACUUUUUGCUCCAAGCUUUAGCAGAUCACUUACUGGUAGAGAGCAGAGAACAUGUAUGUGAAUAUCUGAAGUUGGAAGGGUAAGCCAUCACAAACACCAAGAGAUCUGAUUCUCAUCUCUUGUUACAACAACAAAUCACAAACACCAAUACAUCUGAUUCAGAAUCUCAUAAACAAUGGAGGAACAAACACAUAUUCACACACAUAUAAAUCCCUAAACAGAAAAAAUAAAAAAUAAAAAAAAAACCAUGAAAGUCAUAGGAGAAUCAAAUUGAUUUGGGCCAAAAUUGCCUAAAAAGAAAACACUCCUAAAUAAACUUCAAUUCACUUUUAAAAACAGUAAAACAUGAUUGAAUCAUUCUUUAAAACAAUUCCCUAAUAUACAUGCAUGAUAAUGACAUCAUUUACCCCUGAAUCAAAUGCCUUUCACUGGUCAAGCCACAAGUCUGUGUUUUGGGAAUUGCUGAGCUGCAUCAAUCCUGCCAAUGUAAAUUCUGCCCCUAGGCUCUCUCAAAGUGCGUUUACAACCUAUGCUAACAUAUACUAGAGUUUGUUUUAGUAUCUAGAAAAUGCCAACACUAAUUUCGUAACACGUAGAAAUUGUUACAUAUUGGAAGUUUUUAUCAUUUUUUCUUCCAGUCUCUCCACCACUCACUAAUACAGAUUACUCAUGUGAUGAGUUUACAAAACAUAUUUCUCUACUCCCACAAAGACCAUACUUUUUCUCAAAAGACUAUAUCACUUUAUCUCUAUCUUUGUGAAAUGUAAAAAGUUGAAACUUUAAUGUCAAACCUCGACAAAAGAUGAACAUCCAUCAUCAAUUACAUUGAAUUUGAAUUUGUUGAACUUAAGUAGUUUUACUUCUCUGUCAGCGUUUGAUGACUUGAUUUGUUAUUUACUUCUUCUUUUUUCCUUGGAAAUGUGUUCCAUCAACGUGAGGAAGAAAAAUAUGCACAAAUUAAUAUAUUUAAUAGAAGCAAAAAUUAAUAUUUACAAAAAUAUGCACAAAUCAAGUAAAAUUAAUAAAGCAUAAAUUGGAAAGGGAAAAUAUGUAGAGGAUGCAUUGUAGGAUUGCUCAUGCCAAUAAUUGUACCCUCUAAAUAUAUAGGGACAUAUUUUUUUUUGUUUUCAUGACAUGUGGUCCUAAAAUUAUUGUUCUUAGCGGGCUCUCCACCCCUCUCGACUGAAAACCUAUUGUGUAAAUCUUCAAUCCUGAAUGAUGCACCUAAAACUCAUGUUGCAAUACACAUCCACCCAUUCUCAGGCCAAUUAUUACUCCUAGUGGGCUCUCCACCCCCUCUCAAAUUUAAGUGGUCCAUUAUUAUUAACCGUAUAUUUUAUGGACCAGCCAGCUGUGAGGUUUUAUCUCAAAAACCUUUCUCCCACAUGCCACAAUUUAUGUCUGAUACAUCACAUCAUGCCAGUUGUCUCAAAUGAAUUUAAGUGAGUGAGGCAGUGUUACUUCUGGGUACCCCUCAUUAUUCGUCUAUAAAUUGGUGAAGCCAGUUGCUACUGUUACCAUAAGAGCCAGCUCCGACUUUCAAAAUAAAAAUUCCAACAACGGUCUUAGUGCCUUCAAUUGUAUGAGUCAUUGAACAUGCAAAUGAAUAAAAUAUGAAUGAUAAAAGUGUUUGAUAAAUCACCAAGUUAUAGAACACUUGAUGAUUUAUCUCAAAUAAAAAUUCAGCUUUCUAAAGUUUGUGAAUUGAAAAUAUAAUCGUUAAAGCUCUCUAAACAAAGAAGACGAAAGUCUUAUUUUAUAGAAUUUUUCUUUACAAGAAAGAAAACAUGUUGAAAACCAAAUCUCCAAUUUCCAAGGCUUGACAGAAAAUCAAAAAAAUAUCUUUCCUAUUCUAGAGAUUGGUCACAUGUAGUUCAACCAAUAGGAAAUGAGAUAUUUAAGAAAGCAAGAUUUUGAUCAAUACCAAUAUCAAAUGAAUUCUUAUACGCCUAGUCAACUAUUAAGGGUAUCUUGACUCCUUGAUAUUGUGAUAUGAUUGAAACAUGAUUUCCAUGUUAGAAAAUUAAGGGGAUGUUAAAACAUGAAAGUAAUAGGAGAAUCAAAUUGAUUUGGACUAAAAUUGCCUAAAAAGAAAACACUCUUAAAUAAACUUCAAUUCACUUUUAAAAACAGUAAAACAUGAUUGAAUCAUUUUUUAAAACAAUUCCCUAAUAUACAUGCAUGAUAAUGACAUCACUUACCCCUAAAUCAAAUUGUCACGCCCCGGACCUGGGGGUCAGUGGAAACCCCACGUUCGGUGCGUGAGAAAAUAAAAAGUAAAAUAAAAUAAAAAGAAUGCCGAAACAAGGGUUUAAAAUAAACUUCUCUUAUAAAAAUAACUCCAAAAUCUUACAACUUUACAAGAAAUAAAUAAAGCCCUAUCAUUCUUAUCUAAUUCAGCCUCAACUGGUUUAGUCCUUGUCUUGCCCACUAAUUCAUCUAAAAAAUGAAGAGUGUUGCUAAACGAACCCUAAAAUUAAUUGAGUACACCCUACUACCAAACGAUUUAUUGAAUUUGUCACAUCUCGGGAUCAACUCCGCCGUAGCACGAUAUUGUUCGCUUUGGGCCCUCCCUCUCUGGCUCGCAUGGUUUUGUUUCUGGGAACUCACGAGUAACUUCCCAGUGGGUCACCAAUCCUGGGAUUGCUCUAGCCCACAACUCGCUUAACUUCGGAGUUCCUACGACUCCGAAGCCUGUGAGCUCCCAAAAGGUCUCGUGCUAGAUGGAUGCGGGUGUGCACAUAUAAGGCACAUCACCCCCUCUCCGUUGGUUGAUGUGGGAUCUUAUAGAAUUACUAAUUUAUCCUAAUAUAAAAUGACCAAAGAAGAUAAAAUAAUAUUGGUAUCUAUUGCUUUGAAUCCAUGCCUUCAAACAAAUUGACUUAAUUUUUAACAAACAACACGGAGUCCAGGAGAAGUGUAUUGAUCCAAGUUGAUUUUUGUAUGCGUAAAACUUAAACAAUCAAUAACACAAAGCAGUUCAUGCUGAAAUAUUGGAAACCCACACCCAAAGAGUUCUCCGCUGCGAGGUUGAAGGCAGGAGAGAUGGGUGACAGAUUUUACUUCCACUGCGAAGUUGGAGGCUAGGAGAGUCUGUGACUGCCAUGGUUGAGGGAGAAGAUGCGUUCAAAAUGCCUAUUGAUAUUUUACAUUAUUGGCUUUUUUCAAAAGUGAAAGUUUUUUUAUGGGUAAAACCUAAAUUUACUUUUUCUAUACAAGUUAACAGUGUUUGUGUAUUGUGAAAAGGUGGAGAGACGUGUCAAAAUUUUAGACAAAGGACAGGAGGAGAUAGGGAAUUUGGGGACAGCAGAUCUCAACUCCCUUGAGACCCUAUUCUCUACGCCACCCCUCCCCCUCAACAACCCUAGUCACCAUUUCUCCUUCAACUCCAACGGCAACUCAUUAAAACCCAAUUCUCAAAUGCAACAAUCUAAUCCCAAUCCCAAUUCAGAUGUUUCUAAAAAACCCAUUGUCGUGGUGGAGAACUGCAAUUCCAGGUGGUGGUGGUGGUACCACAUGGGAGAGAGAAAAAAGAAGAAGAAGAAGCAGGAGAGAGAGAGUUUUUUAUUUUAUUAUUAUUUUACUGUAAUUUUUUAAUUUAAAUAAUUAAAAAAAUUAAAAGUUAAAGAGGAUGUACCAUGGGUAUUUUUGGUAGUUAAAUAAGGUGUACUUAGGGUCAGUUUGGCAUUGCUGUGCUGUGAAAAUAAUAGCUGUCAGAUUUGCUGUGAGAGAAAUCAGCUGUGAGAGAAAUCAGUUUGGCGUUUGAUAAAAUUUUUGUUAAAAGUGUGUUGAUAUUGAUUUUAUGCUUAAUCCGAAAAUGAUUGCUGCAUAAUCAUUAAACCCAGCGCCUCUUCGAAACUGAUUCCUAUAUAAUCAGAAAAUGAAAGCACCUCAUUAGCUGCUUUCCUUUAUAGCUUUCUCUCACAGCAAUUUUUAACAAUAAGUGAUUUUCUCACAGUUUACCAAACGGGUUGGGCUUCUCAAAAUUUUUUAAAAAUCACUUAUUACCCCAAAUAAGCAAUACCAAACGGGCACUUAGUUAAUUUUACAUUUUAAUUUAAACAUUAGGGUGUACUCAGUUAAUUUUAGGGUUCGUUCAGCAGCACUCAAAAUUAAACAAGGUGAGGGAUGAGCAAGUAGGGACAUGAGACAUUGCCACAGUAGAUUGAUAUAACUAAAUAUUAUUAUAAACAUAGAAAUAUAUAAGUAUUAUUAUAAUAGGAUUCAUAAUAAUUAAUAUAAAAGUAUAACAACAAUAUUUACAUUUAUGUACCAAGAUAAUUACACAUAUAAAUAUAACCAAUAUAUAUUUUUAUAUAUUUUAAAAUAUAAGUCUUUACGUAAAUGCCUUUCACGGGUCAAGCCACAAGUCUGUGUUUUGGGGAUUGCUGAGCUGCAUCAAUCCUGCCAAUGUCAAUUCUGCCCCUGAGCUCUCUCAAAGCACGUUUAAAACCUAUGCUAACAUAUACUAGAGUUUAUGCUGUAUCUAGAAAAUGCCAACACUAAUUUCGUAACACGUAGAAAUUGUUAGAGAUUGGAAGUUUUUAUCAUUUUUUCUUCCAGUCUCUCCACUACUUAUUAAUACAGAUUACUCAUGUGAUGAGUUUACAAAACCUAUUUCUCUACUCUCGCAAAGACUAAACUUCUUCUCAAAAGACUAGAUCACUUUACCUCUAUCUCUGUGAAAUGUAAAAAGUUGAAACUUUAAUGUCAAACCUCGACAAAGUGUUCUACUUUACAAACUUCUUGUGUCUACCAAUUUGUACUAAAAUUAAUUUCUCUACAGUGCUCAGAUUCAUCAUAUGUGUGUCCUUAAUUUUAGUGGAAAUUGGAAGUUUCCAUAAUUUUUGCUUUAAGUCACUCUUCUGAAGGAAGUUGAGGUUCCACUUCAUAAUCCAAAAUGUCAGGUUGACUUAUGGCAAACAAUGUAAAUAUGUAGGAGUACUAUGACCUUUUAUAGCAUUUUUAGUUUGAAUUUGGGUUUUAUACAUAGAUUUCAAAAUUAAUAGGUUGAUGCCUAGGAAAUAGAAAUUGUAAGGGCCUAUAUUAGAGUAGCCCUCUUAAAAAUAAUAUUAAUUAAUGAAUAUUUGUUCUUCUUGUUGUUUUGAAGUAGUGGUGGGAGGCAGACCAACAAAAAAAAAAUAUAGUGAAGGCUUAUAAGAGCAUUUACAAUCAUGCUCCCUAUUUUUUAGUUAAAAUUUAGCUAAAAAUAGAAAAAAAGUUAUUAUAGGAGCUCUUUAUAAAGCUCCUUUAUAAAAUUUGAACUCCAAUCAUACUCCCUAGUUUAGGGAGUCAAAAAUACUAUAGUUAUUUUUUAAUUCAAUUUGAUUUUGGUUAAUCUCUAUAAAUAUGAAAAAAUAGUUAGCAUUAAUUAAAAGUUUAAACUAUGCAUAAAACAAAGAAACAUUAAAUUAUAGGGAGCCACUAUGAGUCAUUACUCUCUCCUCAGAUUUAGGAGCUCCUAAAGGUCUCCCUAUUUUAUGAGGUGGAUAAGGAGCAUGGUUGGAGUUGUAUUUCUUCAAUUUCCUCCCUAAAAUUUGUCUAAGGAUGUGGUUUAGGGAGCCCAUUGUGAAUGCUCUAACUCUGGUAAAACACGAGUGACAUGGACAACAUAUGUUACGUCGUACUGAAGAUUUUUGGGUUUCUUUAAUUGGUUAAGUAGCAUCCACACAGCUUCCUAAAUCAUCUCCUUAGACAAAUUUUAGGGAGGAAUUGGAAAAGUACAACUCCAACUAUGCUCCCUAUCCACCAACUAAAAUAGGGAGACUUCUAGGAGCUCCUAAAUCUGAUGAGAGAGAAAGGACUCUUAAUGACUCCCUAUAAUUUAAUGUUGCUUUAUAUUAUUUUGUAUACAGACGGGUCAAUUAUAUUAAAUUAAAAAAUAAUUAAAGUAUUUAUGACUCUCUAAACUAGUGAGCAUAAUUGUAGAUCAUCUUAUAUACCUUAAUUUGAAGAUUCUUUAUUUGGGUUUCUUUCAAGACUUAUCACCUUAGCCACGCCACCUACACGUCUGCAAGCUUUCCUAACAAGGAAGGGGAGGCUGCGCAAUACUUAUCACCUUAGCCACACUACACCAAAUUGACGUCUGCAAGCUUUCGUAAUCUAACAAGGAAGGGGAGGCUGCGCAAUACUUAUCACCUUAGCCACACCAACACCACAAGACCAAUAUGUGUAGUCCAGGAGGCUUUCCCAUUUUAAUAUAUAUUAUCAAAUAAAAUAAAAAUCAAUCUAUUAUCAUAUAUAUUAUAAAAUAAAGAUUAUUGCUCCAUCCUCCAUGCACUUGCAUGCCUCUUACAAAGUGUGAAGUAGAUUUUGUGUGCUCCAAGUCAUUGACGAGAGCUGUAACAUGGUUAGCUGGAUUUAUAAGAUCUUUUCUUUUCUGGGAAUUUUCUGAAUCAAGAAAAAUUAAGUAAAAUUAAUAAAGCAUAAAUUAGAAAGGAAAAAUAUCUAGAGGAUGCAUUGUAGGAUUGCACAUGCCAAUAAUUGUAUCCUCUAAAUAUAUAGGGACAUAUUUUUUUGUUUUCAUGACAUGUGGCCCUAAAAUUAUUGUUCCUAGCGGGCUCUCCACCCCCUCUCGAUUGAAAACUAAUUGUGUAAAUCUUCAAUCUUGAAUGAUGCACCUAAAACUCAAGUGUCCCAGGCCAAUUAUUGCUCUCAUACCACUUGUUGUAAUAAACAUCCAUCCAUUCUAAAGGAAAGAUAACCAUCGAUAUUAUCUCAAAUUUAACCACUUAAGUUCAUUAUGAUUAACUAUGUAUCUUAUGGACCAAUCCAAUCAUGAGGUUUUAUACCCAAUUAGAUCGACUAAUACAAAGUUCACACGUGGAUUGAAAAGCGCUAUCAGUAGGGGAGUGUUCGGCACCCUUUACUGCCGAACGCAACACAAGACCCCUUGCAUGCCUUCACUAAGUUGAGCCUAUCUAUUUUUUAGCAUUAACAAUAUAUAUAGAUUGAAAAAAUAAAAUAAAAAUCAAUCUAUUAUCAUAUAAAAUAAAUAUUAUUGCUCCAUCCUCCAUACACUUGCAUGCCCUCUUACAAAGUGUGAAGUAGAUUUUUUGUGCUCCAACUCAUUGACUAGGGCUGAAACAUGGUUAGUUGGAUUUAUAAGAUCUUUUCUUUUCUGGGAAUUUUCUGAAGCACGGAAAAUCAAAUAAAAUUAAUAAAGCAGAAACUGUACCCUUUAAUUAUAUAUGGACGUAUGUUUUUUUGUUUUCAAGUCUUAGAUGACAUGGGGACCUAAAAUUAUUGCUCCUAGUGGACUCUCGACCCCUCUCAAAUUUAAGUGGUCCAUUAUUAUUAACCACAUAUUUUAUGGACCAUGCAGCUGUGAGGUUUUAUCUCAAAAACCUUCGGUACAUUUCUCCCACAUGCCACAAUUGUAUAUUCACAAUUACGGCUGUUACGUCACAUCAUGCCACUUGCCUCACAUGCAACAAGUCUGUGUUUUGGGGAUUGCCGAGCUGCAUCAAUUCUGCCAAUGUCAAUUCUGCCCCUGGACUCUCUCAAAGCACAUUUAAAACCUAUGCGAACAUAUAUUAGAGUUUAUGAUGUAUGUAUCUAGAAAAUGCCAACACUAAUUUCGUAACAUGUAAAAAUUAUUAGAGAUUGGAAGUUUUUAUCAUUUUUUCUUCCAGUCUCUCCACCACUUAUUAAUACAGAUUACUCAUGUGAUGAGUUUACAAAACCUAUUUCUCUACUCUCGCAAAGACUAAACUUCUUCUCAAAAGACUAGAUCACUUUACCUCUAUCUCUGUGAAAUGUAAAAAGUUGAAACUUUAAUGUCAAACCUCGACAAAGUGUUCUACUUUACAAACUUCUUGUGUCUACCAAUUUGUACUAAAAUUAAUUUAUCUACGGUGCUCAGCUUCAUCGUAUGUGUGUCCUUAAUUUUAGUGGAAAUUGGAAGUUUCCAUAAUUUUUGCUUUAAGUCACUCUUCUGAAGGAAGUUGAGGUUCCACUCCAUAAUCCCAAAUGUCAGGUUGACUUAUGGCAAACAAUGUAAAUAUGUAGGAGUACUAUGACCUUUUAUAGCAUUUUUAGUUUGAAUUUGGGUUUUAUACAUAGAUUUCAAAAUUAAUAGGUUGAUGCCUAGGAAAUAGAAAUUGUAAGGGCCUAUAUUAGAGUAGCCCUCUUAAAAAUAAUAUUAAUUAAUGAAUAUUUGUUCUUCUUGUUGUUUUGAAGUAGUGGUGGGAGGCAGACCAACAAAAAAAAUAUAGUGAAGGCUUAUAAGAGCAUUUACAAUCAUGCUCCCUAUUUUUUAGUUAAAAUUUAGCUAAAAAUAGAAAAAAGUUAUUAUAGGAGCUCUUUAUAAAAUUUGAAUUCCAAUCGUACUCCCUAAUUUAGGGAGUCAUAAAUAUUAUAGUUAUUUUUUAAUUCAAUUUGAUUUUGGUUAAUCUCUAUAAAUAAAUAAAAAUAUGAAAAAAUAGUUAGCAUUAAUUAAAAGUUUAAACUAUGCAUAAAACAAAGAAACAUUAAAUUAUAGGGAGCCACUAUGCCAAUAAUUGUAUCCUCUAAAUAUAUAGGGACAUAUUUUUUUUGUUUUCAUGACAUGUGGCCCUAAAAUUAUUGUUCCUAGCGGGCUCUCCAACCCCUCUCGAUUGAAAACCAAUUGUGUAAAUCUUCAAUCUUGAAUGAUGCACCUAAAACUCAAGUGUCCCAGGCCAAUUAUUGCUCUCAUACCACGUGUUGUAAUAAACAUCCAUCCAUUCUAAAGGAAAGAUAACCAUCGAUAUUAUCUCAAAUUUAACCACUUAAGUUCAUUAUGAUUAACUAUGUAUCUUAUGAACCAAUCCAAUCGUGAGGUUUUAUACCCAAUUAGAUCGACCAAUACAAAGUUCACACGUGGAUUGAAAAGCACUAUCAAUAGGGGAGUGUUCGGCACCCUUUACUGCCGAGCGCAACACAAGAUCCCUUGCAUGCCCUCACUAAGUUGAGCCCAACUAUUUUUUAGCAUUAACAAUAUAUAUAGAUUGAAAAAAUAAAAUAAAAAUCAAUCUAUUAUCAUAUAUUUUAUAAAAUACAUAUUAUUGCUCCAUCCUCCAUACACUUGCAUGCCCUCUUACAAAGUGUGAAGUAGAUUUUUUGUGCUCCAACUCAUUGACUAGGGCUGAAACAUGGUUAGUUAGAUUUAUAAGAUCUUUUGUUUUUUGGGAAUUUUCUGAAGCAAGGAAAAUCAAAUAAAAUUAAUAAAGCAGAAACUGUACCCUUUAAUUAUAUAUGGACAUAUGUUUUUUUGUUUUUUUGCUCUCGACCCCUCUCAAAUUUAAGUGGUCCAUUAUUGUUAACCACAUAUUUUAUGGACCAUCCAGCUUCGGUACAUUUCAAAAAGCUUCGGUACAUUUCUCCCACAUGACACAAUUGUAUAUUCACAAUUACUUCUGGGUACCCCUCAUCAGUCGUCUAUAAAAUGGUGAAGCCAGUUGCUACUGUUACCAUAAGAGCCAGCUCCGACUUUCUUUAAUUUCUUGCUACAUCUGUUGCUAAGUUAAUUUCAGUCCUAAUGGGGUUUCAUCUCCCACUCAUCUUUGCUAUUCUCAGUGUAAGCUCUGCAAUUUGAUUAACUUUUCCAUUCUCUCUCAUUGUACUCUAUAUAUAUAAAUGAAAGUUUUGUGUUCCUAUAAUUCUCUCCGAUUUUAUUUAGUACGUACUUAAGUGUCGUCCACUAAUUAAUUACACUUUGUGAGAUUUGAUUUUAAUUAGAGUUCGAAUUAAUGUUGCAGCUAGCAGCGGUUGCACUGGCAAACAAUGCUGCUCAACCAGCACCUCAACUUUACUGGAACUCCGUCCUGCCAAACACACAGAUGCCAAGAUCUAUCAGUGAACUUCUGCAUCCUGGUUUGUGUUCAGCUCUUUAUAAUCUUAGAUAUCUCUUCUACCUGCCAUUUUACUAAAAUAUGUUCGACCACAUAUUUAUCAGCUAACUACUGUGAUUACAAGAAUGACACUUAUUUUCCAAUAUAAUUUGCAGACUCCACAAAUGAAGAAAAGAGCAAACCUGAAAUUUUCCCAUUGCAGGGCAAUAGAGUUUACACUCAAAGCCAUUAUAAAAAACGUCCUCCUCCUCCAUCUGACGAGGGCAAACCUGAAACUUUCCCAUUGGGCAAUAGCCAUUACACUCAAACCCGUUAUAAAAAACGUCCUCCUCCUCCAUCUGACGAGGGCAAACCUGAAAAUUUCCCAUUGGGCAAUAGCCAUUACACUCAAACCCGUUAUAAAAAACGUCCUCCUCCUCCAUCCGACGAGGGCAAACCUGAAAAUUUCCCAUUGGCCAAUAGCUUUUACACUCAAACCCGUUAUAAAAAACGUCCUCCUCCUCCAUCUGACGAGGGCAAACCUGAAAAUUUCCCAUUGGCCAAUAGCUUUUACACUCAAAGCCAUUAUAAAAAACGUCCUCCUCCUCCAUCUGACGAGGGCAAACCUGAAAAUUUCCCAUUGGCACGUUCUCCUCCAUCUGACAGUCAACUAAAGCAUUACAAAGACUUAGCUAUUUUCUUCUUCGAGAAGGACAUGCGCCCGGGCACAACUAUGAAGUUCCAAUUCCCUAGAAAUUCAAACACGGCUACUUUCCUGCCACGCGAAAGUG
Molecule: long non-coding RNA, 181268 nt
Filed under: Prunus persica (peach)
Lineage: Eukaryota; Viridiplantae; Streptophyta; Magnoliopsida; Rosales; Rosaceae
Description: long non-coding RNA (PPER_LNC001496)
Source: RNAcentral